UGUUUCUGAUGAUGAAUCUGAUGAGGAGGUUCCACAGGCUAUUCCAUUAUUCCCAAACGCAGAUGGUAUAUAUCCUUGUUCUACAUAACAUUUUUGUUUAAGAGUUAAUAUUGCAUUUCUCUCUGUGCAUUAUGACUGCUUCAUAGAUACACAUAUUUAGUUUAUGGUGCUAUUUAUCUCAUAUCCUCAUUGUAUAUGUGACUGAACUCGCCAAAUUAGAUAAUAUAUGACCUCCCACUUGAAUCCUUGAAACACUCGAUUAACAUUUUUUACAUUCAAAGACAUACAUAAGUAAUAUGGCGAUUGAUUUUUUACAUUUCCUGAGCGUUGUACCUUUUUCAAACUGAAACUGGGCAUUAUUCCUCUAAGUGCGCGAUGCAUUUCUACAAGCAGACAUAAGGCGCCCUUACGGGCACCCUAUCGGGACACCGCUCAGUUGCUUCAUCUUCAGAUCCGGUUUGUUUUUCAGUACUGCAAAUCAUCUCAGUGGUGUUGAUUCGUAGAAGAACAUGAAACUGAAGAAUGCCGAAUUUCCUGCUCGUAAUCCAGACAGCACAUCUCACCACAAUCAAUCCUGGAGAUGCCAUGAAGGUUUGUGAGCAUGUUACCAUUUUCUACAUAGCUAUAAACCAACAAAUUUGUCUCCAUGCUUGCUAUCUCACCAAUCAUGCAUGCUAUAAACUGAUAAGCUCAUUCUUGUCAUGUUCUAAUGUAAUGUAAGCAGGUUGGCAUGGCACCCAAACUUGCACGAUGCCAACUAAGUGUGCAUCCUUGCAUCAAACUUGUCGCGGGAGCAUUAACAAACAAUAAUAAAAAUUGUGUUUUAUUCUAUGAUUAUAUCUAAAGCUGGCCUGCCCUUUUUAAUAUUGAACAUUGACUGAUCCAGUUUUGCUGAAGCUAUGGUAUUAUAGAGAAAAAGAGAAAAAAAAACAAGAAAAUUAUGGAACUAUAUGAAUUGUACCUAAAAACAAAGAUAAAAAGAACUAUAAGAAUUGUACCUGAAGAACAAAGAUAAAAGAACUAUGGAACUCUACCUUCUCAGUUCUCAUCUAUCAUUAUAAAAACAAAGAUAAGUGUGUUAGCUGGGCAAUAGGAAGAGCUAAGGAGCUUGAGAGCCUAGGCUUAGUUGUAGCUCUAGCCGAGGUCGGGUCAAGUUACGGUUCCAGUUUGUAAUUUCCUUUGGGUUUUUUGUGUAGGGGCCUUUGGAGACUUGCUAGGCAAGAUCUCCUUUUUGUAAGGUUUUUUAUUCCUCUCUAAUAUAUAAGAUGCGCAGUUCUCCUGCGCGUUCGAUAAAAAAAAUAUAAAAAAAAUGUCCGUGAUGCUUUGCUCGCAUCGCAUGUUCUUCUUGCAUAGCCUUGACGCCUUGGCGUUGCUAAUCCUUCCAUCUACCAAGCUCGUGUCUUCAUCAUUCUUGGCGCUGAUCGAUUAUGACGCCGAAAAGUCAGCAUGCAUGCAUGGACAGUAGUCCACUCUUCGUACCGCGCCCGCAUCCUCCGUUCUCCAGAACGCCGUCGUUGAUGUCCGGAACUGAGAAAUUUGCAAGAUCACCACCCCGGAAAGGUGGCUUCGCUGCAUUGCCACUAUCAACUGAUCCCUCACUGUUGCAGGCCCAGGCGAAGCUGGAUUGACCGCCGAGGAUCAUCAGAAAAGCCAUCCUUUCAUGUGUGGUGGAGUUCCUGCUGAAAGUGUAGUCAGCGUUUCAUGGCCGACAGUCAGCUGUUCCUGCUGAUAUUGUGUUGUUAUACGGGUUGCUGAAAUUGUAGCACCCACUUCUUGGUCUGCAGUUUGUUGAGUUGUUUUUUCAAGCACCCCUUCAUCAGUAGCAGCCUUUGAAGAUGUAGCCCGAAGUUCUUUUGAAACCCAAUUUAGGGUCGACGGGUCAGUGGCCGCCGCCACGGCAACUUAGGAGCUGGCGGUCCCUAAGGACGCCAGCGAACUUCCAUCUAUGGCGCCAUCCAUCGGUUGGUGAAGUUCAAACUAGUUAGCUAAGGAGGAAGAAAGUAAGAGGGAAAGGGGUGACGAACUCACCGGAUUUCUCUCCUCGGAGUCACGGCAUGGUGAGAAUGACAGGGGGACAACUUUUGGAGGCGGCGACGCGACAGGACGGUGAUGGCGACGAUCUGGCCUUAAUCAGAGCUAAAAGCGCGAACUGAGGCCAGUGUUUCUAAGCGGGAAGUUUUUGCCGUGUCUUGUUGCUAUCCGGUCGAACCCCACGCCACGGCUUCCAUAAGAGCGAAGCCCAGUUUGUCGUUUGCCAUAAUCACAAUAAUCUCGGCAGUGUUUCUUCCUCGACGUGCCAUGAUGAACGGAACAGUUGAGCACUGGGGUUCAUAUCGCACGCCGAAAUCAUCCCUUUUGUUCUUUUUAUUCUCCGAUCGUGUCCACUUUAGUGGAUAUUAGGGUGCACCCCGCUGCUCGUAUUGUGUCUUUGUCUCGUCAUUUGCUAGUUUCUGCUGCUAAUCGGGAGGCUGGACCCAAUGUAGAAAGGGUGACAAGUUCGAUCAACCUGUUCACCCCACCCCUAGGGUUCGUAGAUGACCUUUGUGCGAUUUUUCGUUUCCCUUGUUUGUUGAUUGGGAAAAGGUUUUGGUUAUUUACUGGGUGAGGCUGGUUGGUUCAGGUCAAGGCUACGACUUGUCUGCUACUGUUAUUUAGUAGCAUGUACUGUUGCUUCCUACUGUAGAAGUUUUCGUUGAUUGGUGUUCCAUGGAUUAUGCUGUCAUUGCAGCAGUGGCACAUGGUAAAUCAGAAUGCUUCUGAGACUGACAAGGUCGAGGGAGACAAGUUUAGGUUUUGAGCUUUUCAUGAACUGUAGGAGGUUCCCUAUCAGAUCAGGUAAACAGAUGCUGAGAUCACAUGGUGCUUGUGUGGCCUUGACAUCACAAUUACUCUGAUGCUAAGAUCACAUGAGCAAUUGAGUCAGUCACCAGAGAAUGCUUUGAAGGCAAUGUGGCAAAACCAUGUAACUCUAAUUUGAGACGGGGGAGCACAAAAUCAUUUGAUUUAUAAGCAUGCACUGUUAUAAUAGCUUGAUUAGCUUCAUAAAAGAAACAUCUAUAAUCCGAGUAUGCUAACCAUGUAUAAAUUACAAAUUAGAGUAUUAUCUAAUCAACCAAAACAUAUAAAAGGAUGGUGUAUAUGGUGCAUACCUUUUCACCAUGAUCAAACACAAUGACAUUAUUAUAGAGGCCUAAAUGAAUGCCAGAAAGGUUCCUAUUGUCAUGUGGUGCCUUACUGAAAGGAAGCUUCUUUGUUUUAACAUAACACACUGUAUCAUAUGAGGAAAAUCCAACCCAUCCUCCUACAAGAUAUCAUAAAAACGUUGUGACAGUAAUUGAUACAUAACAAAGAACUAUCCCCAUGACUUCCCCCUACGGAGCUUUCUCAAGAGCAUUAUAGCUAUCGAAUAGAAGUAAUAUUAGGAUCUCACCAAACAACAUUCUAGCUAUUGAAACUAGUAAAUAACACCUUGAUACCAAGCACAUAAUAAAUAAGUAAACAACAAACACAAAAUCCAACAAUCUCGAUUAUGGGAGAAGAAAUUAUCACACCUUGACAUGACAAAGGAAAACCUAAAGGUAUAAUAACUGCCAGCUUGCAAACGAGAUCUUAUAGCAAUAAAAACAGAUAAAACCAAAAUAACAAAAAGAAUACAACUAACACUCCAAAUAUCAAAUGGAAAACUCCAGCCUAAAGCUGCAAUAGAAAUAUCCAACAUCAGCACUACUGACAUACAGAAUUGGAGAAGAAACCUUUAGCAACUAUCAUGAUAGCGGGCAUGACCACUAAUGAAAUAGUACAAAAGGUCUAACUCUUAUUCUGCACACAAGCAUAGAGCUCCAUGUUUAGCAGCCAGAUCAUGUCCUGAAAAGGAGUACCUGAAGACCACCCUUCCAGAAAAAUCAAGCAGGUCGCCCAACAAUCUCCUUUUAAAAAUAGGUAAUGAUUCUUCAUGCAAUCAUGCCUUAAAAAUAAUAACCAAAAAGGGUAAGGUAAACACAGUGCAGAGAAAACAAAUAGUGUUGCCGACAAAGUUUUUGAAGUAAAUCCUAUGCUUUUGAAGAUGAUGGCUUGUAAAGUGUAAUUGAUCUGUAUUAAGCUUCUUGAGAGACAAAGGGAGGCCAAAAUACUUGAGGGCUUGUUCGGUUAUUUUCAAUCCAUAUGGAUUGGAGGAGAUUGAUACGGGUUGUGAGAUAUUUUGACUUACUAGGGAUUGAAACCCCCUCAAUCCCCCUCAAUCCAUCUUGGUAAAGGCUGUUUGAUUAGGAGAGAGAGAGACCAUCAUUUCCAGCUUACCGGCAAACCUAUUGGCCAAGAUUUUUGUAAUGAGCUUAGCAAAGCUAUGCACAAGGCUAAUAGGUUGAAAGUCCUAAACAUGUUGGGCAUCAACCUUUUUAGGCAUCCUCCAUUCUCCAGAACGCAGUCGUAGAAAUUUGCAAGAUCACCACCCCGGAAAGGUGGCUUCGCUGCAUUGCCACUAUCAACUAAUCCCUCACUGUUGUUAUGCCAUCCGGCCUCAUAUAAUCCAUCAACUUGUUCUUUUACAGAUCUCCAGCCACGGGAAAAGACAGCUCUAUCCUUAGGUCAAGAUAAGGUCAUCUUGCCUCUGUUUGCUUGGACUAAAAAUGAACGAGCGUUGAGUUCUCCCCGGCGGCGCAUAGAGGGUUGGACACUCAAGCACGCAUAACUCAACAUUUUGUUCUCCUCCAAGCCCACAGGCAGCAGAUUUGAGGUAAGAAUGGUGUUCCAGUUGUAUUCCCUCAUUUUCUGUUAUCCUCCUUCGAUUUCUAAAAUCCCUUGUUUUUUUGGACGCAUGAACCAAUAGAUUUUGUGAUGUUGGCUCUAAAUCUGUGAUCCAUUGCCCUUGGAGAGGUGGUGCUAUACCAGAUUUGGACAUGGAACCCAACUCCAACUCUUGGGACAUGAACCUAAGGUAUAUAAUCUAUUCUGCUAUGUGGUUUUGUUUAAAUAUUUCAGCUGUUUGAGUUGCUAACAAAAGAUAGGUCGCCCCUCUAACUCGAUUUUAUUGUGCACUUGCUCCUUGCAUUGAGGGUUUUUUAGCAGGAUGUAGGCCUUAUCUUAGUGUAGACUCAACUGCACUAAAUGGUAGGUAGAAUGGCCAAUUGGCAUCAGUAACAGAUAUAGACGGUCAUAACUGGAUGUAUCAUGUUGCAUUUGGAUUAAUACAAUCUGAACCAGAGGAUAACUGGGUUUGGUUUAUGAAGCAGUUGUGUAGGGCUAUAGGAGACAUGCCUCAACUAGCAAUUUGCACAGAUGCUUGUAAAGGAUUAGAAAAAGCAGUGGUACAAGUGUUUCCUUAUGUUGAUCAAAGGGAAUGUUUUAGGCACCUCAUGCAAAACUUUAUUAAGAGCAUUUAUUCACGUAUGUACCCUGCUGUUGAGGCUUACAAGAAGGACAAAUUUCAGUACCACAUGACCCAAAUGUUCUCAGGUAGCAAUGAUGUGUUCAAGUACCUUGAUGAACAUCAUUCACUGAAAUGGAUGAGAUGUGACUUCAACCAAGAAAUUAAGUGUGAUUAUAUUACUAACAAUCUAGCGGAGUGUUUCAACAAUUGGAUUAGAGAGUAGAGACAUAAAGGACUUGCCAGUGACUGAUCAUGUUGAUAAGGGAAAUGAUAAUGAUUCUAUGGGAGAAGAUGAGAAAAAUUGGAGAACGACUUCAAGGCAAGAUACUAACAGCUGUCCUACACCAAUUGAAUGCAAGAACUAGAGGGUUGGGACACUCAAAUGUUGUGAAAGUUGACAUACAUGAUGCAGAGGUGUACAACAGCAGCCACAAUUAUCAUGAUCGACAUGCUAUCAAGGCACAUUUACAUGACUGUACUUGUGAAGAGUAGCAACAUACGGGCAAGCCUUGCGAGCAUGCAUUGGCCUUGCUAGCCGCAGUAAAAAACAGAAAUGUGAAGCUUGAGGAUUUGUUCAUGAAUACUACUCUGUUGCAAAGUUCAGAGAGGCAUAUAAAAGAUCGAUAGAGCCACUGCCUGACAAGUCACAAUGGCCCACAGUAGAACUUUCAUUUGAUAUGGGUGCACCAAUUUGCAAAAGAACUGUUGGCAGACAGAGAAUGUUGAGGUUCAAAAGUUUCCUUGAAGGCGCAACAGUUCAGAGACAAAACAUGAUGAAGGUGGCAGCAGUUCAAAGGCAAAACAAACUGAACAAGAAAAGCCCAAAACGAUGAUAAGAGGAAACGUAGGUGCAAAAGAUGUGGUACAUUGGGUCACACAGAAGUUAGUUACAAAUGCCCACUCAAUGGUACAAAGAAAAGGAAGAGAAAGCCUAGGAAGAAUAGUACUAAAUCAAGUGGUAAAAGUCAGAUGUCAACACCUUAUAGGCUAAUAACAACUAGGGAAACCAUAAUUCAAGAGCGCCCUGGAGCAACAAUGACAAGGAGGUAAUUCCAAAAAUUUUACAAGCACUCUAGUUUGAAAUAUGUUCUUUUUCAAUACCAUUAGCAAUGUCUUUGUGCAGGCGACUUGCUGCUCUGUUAGAAAGCAAUUCUUCUCAGACCACUAUGCCUACUUCAACUCCAACCAAGAUAACAACGCCAACCAAGAAGACAGUUCAAAAGAAACUGACCCCAAGGAAGAAAAAAAUAACUCUUAGGAUUCUAUUUGUGGUUGUAGUCCUAAACUGAAAUAUUUGUGGCUGUAGUGAUAAACUGUGUCACAUGUUUAAUUGUGCAGUUUGUUUUGGAUUCUAUAGUCCUAAACUGAGAUAUUUUAUGGCUGAUAUAUUCAGUAUGGGUGCUUGUCUUAAAGAUGUUUGCUUGUCUUAAACAUGUAUGGGUGUUGUGCAUAUAUAUCUUGUAAGGAUUUGUUCACCACGCAUCAAGGUUCAUGGCACAGGAGAUUGGUGUCAGCAGUAUAGAGAACAAGCAUGAUGCCAAAACUGAUGGCGGUUGCCUGGAGAGCAAUUGCAGGCUGUCUAGUUCUGUUUUUUGGCCAAAUGUCAAGCCAAAGCCCGCAAGCACAGCCAAGGGCAGGGCCGUUUUUUUGGGUUGCACAGUUGAAAAGAACUCGUGAAUGAGGCAUGAUGGCAUAAGAACAGCAAGUGAUUGAUAUUGUCACUUCAGCGUGGUCACAAUCAACGGUGGCAAUGCAGCGAAGCCACCUUUCCAGGGUGGUGAUCUUGCAAAUUUCUCGUCCAGAACUUUGUAUGCCCGGCCAAUCAUCGGACCACCGCGCGCUCAUGCAACACGCCAUGUCGGUCCUCCUCGGCCUUGUCAAACACGAGAAACGGUACAGUCCCUACCCACACGCCGGGGCAGUGGUAGGCCUGACGGCAAAGGGUGUGCGCCACCUUGUUCCCCUCCCGGUACACAUGCCUCACAUCGCACGCUUCAAAACAGCGAAGCAACUCGUGGAUAGAGAUGGCAACGGGUAUAAACCCGCCGGGUUUUGCUAUCCCAAACCCGUACCCAUGAAAAAUAUUUACACCCAUUAAAAAAACCCGUACCCAUGACGGGUUUGAAAUUUUGCCCAAACCCGUACCCAUCGGGUUUGCGGGUACCCACGGGUUACCCGCGGGUUUUUUAUCUCCAAUAUGCUUAUUCUUUUUAUAAUCAAUAAGUAUCGUAAUGAUUAAUGAGAUCAUGGUCCAAAAUUUAUGUAAUGAUCAACGAGUUCAUGAUUUGGUAUAAAAAAUAUUGGUAGAGAGAAUUAAUUACAAAUAAUAAGUUGUAUAAUCAAGUUACCUUGCACUAAGUUAUACAUCCACCACAUAUAUAACGCUAGCAAUAACUAUAAUAGCAAGCAAGCAACACUAUCACCAACUACUUAUACAUUCACUAUUUUAUAAAAAUUAGGAAGUAAAUAGGUAGAUAACAAGUUUGUUGUUAGUUUAUAAAAUAAAAUGACAAUAUGCACUAGGUUUGAUCGGGUUUAAAAAACCCACGGUUCACGGGUUUGGGUACUAUAGAAACAAACCCGUACCCAUGAACCCGUCGGGUAUACAUUUAUGCCCAUUAACAAACCCAUGGGUAUGAAAAUUGACCCAAACCCGUACCCUAAUAGGGUAAAAACCCAUCGGGUUUCGGGUUUCGGGUACCCAUUGCCAUCUCUACUCGUGGAUCUCCUCCUGCAGCGCCACAGGGAUUCGUGUCUGCGUGUCCUCGCCGCGGAGCAGCCGCACAAGCACGAGAUCGUCGCCCUCAACCACCACACGCUGCAGGUUAAGCCCAAGCGCCAGGCAAAGGCCACGAGCCAUCGAGCGCGCCUCCACUAUGCCCACCGUGGAGUGCUCCGUGAGCUCAGCGAAUGCGAGCACGACACAGCCGUCGCUGUCACAGAUGGCGCCACCGAUACUGGCUCGCGCUGAGCCAUCAUGGUAGACGGAUCCAUCAAAGUUGAGCUUGUACCAACUACGAGGUGGCGGCGACCAUUGUACCAGGACGACGCGGCCAGGAUGGUACGGCCGUGCCCACGGAGAGAGCUGCGAUGCAUGGUGGAAUAGAUUGGGGUCGUUGGGUGCCGCCAUCGAUUCUAGGAGCACACCAUGCUAUCAGAUCAACUGUUCGUGCAGUGUAUUGAACUCGUAGAUUAGAUGCAUUUCUAAGCAUUUUUUUUCUUUCUCAGAAAACAAAAAAUAGAGUGUCAAUUCCAGUCAAAUUUAAUAUCUUUAUUUUCAUGAAAAAAUCUUGUCUAUCAGGCACAUUCAGGAUAUGCCCCUACUACUCAUUACUCAUAUGUGUUUUGAAAUUGGAACUUUUUGGAUAAACUUUAUACCCCGUAUCUAUGAAGUGGGAAUUCUUACAGGAUCCAUUUGACACCCAAUAUGAAAGAAAAGAAGUACCCCCUAUUUAUUUUCCCAAAACUAAAGAACUAAAGUAAGUAAAAAAAGAGGGGGAGUAUUCUAAUUCUAUGUUUCAUGGCCAGAUUAAAGAGUAGGAUGUUCGCGUAUAUAGUGGAACAAGCAGGCGCGACGGGGUGAAACAGUAGCUCACCGGUCGCCGUUCCGGCGUCAAACGUCCACCCCUCUGGGUCUCUGUGGGGUCUGCGUCCGCCACACGCUCACACGAUCUACAAGUACACUAGUUCUCUUUGGGGUCAGCCUCCACCUUCCGCGCACACAAACUAUGCGUGAUGGAUUAAGAGCACAGGAGACCGAAUCUCAACUCAGAUUAGUGAGAAACGUGGGAAGAAGAACACAGAUCGGAUCUUUAUGGAACCCUAAAUCCCCAGAUUCGAGCCCCGAAUCCCCAAAUGGGAAAUCAACAGCCAUCUUGAGAUGGGGAUUAGAACAAGGGAACAAGAAAGGAGAACGCACCGUGGUCUUGCCGUCGGUAGUUCACAGUUCGCAACCCUCAGGCCGACGCCGUACCUCCUUGCAAGUGCAGAAGCACCGCCGAGGAUCUCACCGACGGCGGCGCCCUCGCAGGAAAGCGCUCGCCGGCGGGGAGUUCGACGACAGCGCAACAAUGGACGCCGGAUCAGUCCUCCACCUCGCCGGUGAACAGAAGCGACGAGGAGAUUGCCUAGGGUUUCAGGCGAGAGGCGCACGGCUGAGAGAAACGGGGAAAAUGGGUAGGGUUUCACGAGACCGAUUUUCCGGCUUAUUAUGAAUGGAUAAACAGUGAUCCGUGUAUUCUUGGCCGUCGAUCCUUAUCCCCAUGGCGAUGCGGGCGCGAGGGGGGGGGGGGGGGGGGGGGGGGGGGUCGGCCCGGGCGCACGGGCCGCACUGCCUGAACCGGCACAGAGACGGGCCCAAAGGCCGACAGAGGACAAGCAGCCCAUUUUUAUUUGCAGCGAAUUAAGAAUUGGUUUUUUCUUUAUUUCGGCAGAUUGAAUAAAAAUAAAAGAAAAAGUUAUACAAAAUAGAAAAUGCUUUUAUGAGAUUUAGAAUUUUGCAAAUAAUAUCUUGGAAUAUUUUGCUUUUGCUGCAUACUUUAGAUAUUUUCUAUGCAUCAUUGUUCGUUAUGAAGUCAACGUGGAUUAUUUUUUAUUUAAUUACAUAUAAAUUUCGAGAUUUUAUGGUAUUUUGAAUGUUUGACCACCUUUAAUAUUUUAUAUCACAUUUAGAACAGUAUUAUAUUUUAUAUAUCAUUCAAUGAUGGUUUAGAUUUUCAUAAUCAUAUAUUCGUUUUAUAAAGCAUGGUUAUUAUUUUACUAACGUUGAAUAUUUAAUGCAUGCAAGUUGUAUGUUCCAAUAUAUUAUUUUAGAUGUCGUAAAUAUUUUUGUUUUAUUUUGCAAAGGUGCACAGAAUGCUCUACUAGUUGGUCAGAUAGGCAGAUUGAGUCGCGAGAUGGUAGUAAUUACCACUCUUUGCAAGAAAAGAUUGAGAUGGUCACUAUAGUGGGUGAUAUAGAUUAUAUUGAUGUCAGACAAAAUAUAAUGUUGCCUGUCACGAUAACGUGGUUCUAUCGAGAAUUUUACUUCAACUUGAGCGACAAUACUAUACUUUCGUUGUAGUCCAGAAAAAUCUUCAUCAUGAUAGUCGUCGAACAACCUGAAGCUAUAUUAAACAUGCGACUAAAUAACGUUCAUAACUUGAAUAGUGAAAUCUUGUGUUAACUAUUUUUUAUAAUAUAACUUAUAUAUGCAUCCUUUUUUCUUAUCCAAUGCAACUCUUUCACGGUUCAAUACGGCUGGUUCCAUCAAAACCUUUUAUCCUUUGAAAAUAAUAAUUAAAACUAAAAUGUAAAAUGGUCCAAUGGCAUUAAUAAAGCACGACAUGGGAGCAGUAUGGGUUGGUGGGUGGAGCACUUAUUUUGGAUUGUACGUGUGACAUUAGAGAGACCAUUAUAGUUCAGGACAUACAUAUAAGAACAGUCAUCGUUUGAAGUGAACACAUAUAUAGCUGGUUCCAUCAGUGUUUACAUUUGCGCAGUAAAUGGUUUGUUUUUUUAUUUAAUGGCCGAUCCAAAAAAGUAGGAAAAGAAGCGGGUGAGAAAUAGAUGUGAAUGUAUGCAACUCACCGUAAAGCAAACUAUUAGCCAAGUAAAGCAUACGUUUAGCUAAAAAUUACCACUAUAAUUAGCAUCAACCUCUAUAUACUGAAAGCAUGCGUAUAAACUUUAUACCCCAAUAAAUACCCCAAAUACACACAAGUUUGGAACAAAAAUAUUUUAUAAAAAAUAGAAAUCACAAAACAUAGUUAACAACUAAUUAGUACUCGACCAAACGAGUGUUGCACGAAACUAACAUAUUAUUGAUACAGUAAUCGACCAAACAAGUGUGUCGCUGCUUAGCUUAGAGUACUUUUAAUUUAUGCAGUUGUAGAAAUUCGGCAAAAAAACGAAUCAACUCAUUGUUUGGCUAGGUCACGCCCUGCUGAUCCAUUUGCAUUGGUGAACUGUUUGGUUCCUAGCAAACAGAUUAAACUGAAUAUAUCCACAAAACUGGACAACAGGAUUUUAGCUAGUUCUAUUACAUUCAUAUAAACAGACAACAAGCAAACACUAUGGUUCACGACAGAGAAUGGGAAGGGUAUUUUCUUAUAAGCACAAUGUGAGUGAUGAUGGCUCCAUCCUACCAGUCACAAAUAUACUAAAAUACUAAUAAACCCUACUUGAUAAAGAAGGUAAGGUAAACUAAACAAUGCAUUAGAAAGGUAAGGUAAACAAUACACAAACUACAUAUUGUCCAAAUUAGCAAACGACACACUGCCACUAUAAAUUAGCACACAUUCCUACAGAGUCAGUGUUGGGGACUUGUUCUCAAAUGCUAUGAAUUAAGAACAAGGCAACAUAAAAUGUUAAAUAUUAAUGUCCUUCGUCCGCUGAAACAUUAUUUCCCCAAGGAUUUAAUGAACUUCGGACGAAGGUUAUAAUGACACAAUUACGAAGGUUAUAUCUUCGUAAUUGAGCUCUCAAAGAUAAUAUAAAAUAACACGAGACAUAAAGCAUUAAAGUUAAGUAAAUUAAAAGCAAACAACAUCAUUUACAUAUAUAUAAACUUAAGAUAUUCAAAUAUAAUGUUUAGGUACAUUUAUACCUCUGCCUUGGCAAAGAAUAAUUUCUGAGUGACGUGAUUGCAAUUACAGGAAUGCGUGAACAGUAAAGGAAUACUGUUCACUAUUUAUAGGCACAGGACACAGCCUGUGAGCAAUUACAAUCAUACCCCUCAUAAAAGUUUACAACAAUGACUCAAACUCUUAUGGGCUAAAAUGUCAUUCUAUCUUUAAGUCGGUUUGUAAUUCCGAAGCUUCAUGAACGGCACCCUUCGGCAUCACGUACAGACAGCUUCAGCCGAAGCUGUUUCUUCCUGCAGGACCUUCGGCGACGAAGCAUGGUCCCAACAGUAGCCCCUUCGCGGUGCUAGAUCGUUUUUCGCAACGAGCUUGAUCCGUGAAAAAAGUCUCUUAGGCUUCGGGAAGCCGAAGGUCCGAAAAACACCUUCCCUGAGCUCGUUGUCGAGAAACGAUACAGUUUCCGAGCGCGUAGCGGUCCCACCAUGCAGGUUCAUUAUUUUGGUCUUUGCGGCCCACCGCGCAGCGGGUGCGAGCAGCUGUUUGCCUGGUGUAAAAAUCCUGACGAUUCACCUUCUUACCUGCAGCACUAUAUAAACAGACAGGUAGGUGUGAAGUUACCACAACAUUCAUUGCUAUUGCACUGUUUUGCUGCCAAAAAAUUUAACCAUAGCCGAAGCUUGACUCUCGUAUUCAGACGAAGCUUUAGUUUGGUGCCUACUUCGUCAGAAGAAAAGCUUCGCGAGAAAAGGUUAUUUAAUUCCCAAGAAAUCUUUCAAGAAAUUCAAAAUUAAAUGGCCAGAGUGCGCUCUACUGCUAGAGUUGAGCGUGAGGGAGACGAAGCCGAAGGUGCGGAGACUGUUCCUAUCUCUGAAGCAAUGCAACGAUCCGGAUUAGUGACCUCGGAAAGAAUCCCCACUGCCGAAACAGAACAAGCUGUUGCCGAAGCGGAACAAGGAGAUAUUGAGGAAGCUGAUUCUGACGAUGAUUACCAUAUCGCAGUACCGAGCAAGCCUAGCCAUUUGGACUUCGGAAAGUCGACUAUCUCCAAGGCUGAUUUUUCCAAAAUGGUGAAGUCGGGCUAUUUCAGUGAAGAUGAGAAGAAACUGAUUCGCUUCGGGGGAGAAGAAAACUACCCCGAAGCCAGAAAAGGAUGAAAUAGUUAUUUUCAAGAGUUUUCUAAAAGCUGGGUUGAGAUUUCCUUUAAAUAGAAUGAUUUCUGAUGUGCUGCAAAAGUUUGGGAUCUAUUUUCACCAACUGACUCCUAACGCCAUUGUCAGGCUUAGCGUUUAUAUCUGGGCUCUCCGAAGCCAGGCGGUGGAGCCGUUUGCCGCAGCUUCUGUCGGGUACAUGAGCUGCAUUACCAGACUAAGGCCAGAAAGGAUGGAUUGCAUGAAAAUUUUGGUUGUUAUAAUUUUGCCUAUCGGAAAACCACAAAAAUUCCUGUGAUUAGCUACUGAAGCAAAUGGCCGACAGGCUGGAAGUCAGAAUGGUUUUAUGUCAAAGUUGACGAUGACAAAGAGAAGCUGGUACAGAGCCCUCUUGAACUGAUCUUCGGAGAAACCAGACCCCGAUGCAAUAUGGCAGCAGAAGGUCCAACUUGGACUGCACUGGCUGAAUUCAAAAUUAUUGCAGAACACAUUGGCACUAGAGAUUUAGUGCAGGAAUUUCUGGCCUUCAGAGUAUUUCCAACUAUGAAGGAGUGGACUAUUCCAAAGCUUAAAGGAGAAAAGAUAGAGGGGGAGCUUGUCCGACUACCCUAUUAUUAUAAGUUUAAGAAAUAUUUUAAAGCACCCUGCCAAGAAUGGCUCGAUACAAUCGAAGUAAUGAGUAAUGAAAUUCUUGGAAAUUACUCCAAAAAAGAGGACCAGCUGAUGACAGCAGCCUUCGGCACUCGACCGAAGCGAAGGUUGAACAAGGUGCUUGAUGCUAUAGGAUUUGAAUAUGCUGAUUAUGGUCGACUGAGCGGAGAUGCUGGAGGCCCGAAGCGAAAAAGAAUUGCCAGCGCUGCUGACGAAGAGGUCGCCAAGGUAGCCAAAAAGAAAAGGGAAGAUUCUGAAAAACUUAGCCCUGAAGAGUUGAACCCUGAACCGAAGGUGGCCACUGCAAGAAAGAGGAAAACUGCAUCUCCAGAACCAAAAACGUUGGUUCGAGAAGAAGGUACUCCUACAACGCCUUCUGCUGUUGAAGUAGAAGAGAUUAUGAAGGUAAUGACUGAACCCUUGCCUGUCAAGCUAAGUCCGCUGGCGCUGGAACUGACGAAGUUUUUUCAGAAGGACAAGGCAGCUUCGGCAGAAGAAGGUCCUGCACUGCCGAAAAAACGAAGGAUUAUUCAAAUAGCAGAUGUAAAUCAUGGGACACCGUCACCGACACCGGCGUCAAGAAUUGUUGUUGACCAGACUGCCGAAACCGCCGAAGCUAAAGGCGCCGCAGCCGAAGCCACCAGAGCGGAAACCUUCGAAGCUGAAACUGGCGCAGCCGAAGCUGCCGGGGCUGAGACCGGGGCCACAGAAGAUCCGAACCUGGAAGAGACACUUGAAGUUAUUGAUAACAUACUCCUAAAAAUGACUGAGGAAGAAUCUGUUGUGGCCGCGGCGAGCACAGCUACUGAAAAGGGGAAAAAGCAGGCUGAAGACAUUUUGGAGGAAGAAGAUUUUGAAUUUCAAGAUUUACUUGGGCAAGAACUGACAGACGCUGAAAAAGCUGAGCUUAAAAAAUGUGCCAUAGCCUGCGGAUAUAAACCAGGGGCUACACUGUUCGGUGGGGUUAACGAAGGAAAGCUAAGGUGCCUUCGAAACCGCAGCGAAGCUAAAAUUGUUAGAACUCUCUGCAAAAACAUUGGCUUGCCGAAGCUAGAAGCGGACCUCUGCCGUUACCAACGACACCAUAUCGCCGGAAGCUUGCUUUAUGCUAACUUUAAGGUAACAAAUAUUUUUGUUUUUUUUAUUAUUAUUACCUUUUAGGUCGUUUUCUAACGGAGAUCGUUUUGACAGAGCAUAUUAUUAAGUAAGGUUCUAAAAAUGCAACAAGAUCUCGAAGAAGAGAAGAACAAAGUCGUCGUCCAAGAUUUGGCUGAAAAAGUUGAAAAUUACGAAGCUAAUCUGAAAAAGAAAGACUUCACCAUCCAGGACCUUGAAAUCAUGGUUAAAGAGCACGAAGGUGCAUUAGAAAAGAAAGAUUUUGUUAUUCAGACUAUGGAGGGUUCUUUGGCUGAAGUCCAAACUAAGAAUAACAGCUUAAAGAAUGAAUUGCUCCAACAGUCAGAAAAAUUUGAGCAAGAAAAGAAAUAUCUUGAAGCAAGCCUGAAAACUGAGGUGGAUAAAAAUUCAAAUUUGCAGAAAUCCUUUAAAGAACUUCAAGAGAAAUGCCUAAGCUUCGGCAGCCGAUGCGUGCAGCGGCUGAAGGAUGUGUUUCAUUCUGUCGGAGCCAGCUCUGCAAAAUUUACACCUUCAGCUAAAAAUCUGCCCAGCACAUUAGAAUAUAUUGAAGGCGAGGUUGAUGCCCUUGACGAAGUUAUUGGUGGGCAUGCCGACUUCUGCGCCCUGGUAGCUUCUCGGGGCACAGCCACCGCUUUUCUGAAGGCUGGCUGUACGCAUGGAAAUAUUGUGAAUAGACCAAACUUCAGCUUAUCAGCAUCAGAUCUGAUAGAUAUCCCAAGCCUAGCCCGAAGCAUUGGAAAUAGAUUCAUGACCCAGAUCUGGGUAAGUGGUGGGCGAAAAAUGGCGGGUGACGAAGCUCGAAGUCAUCUUAAGCCGGUAAGAAACUUAUAUUUGUUACUUUUACCUUCUCCUUGAAAUUUGCACCUUUCUUAUUCUGCUGUUUGAUAUACGCAGGAUGAUGAAGCUGAAGAGUGACGAAGCUGAAGUUUGACGAAGCCUAGCCUGAAGCUUGAUAGUUGUUUACAAUAUACUUUCCUGCAAAAAUUCUGAAGAAACUUUUGUAAUAUAGUUAUGGAACAACUUAUGUAAAUUUGUACAUACCUUGUAAUAUAUUUUGUUUCUGCUAUCUGUGUACAAUCUGCUUUGCUGUGGACGAAACUUCUCUUUUGAGCCAAAGGCGAAAAACACCUUCCCUUCUUUUCGUACACAACGAAGCAUAAAAUUUUCCUUCGAAGUUUUUCCUCAUUGCUGAAGCACCUGUCUUUUUUGUGUGGUAUGAUGAUGAUUCUAUAUAUGUCUAAAUGAAUGUUUAUGAAUGCAAAUGACAUGAUGAAAUGUAUUGUGCAAAUGAAUAUUGGGACACGUUCAAAAAACCAUAAACACAACCCUUCAUCCCCUUAGGAAUGAUUCAAAUCUUUUUGUCGUUUACUUUUCGGCUUCACCGUUUACUUUUCGGUGUAUCAGCAUUGACUUUUCGCUGUAAGCCUCCCUUGGGAGCUUCUUCGCCUUUUACUUUCAGCGGAAUCAAUGUUUAUUUUUCGCUGUAAGCCUCCCUUAGGAGCUUCUUUGCCUUUUACUUUCGGCGGAAUCAGCGUUUAUUUUUCGUUGUAAGCUCUGCAUUCCCUUAGGAACGACUUUUGAGCUUCUCCCUGUUUCCUUUUCUUUUUUCCUUUGCAUUUACAUUUACAUUUUUUGGGGGAUAUCACUCUCAUAGAAUUGAAAUAAGGAAAAUUACAUAUUGUGGCCCCAUUAAAAACCUUUCUCCCCCUUUGGAAAGGAAAAGGGUGCCACAAAAAAGAAUAGAAAAAAUUACAUCAAGCUAAACAUAAUAUCGCCGAAGCUCAUCUGCAUUCCAUGAUCUUGGAAUGUCGUUGCCAUCCAUAUCCUUCAAUCUAUAGGAACCGGGUCUUGACGAAGAUACUACCAAAAAGGAGCCUUCCCACUUCAGCUGUAAUUUGCCUACUGUCUCAGGGUUGGCUACUCUUCGAAGCACCAAAUGUCCUGGUUUAAUGUUUUUCAGCUUAACUUUUCUGUCACGCCAUUUUAUUGUUUCGGCUUGAUACUUAUUAAUGUUUUCCACGGCUUGAAGUCUGAACCCUUCAAUAGCAUCUUUUUCUACAGAGCAAUCAGCUUCAUUUUCGCCUUCUGCCGAAGCUACUGUCCUUAUUGAUCCUGCUUUGGCCUCUUCUGGGGUUAUUGCUUCGUCACCGAACAAUAGUUUAAAGGGCGUAAAGUCUGUUGACCUUGACAUAGUUGUGUUAUGGCUCCACACCACUUUGAUUAACUCGUCUGGCCACUUUUCCUGGGCUGAUUGAAGAUUGACUUCAUUAUUCCUGUCAUUAUGAUCCCAUUAGCUCUUUCGACAAGUCCAUUUGACUCUGGGUGUCGGACUGAUGCAAAAUGGAUCUUCGUGCCAAUUUGAUCGCAAAAUUCUCUGAAGGCUUCAGAAUCAAACUGUGUCCCAUUGUCCACAGUAAUAGCCUUCGGCACUCCGAAGCGACAAACAAUGUUUUGCCAGAAAAACUUUUGAAUAGUAAAUGAAGUUAUUGUGGCUAAGGGCUUUGCCUCAAUCCACUUGGAAAAAUAUUCCACUGCCACUACUACAUAUCUUAGGUUCCCCUGUGCUGGUGGUAAUGGGCCUAGUAAAUCGAGGCCCCACCUUUACAACGGCCAAGUGGGUUGUAUUAAUUGGGUUAAAGACGAAGGUUGUUUUUGAUCUUUUGCACAUUUCUGACAACCUUCGCACUUUUGGACCAGAUCCGCUGCAUCCGAAGCUGCCUUUGGCCAAUAAAAUCCUUGGUGAAAAACUUUCCCAAGCAAGGGCCUAGAUCCAAUGUGAGAUCCACACAGGCCUGCAUGUAUUUCCUUCAUUAAUUCUAUACCUUCGGAUCUGGAUAAACACUUGAGCAAUGGGGAACAGACCCCACGCUUGUAUAACUCCCCUUCUAUUAUGACAUAUGGUCGAGCUCUUGCUUCUAUUCUCCUGUUAUAAGCUUCGUCGUCUGAAAGAAAAUUACCCUGAAGGAAAGAGAUGAUCUCAGUUCUCCAAUCUUCGCUAUAAACAGGGGAUAUGUUAAGGAUUGCUCUUUCAAGAAGCUCGACCGAAGGUGCUUUUAUUGUUUCGAAAAAUACUUCCGAAGGUAUAGGCAGCCCCUGGGCUGCUGACUUGGCCAAUAGAUCAGCAUAUUCAUUUUCUCCACGAGGAAUAUUUUUGACAGAGAAACCUUCGAAGGAAGCCUCAAUCCUUCGGACUGUAUCCAGAUAUUUUUCAAGCUUCGGGUCUCUUGCUUUAUAGCUCUUGUCAACAUGACCAGAAAUAACUUGAGAAUCAGUUUUAAGAAUGACCCUUCUGAUUCCCAUUGCCUUUAACUUCCGAAGACCCAAGAGCAGAGCUUCAUACUCAGCGAUAUUAUUUGUGCAACUAAAAUCAAGUCUUGCCGCAUAACAAGUUUUAACUUUGGAUGGUGAAACCAACACAGAAGCCGCUCCUACUCCGAAGGUUCCCCAAGACCCAUCGCAAAACACUGUCCAUGCUUCGGCAUCUUUAUUUGUUUCUUCCUCCUGAGCCCCUGGCGUCCAGUCAGCAAUGAAGUCUGCCAACGCUUGGGACUGAAUCGAAGAUCUAUGGACAUAAUCAAUACAAAAUUCAUUGAGCUCUGCAGCCCAUUUUCCAAUCCUUCCAGUAGCUUCUCGGUUUCUCAUAAUAUCCUUCAGAGGUUGCGAAUAAGGAACAAUUAUGUUGUAAGCUUGAAAAUAAUGCCGAAGCUUCCUAGAGGCCAUCAAAACAGCAUACAGUACCUUCUCCAAUUCUGUAUAAUUUUUCUUUGAUAAACUAAGAACCUCGGAUGCAAAAUAUAUUGGGGCCUGCCUCUUAACUUGGCCUUCAAGCUUCUCCUGGACAAGUGCUGCACUUACCACUGAGUGCGAAGCUGCCACAUAUAAUAACAAAGGAGCCCCUGGCGUUGGUGGAGUUAAUGUUGUUAAAUCUAUCAAAUAUUGCUUCAGUUCUUCGAAGGCUCUCUGUUGGACUGGUCCCCAUUAAAAAACUUUGGCUGACUUCAGCACUUCGAAAAAUGGUAGAUUUCUCUCUGCUGAUCUAGAUAUGAAUCUGUUGAGAGAUGCCAGCCUUCCCGUCAAUCUUUGGGCCCCCUUCUUUGUACUUGGUGGUUCCAUUCGAAGUAUAGCUUCGAUUUUGCUUGGAUUAGCCUCAAUUCCCUUUGUUGAAACUAAGCAACCAAGAAAUUUCCCCUUCUUUACUCUGAAGACACAUUUUUCUGGAUUCAGCUUUAAGCCAGCCUGUCUAAAAUUAGCGAAGGUCUCCUGCAGAUCAGCAAUGUGGUUAUCUUGCUUCGUGCUUUUUACAAUGAUAUCAUCAACAUAAGUUAGCACAUUCCUGCCUAUCUGAGAAUGGAGAACCUUUGUUGUCAUUCUGCUGAAGCUUCCUCCAGCAUUUUUAAGCCCCUCAGGCAUCCGAACGUAACAAUAUGUCCCACUAGGGGUUAUGAAGCUGGUUUUCGGUUCAUCCUCCUUCUUCAUCCAGAUUUGAUGAUAGCCUGAAUAGCAAUCCAGCAAACUCAUAAGCUCUGAUGAAGCUGCUGCAUCGACUAAGGAAUCUAUCCUUGGCAAUGGAAACUCGUCCUUCGGACAGGCCUUAUUGAGAUCAGUAAAAUCGAUACACAUUCUCCAUUUACCAUUGGCCUUCUUCACCAUAACAGUGUUAGCCAACCAUUCUGGGUAUUUUACCUCUCUAAUAACUCCGGCACUGAGGAGUCUUUUCACUUCAUUCCGAGCACCUUCGGCCUUGUUAUCAGACAUCUUCCGAAGCCUCUGCUUUCUGGGUCUGAAGGAUGGAUCAACAUUGAGCGAGUGCUCAAUAACAUCCCUGUUAACUCCACAAAGAUCAUUAGAGCAUCUCCAACAACGUGACCUAUAAAAAUGCUUUAUAAUUUGAAAAUAAGUAUAUUUUAUAGAAUUUAGGGCACCAACAAAACACACCGCUCCAACGGUAAAGCCCCAAAUCUAGAUUAUAGGGCAGUCCACUACGGUGUAGUAUAUUUGAGUCACUUGAGAGGGUGCCCUAUAGUUUUUUGACAAAAUUUUAUGAAAUGGGGCACUGUUGGAGUAGUUUUUCCUGUGUAGAGCCCCAUAUUUCAAUUUGAGGCACUAGUUUGAGGCAUUGUUGGAGAUGCUCUUAGCUGACCAAGCAAAAACAUCUUUAUUGUUGAACAAAAACCUUAUCAAGGUUUUCUCCUGCUCUUCGGACAAUUGAGAUCCCAAUAGCACCUUCUGCUCUGCUAUAUCCUCAAAUAAGAGCAUGGGCUUCGGCUGAUCAGCCGAAGCAGCCUUUUCCCUUCUGAACUUGUAUUGCUCACAAGCUUCAGUUCCAUCUAUAUUAUGGAUUGCUUUUGAGUCUGUCCAAUUUCCUUCGGCCCUUCUGGCAGCUUCCUGACUUCCAUGAAUAGCAAUGGACCCUUGGUCCGAAGGUAUCUUCAUGCAAAGAUAAGCUGGAUGAAGAAUUGCUUCGAAGGCAUUGAGAGUACCACGACCAAUGAUUGCAUUGUAAGGGUAUUCCAUGUCAACAAUAUCAAACACAACUUGUUCAGUCCUUGUGUUGUUGAUAAAUCCGAAGGUCACUGGCAUUGAGAUUUUGCCGAGUGCUACAAUCUGCCUUCCUCCGAAGCCGCAAAGGGGAUGUGUGGCAUCAAGAAUUUUAUCUUCGGGUUCUUGCAUCUGUCUGAAGGCCUUAGCAAAUAUGAUAUCAGCUGCACUGCCUGUAUCAACCAAAACAUUGUGGACCAGAAAUCCUUUGAUAACACAAGAGAUAACCAUAGCAUCGUUGUGUGGGUAAUCCUUGAGUUGAAGAUCCUCUUGGGCGAAGGUAAUAGGAAUAUGAGACCAUCUUGACUUGAUGAAGGGUCCUUGCACCCCGACGUGCUGUACCCUUCUCUGUGCCUCCUUCUUCUGCUUCUUGUUGGCUAGCUCUGAGCAUGAACCGCCUGUUAUCGGGAGUACCAGCUUCGGAGCCGAAGCAGCUCCAGCUUGAAUGUUGAACGAAGCCAUCAGCUCAAAAAAGUGGAAGUGAGUUCACCGGAGGUGGGCGCCAAUGUUGGGGACUUGUUCUCAAAUGCUAUGAAUUAAGAACAAGGCAACAUAAAAUGUUAAAUAUUAAUGUCCUUCGUCCGCUAAAAUAUUAUUUCCCCAAGAAUUUAAUGAACUUCGGACGAAGGUUAUAAUGACACAAUUACGAAGGUUAUAUCUUCGUAAUUGAGCUCUCAAAGAUAAUAUAAAAUAACACGAGACAUAAAGCAUUAAAGUUAAGUAAAUUAAAAGCAAACAACAUCAUUUACAUAUAUAUAAACUUAAGAUAUUCAAAUAUAAUGUUUAGGUACAUUUAUACCUCUGCCUUGGCAAAGAAUAAUUUCCGAGUGACGUGAUUGCAAUUACAGGAAUGCGUGAACAGUAAAGGAAUACUGUUCACUAUUUAUAGGCACAGGACACAGCCUGUGAGCAAUUACAAUCAUACCCCUCAUAAAAGUUUACAACAAUGACUCAAACUCUUAUGGACUAAAAGGUCAUUCUAUCUUUAAGUCGGUUUGUAAUUCCGAAGCUUCAUGAACGACACCCUUCGACAUCACGUACAGACAGCUUCAGCCGAAGCUGUUUCUUCCUGCAGGACCUUCGGCGACGAAGCAUGGUCCCAACAGUCAGUAAUUGGAUUCGCAUGAAGUUUGGAACAAAAAAAUAGAAAUUAGUAAAUGUUCUUACGCAUUCCUAUACACACAAGUUUGGAACAAAAAUGUUUUAGAAAAAAUAGAAAUUACAAAAAACAUAGUAACAACUGAUUAGUACUCGACCAAAUGAGUGUUUCACGAAACUAACAUAUUAUUGAUGCAGUAAUCGACCAAUCGAGUGUGCCACUAUUUAGCUUAGAGUACUUUUAAUUUAUGCAGUUGUAGAAAUUUAGCAAAAAAAUGAAUCAACUCAUUUUUUGGCUAGGUCAGGCCCUGCUGAUCCAUUUGCAUUGGUGAUUGUUUGGUUCCUAACAAACAGAGUAAGCAAAAAUAAUACCACACAAAAGUGUAGAGUCGAGCCUCAUGGCAUACCUUGGUCGACGCCUACGCGGUUGAGCAAUAUAAGAUAUCCUUCCUCUCCGGCAGCGGGGCAAGCUCCUUCUCCUUCGGCUCCUUACUCUCCAGUGGCGGGGGCGGGGGAAUGUAGGGGACAGAGGAUUGAGCAGGGGUAUGCAGAAUGGGAUAUGGUUAGUGGCUCCCGGAUGAGGAUGUUGGCAUGGGAUGUGGGGAUAUGUUAGCGUGGAAGUCGAGGGUGUUUGUCCUCCGCCAUCGCCGCGCAACGGAUUGGGCGCUAUCUCUACUGGAAUCUCAGGGGAGGAGUGAGAGCACCUAGAGGGGGGGGGGUGAAUAGGUGAUCCUGCAAAAUUCAAUACUAAAUUGCCACAAGCUUGGUUAUAAAUAUUUUAGUGCAAUAGAACCAAGUGGCUAUAGAGCGAGCUCUUGCGAAUCACAAUAAUCACAGAGAAAGACAACACAAGAGACACAGUGGUUUAUCGCGUGGUUCGGCCAAGUAUAACACUUGCCUACCUCCACGUUGUGGCGUCCCAAUGGACAAGGGUUGCACUCAACCCCUUUCAAGUGAUUCGAUGAUCAACUUGAAUACCACGACUUUUCUUUGCUUAUCUCUUUUCCCCGUUUGCGAGGAAUCUCCACAAGCUGGAGUCUCUUGCUCUUACAACAAAGAUCACAAUGAAAGCACGGAGUAAGGUUGGGAAGAGCAACACACACUAGAAUUAAAUCCACACUGCAAACACGCACACAAGUGAGAAAAUGAGCACACAAAACACGCGCGGGGAGUUUACAACUCGAAAAGUGCUCCAAUCUCAAGAACGAUGAACGAUUGCGUGAAAAUGAGGACUAGAAGUCUUGGAAUGCUUAGAGUGUGCUUGGGUGACUCCUCCAUGCGCCUAGGGGUCCCUUUUAUAGCCCUAAGGCAGCUAGGAGCCGUUGGAGGCCAAUAAGGAAGGUUAUCCUUGCCUUCUGUCGGGUGGCGCACCGGACAGUCCGGUGCACCACCGGACAGCCACUGUUCAUGUCCGGUGCGCGAUUUCCUUCCAAUUCUGGUGCAGCCGACUGUUGCAGAUUCGUGGCAGUUAGCGCACCAGACAGUCCGGUGCCCCUGCCGACCGUUGGCGCGGGCCACACGUCGCCCAUGGAUUGUGCGGCCGACCGUUGCGCUGGCGGCCGUUGGCUCACCGGACAGUCUGGUGCACCACCAGACAGUCCGGUGAAUUAUAGUCGUACGCCGCCAAACAUUCCCGAGAGUGGUCAGUUCACCGAAAGCCAACCUGGCGCACCGGACACUGUCUGAUGCACCACCAGACAGUCUGGUGCACCACCGGACAGUCCGGUGUGCCAGACUGAGCUGAGUAUUGGCUGCUCAGAGCCAAGUCCUUUUCUCCUUCUUUUUUCUCUGUUUCUAGCACUUAGACAAAAUAUGUUAGUACUCAAACCAAUGUACUAAGUCUAGAAACAUACCUUGUUACAUGAUUUGCACUUUUUGCUUGUUUGACACAUAACCAACUCACUUAGUAUGUGUUGGACACUUAAUCACCAAAAUAUAAUAGAAAUGGCCCAAGGGCACAUUUCCCUUUCAAUCUCCCCCUUUUUGGUGAUUUAUGCCAACACAUCAAAAAGCAAUGCAAAACAUGCAACAUCGAUUCAAAUUGAAGACCAAAUUGUUUUUGAUUCUGAUUUGGCAUAUUUGGAUCCUUCUUUGUCACCACUUGGUUUGUUUUUGCAAAUCAAAUUCAUUUUCCUAUCUCUAAGUCAAACACACUUGUUUUAGGCACAGGAGAGAUAUUCUAAUGAAAAAAAUGAUCAAGUACCAGAAACCCCCCUUUUUCCCAUAAUCAUAAAAUCUCCCCACAAGAGACCAAAUUUUGUAAUAGGAGUAUUUUGACAAAUCAAAAGUUCUAACUCAAUUGUUUUCGAAAAAUUCUCAAGUGGUAGCUGAUCCAUUUGCUUUGGCCUUAACUUCUCCCCCUUUGGUAUUAAGCACCAAAACGGGAUCAUUAGUGGCCCUUUAACCCCAUUGCCUCACCAAAAAAUGUCAAUUAAGAGCAAAAAGGCAAUAAGAGCAUAAGAAUGAACUUGGAGGUGAGUACACUAAUACCGGAGUGCAGUGGAAGUCUUUGCAUGGUCCAAGUUCACCUUUCCCUUUCAAUCCACCUUUGAGACUAUAUCAAACACACUUAAACACAAAGGUUAGCCUUCAAAGGGUCAAGUUGUAGCACUUCUCCCCCUAGAUAUGUGCAUCAUUUUCACAUGGACUUGUGAGGUCCAGGGAUCCCUUGCACAACUUGAGCACCAAGAGUAAGCAACAAAUUGCAUAAAUGUAACAUGAUCAAAGGCAUAAAACACAUGUAUGCUAUAAAUCAAUCCAAGUUACGCGAAUCUAAGACAUUUAGCUCACUACGCAGCCUGCAAAAGGUUUUCUCAUCUAAAGGCUUGGUAAAGAUAUCGGCUAGCUGAUUCUCGGUGCUAAUAUAGAACUGAAAGGGAAGUAGGCUUACACCUAGUUCCUAAAUAAUUUUGGUGGUUGAAUUGCCCAACCCAAAUAAUUGGACUAACUAGUUUGCUCUAGUGUAUAAGUUAUACAGGUGUCAAAGGUUCACAACAAGCCAAUUAAAAAGACCAAAGUUAGGUUCAAAAUAGAGAGCCAAAGGCAUCCCGAAAGGCUCCCUGGUCUGGCGCACCGGACUGUGUCCUCAGCCUCGGGAUUUUCCUGAAGCCGGCGCGCUAUAAUUCACCGGACUGUCCGGUGUACACCGGACAGUGUCCGGUGCUCCAAGAGGACACUGUUGUCAAAGGUUCACAACAGUGUCCGGUGCACCAGGGGACCUCGCGCAGAACUCCUCAGCCUCGGGAUUUUCCUGAAGCCGACGCGCUAUAAUUCACCGGACUGUCCGGUGUACACCGGACAGUGUCCGGUGCUCCAAGAGGACGCGGCUUUGGAACUUGGCAGCCUCGGGAAUUUGCAGCGGUUGCUCCGCUAUAAUUCACCGGACAUGUCCGGUGUACACCGGACUGUCCGGUGCAACUCCGGAGCAACGGCUACUUCGCGCCAACGGUCACCUGCAGGCGCAUUCAAUGCGCGCCAGAAGCGCGCAGAAGUCAGGCACGCCCAUACUGGCGCACCGGACAUUGAACAGUACAUGUCCGGUGUGCACCGGACAUCCAGGCGGGCCCAGAAGACAGAAGCUCCAACGGUCGGAAUCCAACGGCAUUGGUGACGUGGCUGGCGCACCGGACUGUCCGGUGCACCAUAUGACAGACAGCCUCCACCAACGGUCAUGUUUGGUGGUUGGGGCUAUAAAUACCCCAACCACCCCACCAUUCAUUGCAUCCAAGUUUUCCAGCUUCCAACCACUAUACAAGAGCUAGCAUUCAUUGCAAAGCACACCAAAAGAGAUCAAAUCCUCUCCCAACUCCAUACAAAGCCUUAGUGACUAAAGAGAGUGAUUUGUAGUGUUCAUUUGAGCUCUUGCGCUUGGAUCGCUUCUUUUCUUUGGCAUUCUUUCUUGUGAUCAAACACUCAUUUGUAAUUGAGGCAAGAGACACCAAUUGUGUGGUGGUCCUUGCAGGAAGUUUGAUUCCCAAGUGAUUUGAGAAGAGAAGCUCACUCGGUCCGAGGGACCGUUUGAGAGAGGAAAAGGGUUGAAAAAGACCCGACCUUUGUGGCCUCCUCAACGGGGAGUAGGUUUGCAAGAACCAAACCUCGGUAAAACAAAUCCUUGUGUCUCACCGCUUUACUCGCUUGCGAUUUGUUUUACACCCUCUCGCGAACUCGGUUUUAUUUCUAACGCUAACCCGACUUGUAGUUGUGUUUAUAUUUGUAAAUUUUAGUUUCGCCCUAUUCACCCCCCUCUAGGCGACUAUCAAUUGGUAUCAGAGCCCGGUGCUUCAUUAGAGCCUAACUGCUCAAAGUGAUGUCGGGAGAUCACGCCAAGAAGGAGAUGGAGACCGGCGAAAAGCCCACUACAAGCCACGGGAGCACUUCAUCAGAAGAGUCUCGCACCAAGAGGAAGGAGAAGAAAGACUCCUCCAAAGGGAAGGAGAAGAAGAAGGACUCCUCCAAGGGAAAGGAGAAGAAAUCUUCUUCACACAAAGAAAAGAAGGAGAAAUCUUCCUCCCACAAGCCGCAACGGAGUGGGGACAAGAAAAAGAGGAUGAGGAAAGUGGUCUACUACGAGACCGAUUCUUCAUCGACAUCCACCUCCGGCUCCGACGCGGCGUCAGUCACUUCUAAACGCCAAGAGCGUAAGAAGUAUAGUAAGAUUCCCCUACGCUACCCUCGCAUAUCUAAACAUACACCUUUACUUUUCGUCCCAUUAGGCAAACCACCAACUUUUGAUGGUGAAGAUUAUGCUAGGUGGAGUGAUUUAAUGUGAUUUCAUCUAACCUCACUCCACAAAAGUAUAUGGGAUGUUAUUGAGUUUGGUGCACAGGUACCAUCCGUAGGGGAUGAAGACUAUGAUGAGGAUGAGGUGGCCCAAAUCGAGCACUUCAACUCCCAAGCCACAACCAUACUCCUUGCCUCUCUAAGUAGAGAGGAAUAUAACAAGGUGCAAGGGUUGAAGAGUGCAAAGGAGAUUUGGGACUUACUCAAGACCGCGCACGAGGGUGAUGAACUCACCAAGAUCACCAAGCGGGAAACGAUCGAGGGGAAGCUCGGUCGCUUCCGUCUUCGCCAAGGGGAGGAGCCACAAGACAUGUACAACCGGCUCAAAACCUUGGUGAACCAAGUGCGCAACCUCGGGAGCAAAAAGUGGGAUGACCACGAGGUGGUUAAGGUUAUUCUAAGAUCUCUUAUUUUCCUUAACCCUACUCAAGUUCAAUUAAUCCGUGGCAACCCAAGAUAUACACAAAUGACUCCCGAGGAAGUAAUCGGGAAUUUUGUGAGCUUUGAAUGUAUGAAGAUCAACGAGCUUGAUGAUCCCUCCACGUCCGAAGCACAACCGGUGGCAUUCAAGGCGACGGAGGAGAAGAAAGAGGAGUCUACACCAAGUAGACAACCAAUCGACGCUUCAAAGCUCGACAACGAGGAGAUGGCUUUAAUCAUCAAAAGCUUUCGCCAAAUCCUCAAGCAACGGAAGGGGAAGGAUUACAAAUCCCGUUCCAAGAAGGUUUGCUACAAGUGUGGUAAGCCCGGUCACUUUAUUGCUAAAUGUUCAUUAUCAAGUGACAGUGACAGGGAUAACGACAAGAAGGGCAAGAGGAGAGAAAAGAAGAGGCACUACAAGAAGAAGGGCGGCGAUGCCCAUGUUUGUCGGGAGUGGGACUCCGACGAAAGCUCUAGCGACUCCUCCGAUGACGAGGACGCCGCCAACAUCGCCGUCACCAAGGGACUCCUCUUCCCCAACGUCGGCCACAAGUGCCUCAUGGCAAAGGACGGCAAGAGGAAGAAGGUUAAAUCCAAAUCAUCCACUAAAUAUGAGUCUUCUAGUGAUGAUAAUGCUAGUAAUGAGGAGGAUAACUUGCGUACCCUUUUUGCCAACCUUAACAUGGAACAAAAGGAAAAAUUAAAUGAAUUAAUUAGCGCUAUUCAUGAAAAGGAUGACCUUUUGGAUUCCCAAGAGGACUUCCUAAUUAAGGAAAAUAAGAAACAUGUUAAGGUUAAAAAUGCUUAUGCUUUAGAAAUAGAAAAUUGUAAAAAUUAUCUAGUGAGCUAAGCACAUGCUAUGACACUAUUGCCAACCUUAGAAAUGAAAAUGCUAAUUUAUUAGCUAAGGUUGAUUCUCAUGUUUGUAAUGUUUCAACUUCCAAUUCUAGAGAUGAUAAUGAUGAUUUACUUGCUAGGAUUGAAGAAUUGAACAUUUCGCUUGCUAGCCUUAGAAAUGAAAAUGUAAAAUUGCUUGCUAAGGCUAAAGAUUUUGAUGUUUGCAAUGCUACUAUUUCCGACCUUAGAACUAAGAAUGAUAUGUUACAUGCUAAGGUUGUAGAAUUAAAAUCUUGCAAACCCUCUACAUUUACCGUUGAGCAUACUACCAUUUGUACUAGAUGUAGAGAUGUUAACAUUGAUGCUAUACAUGAUCACAUGGCUUUAAUUAAACAACAAAAUGAUCAUAUAGCAAAAUUAGAUGCAAAAAUUGCCGAGCAUAACUUAGAAAAUGAAAAAUUUAAAUUUGCUAGAAGUAUGCUCUAUAGUGGGAGACGCCCUGGCAUCAAGGAUGGCAUUGGCUUCCAAAGAGGAGACAAUGUCAAACUUAAUGCCCCUCCUAAAAGAUUGUCUAAUUUUGUUAAGGGCAAGGCUCCCAUGCCUCAGGAUAACGAGGGUUACAUUUUAUACCCUGUCGGUUAUCCCGAGAACAAGAUUAGGAGAAUUCAUUCUAGGAAGUCUCACUCUGGCCCAAAUCAUACUUUUAUGUAUAAGGGUGAGACAUCUAGUUCUAGGCAACCAACCCGUGCUAAGUUGCCUAAGAAGAGAACUCCUAAUGCAUCAAAUGGACAUAGUCUUUCUUUUAAAUCUUUUGAUGCAUCUUAUGUUUUGACUAACAAAUCUGGCAAAGUAGUUGCCAAGUUUGUUGGGGGCAAAAACAAGGGCUCCAAGACUUGUGUUUGGGUACCCAAAGUUCUUGUUUCUAAUGCCAAAGGACCCAAAACCGUUUGGGUACCUAAAGUUAAGAACUAAAAUUGUUUUGUAGGUUUAUGCAUCCGGGGGCUCAAGUUGGAUCAUCGAUAGCGGGUGCACAAACCACAUGACAGGGGAGAAAAGGAUGUUCUCCUCCUACGAGAAAAACCAAGAUCCCCAACGAGCCAUUACAUUCGGGGAUGGAAAUCAAGGUUUAGUCAAAGGUCUUGGUAAAAUUGCUAUAUCUCCUAACCAUUCUAUUUCCAAUGUUUUUCUUGUAGAUUCACUAGAUUACAAUUUGCUUUCUAUAUCUCAAUUAUGCAAAAUGGGCUACAACUGUCUUUUCACUGAUGUAGGUGUCACUGUCUUUAGAAGAAGUGAUGAUUCAAUAGCAUUUAAGGGUGUGUUAGAGGGUCAGCUAUACUUAGUAGAUUUUGAUAGAGCUGAACUCGACACAUGCUUAAUUGCUAAGACUAACAUGGGUUGGCUCUGGCAUCGCCGACUAGCCCAUGUUGGGAUGAAGAAUCUUCAUAAGCUUCUAAAGAGAGAGCACAUUUUAGGACUAACCAAUGUUCAUUUUGAGAAAGACAGGAUUUGUAGCGCAUGCCAGGCAGGAAAGCAAGUUGGUGCCCAUCAUCCACACAAGAACAUCAUGACGACCGACAGGCCGCUUGAGCUACUCCACAUGGAUCUAUUCGGCCCGAUAGCUUACAUAAGCAUCGGCGGGAGUAAGUACUGUCUUGUAAUAGUGGAUGAUUAUUCUCGCUUCACUUGGGUGUUCUUUUUGCAGGAGAAAUCUCAAACCCAAGAAACCUUAAAGGGAUUCUUGAGACGAGCUCAAAACGAGUUCGGAUUAAGGAUCAAGAAAAUUAGAAGCGACAACGGGACGGAGUUCAAGAACUCUCAAAUCGAAGGCUUCCUUGAGGAGGAGGGCAUCAAGCAUGAGUUCUCUUCUCCCUACACGCCACAACAAAAUGGUGUAGUGGAGAGGAAGAAUUGAACUCUAUUGGACAUGGCUAGAACCAUGCUUGAUGAGUACAAGACUUCGGAUCGGUUUUGGGCCGAGGCGGUCAACAUCGCCUGCUACGCCAUCAACCGGUUAUAUCUUCACCGAAUCCUCAAGAAGACAUCGUAUGAACUCCUAACCGGUAAAAAGCCCAACAUUUCAUAUUUUAGAGUCUUUGGUAGCAAAUGCUUCAUUCUUGUUAAAAGAGGUAGAAAAUCUAAAUUUGCUCCUAAGACUGUAGAAGGCUUUUUACUAGGAUAUUAUUCAAACACAAGGGCAUAUAGAGUCUUUAACAAGUCCACUGGACAAGUUGAAGUUUCUUGUGACGUUGUGUUUGAUGAGACUAACGACUCUCAAGUAGAGCAAGUUGAUCUUGAUGAAAUAGGUAAUGAAGAGGCUCCAUACAUCGCGCUAAGGAACAUGUCCAUCGAGGAUGUGUGUCCUAAGGAAUCCGAAGAGCCUCCAAUUGCACAAGAUCAACCAUCCUCCUCCACGCAAGCAUCUCCACCGACUCAAAAUGAGGAUGAAGCUCAAGUUGAUAAAGUAGAAGAUCAAGCAAAUGAGCCACCUCAAGAUGACGACAAUGAUCAAGGGGGAGAUGCAAAUGAUCAAGACAAGGAGGAUGAAGAGCAAAGGCCGCCACACCCAAGAGUCCACCAAGCAAUCCAACGAGAUCACCCUGUCGACACCAUCCUCGGCGACAUUCAUAAGGGGGUAACUACUAGAUCUCGUGUUGCACAUUUUUGUGAGCAUUACUCUUUUGUUUCCUCUAUUGAGCCACACAGGGUAGAGGAAGCACUCCAAGAUUCGGAUUGGGUGGUGGCGAUGCAAGAAGAGCUCAACAACUUCACUAGGAAUGAGGUAUGGCAUUUAGUUCCACGUCCUAACCAAAAUGUUGUAGGAACCAAAUGGGUCUUCCGCAACAAGCAAGAUGAGCAUGGUGUGGUGACAAGGAACAAAGCUCGACUUGUGGCCAAGGGAUACUCCCAAGUCGAAGGUUUGGAUUUCGGUGAAACCUAUGCACCCGUAGCUAGGCUUGAGUCAAUUCGCAUAUUAUUGGCCUAUGCUACUUACCAUGGCUUUAAGCUUUACCAAAUGGACGUGAAAAGUGCCUUCCUCAAUGGACCAAUCAAGGAAGAGGUCUAUGUUGAGCAACCUCCCGGCUUUGAAGAUAGUGAGUAUCCUAACCAUGUCUAUAAACUCUCUAAGGCGCUUUAUGGGCUCAAGCAAGCCCCAAGAGCAUGGUAUGAAUGCCUUAGAGAUUUCCUUAUCGCUAAUGGCUUCAAAGUCGGAAAGGCCGAUCCUACUUUAUUCACGAAAACUCUUGAAAAUGACUUGUUCGUAUGCCAAAUUUAUGUUGAUGAUAUUAUAUUUGGGUCUACUAACGAGUCUACAUGUGAAGAAUUUAGUAGGAUCAUGACACAAAAGUUCGAGAUGUCUAUGAUGGGCAAGUUGAAGUAUUUCUUAGGAUUUCAAGUAAAGCAACUCCAAGAGGGCACCUUCCUAAGCCAAACCAAGUACACUCAAGACAUUCUAAGCAAGUUUGGAAUGAAGGAUGCCAAACCCAUCAAGACACCCAUGGGAACUAAUGGGCAUCUCGACCUUGACAUGGGAGGUAAGUCCGUGGAUCAAAAGGUAUACCGGUCGAUGAUAGGUUCUUUACUCUAUCUAUGUGCAUCUCGACCGGAUAUUAUGCUUUCCGUAUGCAUGUGUGCAAGAUUCCAAGCCGACCCUAAGGAAGCUCACCUUACGGCCGUAAAACGAAUCUUGAGAUAUUUGGCUUAUACUCCUAAGUUUGGGCUUUGGUAUCCUAGGGGAUCCACUUUUGAUUUAAUUGGUUAUUCAGAUGCCGAUUGGGCGGGGUGCAAAAUCAAUAGGAAGAGCACAUCGGGGACUUGCCAGUUCUUGGGAAGAUCCUUGGUGUCUUGGGCUUCAAAGAAGCAAAAUUCGGUCGCUCUUUCCACCGUCGAAGCCGAGUACAUUGCCGCAGGCCAUUGUUGCGCGCAAUUGCUUUGGAUGAGGCAAACCCUGCGGGACUACGGUUACAAAUUAACCAAAGUCCCUUUGCUAUGUGAUAAUGAGAGUGCAAUCAAGAUGGCGGAUAAUCCCAUCGAGCAUAGCCGCACUAAACACAUAGCCAUUCGGUAUCAUUUUCUUAGGGAUCACCAACAAAAAGGAGAUAUCGAGAUUUCUUACAUCAAGACUAAAGAUCAAUUAGCCGAUAUCUUUACCAAGCCUCUUGAUGAACAAACCUUUAACAAACUUAGGCAUGAGCUAAAUAUUCUUGAUUCUAGGAACUUCUUUUGUUGACUUGCACAUAUAGCUCAUUUAUAUACCUUUGAUCAUGUCUCUUUCAUAUGCUAUGACUAAUGUGUGUUCAAGUCCAUUUCAAACCUAGUCAUAGGUGUAUUGAAAGGGAAUUGGAGUCUUCGGCGAAGACAAAGGCUUCCACUCCGUAAUUCUUCCUUCGCCAUCACUCCAAGCAACUCGAGGGCUCUAAUGACUCCGUUUUUGGCGAUUCAUGCCAAAGGGGGAGAGAGUAUGAGCCCAAAGCAAAAGGACCGCACCACCACCUAAUUUUAAAAAUUGGAGAUUUUUCAAUUGGUAAAUUUCAAAUUGGUAUCUUAUUGUGUUCAAAAGGGGGAGAAAGUAGUAUUUGAAAAAUGAUAUAUCAAAACCCUCUUGAACACUAAGAGGAGCAUCUCAUUUAGGGGGAGUUUUGUUUAGUCAAAGGAAAAGCAUUUGAAACAGGGGGAGAAAAUUUCAAAUCUUGAAAAUGCUUUGCAAAAUCUUAUUCACUUACCUUUGACUUUUUGCAAAAGAACUUUGAAAAAGAUUUACAAAAUAGUUUACAAAAUAGUUUGCAAAAACAAAACAUGUGGUGCAAGCGUGGUCCAAAAUGUUAAAAACAAAGAAACGAUCCAUGCAUAUCUUGUAAGUAUUAAUAUUGGCUCAAUUCCAAGCAACCUUUGCACUUACAUUAUGCAAACUAGUUCAAUUAUGCACUUCUAUAUUUGCUUUGGUUUGUGUUGGCAUCAAUCACCAAAAAGGGGGAGAUUGAAAGGGAAGUAGGCUUACACCUAGUUCCUAAAUAAUUUUGGUGGUUGAAUUGCCCAACCCAAAUAAUUGGACUAACUAGUUUGCUCUAGUGUAUAAGUUAUACAGGUGUCAAAGGUUCACAACAAGCCAAUUAAAAAGACCAAAGUUGGGUUCAAAAUAGAGAGCCAAAGGCAUCCCGAAAGGCUCCCUGGUCUGGCGCACCGGACUGUCCGGUGGCGCACCGGACAGUGUCCGGUGCACAAGGGGACCUCGCGCAGAACUCCUCAGCCUCGGGAUUUUCCUGAAGCCGGCGCGCUAUAAUUCACCGGACUGUCCGGUGUACACCGGACAGUGACCGGUGCUCCAAGAGGACGCGGCUUCGGAACUUGGCAGCCUCGGGAAUUUGCAGCGGUUGCUCCGCCAUAAUUCACCGGACAUGUCCGGUGUACACCGGACUGUCCGGUGCAACUCCGGAGCAACGGCUACUUCGCACCAACGGUCACCUGCAGGCGCAUUCAAUGCGCGCCAGAAGCGCGCAGAAGUCAGGCACGCCCAUACUGGCGCACCGGACAUUGAACAGUACAUGUCCGGUGUGCACCGGACAUUCAGGCGGGCCCAGAAGACAGAAGCUCCAACGGUCGGAAUCCAACGGCAUUGGUGACGUGGCUGGCGCACCGGACAUGUCCGGUGUGCACUGGACUGUCCGGUGCACCAUACGACAGACAGCCUCCACCAACGGUCAUGUUUGGUGGUUGGGGCUAUAAAUACCCCAACCACCCCACCAUUCAUUGCAUCCAAGUUUUCCAGCUUCCAACCACUAUACAAGAGCUAGCAUUCAUUGCAAAGCACACCAAAAGAGAUCAAAUCCUCUCCCAACUCCAUACAAAGCCUUAGUGACUAGAGAGAGUGAUUUGUAGUGUUCAUUUGAGCUCUUGCGCUUGGAUCGCUUCUUUUCUUUGGUAUUCUUUCUUGUGAUCAAACACUCAUUUGUAAUUGAGGCAAGAGACACCAAUUGUGUGGUGGUCCUUGCGGGAAGUUUGAUUCCCAAGUGAUUUGAGAAGAGAAGCUCACUCGGUCCGAGGGACCGUUUGAGAGAGGGAAAGGGUUGAAAAAGACCCGGCCUUUGUGGCCUCCUCAACGGGGAGUAGGUUUGCAAGAACCGAACCUCGGUAAAACAAAUCCUUGUGUCUCACCGCUUUACUCGCUUGCGAUUUGUUUUACACCCUCUCGCGAACUCGGUUUUAUUUCUAACGCUAACCCGACUUGUAGUUGUGUUUAUAUUUGUAAAUUUCAGUUUCGCCCUAUUCACCCCCCUCUAGGCGACUAUCAAGAACACUUCGAUAUCUCCCUUUUGCUGGUGGUCUCUCAAAAAGUGAUACCAGAUGUCUAUGUGCUUAGUGCGGCUGUGUCCAACAGGAUUAUCCGCCAUGCGGAUUGCACUCUCAUUGUCACAUAGGAGUGGGACUUUGCUCAGAUUGUAGCCAAAGUCCCGGAGGGUUUGCCUCAUCCAAAGUAGUUGCGCGCAACACUGUCCUGCGGCAACAUACUCGGCCUCAGCGGUGGAUAGGGCAACGAAGGUUUGUUUCUUAGAACUCCAAGACACCAGGGACCUUCCUAGGAAUUGGCACGUCCCUGAUGUACUCUUCCUAUCAACCUUGCAUCCAGCAUAAUCGGAGUCUGAGUAUCCAAUCAAGUCAAAGGUAGACCCCUUUGGAUACCAGAUCCCGAAGCAAGGCGUAGCAACUAAAUAUCUAAGAAUUCGCUUAACGGCCACAAGGUGACAUUCCCUUGGAUCGGAUUGAAAUCUAGCACACAUGCAUACGCUAAGCAUAAUAUCCGGUCUACUAGCACAUAAAUAGAGCAAUGAUCCUAUCAUAGACCGGUAUGCCUUUUGAUCAACGGACUUACCUCCUUUGUUGAGCUCGACAUGUCCGUCGGUUCCCAUCGGCGUCUUCGCGGGCUUGGCGUCCUUGAUCCCAAACCUCUUGAGAAGAUCUUGAGUGUACUUUGUUUGGGAGAGGAAGGUGUCAUCCUUGAGUUGUCUCACUUGGAACCCAAGAAAGUAUGUCAACUCGCCCAUCAUCGACAUCUCAAAUUUCUGUGUCAUCACCCUGCUAAACUCCUCACAAGACUUUUGAUUAGUAGAACCAAAUAUUAUGUCAUCGACAUAAAUUUGGCACACAAAAAGGUCACCGUCACAAGUCUUAUUGAAAAGAGUGGGAUCGGCUUUCCCAACCUUGAAAGCAUUAGCAAUUAAGAAAUCUCUAAGGCAUUCAUACCAUGCUCUUUGGGCUUGCUUAAGUCCAUAGAGCGCCUUAGAGAGCUUAAAAACGUGGUCGGGAUACCUGUCAUCCUCAAAGCCAGGGGGUUGUUCCACGUACACCUCCUCCUUGAUUGGCCCGUUGAGGAAAGCGCUCUUCACAUCCAUUUGAAAUAACCUGAAAGAAUGGUGAACGACAUAGGCUAAUAGAAUGCGAAUAAACUCUAGCCUAGCCAUAGGAGCAAAAGUCUCCUCGAAAUCCAAGCCUGCGACUUGGGCAUAACCUUUUGGCACAAGUCGAGCCUUGUUUCUUGUCACCACCCCGUGCUCGUAUUGCUUGUCGCGGAACACCCACUUGGUUCCCACAACGUUUUGCUUUGGACGUGGCACCAGGCUCCAAACUUCAUUCCUCUUGAAGUUGUUGAGCUCUUCCUGCAUGGCUAACACCCAGUCCGGAUCUUGCAAGGCCUCUUCUACCAUGAAAGGCUCAAUAGAAGAGACAAACGAGUAAUGCCCACAAAAGUUAGCUAAUCUUGAGCGAGUAGUUACUCCCUUGCUUAUGUCACCCAGAAUCUGAUCGACGGGGUGAUUCCUUUGAAUUGUCACUCGGACUUGAGUUGGAGGGGCCAGUGGUGCUUCUUCCUCCACAACUUGUUCUUCUUAUGCCCCCCUUGAUCACACGCCUCUUCUUGAGGAACCUGUUCAUCAUCUUGAGUUGGGGGAUGCACCAUCAUUGAGGAAGAAGGUUGAUCUUGCUUUUGUUGUUCCUGUGGUCGCAUAUCUCCAAUCGCCAUGGUGCGCAUUGCGGCCGGUGGAACAUCAUCUUCAUCUAUAUCAUCAAGAUCAACUUGCUCUCUUGGAGAGCCAUUAGUCUCAUCAAAUACAACGUCGCUAGAGACUUCAACCAAACCCAAUGAUUUGUUGAAGACUCUAUAUGCCCUUGUAUUUAGUCAUACCCUAGUAAAAAUCCUUCUACAGCUUUGAGAGCAAAUUUGGAAUGUCUAUCUUUCUUCACCAAGAUGUAGCAUUUGCUCCCAAAUACACGAAAGUAAGAGACAUUGGGUUUGUUACUGGUAAGAAGUUCAUACGAGGUCUUCUUGAGGAGGCGAUGAAGGUAGAGCCGGUUUAUGGCAUGGCAAGCUGUGUUCACAGCUUCUGACCAAAACCGCUCAGGCGUCUUGAACUCUCCAAGCAUUGUCCUCGCCAUGUCGAUGAGCGUCCUGUUCUUCCUCUCUACCACACCAUUUUGCUGUGGUGUGUAGGGAGCGGAGAACUCGUGCUUGAUUCCUUCCUCCUCAAGGUACUCUUCCACUUGGAGAUUCUUGAAUUCGGACCCGUUGUCGCUUCUUAUCUUUUUCACCUUGAGCUCAAAUUCAUUUUGUGCCCGCCUUAGAAAGCACUUAAGGGUCCCUUGGGUUUCUGAUUUAUCCUGCAAAAAGAACACCCAAGUGAAGAGGAAAAAUCAUCAACAAUUACUAGACCAUACUUACUUCCCCCGAUGCUAAGGUAGGCGACGGGUCCGAAGAGGUCCAUAUGUAGUAGCUCCAGUGGUCUUGAUGAUGUCAUCACAUUCUUGUUGUGAUGAGUGCUUCCCACCUGUUUCCCUGCUUGACAAGCUGCACAAGGUCUAUCUUUUUCGAAGCAAACAUUUGUUAGUCCUAACACAUGUUCUCCCUUUAGAUGUUUAUGAAGGUUCUUCAUCCCUACAUGUGCUAGACGGCGAUGCCACAGCCAGCCCAUGCUAGUCUUAGCUAUUAAGCAUGCAUCUAGAUCGGCCUCCUCUUUUGAAAAAUCAACUAAGUAGAGUUUGUCGUCUAAUACACCCUUAAAAGCUAAUGAACCAUCACUCCUUCUAAAGACAGAAACAUCAACAUUUGUAAACGAACAAUUGUAGCCCAUGUGGCACAAUUGACUUACAGACAGAAGAUUAUACCCUAAUGAUUCUACUAAGAAUACAUUUGAAAUAGAGUGCUCAAAUGAAAUGGCUAUCUUCCCCAAUCCUUUAACCUUGCCUUGGUUCCCAUCUCCAAAGAUGAUUGAAUCCUGGGAAUCUUUGUUCUUGACGUAGGAGGUGAACAUCUUCUUCUCCCCCGUCAUGUGGUUUGUGCAUCCGCUGUCGAUAAUCCAGCUUGAGCCCCCGGAUGCAUAAACCUGCAAGGUAAUUUACACUUGGGUUUUAGGUACCCAACUCUUGUUGGGUUCUACAAGGUUAGUCACAAUAGCCUUUGGAACCCAAAUACAAGUCUUAUCUCCCUUGCAUUUGGAUCCCAAUUUUCUAGCUACUACUUUUUCAUUUUUACAUAAGAGCGCAAAUGAAGUGUUGCAAGCAUAGUAAAUGGUAGAAGGUUCAUUGCAUACUUUCCUAGGCACAUAAUGCACAACAUGAUGUCUCCUAGGCUUAUUUCUACCAUGCACAAAAGUAGAGCUAGAAGCAAACAUAGCAUGUGAAUCAUGAUCAUAACUCCUAUUAUGACUAGCAAUUUUCCUAUUAUACAUGAAAGCAUGAUUCUUUUGAUUACUACUAGCCAUAGAGGCCUUUCCUUUCUCCUUGUUGGGAAUGGGAGCCCUUUGGCUUGUUAAGUUCUUGGCUUCCUUUCGAAAGCCAAGUCCAUCCUUAAUUGAGGGGUGUCUACCAAUUGUAUAGGCAUCCCUAGCAAACUUUAAUUUAUCAAAAUCUAUCUUGCAAGUCUUAAGUUGAACAUUAAGACUUGCCACUUCAUCAUUUAAUUUACUAAUGGAUACAAGAUGUUCAUUACAAGCAUUAAUAUCAAAAUCCUUGCAUCUAUUGCAAAUUACAACAUGUUCCACACAUGAACUAGAUUUAUUAGCUACUUCUAGCUUAGCAUUUAAAUCAUCAUUAACACUUUUUAAGCUAGACACAGUUUCAUGACAAGCAGAUAAUUUAGAAGAUAAUAUUUCAUUCCUUUUAACCUCUAAAGCAAGAGACUUUUGUACACUAACAAAUUUGUCAUGUUCUUCAUAUAGAAUGUCCUCUUGCUUCUCUAGCAAUCUAUCUUUUUCAUUUAGAGCAUCAAUUAAAUCAUUAAUUUUAUCUACUUUUGCUCUAUCUAACCCCUUAAAUAAAUCAGUAUAGUCUACUUCAUCAUCGCUAGAAUCAUCAUCGCUUGAAGUAGUAUACUUAGGGGUGUCUCGAACACUUACCUUCUUCUCCUUGGCCAUGAGGCAAGUGUGGCGUUCGUUGGGGAAGAGUGAGGAUUUGUUGAAGGCCGAGGCUGCCAGUCCUUCAUCAUCGGAGUCGGAUGAAGAGCAGUCUGAAUCCCAUUCUUUGCCAAGGUGCGCCUCUCCCUUUGUCUUCUUGUAAGCCUUCUUCUUCUCCCUCUUCCCAUGCUUUUCUUGUUCCUAGUCAUUGUUAUUAUCGGGGCAUUGCGCUAUAAAAUGACCAGUCUUACCGCAUUUAAAACAGGAGCACUUUCCCUUUGCUUUGCUCUUGUUGGGAUACUCCUUGCGUCCUUUUAGCGCGGUCUUGAAGCGCUUGAUGAUUAGAGCCAUCUCAUCUUCGUUUAGCCCGACAGCCUCAACUUGUGCCACCUUGCUUGGUAGCGCCUCCCUGCUGCUUGUUGCCUUGAGCGCAACGGGCUGCGGCUCGUAGAUGGGCAUUGGGCCAUUUAAUGCAUCAUCAACAUAUCUUGCCUCUUUGACCAUCAUGCGCCCGCUCACAAAUUUUCCGAGUAUCUCCUCGGGCAUCAUCUUUGUGUACCUGGGAUUUUCACAGAUGAGGUUCACAAGAUGAGGGUCAAUAACAGUAAAAGACCUGAGCAUAAGUCGGACGACGUCAUGGUCCGUCCAUCUUGUGCUUCUAUAGCUCCUAAUCUUGUUGACCAGGGUCUUGAGCCUGUUGUACGUUUGUGUUAGCUCCUCUCCCCUGAUCAUUGUGAACCUUCCCAGCUCGCCUUCCACCAACUCCAUUUUGGUGAUCAUGGUGGCGUCGUUUCCCUCAUGUGAUAUUUUGAGGGUGUCCCAGAUUUGCUUGGCGUUGUCCAAGCCACUCACCUUGUUGUACUCGUCCCUGCACAAGGAUGCUAGCAAAACAGUGGUAGCUUAUGCAUUCUUAUGAAUUUGCUCAUUGAUAAACACAGGGUUAUCGGUACUGUCGAAAUGCAUUCCAUUUUCAACUAUCUCCCAUGUACUAGGAUGGAGAGAAAAUAAGUGACUACGCAUUUUGUGACUCCAAAAAGUGUAGUCCUCUACAUCAAAGUGUGGAGGUUUACCAAGAGGAAUUGAAAGCAAAUGAUCAUUGAAAUUGAAAGGAAUACGAAAAUAAUCAAAUGAAUAAUUUGAAUUAACCGGUUUCUUUUUCUCGUCGUCGUCGUCUCUUGGUGAAGAAGAAGAUUCGUCGCUGUCGUAGUAGACGAUCUUCUUGAUGCGCCUCUUCUUCUUCCCGUCCUUCUUCUUGUGACUCGAUCCAGAGUCAGUGGGCUUGUCGUCCCUUGGCUCGUUGAAGAUGGACUCCUUCUCCUUAUCGUUGACCAUCAUCCCUUUUCCUUUAGGAUCCAUCUCUUCGGGCGAUUAGUCCCUUAAGUGAAGAGAACAGCUCCGAUACCAAUUGAGAGCACCUAGACGGGGGUGAAUAGGUGAUCCUGCAAAAUUCAAUACUAAAUUGCCACAAGCUUGGUUAUAAAGAUGUUAGUGCAAUAGAACCAAGUGGCUAUAGAGCGAGCUCUUGCGAAUCACAAUAAUCACAGAGAAAGACAACACAAGAGACACAGUGGUUUAUCCCGUGGUUCGGCCAAGUAUAACACUUGCCUACCUCCACGUUGUGGCAUCCCAAUGGACGAGGGUUGCACUCAACCCCUUUCAAGUGAUCCGAUGAUCAACUUGAAUACCACGACUUUUCUUUGCUUAUCUCUUUUUCCUGUUUGCGAGGAAUCUCCACAAGUUGGAGUCUCUCGCCCUUACAACAAAGAUCACAAUGAAAGCACGAAGUAAGGUUGGGAAGAGCAAUGCACACUAGAAUUAAAUCCACACUGCAAACACACACACAAGUGAGAAGAUGAGCACACAAAACACGCGUGGGGAGUUUACAACUCGAAAAGUGCUCCAAUCUCAAGAACGAUGAACGAUUGCGUGAAAGUGAGGACUAGAAGUCUUGGAAUGCUUAGAGUGUGUUUGGGUGACUCCUCCAUGCGCCUAGGGGUCCCUUUUAUAGCCCCAAGGCAGCUAGGAGCCGUUGGAGGCCAACAAGGAAGGCUAUCCUUGCCUUCUGUCGGGUGGCGCACCAGACAGUCCGGUGCACCACCGGACAGCCACUGUUCAUGUCCGGUGCGUGAUCUCCUUCCAAUUCUGGCGCAGCCGACCGUUGCGGAUUCGUGGCAGUUGGCGCACCGGACACUGCCCGGUGCACACCGGACAGUCCGGUGCCCCCUGCCGACCGUUGGCGCGGGCCAUGCGUCGCCCGCGGAUUGCGCGGCCGACCGUUGCGCUGGCGGCCGUUGGCUCACCGGACAGUCCGGUGCACCACCGGACAGUCCGGUGAAUUAUAGCCGUACGCCGCCAAACAUUCUUGAGAGUGGCCAGUUCACUGGAAGCCAACCUGGCAUACCGGACACUGUCCGGUGCACCACCGGACAGUCCGGUGUGCCAGACUGAGCUGAGUAUUGGCUGCUCAGAGCCAAGUCCUUUUCUCCUUCUCUUUUCUCUGUUUCUAGCACUUAGACAAAAUAUGUUAGUACUCAAACCAAUGUACUAAGUCUAGAAACAUACCUUGUUACAUGAUUUGCACUUCUUGCUUGUUUGACACAUAACCAACUCACUUAGUAUGUGUUGGACACUUAAUCACCAAAAUAUAAUAUAAAUGGCCCAAGGGCACAUUUCCCUUUCAAGGAGGGAGCGAUCGCGAAGGCUUGCUCGGGGCAUGCACGCGGGGAGUAGGAUUGAGCGCCUACCAAACAUCCUCCAGAUACAAUCAACGGAUUGGGCGCUAUCUCCACUGGAAUCACGGGGGAGGAGGGUGCGCUCGCGACGGUGGCUUGCUCGGGGCAUGCGCGCGGGGAGGCGGGGGUUAGGAGCACUGGAAUUGUGUGGUAGGCAGGCGCGAUUGCGACAGCGGAUUCCUCGGCCCGCGCGCGGGGUAUACAACCAUGUGUUUCGACGGUGACUUGCUCGCGAGGCAGAGUAGGCGGGUGCCGUUGCGACAUCGAAUUGUUUGGGGCCGCGCACGGGGUAUGCAGCCAUGGGUUGCGACGGCGGCUUGAGUAGGCGGGCACGAUUGCGACGGCGGAUUGCUCGGUAGGCCGGCUUGGUCGGGGUCGGGGUUUACGGUGGGGGGUGCCACGCGUGAUGUCGGGAAAACGGGCGGCAAAAAGCGCCAUCUCCACGUCAACAGAGACAAGUUUUAAUUUAGAUAUAAUAGAGUAAAUAAUACAGGUAUUGCAGGCCCAUACUUCCAUAAUUCUUAUAUUCACAUAAAAAUUAUGUUAAUUACAUCUCCGUAGAGAAAACCCCUGAUUAAGAGUUCAACAUGUAUACCUAAAAGAAAAUUGCAUCAUAUGGUUGACUAUUACAAACUACAAAAGAAAACAAAAAAUCUUCGCCUCAUGUAGUCGUGGAUGGUUGCAUGCGUUCGUCAGAUACGACAUGAUUUCAUUGUUGACGAGCUAACAAAUAUCUCUUUAUUGCUGGUUUGGUCAGCUCUGUGCCGAACCAGACAUAUAUUUCAAUUCACACGCACUUUUGCGAGUUAAAGCCAUGUCGUGCCGCUAAGUUUUAAUAACUUAACAUAUGACUGUUGCUUAUUUCUUUGGGUAGUAGGCACCCGAGUCAUAUAAUACAACACAUACAUGAAUAACCAAGAAGAUUAGCUUAGUCAACAUUUAUUUCUUUAAUGGAUAACAUGUUAUGUUGUAUAUUUAUAUGGUUUACCUCGAGGAUUAUAUUUGAUUAUCUUAUCGGAUUAUAUAAUAUCACGAAUGGAGAUGAGAUGUCUUGAAAUGUAUGUUUAUGAAUGCACUUGACAUAUGGUGUGAGAUUUCUUUGAGCCAAGUCAAAUCAUAAUAUUUAAGUUCUUGAUGGAGGAUCGAUAUUGGGCAUAGUUAAGUUGUUUGUCCAAAUUAAUUGGAAGAAAUGACGAUUGAUGAAGGUGACCAAGUGUAUUUUAACUAGCUAAGGGGGUGUUUGGUUUGUAGGGAUUAAACUUUAGUCCCUCCACUUUAUUCCAUUUUAGUUCUCAAAUUGUUAAAUAGGGAAACUAAAAUAGAGCUUUAACUUCCAUAUUUAGUAAUUUAGGGACUAAAAUAGAAUGAAAUAGAGGGACUAAAAAUUAGUCCCUAUAAACCAAACACCCCCUAAGUCUACUCCAAAUUAUAUUUGGUUUACCUUGACCAUGGCACCAUUGCAAGUCAACGGACAGUAUCAGCCAUAACUUGGAAUUUGCUAUAAACAUAUCAACUUUAUUUAGGUACGACUAAACGCGAUAUGAACAUCAUUAAUUUCUUUCUUUAUUUUGACAUUAAGGAUAACCAUCGAGCUUACAGAUUAAAUUUAUCUUUGUAUAAUUUAGUAAAUAUAAUAGCACUAUGCAUAUCAAAUGGCACCUUCCUUUUUUUGCAAUCCAGAUUAGGACAUGGUUUAUAGGCAACGACAUAGAUCAAUAUAACUUUUGCAUGACCUAAAAUAAUUUGGUGUGUAUGUAAGUAUAGAUCAGUUUGUAUUUCCUAGGCAGAAUGAGCUAAUUUUAUAAUGGAUGACUGGAGACCAAAAGAUAUUGCUAACAUCUUCAAAUGACUUGAUAUAUAGAUUUUUAAUUUGAUCAUGGCGUUGGGUGAUUUUCCUUAGGUGUGGUAUGACUACCAUGUGCACAUAGAGCCAGACUCCGGAUUAUACAACUGACUUAAAGCUUUUAAAAUAAAUUGGACGUUUAUUUUUUUGUUUGUCUAGAUUAACUUAGGAUGAUGCACCUGACUUAUGCAGUGGAUUUAGUUAUUUCUGCCAUGGCGUUAAGCUGGUGGCCGCUUAGUGGUUAUUGCAUAAUAUAGUGCACGGAUGGAAUACUAUUGGUAUAUGCACUGCAUAAGUGGUUGUUUAACUCAAUUUUACUCGUGCUAAAAGGAUAUAAUGUAGUGAGAGAACCAUAUAAUUAUAUGUUAAUUAGGAUUAUUUCGGAUAUGACCUUGGUGAUGGUCACCUUAGUGGAUAUUAUCUAAAUGGUAAUCGACUGUAUGAAUCGGAAGUCAAACGCUGAGCUCAAAUAUAUGGUUACCCAUGGGACUUAAAAUAGCCAUAUUUUCUUCUACUUUAAUUUGGCAUAAUUUCAGAUAUAUAUAUUCAUUUGAUCAAGCAUGUUUUGGCAUGUUUUAUUACUAGCGCGUUGGGUUCUUAAUGGUUUAAACCCACUCAUGUUGCAUAGACGAAGAAUUUAAAGUAUACGGCUCUUCUUACCGGUCAUUCUUAUCUUGCAACAAUGUCUCUAUGAGCAAUCUUUUCUUGAGCCUAGUUUUAUCCAGCGUAGUGUCUAUUUCCUUGAGAAUAGUGUCUAUUUCCCCUAAGGUAUGCCCUAGGGGUGAUUGUUGAAGAUUUAUUGUGAAUGAGGAGAGAGCAGCAACAACGAACAAUGAUGCUCAUAUGGAAGGGGUAGCAAUCGUCGUACGAAUAAAGCUGCAACACCGGUAAUUUGGCGAAUCUUUAAAGCAAUCACUCUGUUUGUGAUGUUUCUGAACAACAGUCUGAUGGCGCUCUCUGGCCGCCUAGCAACAGUACUCUAGUCUGUUACUGGGCGUCUUUUGCAGUAGCCUGGCGGUGCUUUUGAUGGCAAUAGCAGUAGCCUGGCGACAUUUUUCUCAUCCUUUUUUUGAACUCUUACAUAUAUAUUUAUUCUAUCUACCUUAGCAUGUUGUAGGUAAACAUACAAGGAAUACGUUUGGAGUUCCAGCCUCAAUAGGUUACCAUUAUUUAUUUGGGUUGCUAUUUUAUAUGUAAUGCAACUAAUAAUAUGGCGUAUUUAAGAGUAUUGAAUAUAUAUAAGAAACAUGGAAGGAGAUGAUAAAAUCUGAUUUUUGCCAACUAGAGCAUAUCUUCUAAUUUUAUUGAUGUAGAAUUAGACUAUACGUAUAUACGAGAUGUCAUGGCUUACCAUUAAUUAGCAAACGAAGAAAGACAUCACAAUAAUAAAUUAGAAACAGAUUACUCUUUCCGUAUUGAUCAUUCUUACCUCGCAGUAAAUCUGUCAGAUAUACCACACCGGUGUAUAUGACUGCGGCGUGAUUUAUCUCGAGGGUAUGCUUUUGAGGUUUCUGGAACAAUUUUCUCUCUAGGGUAUGCCUUAGAGAGUUGUUUGAUGGAGAAUUUUCUUGCCGAUGACGCUUGGCGAAGCAGCGAUUCCUAGAUGAGAGGCUUCAGCAGCAGCUUGAUGGUGCGCUUCCCCAGCAGCCUUUUGUUCCUCGAGGCAAACACCGAGAGCGAGGUAGCCUAGCGGCGUCUACGGUGAGCGCGGUAGCCUAGAGCAGAACAGUAACCAUGGUCCUCUCUCCCUGCUCCCGCGUUGAUGUGACCUUUCAUUUAUAGGGGGUGUUUGGUUGCUCAUGCUAAAGUUUAGUCCGGAUCACAUCAAGCGUUUGACUUUUAAAUAAGAGUAUGAAAUAUAGACCCAACCAACUGGACUAAAUUCGUCUCGUCUUUUAAUCUUCGGCUGACAAAUUAGUUUUAUAAUCCGACUACAUUUAAUACCCGAAACGGAGGUUCAAACAUUCGAUGGGACAUAGGCUAAAUUUUAGCGGGGUGUAACCAAACACCCCCAUAGACGAAAAAACAACGAGCGAGUGCGCCGGAUGCUGAGACGUGUAGCAGUCGUGCGCACGUCGUCCCAGAUCUGGCGCGAGGCAGGCUUUUUUACUUGGCGUGCGUGGAAGAAAGAACGUGCGCGCGUGCUAGUGAGCGUGCUGCAUGUGCUGCAUCUACGCGGGAGAAGCAUGCAAAAAACUGCAAGCUAGUAGCUUUCUCUUUCUCCCUUUUUUAUCAUGUGAUUAAGGGAAUGCUUAAUUAUGUCCACUCAAAAGCUAUGCAUAUGAGAGAGUGGAACAUGGCAGCAUGCAUGCGUACAUGCAAAUGCUCAGUUAAUUGAUGGAAGACCAAUCCAUUUACCACUAUUGCACGUAUCCGUCUAAUUUUUUUAUUCACGGCUAGAGGCUAUGACGGUUGUAUGAGAGUAGUACGCAUGUUCUCUCUUUAUUAUUUUAUAUUAUUUAUCUAAUCUGUAUUAUUAUUAUUAUUAUAAAACACUAUCUUGUGAUUACAUUAAAUAUUAUUUUGUAUUCGCCUUGUUUACAAUUGUAUUGACAAAUGGUCAUUUGCUCAUUUCAUUUUUUUAUAGUUGUUUAGACAAAUCUUUAAUUAAUGAAUGCAUGACUAUUUAUUGAUGCAUGACUAUUUAGUCAUAUAUUCACAUGGGUAUAUACUUGAGGCCGUACAUAUUUUAAUAUCUCGACGCGCUAAACUUUUAGAACAGAAGAUCAUUAUGAACAAAUAGCCACUUUAAAUAUUCGUAUAUUUAUUUUUCAGAAUAUUUACUUAUUUCAUAUGCAUCGAAAUUUAGGGGUCAUAUUAAUCGGAGUUAUUUGGCCCGCAUGGCCAUUUAUUUUGAUACGACCAAAAUAUGUGUCAACAACGCGCAGAGGGGAGGCUGGGGCAGUCUACACUAAUACCUUAAUUGUUAGUAGAGAUAAUUGAGACGUACAUCCAAGAAUGGCUAUCUUUGUUAACAAUAUCAACCUAGACAACCAUAUUCGCCUCCUUUGACUUUUAACAGAUGCUGCCUCUAUUAAUGUUUUAUAGAUUUCAAUUAUUUUAUUUCUUGGUAGUAGUGAGAUAUACAACAAUCAUAUCUGUUUGACAUGAUUAAUUUAUUUCAUCAUAAGCAUAAUAAACUAAAAGUGUAUUCUGUCUCAUCAACAAGUAAAAUUCAGUAAAAAUAAAAUCCAAUGUGACGGUGUCGCAUGCUUAUAGAGCAUAUAUAGCCCUAAUCGUUGUCUACUCCAUGCAUUGGGAUUAUAUGGGAAAUGAAUGCUUCAAUGAUAAUUAUAAAUAUUAAAUAUAAAUUAUAAAACUAAUUAAAUAGAUGAAAAUUAUACGAUGAGAUAAAUUUAUUAAGCCUAAUUAAUCUAUGAUUAACAAAUGUUUGUUGUAGAACUAGUUUUGCAAUUAAACUAUAUUUAAUAUUUUUAAUUAAUAUUUAAAUAUCUGAUGUAACAUGAUUAAAAUUUAGUCAAGGGAAUCCAAACGAGGCAAAUGUUUAGAUGGGUAAAACAAUUCAGCAGCACCGCAUAAUUUUUUCUCUAAUUUUGGUCCAUCUAGUCCUAACAUUCCUACGAAUUGAUCAAUAAUUACUUGACGUCGACGACCCGUAUGACUCAGGCAUAGGGCUGGACAAAAUACUCGUGGCUCGAUAACUCGCUCGACUCGGCUCGUUAGUAGCUCGGCUCGACUCGGCUCGUUUUAAUUUUGUAGCGAGCCAAGCUAGCAUUCUAGCUCGGUUCUCUAAUGAGCCAGCUCGGGUUAGCUCGUGAGCUAGCUCGCGAGCCAAACGAGCUAAGCCACAACACAAAUUUGUCUAGUCGUUGGUGUCGUCUCAUCUCUCAUAGUCUUGUUUUAUCGUAGUUAUGAUCUGUGAUAUGGACAUGUGUGGAUGUGCCAUGUGCUUAAAUAUUUAUAUUAUUGCAUGACUACAUGUUUGUAGUGUUAAACACUUAAAAUAUAAUUUUUCGGUUAUAAAUAUAUUUAUGUACAUAGAUCUUUAUAUUUAGUUGUGUGGCUCGCGAGCCUAACAAGCUGGCUCGAGCUUCCUAACGAGCCGAGCCGAGCCAGCUGUUUAGCUCGUUAGUAUAACGAGCCGAGCCGAGCUGGCUCGUUAUAGUAACGAGCCAUAACGAGCCGAGCCAUAACGAGCCAAGCUGGCUCGAUAUCCACCCCUACUCAGGCAGUGGCGCGCAUGGUGGUGGUAGGCCGACCAGAGUUAGGGCUAGACAAAAUGCUCGUGGCUCGUUUGCUCGCUUGGUUCAUGGACAGCUCGGCUCGGCUCGGAUCGGCUCGUUUGAAUUUUUCACGAGAAGAGCUGACAUCCUAGCUCGGUUCGUUAACGAGCCAGCUCGCGAGCUAAAUGAGCUACCAUAUUCCAGCAAAAUAAAACUAUAUACAUAUCAUUUACAGAAUAAUUGAUGAACAUGUUAUAUAUAUUUGAGGUGUAUAUGGCCUAUGAGUUAGACUAAUGAUUAAUGAACUAUGUCUAUGUGUGUUGGCGUUUCGACCCCGGAGGGUCCCUGGACCGACGAGUAAAUUGUCGCUGCGUGCCCCAGCCCAGAUAGGUUGGCGCGAGACGGGACAUGAAGGGGGGAAAACCUCGGCUCGUGUUAUCCUGCGCCAGAGUGGGUGCGCUUGCAGUAGGGAUUACAAGCGUUCGCGAGGGAGAGAGAGAGUCCCGCGCGACCACCCUCCCGUAUGAGGGCCCUGGCACUUCCUUUUAUAGAUGCAAGGAGAGGGUCCAGGUGUUCAAUGGGGGUGUAGCAAUAUGCUAACGUGUCUGGCAGAGAGGAGCCAGAGCCCUAUGUACAUGCCAACGUGGCUGUCGGAGAGGUGCUAGAGCCCUGUGUACGCGGUGUCGUGGCCGUCGGAGGAGCGUUUGAGCCCUGUAGAAGCACAGCUGUCGGGGCUGUCGGGACCUUGCUGACGUCUCCUUGCUUCCGUAAGGGGCUGAGAGCCACCGUCGUCAUGGACACACGAGGGGAGCCAUCAUUACUUGUUUCCGGGGCGAGCCUGGAUGGGACGCCGGUCUUGUUCCCCCGUAGCCUGACCUAGCUAGGCGUAGGGUAAUGAUGUACCCCUUGCGGCGUGGUCGGUCCGAGCCCAAGGUCGGGCGAGGCGGAGACUCCUCCUGAGGCUGAGGCCGGGGUCGGGCGAGGACGCGAUUCCGCCCGAGGUCGAGGUUGAGGCCGGACCCUGGGGUCGGGCGAGGCGGAGACCACCUUCCGAGGUCGAGGUCGAGGCCAAGCCCUGGGGUCGGGCGAGGCGGAGUCCACUUUCCGAGGCCGAGGCGGGGGCCGAGCCCUGGGGUCGGGCGAGUCGGAGACUUCUCCUGAGGUCAAGGCCCAAGGUCGGGCGAGGUGGAGCUUCCUGUGGCGCCUGAGGCUGGACUCAGCUGCUGUCAGCCUCACCCUGGCGGGUGGCACAACAGUCGGAGAGGGGCGAGCGGCGCUGUCUUCCUGUCAGGUCAGUCAGUGGGAGGGCGAAGUGACUGCGGUCACUUCGACCUUGCCGACUGAGGCACGCGUGUCAGGAUAAGGUACCAGGCGAUCCUUGCAUUGAAUGCGCCUGCGAUACGGUCGGUUGGUGAGGCGAUUUGGCCAAGGUUGCUUCACUACGAAGCCUGCCCGAGCUGGGCUUCGGGCUAGUCGAGGGAGUGACCGUUGCUUGAGGAGGCCCUCGGGCGAGGUGUGAAUCCGUCUGGGACUACUGUUCCCGCCCGAGGCUGGGUUCGGGCGAGGCGAGAUCGCGUCCUUUGAGUAGACGAAGCCUUGACAUGAAUUGCGCCCAUCAACCUCUGCAGUUUGCGCUGAUGAUGAUUACCAGCCGAGUUUAUGAGUGUUGGGGGUACCCCUAAUUAUGGUACCCGACAAUGUGUUAAUUUGGUCUAUGCAAAUAUAAUUGUGGGUUAAACUGAUGAACAUGUAUGUGAAUUGAUGAGUGAUGAAUUGUGCUAAUUUGGUGUUACAUUGACAUGAUUUGUGAAACUAUGAGUAUAAUUAUUAUUUUCUAUUGUUAAAUUAGUUUGAAAUUAACUAAAAAUAAUUAUUAUGUACAUAUUUUUUCUGCUCUGGCUCGCGAGCUAAACGAGCCAGCUCGAGCUCGUAAACGAGCCAAGCCGAGCCGAGCUAGCUCGUUAGCUUAAUGAGUCAGCUCGAACUCGGACGAUUCGAGCUGGCUCGUUAUCCACCCCUAACCGAAGUGCACCUCAAUAACAUUUGCCUCGUGUUUUGUGACGGAGGGUAGCUGAGCAUAAAAUUUUCGAUUUAUGUUGGUCCUAAAUUCUCGUGAUAAUCUUAAUUUACAAAAUUCACGUCUUAACACAUGCAUUAAUUAAAUCCAUGUUGGGACCACUAGAUUUGUAUGCAAAUGUAUCACAAGGAUGAAAUGAUCUUGGUCAUUGAGGGCUCUCUAGAUUACCCAUUGAGUACACAUAAAAAAUUAUUGGAUAUUAUGCAUUAGUAUGCCGAAAUUUGCGUGCAUAAUUUUAAUAUUUUUAUAUUAUCAAUGAGGGUUGAGAAAUGAAUUAGUGAUUUAAUUCAACCUCCACAGGGCCUACGAAUAGUGUAAUUUAAGGGUGGGAAAUAAGAUUUGGCGUUGCCAGUACUAAUGUUCUAUGUACUAGUGGUUAAUCCCACAGAACUAACCCAACUGAGGUUCUACUUUAGCCAUUUGUAUCCACAAGUCUCAUACGUUUAGCUCGGCUCACUCAAAUACAUUGGAAAUUAUUCAAAGUUAAUUAAAUUUAUUCCUCACCAUAAAUAUAACAACCCAUGCAACACAUUCAAAGCUAAGGCUGCAACGAGCCGACAACAGCUUGGUCAUCUUGCUGUGACGCCGGUGGGGUGUGCUUGUUGUUCAUGAAGGGCAAGUCCAAGUCGCGCCCAUGGUGUGGAGGUGGUAUCGGCGAUGGAUAGAUUAUCGGGGGCAUCCAUGGAUAGAUUAUUGGGGGUCUCCAUUUCUUCUGGAUGUGUGCCUCCGACGCGGUGGAUGAUGACAGCAGUAGCGGCAUCAAAAGGACGAGGAGCACCACUGUGGUUGUGCUCCUACUACGCUCGAACGCGACCAUUGUUGUUAUUGUUGUUGCUAUCUGUGCUUCUUGUUAGAGAACGUUGCCGGCGUCAUACCACAUAUAUGUGUGUAUAUAUAGUGUCGACUCUCUAGUGCUUAAAUUUAGCAUGGAUAGAUGCUUGUCAUCUAAACUAGGUGGUAAUUUAAUUUUUGCUCUAAGAGAGGUGCAAAUAUUAUGUUGCAUAAAUAUAGAUGGACAAUCAACAUUGGAAUGAAUUUAAUGUGCUCCUAUACUUUGCUCUCUUUCGUGUUUGUCAAUUUAACCUCAUUAAAAAAUUUCUAUCUUUGUGAUCCAACUUCAAGCCUUGAACUACCGUCUGUUUCUAUAAUAAUUUAUUAUCUAUGUUAGCUAAUUGUAAUUACAAGUCGCUUUAUGAUUCUUGGCCGUCAAACUUUCUCAAGUUUCGACCACCACUAGUAUAGAAAUAGGUUUUACUAGUGGUAGUUUUUGUAUCUUCAUAGGUGGUUUUGUGAAAUGCUCACAUGAAAGAUUAUGGAAAUGAUGUGCUCCAUUGGUGUAUGAUUGCGGCGGGUCAUUAUUGACAUAACGAUGUCGCCUUUGUAAACAAAUUUACAUAGGUAAAAUACUUAGGUCAACCACUAGCAUAGAGUUAUUUUAAUUUUGAGUAGCUAAAAUUUAGCUUGGUAAGUCAUUUGGCAUCAAAGACGUCCACCUUCAUUAAUAGUAUCAACAGAGGAAGUCAUGUUCGUCUCAUUUAGCUUGACGAGUCAUUUGGCAUCCAAAGAUGCCUACCUUCAUUUAAUUAGUAGGCAAACACAACUAAGAUAACUACCUUGUAGAUUUGAAUUAUUUCAUUUCUUGACAGCAAUGAGAUAUAUACAACAAUCAAAUCUGUUUGAGAUGAUUAAUUUAUUUCAUCAUAAGCAUAAUGAACUAAAAAUAUAUUCUGCCUCAUCAACCAAUCAUAUGGGCUUGUUGGGCCAGAUUUAGAUGUGUAAAACAAUUCAGUAGCACGCCGGUCCAUCAAUGACGUCGCAUAUUUUUCCCUAAAUCAGCUGUUGGGGACUUGUUCUCAAAUGCUAUGAGUUAAGAACAAGGCAACACAGAAAAUGUUAAACAUUAAGAUCCUUCGUCCUUCGAAGCAUUAUUUCCCUUAGGAUAUAACGAUCUCCGGACGAAGGUCAUGAAGGAUCAACCUUCAUCACUACAAUAUACAUUAAUAAAAGACGAAGCAUAUGAAACAUAAAAGAUAGCGUGAAUAAUCAUAUAACAUUAUUUAUUUAACCUUAUUAACUCAUCAUAAAGAAAUAGAAACAAUAUUGAAUUAUAAAUGUACCUUCGGCUUGGAAGGAGAUGAAAAUACAAGUGUGACGCAAAAGCAAAUGCCAAGUCAGCGUGAGCAGUACGGGGGUACUGUUCACCUAUUUAUAGGCACGGGGUACAACCCAUACAAAAUUACAUACAUGCCCUUUACAUUUGGUGAUAAUUCUAUAGCAUUCUAUCGAGGUCUAAAUGGCCUUUUCAUCUUUAAGUCGGUUUCCCUUUUCUGCGAACAUGCCGAAGCUUUCCUGCUUCACAGCUUCGGCACUGUGUCAACCUUCGUAUCUUUUGAGCUUCUCCCUUUCUGAUUCAAGUCCGAAGAUACCUGUUCACACAUUAUACUCCAGAAACAUUGUUAAAUCAUGUUUUUGAGGACCUUCGGAAGCCGAAGGCCCCCAACAUCAGCCAUCUUGUCCUAACAUUCCAAUGAACCAAUCAAUAAUUACUUGGCGCCGAUGGCCAGUAUGUCUCCGGCGAUGGCGCAUGGUGGUGGUAGGGGAAUCUAGGGCGGCAGAGGAGACCACGACACUUGCCCCAUGUUCUGUGGUAGAGGAUAACUGACCAUGGACCCCAAUGCCGCGGAGGAGGGUCACGAAAGGGUUGGGGUUGUUGGACGAUGCUUCCACCCAACCAGUGUGCCGCCGCUGUCGUCGAGGACAGCAUCGUCAUCGCCGACAUCAGCAGGAGUGCCGCGAUGGCGGGUGUUGUUGGGGACUUGUUCUCAAAUGCUAUGAAUUAAGAACAAGGCAACAUAAAAUGUUAAAUAUCAAAGCCCUUCGUCCGCUGAAGCAUUAUUUCCCUGAUGAUUUAAUGAGCUUCGGACGAAGGUCAUAGAUGAUGAACUACGAAGGUCUUACCUUCAUAGUCAGAAGUAAAAUAAUGCGAAAUAAAAUAUGAAGUAUAAAACGUUAAAGAAUAUUAAGAAUGGAUAACAUCAUUUACUCGUUUUACAAUAUAAACUGAGAUAUUAAAACAUGAUGUUUGGUUACAUUUAUACCUUUGCCUUGACAAAGAGCAAUAAUUCCAGAGUAAUGCGUUAGCAGUUACAGGAUUGCGUGAACAGUAAAGGAAUAAUGUUCACUAUUUAUAGGCACAGGACACAGCCUGUAAGGAAUUACAAUCAUGCCCCUUAUAAAAGUUUACAACAAUGACUCAGACCCUUAUGGACUAAAAGGUCAUUCUAUCUUUAAGUCGGUUCGAUCCUUCAUCUUCGGAUAUGCUAUAACACCGAAGCUUCAUGAGUGGUAGCUUCGGCAUCACGUAUAAGCAGCUUUAGCCGAAGCUCUUUCUUUCUGCAGGACCUUCGGCGACGAAGCAUGGUCCCAACAGUAACCCCUUCGCUGUGCUAGAUCGUUUUUCGUAACGAGCUUGAUCCGUAAAAAAAGUCUCUUAGGCUUCGGGAAGCCGAAGGUCCGAAAAACACCUUCCCUGAGCUCGUUGCCGAGAAACGAUACAGUUUCCGAGCGCGGAGCGGUCCCACCAUGCAGGUUCACUUUCUUGGUUUUUUGCGGCCCACCAUGCAGUGGGUGCGAGCGACUGUUUGCCCGGUGUAAAAAUCCUGACGAUUCACCUUCUUACCUGCAGCACUAUAUAAACAGACAAGUAGGUGUGAAGUUACCACAGCAUUCAUUGCUAUUGCACUGUUUCGCUGCCAAAAAUUUAACCAUAGCCAAAGCUUGACUUUUGCAUUCAAACGAAGCUCCAGUUUGGAUUGUGCUUCGUCACGAGAAGAGCUUCGGAAAAAAGGUUAUUAACUUCCAAGGAAUUUUCAAGAAAAUUUUAAAAUCAAAUGGCCAGAAUACGCUCCACUGCUAGGGUUGAGCGUGAUGGAGAUGAGACCGAAGCCGCUAACACUGUUCCAAUUUCCUAAGCAAUGAGGCGCUCUGGGCUGGUUUCAUCAGAGGACACACCUGCUGCCGAAGCAACACAAGAUGAUGUUGAAGAAGUUGGUUCCGAAGAUGAGUACAGCUGCGGGAUGCCAAGUAAACCUAGUCAUUUAGACUUUGGAAAGUCCACCAUCUCUGAAGCUGAUCUUCCAAAAAUGGUGAAGCUGGGCUACUUCAGUGAAGCAAAAAAAGAGCUGGUUCGUUUUGGCGGAGAGGAAACUAUUCCGAAGCCGGAAAAGAAUGAGGUUGUAGUGUUCAAAAGCUUCUUUAAAGCUGGCCUAAGGUUCCCCCUGAAUGGGAUGAUUGCUAUUGUACUGAAGAAGUUUGGGAUUUACCUUCAUCAACUGACCCCCAAUGCUAUUGUUAGAUUAAGUGUUUACAUUUGGGCCCUUCGUAGCCAGGGAGUGGAACCGUUCGGUGAGGGCUUCUGCCGAGUUCAUGAAUUACAUUACCAGACUAAAGCCAGAGGAGAUGGUCUACAUGAGAAUUUUGGCUGCUACAACUUUGCUUAUCGCAAGACUACAAAGUUUCCAGUGAUAAGCUACCGAAGCAAAUGGCCGGCCGGAUGGAAGUCUGAAUGGUUUUAUGUUAAAGUUGAUAAGGAUGAAGAUAAAUUGGUCCAGAGUCCGCUAGAGCUAACCUUCGGAGAGACGAGGCCCCAAUGCAACAUGAUAAGGGGGAGCCCGAGCCAGAUUGCUUUGGGUGAAUUUCGAGUAAUUUCAGAACAUAUUGGCACUAGAGACUUAGUGCAGGAAUUUCUGGCUUUUAAAGUGUUCCCAACACUGAGGGAGUGGGAGAUGCCAAAGCUGGAGGGAGAAAAGAAAAAGGGAGAACUUGUUCGAUUGCCUUAUCACUACAAGUUUAAGAAACACUUUAAAAAACCCUGCCAGGAGUGGUUGGAUACAAUCGAGAUUAUGUGCAACGAUAUCCUCGAUAAUUAUUCUAAGAAAGAAGAUCAGUUGAUGACAGCAGCCUUCGGCAGUCGUCCGAAACGAAGAUUGAAUCGGGUGCUAGAUGCCUUGAAUUUUGACUAUCCUGAUUAUGAGCAACUGGGCGGAGAUGCCGAAGGCCCAAAGAGAAAAAGAGUUGCCAACGCCCUUGACAAAGAAAGCACCAAAUUGGCCAAAAAGGAAAAAGAAAUUUCUAAAAAACUGAGCUCUGAGCCGAAGGUAGCUGCUCCAAGGAAAAGAAAAGCUGUAUCUCCAAAACCUGCAUCUCCAAAACCAAAGACAUCGGCCCGAGAGAAGGAAGCUCCUGCAACACCUUCUGCUGCCGAAGUGGAAGAGAUUCUGAAGGUAAUGACUGAACCUUUGCCUGUCAAGCUAAGUCCGCUGGCGCCAGAACUGACGAAGUUUUUUCAGAAGGACAAAGAAGCUUCGGCAGCAGAAAGUCCCGCAAAGCCGAAAAAACGAAGAAUUAUCCAAGUGGCAGAUGUCAUUCAUCAGACACCGCCACCGAUAUCGGCGUCAAAAAUUGUCAUUGCCGAAACCACCGGAGCCGAAACCACUGGAGCUGAAACCGCCGGAGCCGAAGCUACCAGAGCCGAAACCGGGACCACCGAAGAUCCUAACCUGGAAACCACGCUUGAUGAUAUUGACAAUAUACUUCUAAGAAUGGCUGAAGAAGAAGUUGCUGAGGUUGCGGUGAACACGGCAACUGAAAAAGGAAAAGAGCAGAUUGAAGACAUUUUGGAAGAAGAAAAUUUUAAUUUUCAAGAUAUACUUGGACAAGAGUUAACAGACGCUGAAAAAGAAGAGCUAAAGAAAUAUGCUAUAUCCUGUGGAUGCAAACCAGGGUCUCUGCUAUUUGGUGGGGUCAAUGAAGGGAAGCUAAGAUGCCUUCGGAAUCGAACCGAGGCCAAGGUUGUUAGGACCUUCUCCAAAAGCGUUGGCCUGCCGAAGAUAGAAGCGGACCUCUGCAGGUACCAGCGGCAGCAUAUCGCCGGUAGCUUGCUCUAUGCUAAUUUCAAGGUAAAAAAUUCUUAAUUUAUUAUUAUUAUUAUUAAUUUUUUUAAUUAAGUUGUUUUCUGACGAAGGUUGUUUUGGCAGAGUAUACUACUAAGUAAAGUGCUGAGAAUGCAACAAGAUCUUGAAGAGGAAAAAAACAAAGCUAUCAUCAAAGAUCUAGAAGACAAAGUCGAAAAUUACGAAGCUGCUCUGAAGAAAAAGGACUUCGUCAUUCAAGACCUUGAAAUCAUAGUUAAAGAACAUGAAACUGCCUUAGAAAAGAAAGACUUCGUUAUUCAUUCUAUGGAAGGUUCACUGGCUGAGGCCCAAGCCAAAAAUGACAGAUUAAACAAUGAAUUACUCAAAAAGUCAGAAAAAUCUGAGCAGGAAAGGAAGAACCUCGAAACAAGUCUCAAGACCGAGAUCGAGAAAAAUUCAAAUUUGCAAAAAUCAUUGAAGGAGCUUCAGGAGAAAUGCUUAAAUUUCAGCAGCCAAUGCGUGCAGCGGCUGAAGGAUGUGUUUCACUCAAUUGGAGCCAGCUCUGAUAAGUUUACACCUUCAGCUGAAAACCUGCCCAGCACCUUGGAAUACAUUGAAGGCGAGGUUGAUGCACUUGACGAAGUUAUUGCUGGGCAUGCUGAUUUCUACGCCCUGCUAGCUUCUCGAGGCAUGACUACCGCUUUCCUGAAGGCCGGCUGCACGCAUGGGAAGAUUGUAAAUAGGCCGAACUUCAGCUUGUCACCGACAGAUUUGGUUGACAUCUCAAGCCUAGCCCGAAGCAUAGGAAACAGAUUUAUGACCCAGAUUUGGGUAAACGGCGGGCGAAAAAUGGCUGGUGACGAAGCUCGGAGCCACCUUAUGCCGGUGAGAAACUUAUACUUGUUACUUUUACCUUCUCCUUGAAAUUUGCACCUUUCUCAUUCUGUUUUAAUAUGUGCAGGAUGAUGAAGCUGAAGAAUGACGGGCUAAAGUUUAACAGUUGCUGUAAAAGACUUUUCUGCAAAAAAUUCUGGAGAGAUCUUUGUAAUAUAAUUGUAGAAAAAACUUAUGUAAAUUUGUGCAUACCUUGUAAUAUAUCUUUUUUCCUUUAUCCAUGUACGAUCUGCUUUGCUGUGAACGAAAUUUUACUUUUGAGCCGAAGGCGAAAAACACCUUCCCUUCUUUUCGUACACAACGAAGCAUGAAAAUUUCCUCUUUCUCCGAAGCAUCUGCCUUUUUUGUGUGGUAUGAUGAUAAUGAUCCUAUAUAUGUCUAAAUGAAUGUUUAUGAAUGCAAAUGUCAUGAUGUAAUGUAUCGUGCAAAUGAAUAUCCGAAUGUAUAUUCAAAACCAUAAUCAUAGCCUUCAUUCCCUUGGAAUGACUCAAAUCUUUUUGCCAUUUAUUUUUCGGCUUCACCGUUUACUUUUCGGUGUAUCAGCGCUGACUUUUCUCUAUAAGCCUCCCUUAGGAGCUUCUUCGCCUUUUACUUUCGGCGGAAUCAGCGUUUAUUUUUCGUUGUAAGCCUCCCUUAGGAGCUUCUUCGCCUUUUACUUUCGGCGGAAUCCGCGUUUAUUUUUCGCAGUAAGCUCUGCAUUCUUAGGAACGACUUUUGAGCUUCUCCCUGUUUUCUUUUCUUUUUCCUUUGCACUCGAUGGUGCGUUCUCAGCUUUUACAUUUACAUCUUUGGGGGAUAUCACUCUUAUAGAAUUGAAAUAAGGAAAAGAAAAAUUACAUGUUGUGGCCCCAUUAAAAACCUUUCUCCCCCUUUGGAAAGGAAAAGGGUGCCACAAGAAAGAAUAGAAAAAACUACAUUAAGCUAAACAUAAUAUCGCCGAAGCUCGUCCGCAUUCCAUGAUCUAGGAAUGUCGUUGCCGUCCAUAUCCUUCAAUCUGUAGGAACCGGGUCUUGACGAAGAUACUACCAGAAAAGGUCCUUCCCACUUCAGCUGUAAUUUGCCUACUGUCUCUGGGUUGGCUACUCUUCGAAGCACCAAAUGUCCUGGUUCAAUGUUCUUUAGCCUAACCUUUCUAUCACACCAUUUUAUUGUUUCAGCUUGGUAUUUGUUGAUGUUUUCCACAACUUGAAGCCCGAUCCCCUCUAUAGCAUCUUUUUCCACAGAGUAAUCAGCUUCAGCUUCGUCUUCUGCCGAAGCUACUAUUCUUAUUGAUCCUGCUUUGGCUUCUUCCGGAGUUAUUGCUUCAUCACCAAACAAUAGUUUGAAUGGUGUAAAGCCUGUUGAUCUUGAUACUGUUGUGUUGUGGCUCCACACCACUUUGAUUAAUUCGUCUGGCCACUUUCCCCUGGGCUGAUUGAAGAUUAACUUCAUUAUUCCUGUCAUUAUGAUGCCAUUAGCUCUUUCAACAAGUCCAUUUGACUCCGGAUGUCGAGUUGAUGCGAAAUGGAUCUUCGUGCCAAUUUGAUCGCAAAAUUCUCUAAAAGCUUCGGAAUCAAACUGCGUCCCAUUAUCCACAGUAAUAGCCUUCGGCACUCCGAAGCGACAAACAAUGUUUUGCCAGAAAAACUUUUGAAUAGUGACUGAAGUUAUUGUGGCUAAAGGCUUUGCCUCAAUCCAUUUAGAAAAAUAUUCCACUGCCACUACAACAUAUCUUAAGUCCUUGUGCUGGUGGUAACGGACCUAACAAAUCAAGGCCCCACCUUUGCAACGGCCAAGUGGGUUGUAUUAACUGAGUUAAAGACGAAGGUUGUUUUUUAUCUCUUGCACAUUUCUGACAACCUUCGCACUUUUGGACUAAUUCUGCUGCAUUCGAAGCUGCCUUUGGCCAAUAAAAUCCUUGACGAAAAACUUUUCCAAGCAAAGGCCUAAAUCCAAUGUGAGAUCCACACAGGCCUGCGUGUAUUUCCUUCAUCAAUUCUAUACCUUCGGUUCUGGAUAAACACUUGAGUAACGGAGAACAGACCCCAUGCUUGUAUAGUUCCUCUUCUAUUAUAACAUAUGGUCGAGCUCUUGCCUCUAUCCUCCUGUUAUAAGCUUCAUCAUCUGAAAGAAAGUUACCCUGAAGGAAAGAGAUGAUCUCAGUUCUCCAGUCUUCACUAUAGACAGGGGAUAUGUUGAGGACUGCUCUUUCAAGAAGCUCAACCGAAGGUGCUUUUAUUGUUUCGAAAAAUACUUCCGAAGGUAAGGGCAGCCCCUGUGCUGCUGACUUAGCUAAUAAAUCAGCAUAUUCAUUUUCUCCACGAGGAAUAUUUUUAACAGAAAACCCUUCAAAGGAAGCCUCAAUCCUUCGGACCGUGUCUAAAUAUUUUUCAAGCUUCGGAUCUCUUGCUUUAUAACUUUUGUCAAUAUGACCAGAAAUAACCUGGGAAUCAGUUUUAAGAACCGCCCUUCUGAUUCCCAUCGCCUUUAACUUCCGAAGACCCAAGAGCAAAGCUUCGUACUCAACAAUGUUAUUUGUGCAACUGAAAUCAAGUCUUGUUGCAUAACAAGUUUUAACUUUGGAAGGUGCGACCAACACAACAGCUGCUCCUGCUCCGAAGGUUCCCCAAGAUCCAUCGCAAAAUACUGUCCAAACUUCGGCAUCUUUACUUGUUUCUUCUUCCUGAGCCCCCAGCGUCCAGUCAGCAAUGAAGUCUGCCAAUGCUUGAGACUGAAUCGAAGAUCUAUGCACAUAAUCAAUACAAAAUUCAUUGAGUUUCGCAGCCCAUUUUCCAACCCUUCCAGUAGCUUCUCUAUUUCUCAUAAUAUCCUUCAACGGUUGUGAAGAAGGAACAACUAUAUUGUAUGCUUGAAAAUAGUGUCGAAGUUUCCUAGAGGCCAUCAAAACAGCAUACAACACCUUCUCCAAUUCUGUAUAAUUUUUCUUUGAUAAACUAAGAACUUCGGAUACAAAGUAUAUUGGGGCUUGCUUUUUGACUUGGCCUUCAAACUUCUCCUGGACAAGUGCUGCACUUACCGCUGAGUGCGAAGCUGCCACAUAUAACAACAGAGGAGCCCCUGGCGUUGGUGGAGUUAGUGUUGUUAGGUCUAUCAAAUAUUGCUUCAGCUCUUCGAAGGCUCUCUGUUGGACUGGUCCCCAUUGAAAAACUUCGGCUGACUUCAGCACUUCGAAAAAUGGUAAAUUUCUCUCUGCUGAUCUAGAUAUAAAUCUGUUGAGAGAUGCUAGUCUUCCUGUCAAUCUUUAAGCCCCCUUCUUUGUACUUGGUGGUUCCAUUCGAAGGAUAGCUUCAAUUUUAUUUGGAUUAGCCUCAAUCCCUUUUGUUGAAACUAGGCAGCCAAGGAAUUUCCCUUUCUUCACUCCGAAGACACAUUUUUCUGGAUUCAACUUUAAACCGGCCUGUCUAAAAUUAGCGAAGGUCUCCUGCAGAUCAGCAAUGUGAUUAUCUUGCUUCGUGCUUUUUACAAUGAUAUCAUCAACAUAAGUUAGCACAUUUCUGCCUAUUUGAGAAUGAAGAACCUUCGUUGUCAUUCUGCUGAAGCUUCCUCCAGCAUUCUUGAGCCCCUCAGGCAUCCGAAGGUAACAAUAUGUUCCACUAGGGGUUAUGAAGCUGGUUUUUGGCUCAUCCUCCUUUUUCAUCCAAAUUUGAUGAUAGCCUGAAUAACAAUCCAGCAGACUCAUAAGCUCUGAUGAAGCUGCUGCAUCAAUUAGAGAAUCUAUCCUUGACAAUGGAAACUCGUCCUUCGGACAGGCCUUGUUGAGUUCAGUAAAAUCAAUACACAUUCUCCAUUUACCAUUAGCCUUUUUUACCAUAACAGUGUUAGCUAGCCAUUCUGGGUAUUUUACCUCUCUGAUAACUCCGGCACUGAGGAGUCUUUUCACUUCAUUCCGAGCACCUUCGGCCUUGUCAUCAGACAUCUUCCGAAGCCUCUGCUUUCUGGGUCUAAAGGAUGGAUCAACAUUGAGCGAGUGUUCAAUAACAUCCCUGUUGACUCCGCAAAGAUCAUUAGCUGACCAUGCAAAAACAUCUUUGUUGUUGAACAGAAACCUUAUCAAGGUUUUCUCCUGUUCUUCGGACAGUUGGGAUCCCAAUAGCACCUUCUGCUAUGUUAUGUCCUCACAUAAGAGCAUGGGCUUCGGCUGAUCGACUGAAGCAACUUUCUCCCUUCUAAACUUGUACUGCUCACAAGCUUUAGCUCCAUCUAUGUUAUGGAUUGCUUUUGAGUCUGUCCAGUUUCCUUUGGCCCUUCUGGCAGCUUCCUGACUUCCAUGAAUGGCAAUGGGUCCUUGGUCUGAAGGUAUCUUCAUGCAAAGAUAUGCUGGAUGAAGAAUUGCUUCGAAGGCAUUGAGAGUACCACGACCAAGGAUUGCAUUGUAAGGGUAUUCCAUGUCAACAAUAUCGAACACAACUUAUUCAGUCCUUGUGUUGUUGAUAAAUCCGAAGGUUACUGGCAUUGUGAUUUUUCCGAGUGCUACAAUCUGCCUUUCUCCGAAGCCACAAAGGGGAUGUGUGGCAUCAUGGAUCUUGUCUUCGGGCUCUUGCAUCUGUCUGAAGCCCUUAGCAAAUAUGAUAUCAGCUGCACUGCCUGUAUCAACCAAAACAUUAUGGACCAGAAAUCCUUUGAUCACACAAGAGAUAACCAUAGCAUCAUUGUGUGGGUAAUCCUUGAGCUGAAGAUCCUCUUGAGAAAAGGUAAUUGGAUGUGAGACCAUCUUGAUUUGAUGAAGGGUCCUUGUACCCCUACGUGUUGUACUCUUCUCUAUGCCUCCUUCUUCUGUUUCUUGUUGGCCGGCUCUGAGCAUGAACCGUCUGUUAUCGGGAGAAUCAGCUUCGGAGCCGAAGCAGUUCCAUCUUGAUUCUUUGCCGAAGCCAUCAGCUCAAAAAAGUGGAAGUGAGUUCACCGGAGGUGGGCGCCAAUGUUGGGGACUUGUUCUCAAAUGCUAUGAAUUAAGAACAAGGCAACAUAAAAUGUUAAAUAUCAAAGCCCUUCGUCCGCUGAAGCAUUAUUUCCCUGAGGAUUUAAUGAGCUUCGGACGAAGGUCAUAGAUGAUGAACUAUGAAGGUCUUACCUUCAUAGUCAGAAGUAAAAUAAUGCGAAAUAAAAUAUGAAGUAUAAAAUGUUAAAGAAUAUUAAGAAUGGAUAACAUCAUUUACUCAUUUUACAAUAUAAACUGAGAUAUUAAAACAUGAUGUUUGGUUACAUUUAUACCUUUGCCUUGACAAAGAGCAAUAAUUCCAGAGUAAUGCGUUAGCAGUUACAGGAUUGCGUGAACAGUAAAAGAAUAUUGUUCACUAUUUAUAGGCACAGGACACAGCCUGUAAGGAAUUACAAUCAUGCCCCUUAUAAAAGUUUACAACAAUGACUCAGACCCUUAUGGACUAAAAGGUCAUUCUAUCUUUAAGUCGGUUCGAUCCUUCAUCUUCGGAUAUGCUAUAACACCGAAGCUUCAUGAGUGGUAGCUUCGGCAUCACGUAUAAGCAGCUUUAGCCGAAGCUGUUUCUUUCUGCAAGACCUUCGGCGAUGAAGCAUGGUCCCAACAGGUGUCCUCGUGGAAGCCUUUUGCGCUGCCAUUAUCGGAGCUAGCAGAGCAGGUACCAAUAAUGUUUUAAAUGUCUGGGUAAGGGCCUUAGGGGCAAGCUUUUGGAUAAGCUACAAAGGCUAUAGCCAGCUAUAGCUAUGAGCUAAAUGUUGGAACUUGCUACCAGGUGCAAGGGAAUCCAACGGGGGUGAGAGUUGACGUAAACAGGGUUCUCGCACGAGAUGGCAAAAGCUCUGCUAAUCUAGCAUCUCGAGGGCACUGUGCGGGGGUAUUUAUAGGUAUCCAAGUGCCCAGCGUCCUGUGUUAAGGACGCAUGUGCCCUCAGACACCCAGGUUAUCCCCGGAAUAUUCCCAUAAAGUGGGGUUACAGACCGUAAUUACAGGGAUGCCUUUACAAAUUAGGCCCGUAACGCGCAGCGGCCACGCAGGGCCUGUUACAAUGGGCCGGAUCACACGUGGGCCUCCAUGCUGGACGAGGUCGCAAGAUGGGACGACCUCGUCGCAGGUCUUCAUCCGAUGACGUAUGGGACGAAGGGUGAGCCUGUCCGUUGUCUUGUCUCCGUUGGUCCAACGAUUGCGGCGAAGGCAUCGAGCGAAGGGUGGCGUCUUCGCCUUCGCCCCAACAUUUGCCCUCCGAGGGACCAGUUCGACUAAGUCAUCUGGUGCCAAAGACGUCGCUAGAUGGCGGAGACGCUGCCCUCGCUCGAAGUGGUUCCGCGGGGGUUUUUGACAUGACCGUUGAUUGACACCGUACUGUUGGACUACGGGUUUCCCGAAGCGCCGCGCCCUGUGUAUAAAAGGGGGCGGGGGCGGCGCGUUUUGAACUUUAUCUUUCCGCGCCCCGUGAAAACCCUAGCCACCUUUUCCACCUUCUUGCUGCUCGUCUGCCCUCCUUGCUCCUGUUCGCCGGAGAUCUGGCCCGAGUGAAGCAGACCGCCCGCCGCCGCCGACGGUACGUAGCGAUGCCGACCUCUUCUUCUUCUGCUGCCGCUACGCCGCCGGCCGACGCGUUGUCUGAGGAGACGCUGAGCACUGUGGCGGCGGAGGAGUUGCGCGCCGGCGAUACGGUGUAUUUCGGUGUGUCGCGGAUGUCCUCAGUCCGCGUGCAAGAUAUGCAGCAUCUUGGUUAUUUUGGCGGCGGAGUCGCUCGUGUCCCGGGGACGGAGGAGGUCCCCGAGCCGGAAGGCGAGUUGGUUGUGUUCGAGGCGUUCUUUGCCGCUGGUCUUCGCCUGCCUGCGCACCAAUUUGUGGGAGAAGUCCUGCGCAGAUUUAACGUUCAGAUCCAUCAGCUGACUCCGAAUGCCGUGGUGGCUCUGUCGAAGUAUGUCUGGGCGACGACUUCGUACGGCGGACAGCCAUCAGUCGAAGUCUUCGCGAAGUACUAUUGCCUGCACUGGCAGAAGAGGAUGAUCGGAAAUGAAGUUGCCCAGUUUGGGUCAUGUACGUUUACGCCGAAGACCGGCAAGACCUCGAUGGAGGUAGUUGAGUUGGUUCCUUGCGCCCGCAACAAGUGGGGCAACUGGCAUGAGUUGUGGUUCUACGUCGUGGAGGGCAUAGUCGAAGACCAUAUGGGGCUCCCCGUGUCCGAGAUGUGCUCGCAUUAUUACUUAGCAUACCCGCCGUUUGAAGUGGCGGAGGAGGAUGCGGACGAAGGGGCCCUUCGGUGUGCCGCCGGCCUGAGCAGCGGGCGCGACUUCGUUGAGGAGUUUGUGGCGUACGGGGUAUGGCCUUUGGCGCAUGGCUGGGCGUUGGGUGAAGUAUGCCCUCGCCAGAUGCCUUCCCAUGGUGGAAAGCUGGUGCGAAGUCCCGCCUUCGCGUUGGAUCUGCAUAGCCGCGAUCCGGCCGCCUUCGUGCGUGAGGCGGAGGAUGGGGCGGUGCAGAUCGUCGGUCGGUACGUGCCGAAGACAGAGGGCCAGCGUAGCUGGGAUAUUCGUGGGUCUAACGACCGCUUGAACAGGGUUUUUGAGUUGAACCGUCUGCCUUAUGGCGGUUAUCCCGGUCAGGACGAUGUGGAUCGUCGCGGGAAGAAGCCGGUGGUAGAGACUGGAGACGACCCCGCGUCGGCGGCCGCCCCAUCCUCUAAGAAGAGGAAACUAGGUAUUGCUAUGGGAGGACUGGGGGUUUCUGAUGGUUUUGCUAGGGAAUUGAUGAGGACAUGCGCGGCCCCGGGGGGAAGGAUGUCUUCGCUCGAGCUCCGGGAGUCUUCGGCGCGGAUGCUGAGGGUUACCGGGGGUUGGUGGCCUAGGAAUGUUCCUAUCCCCCACGCGGUCGGCGAAGACUUUUUUACAUCUCGCAUGGUUCGCGCUUGGAAAGUGUUUCCUUACGGGUGGAAUAUUGCUGCUGUUGUGUCGGCAGUGAUGGACAAAGAUCGUCAAGGAGCUGCGCAGAAGCGCCAGGCGAUCAUCAGGCUUCAUGAUGCCAGGCCGAAGAGGCUGCGGGGGGCUGCGAAGGCUGCUGCCCCUGGCGAAAGUCAGCCGCCGCUGGCGGUGAAGUCGGCCGCCCCUGCUUCCAGCAGGGCGCCGGAGGCUGCGAAGGCUGCUGCCGCCGGUGGUUCCAAGUCUGCGAAGGCCGCCCCUAUGUCCAGCAGGGUGCCGGAGGCUGCGAAGGCGGCCCGAGAGUUGCCGCCGCCGGGCAAGCGCGUCGCCGACUUCGCCACCGACAUUAGUGUGGACGAUUAUCUUGUUGGUAUGUCGUUGGCUCAAGUUUUUUUAAUCUGUUGAUAUGUUGCAGGGUCGAACGAAGGCCAACUUGUUGUUGUUCCGCCUGCCGUGGCGACCGCGGCGGCUGCCGUGGUGCCCAGGGCGAAGGGCAGUGCUCUUAGUGCCGGCGGCGAGAUACCGGCACUCGCUGCCGUCAGGGACGAGGCGGGUGCUAUGUCCCGCCGGCUGAAGGAGAUGAAGGAGGCACUAAGUCAGGUACGUUGAGCUAGACUUUGGUUUUUUACCGGCUUCGUUGGGGCUGUGGCCUUAUGUGUGUCUUGUAGGCGGCUGACUUCACAGACCGCACGGCUUCCGGGGCCCUCACGGCAGUUGUGUCUGCCGAAGUCGAGAGACUUCGGACGCAACAUGCUGACGCCGUCCGGGAAAAGUCGGCCGCCGACAGUAAAUGCCGCAAGCUGGCGGAUAAGGUGGCCGCGCUGGAGGGUGAGAAGACUGACCUCCGGCGCCAACUGACGGAGGAGAGGAAGGAGGCUAAUGAGGCCCUCGCCAAGGCGCAGUCUGCGCAGGCAGAGGCCAAUUUGGCACGGGCGGAGGGCAGUCUUGCCAGGCAGCGCGCCGAGCAGUUGGAGGAGCGGCUCAGCGCUCUACAGGCCCGAGUGGAGAGGGCCGAGGCCUCGACGCGCUCGGAGGCUGAGCGGACACGGAAACAGCUUAUGGAUUCAUACCAUGAGCUGGGCGCGCGGACCGCUGACUUCAAGGUGCCGGACAGAGAGCCCGGACUUUGCUGCCUCGAGUGGAUACAGGAGGAGUUGCUGGCGCUUCCCGCCAUCGUGGAGGGGUUUAUGUCAUAUGCCUCCCUGGUCACCUGCGAGGGGGCGAUGAACGCGCUCUCUCGCGAAGGGUGCCGGCACUAUGAGGUCUUCGACCAAGCUGAUGAGGAUUUCGAGCGCGAUAUUUACAAGGUUGAAGACCCUGUGGUGAAGGAAUCCGCGGGAGCCCUCUACGACCGGAUGUGGGGCCCCCACGGUCAAGAGGUGGUCAGGGAGUGGGCCGAGACGGCGAGGGGUCAGGUAAUGUUUGGCUUUUGUUUGGUGUUAGUUGAAUGUGGGCUAUAUGUGGGUUUGCUGAAUCUAUGUGCUGUGCCUCAAGCGGCGCGUGGCGAGAGGGUGGAUGACUUUGGGGCUUUGAACAGCGUGCUGCCCGACCCGGAGCCGAACCCGGCGGUGGCUGUGUCUGAGGCCGCCCUGCAGCCGCCCCCGGAAACCGCCGAGGGCGUUCCUGAUGCCCCCGCAGCCACUGCGGCCGGCGGAGGCCCGUCGCCAACUGCCGCUCCGAGGGCUGAGGAUCCUGUGGAGGUGGCGGCGGAGUCGACCGCGGAGGAUCCCGCGACGGUUGGGUCUUCGCAGGUGGCGUAGUGGGUGUAGGUAGUUAGGGAAUUUUGGAUAUGUUGCUGAAUCUUGGUUGUUGCGCAGGUUCAAGAUUUUGGGCCUGCGCACGCAACCGCUACUACUAAUUUGUUGGCGGCUUCGACCGUGGAUGAUGGUAAUAAAUCGGAUGGGUCUGCAUCUAAGUUUUCUGAUUUUGGUGACUCUGGGAGCUCGGUUGAGUGGACUGAGGAGUCGUCGGAUGAGGACUUGGACUACUUUGCGGCCUUGGAUGUGGCAGCGGCGAAGGCUUCGCCGCAUGCUGCGGAUGCUGAAGUUGUGCCUGGUCCGAGUACUGGGCGUAGGCGGCGAAGGGCGGUUGCGAAGCGUAGAGUGAGUGGGGUGGACGGCGGUCGGCUUCGUGUGAGUAGGGCUGGCAGGCAGGAACUGUUGUCCUUGCCGGCCGCCAUGAGUGCAGGUGAGGGGGAAUUGCGAAGUCUUUUUGCGGGUGAGGAGCUUAGGAUAAUGUUAUUUAACUAUAGGGAGAUGGGAAUUAUUCCGAAGGUUGAGCCGAUGUAGAGUGUGAUGCCCUCGCUUGUACAUGUGUAAUGGCUUGUAUGAUGAAGUUGUGUGCCCUCGCACAUUCGGCUAUGCUCGCGAAGGCGUUACGUACUUGGUCUGGUGUAUUUGUUAUGCUGGUCUGGUGCGCAGGUAGUCGGUCUUUGUGCGGACAGUUUGGUGUAGUCGUUUUCGCAUUUGUUACGCUUCGUCCGGCUGUGCCCUUAGGCAACUGUUGCUCGGAUAGUCUUCGCGGAGGACUUCAAUUUUUCGCACUUGUUGCGCUAGCCCGGCUGCACCCGUAGGCGACUUCUUCACGGAUAGUCUUCGCGGUAGACUUUGGUUUUUCGCACUUGUUGUGCUAGUCCGGCUGCACUCUUAGGCGACUUCUGCACGGAUAGUCUUCGUGGUAGACUUCGGUUUUUCGCACUUGUUGUGCUAGUACGGCUGCACCCUUAGGCGACUUCUGCACGGAUAGUCUUCGCGGAAGACUACGAUUUUUCGCACUUGUUGUGCUAGUCCGGCUGCACCCUUAGGCGACUUCUGCACGGAUAGUCUUCGCGGAAGACUACUAUUUUUCGCACUUGUUGUGCUAGUCCGGCUGCACCCUUAGGCGACUUCUGCACGGAUUUGUCGCACGCGAGGGUGGCUAGCGCUGAGCCUCGCGGUGACUUUGUAUUGGUCGAAUGUCGAAGACCGUCGGCGCGGUCUUUUUUCGACGCAGGUUUUUGCGGGGGAUUUUUCACUUGUAUAUUACAUGACUCCGCCUCGUUAAAAACCUCACCCCCCGGGAGGAAAAGAGUGCGGGCCAGAAUAAAAUUGUUUUUGCGAAUUACAAGGGCGAAUCAGCCCUGAUGAGUCAAACAAAAAAUUUGCGGAGAUUGUCGAUGUUCCAGGAGUGCACCAGGUCUUCGCCGUUUGGCGUUGCGAGCCUGUAAGCGCUGGGGGAGGCCUUCGUCUUGACAAUGAAAGGGCCCUCCCACUUGGGCUCCAGCUUGCCCCUGGACUCUGUCCGAGCUGUUCGAACGAGUACGAGGUCCCCUUCGCUGAAUUCCCUCGGGAUGACUGUGUGGUCGCGCCACGCUUUAGUCUGGGCUUGGUAUUUAUUUUGAGCCUGUAGGGCGAAGACUCGGUCUCCAUCGAUGAGAUCCUUCGAAGUGGGCUCGUCCACGUCGGGGACGGCUGACGGAACUGUUCGCGGGGACCCAUGUUUUAUUUCUUGCGGGGUCAUGGCCUCCGAUCCAUAUAGAAGGCGGAACGGGGUGAACCCGGUCGCCCUGCACUGAGUCGUGUUUAGCGCCCAGACCGCCUCGGGUAACAAAUCGGCCCACCUGCCCUUUUUUGUCGAGGAGCAUCUUUUUGACAGCUGUGAAAUUUUUUCCAUUGGUGCGUUCCACAACUCCGUUGGACUGCGGGUGAUAUACUGAGGCGAAGGCAAGCUUGGUGCCAAUGGAGAAGCAAAAAUCCUUGAAGUCUUGGCUGUCAAACUGCUUGCCGUUGUUAACUGUUAGUUCGGACGGUACUCCGAAGCGGCAAACAAUGUUUUGCCAAAAGAAUUUCUGUGCAGUCUUUGAUGUUAUUGUGGAAACAGCCCUCACCUCGAUCCAUUUGGUAAAGUAUUCGACAGCGACGAAGGCGAACUUAAGGUUCCCCUGAGCCGUGGGCAGGGGCCCGACGAUGUCCAGGCCCCAGCGCUGGAGAGGCCAUGUGUGGGCGAUCAGUUUUGUGAAUUGCGAGGGGCUGCCUGAUCGAGGAGAAAACUUCUGGCAGGCUUCGCAGGACCUUGCAACCCGAUUUGCGGCGCAGAUCAUUGCGGGCCAGUAGAAACCUUGGCGGAUCACCUUUGCGGCUAGGGCCCUUGGCCCUGCGUGAGAGCCGCAAGUACCACUGUGGACUUCGCGCAGGAUUUGGACGCCUUUGGUCUCGACGACACAUUUAAGCAUUGGCUGACUGAUCCCUUUCUUGUAGAGUUGGCCCUCAAUCAGUGCGAAGUCCCAGCUUCGAUGUUUGAGGCGCUUGGCCUCGUUGAUGUCGGUUGGGUGGUAGUACCCCUGUAGGAACAGGGUUAUUGGUGCCCGCCAGUCUUCGGUCAUAAUAAGGUUGACUAUGCGGUGGCCCUCGCUGUCAUUGGUUAUUUGGAGCCCUUCGGGGCUCUGGACGGCUGGCGUGCCGAUGACAUGGUAGAACACGUCGGAGGGCAGGGACUCGCCUCUGGCGGCAGCCUUGGCCAAUGCGUCGGCCUCUUCAUUCUUGGCCCGGUCCACAUGCUGCAAGGUGAAUCUCUUGAAUUUUCUCUCGAGACUUCGGAUGGCCGCGAGGUAUUGCAUAAGUGCGGGGUCCUUUGCUGCAUAGUAUUUUUCGACUUGGCCGGCAACUACCUUGAAGUCUAUUCUGAUAAUGCAGGUGGUGACACCAAGGGCCUGCAGCUUGCGGAGGCCGAGAAUGACUGCUUCGUAUUCUUCUAUGUUGUUUGUGCAUCUGUCAGACUCCAGAGCGAAGCUGAGGCGUGCCGCGUAUCUGUGCUUGACCCCGGCGGGUGAGGUGAUGACUGCAGCGGCGCCUGCCCCCGCGUGGCACCAUGCGCCGUCGCAGUGAAUCGUCCAAACCUUCUCUGCGGACAGGUCCGGCUGUAUUAUUGGCCCAGUCCAGUCGACGACGAAGUCUGCCAGGACUUGUGACUUGAUGGCUGUACUGGGCUCGAAGUUGAUGUGGUAGCCGGAUAGUUCGGCCGCCCACUUGGCAAUCCUGACCGAUGCCUCCGGGUUUCUGAACAAUUCACCUAGUCCCCUGUCUGAGGUGACUCGGACCUUGAAUGCUUCAAAAUAAUGGUGCAAUUUGCGCGAAGACAUAACAACUGCGUAGGCAAUCUUCUCCAGUUCUGUCAUGUUACAUUUGGAUGGUGUCAGCACUUCGGAGACGUAAUAGACUGGGCACUGCCUGAUCACACCCUCAACUGUCUGCUCCUACACCAGUGCCGCGCUGACCGCAUGUGGCGAGGCCGCAACAUAGAGCAACAGGGGUAGCGAAGAGUCGGGGCUUGUAAGGACGACCAACUCCGACAGGUACUCUUUUAGUGAGGCGAAGGCCGCUGCCUGCUCUAGUCCCCAAGCGAAGUCUUUUGCGCCACGGAGAGUUUUGAGGAAAGGGAGACUUCGCUCAACAGAUUUGGAGAUGAAUCUGUUGAGGGCGGUCAACCUGCCCGUCAGGCGCUGGACGUCUCUGACGGACUGCGGAGGCGUCAUGUUGAUGAUGGCCUGAAUUUUGGUUGGGUUGGCCUCGAUGCCGCGGUGUGAUACCAGGUAGCCCAAUAUUUUCCCUUGGCGAACGCCGAAGACGCACUUGUCCGGGUUCAGGCAAAGUCGUGCGUCUCGCAUGUUCACGAAUGUCUCGGCGAGGUCGGCGAGAUGGUCCUCCUUGCUCUUGCUGACGACGAUGAUGUCGUCCACAUAUGUGAAUAUAUUUCUGCCAACUUGCCCCUCGAGCACUGUUUUGGUAAGCCGGGAGAAAGUGGAUCCGGCGUUCUUGAGUCCCUCCGGCAUUCUGAUGAAGCAAUAUGUGCCGAAGGGUGUUAUAAAGCUGGUGCUAGCCUUGUCUUCCUCCUUCAUGUAUAUUUGGUGGUAUCCGGAGAAGCAGUCUAGGAGUGACAUGACUUCGCAUCCGGCCACGCUAUCGACUAUUUUGUCGAUCCGCGGCAACGGGAAGUUGUCCUUUGGGCAGGCCUUGUUGAGACUGGUGAAGUCGAUGCACAUUCGCCACUUGCCGCUCUUUUUCUGCACCAUCACAACGUUGGAGAGCCACGUGGGGUAAGCCACUGGCUCCAUAAAUUUGGCUUCCAGGAGGCGGUGUACCUCUGCCUUGGCGGCCUCUGUCUUCUCGUCGGACAUUUUGCGAAGCCGCUGUUUUCUUGGUCUCACCGAAGGGUCGAUUCCCAAGCUGUGCUCAAUUAUGGAUCGGCUCACCCCGACCAGGUCGAGGGCUGACCAGGCGAAGACGUCUUUGUUCUUGGACAAGCAGCAGAGGAGUUUCUCCUCUUCAUGCAAAGUGAGGUCUUCGCUGAUAGUGACUGUCUGCUUGGGCGUGGCCUGGUCGAGGGGAACAAUCUUGGUCCCGUCGUUGCUCUGCAGCUGUGCUUUGCCGUGCUCUUUGUCGGUUGGGCUGACGGACGCAGGGACCUCGCGCUGGGCCGUGAGGCAGUGCACAUUUCUUUGUCCGGGGACGAAGUCCCGCUCUAUGUUGCGCGCAGUCUAUUGAUUGCCGUAGACCGUGAUGGCGCCUAACGGACCUGGUAUCUUCAUGCACAGGUACAGUCCGUGAAUGGCUGCUUCAAAUUUGUUGAUAGAGCCCCGGCCCAUGAUGGCAUUGUACGGAUACACCAUAUCGACGAUAUCAAAGGUUAUUUGCUCAAUUCGGGCAUUGGGUGCUACACCGAAGGAGAGAGGCAACUCUAUUUUGCCGAUAGGAAAGGUGCCCUUGCCGCCGAAACCAUAUAAUGGGUUGUCUGAAGGCUUGAGCAAGCUGUGGCUUAUGCCCAUGAUGUCGAAGGCAUGGAGGAAAAUGAUGUCUGCUUGACUGCCAUUGUCGACUAGGACUUUGUGCAGGUCCCAGCCUGCCACACUGCAAUUGAUAACCAUGGCGUCGAUGUGGGGGGCGCUGCGCAGGUCGACGUCUCGUGCGUCGAAGGUUAGCGGUGCGUGGGACCACUUCGUCUGCACGACUGGGCCGGUGAUGGCGACGUGGUUGAUGCUGUGGUAGUGGUCCCGCUUCUGCCGCUUUGUGUCGAAGUCGGUGUUGGACCCCCCCAGUGAUCAUAUGAAUGACUCCGCGAUACGGCUGAUCGGCGAAGUCUUCUUGUUUUGGGGCGUGGGGGUGGGGAAUGUUCUGAUGUUGCUGGUGUGGAGGUGGGGGUGGGGGAGGUACGAUUUGUACUUCCUGGUGGUGUUGGUAUGCGUGGUGCGGUGGAUGCGGGGCGGGGGUGUGGAUGUAUGGUGGAGGGGGUUGCUGAUAAGUGUGCGCGACAACUCUGGGGUUGUCGGCUGGCUGCGCCCGUGCCAUCCUGUCUUUGGUGGCCUUCGUUUCUGGGCAGUCUUUGGUUUGGUGGGCGCAGUCUUCGCCAUGAAAAAGACAGUAGAACCGGCGCGGCGGCUGCGCGCGCCCCCGACCCCUACCGCGAGUUCCGUUUCCGCGGCCCUGGGGGAUACUCCUGGCGGCGAGGGGCGUCAGCAGCGGGGUGCUGGUUGGCGAUGUUGUGCACUUGCUGCUGAUUGUGGCCGUCUCGACCGGAGUCUGGCUGCGGAGUCCUCGUCCACGUGCGGCUGGACUGUGGAGCAUCUUUGGGUUUCCUCUGAGACUCAACCUUGCGCUGGUGGAGCUCUUCGGAUUUGGCAUAUUUUUCAAAGAGCUGAUAUAAUUCCUGGAGGUUCUUGGGCGUGUCCCUGAUACAGUGGCUGUAAAGGACGCCGACGCGAAGGCCACUGAUGGCGUAGUGGAUGGCGAUCUGGUCAUCAACUGAGGGCAGUUGUGACUUGAGUGUUAGGAACUUGCGGUAAUACUCCCGCAGAGUCUCUUUUUCCAGCUGCUUGCAGAGUGAGAGUUCGGCCAAGGCGUCGGUGUCUGGGCGGUACCCUUGGAAGUUGAGCAGGAAUUUGUCCCGGAGGCUUCUCCAGGAGUCAAUGGACAGCGGGGGCAACCUGGUGAACCAGGUGAGAGCUGGGCCUUCGAGGGCGAUGAUGAAAGACUUGGCCAUCGUGGCAUCGUCCCCUCCGGAAGAUGCAACGAUGACCUGGUAGCUCAUGAUGUACUGUGCUGGGUCCGUGCUGCCAUUGUACUUGGGAUAGGUCCCUGCCCAGAAGUUGGCAGGCCAGGGUAUCACUUGCAGGUGCGGUGCCAGGGGACUUCGCUCGUCGAGGUAGUUGACCCCUUGGAAUGGCGCGACGUGUGGGAAGGCGUGGUCGCGCUAGGUCUUCCAUUUGCGCGCGCUGUUGCAGGGGUGGCCCGUGCUGCAGGCCGAGGUGGCCUUAGCGCAUGUCUUCCAGUUGUGCGCGCUGUUGCAGGGGUGGCCCGUGCUGCAGUCCGAGGUGGCCUUCGCGCUGCAUCAGCGCGAUCUCCCGCUCGAGGUCCUAGGCCUUCUGCUCUUCGUCGCGUAUCAUUUGUCGCACCUUGGCUAGUGCGGACACGCGCUGGCGCUUGGCCUCCAGUAUCUCUUUUUGCCUCUGGAGAUUGCGGUUCUUGAGGCGCAGGGCGCGCAGCUGUAGCUGUUCUUCCGCUGAGACGCUAAGGACUUCACCGUCCUCGGUGAGGUCCGCGCCCUCCGGUGGGGCGAAGCCUAGGGGAGGCUGUGAUUGUCCUUCAAGGCCGCAGGUGCGGAGAGCGUCGUCUUCGCAAGUGUGGAGAACGUCGUCUUGAGUAGCCUCUUGGUGGGUGGAGUGGGUGAGGGCGAGGGCCUUGCCCUUUUUUGUGGCAAGCAGUGCUGCCUUCGCAGCCUCGUCAGCCUUCGAGUUAGCUUUCUUGGGUGCCAUCGCGGGUGGUUUUUUCGUAGCACGAAUGGUGGGCGCCAAAUGUUGGAACUUGCUACCAGGUGCAAGGGAAUCCAACGGGGGUGAGAGUUGACGUAAACAGGGUUCUCGCACGAGAUGGCAAAAGCUCUGCUAAUCUAGCCUCUCGAGGGCACUGUGCGGGGGUAUUUAUAGGUAUCUGAGUGCCUAGCGUCCUGUGUUAAGGACGCAUGUGCCCUCAGACACCCAGGUUAUCCCCGGAAUAUUCCCAUAAAGUGGGGUUACAGACCGUAAUUACAGGGAUGCCUUUACAAAUUAGGUCCGUAACGCGCAGCGGCCACGCAGGGCCUGUUACAAUGGGCCGGAUCACACGUGGGCCUCCAUGCUAGACGAGGUCGCAAGAUGGGACGACCUCGUCGCAGGUCUUCGUCCGAUGACGUAUGGGACAAAGGGUGAGCCUGUCCGUUGUCUUGUCUCCGUUGGUCCAACGAUUGCGGCGAAGGCAUCGAGCGAAGGGUGGCGUCUUCGCCUUCGCCCCAACAUUAAACCAUUUAACAGUUUUUAGGAAAAAGCAUGAUAUAACUUCAUAGAUAGUUUAAAUGUUCAACAUUUAAAUAUGACAGUUCAAACUAGUACUCCAAAUGUCCAAUAAUAAAUUAACAUGCAUGUAAAUUCAAUGACACAUAUGAAAGGCAUUGAAUCAUUAUCUAACAAAAUCAUAAACAUUAAGUUAAGGACCUACCCACAACUUGUUUUUGGGUCUUAAUGUUUCAAAGGUUAGACCCAGUAAAAGAAUUGCAGGUUAGACCCAUGCUCGAGCUCAAUCAUCAUGAGGCCUCGCAUCGUCAUGACGGAGAUGGAAUUAUCUAGUCUAGCUAUGAACUAUCUAUCACAUGAAAUCCGCAUUGGCGCAUGCUGUAAUAGCUGCAAGUAGUCUUGGCACUGGGGGCAUAUCGAGCUCCUGGAGGCCCUCGAGAACGCGGACAACGUCAGCCAUGGUCGGCCGGUCGCACUCGUCGUCUUGGAUGCACCAGAACACGACUUUGCACAACCUCUCCGCCUCCUCUAGGCUGAGGUCUCCCUGUACACGGGUCCACCAAGCCCUGCAGGUCUCCCUCGUGAAGCUUCAUGAUGGCCUGCACCGGGAAAUACGCCGUGGCGUGGUAGUAACUGCUCCUACUUAGAGCCUGCGGUGGCGUGUUCCUCUGCCCGGACACGAUCUCUAGGACCACCAUGCCGAAGCUGUAGACGUCCACCUUGGGCGUGAUGGGGACCCCGCUCAGCCACACCAGGGCGAGGUACCCUGCUGUCCCUCGGAACGUGGUCAGGACAGGACCCGGCUGAAGUCUCGGUCGACAAACGCCUCCAUCCCGAAGGCCGCGACCUUGGGCGCGAAGGACGCGUCGAGGAGGAUGUUCUCCGGCUUGAUGUCUGUUAGCUACCAGAGAAGGGGAAGGAGAAGGGAGCAGGGCGAUGCUAGGAAGAAGGAGGAAUACUUGGACAAGGGGAAGAAGAUAGGUAGAAUUGUUCUGUUCUUUUUCGAUGCCAUCUCCAGUUCGGAUACAGACAACAUAUAUCACAAUUCCAUGGGCCUGCCUAUUACAAGACUAAAGCACCCAAUCUGGGCUAGAAACCUUGUUGUUGGGCUUUAGCUUCCUUUUCACCCUUGGCUCCUGCAGCGCUCUAUCUGGAACAUUCAGUGACAUAGGUGAAAGGGAAUUAGGCUUACACCUAAGUCCUAAAUAAUUUUGGUGAUUGAAUUGCCCAACACAAAUCUUUGGACUAACUAGUUUGCCCAAGUGUAUAGAUUAUACAGGUGUAAAAGGUUCACACUCAGCCAAUAAAAAGACCAAGUUUUGGAUUCAAUAAAGGAGCAAAGGGGCAACCGAAGGCACCCCUGGUCUGGCGCACCGGACUGUCCGGUGUGCCACCGGACAGUGAACAGUACCUGUCCGGUGCACCAGGGGACUCAGACUCAAACUCGCCACCUUCGGGAAUUUCCAGGGCGACUCGGCUAUAAUUCACCGAACUGUCCGGUGUACACCGGACAGUGUCCGGUGCGCCAAGGGAGGUCGGCCUCAGGAACUCGCCAGCUUCGGGAAACGCCAACGGCUAGCCCGCUAAAAUUCACCGGACUGUCCGGUGUGCACCGGACUGUCCGGUGCGACUCCGGAGCAACGGUCAUCUCCGCGCCAACGGCUCUCUGCCGCGCAUUUAAUGCGCGCUCUGCGCGCGCAGGAGUCAGAAUCGCCCAUGCUGGCACACCGGACAUCAAACAGUACCUGUCCGGUGUGCACCGGACACCCAGGCGGGCCCACAAGUCAGAAGCUCCAACGGUCAGAAUCCAACGGCAGUGAUGACGUGGCAGGGGGCACCGGACUGUCCGGUGUGCACCGGACUGUCCGGUGUGCACCGGACUGUCCGGUGCGCCAUCGAACAGACAGCUCCACCAACGGCCACAUUUGGUGGUUGGGGCUAUAAAUACCCCAACCACCCCACCAUUCAUUGAUCCAAGUUUUCCACUUCUCAACUACUACAAGAGCUCUAGCAUUCAAUUCUAGACACACUAAAAGAGAUCAAAUCCUCUCCAAUUCCACACAAAGCCCUAGUGACUAGUGAGAGUGAUUUGCCGUGUUCAUUUGAGCUCUUGCGCUUGGAUUGCUUCUUUUCUUUCUCACUUGUUCUUGAGAUCACAACUCCAUUGUAAUCAAGGCAAGAGGCACCAAUUGUGUGGUGGCCCUUGCGGGGAAGUUUUGUUCCCGGCUUUGAUUUGAGAAAAGAAGCUCACUCGGUCCGAGGGACCGUUUGAGAGAGGGAAGGGUUGAAAGAGACCCGGCCUUUGUGGCCUCCUCAACGGGGAGUAGGUUUGCAAGAACCGAACCUCGGUAAAACAAAUCUCCGUGUCUCACUUGCUUAUUCGCUUGGGAUUUGUUUUGCGCCCUCUCUCGCGGACUCGUUUACAUUUCUAACGCUAACCCGGCUUGUAGUUGUGUUUAUAUUUGUAAAUUUCAGUUUCGCCCUAUUCACCCCCCCUCUAGGCGACUAUCAAUUGGUAUCAGAGCCCGGUGCUUCAUUAGAGCUUAACCGCUCGAAGUGAUGUCGGGAGAUCACGCCAAGAAGGAGAUGGAAACCGGCGAAAAGCCCACUACAAGCCACGGGAGCACUUCAUCGGAAGAGUCCCGCACCAAGAGGAAGGAGAAGAAGAAGGACUCCUCCAAACGGAAGGAGAAAAAGUCUUCCUCUUCUCACCACAAAGAGAAGAAAGAAAAAUCUUCUUCUCACAAGCCGCAUCGGAAAGGGGACAAGCACAAAAGGAUGAGGAAUGUGGUCUACUACGAGACCGACACUUCAUCAACAUCAACCUCCGACUCCGACGCGCCCUCCGUCACUUCUAAGCGCCAAGAGCACAAGAAGUAUAGUAAGAUCCCCCUACGCUACCCUCGCAUUUCCAAACAUACUCCUUUACUUUCCGUCCCAUUAGGCAAACCACCAACUUUUGAUGGUGAAGAUUACGCUAGGUGGAGCGAUUUAAUGCGAUUUCAUCUAACCUCGCUCCACAAAAGCAUAUGGGAUGUUGUUGAGUUUGGCGCGCAGGUACCAUCCGUAGGGGAUGAAAACUAUGAUGAGGAUGAGGUGGCCCAAAUCGAGCACUUCAACUCUCAAGCAACAACAAUACUCCUCGGCUCUCUAAGUAGAGAGGAGUAUAACAAAGUACAAGGAUUGAAGAGCGCCAAGGAGAUUUGGGAUGUGCUCAAAACCGCGCACGAAGGAGACGAGCUCACCAAGAUCACCAAGCGGGAAACGAUCGAAGGGGAGCUCGGUCGGUUCCGGCUUCGCAAAGGGGAGGAGCCACAACACAUGUACAACCGGCUCAAGACCUUGGUGAAUCAAGUGCGCAACCUCGGGAGCGUAAAAUGGGAUGACCACGAGAUGGUUAAGGUUAUUCUAAGAUCUCUUAUUUUCCUUAACCCUACUCAAGUUCAAUUAAUCCGUGGUAAUCCUAGAUAUACUAAAAUGACCCCCGAGGAAGUUAUCGGGAAUUUUGUGAGUUUUGAGUGCAUGAUCGAAGGCUCGAGGAAGAUCAACGAGCUCGAUGAUGCCACCACAUCCGAAGCUCAACCCGUUGCAUUCAAGGCAACGGAGGAGAAGAAGGAGGAGGCUACACCAAGUCGACAACCAAUAGACGCCUCCAAGCUCGACAACGAGGAAAUGGCGCUCGUCAUCAAAAGCUUCCGCCAAAUCCUCAAGCAAAGGAGGGGGAAGGACUACAAGUCCCGCUCCAAGAAGGUUUGCUACAAGUGUGGUAAGCCCGGUCAUUUUAUUGCUAAAUGUCCUAUAUCUAGUGACAGUGACCGAGGUGACGACAAGAAGGGAAGGCGAAAGGAGAAGAAGAAGUACUACAAGAAGAAGGGCGGCGAUGCCCAUGUUUGUCGGGAAUGGGAUUCCGACGAUAGCUCAAGCGACUCCUCCGACGAUGAGGACGCCGCCAACAUCGCCGUCACCAAGGGACUCCUCUUCCCCAACGUCGGCCACAAGUGCCUCAUGGCAAAGGACGGCAAACGAAAGAAGGUUAAAUCCAACUCCUCCACUAAAUAUGAAUCUUCUAGUGAUGAUAAUGCUAGUGAUGAGGAGGAUAAUUUGCGUUCCCUUUUUGCCAACCUUAACAUAGCUCAAAAGGAAAAAUUAAAUGAAUUGGUUAGUGCUAUUCAUGAAAAGGAUGACCUUUUGGACUCCCAAGAGGAUUGUCUAAUUAAAGAAAACAAGAAACAUGUUAAGGUUAAAAAGGCUUAUGCUCUAGAAGUAGAAAAAUGUGAAAAAUUAUCUAGUGAGCUAAGCACUUGUCGUGAGAUGAUUGACAACCUUAGGAAUGAAAAUGCUAGUUUAAACACUAAGGUUGAUUCUCAUGUUUGUAAUGUUUCAAUUCCCAAUCCUAGAAAUAAUAAUGAUGAUUUGCUUGCUAGGAUUGAAGAAUUAAACAUUUCUCUUGCUAACCUUAAAAUUGAAAAUGAAAAAUUGCUUACUAAGGCUAAAGAUCUUGAUAUUUGCAAUGCUACAAUUUCCGACCUUAGAACUAAAAAUGACAUGUUACAAGCUAAGGUUGUAGAAUUAAAAUCUUGCAAAUCCUCUACAUCUAUCGUUGAGCAUGUAUCUAUUUGCACUAGAUGUAGAGAUGUUAACAUUGAUGCUAUUCAUGAUCAUAUGGCUUUAAUUAAACAACAAAAUGACCAUAUAGCAAAACUAGACGCUAAAAUUGCCGAGCAUAACUUGGAAAAUGAAAAAUUUAAAUUUGCUAGAAGUAUGCUCUAUAAUGGGAGACGCCCUGGCAUUAAGGAUGGCAUUGGCUACCAAAGGGGAGGCAAUGUCAAACUUAAUGCCCCUCCUAAGAACUUGUCUAAUUUUGUUAAGGGCAAGGCUCCCAUGCCUCAGGAUAACGAGGGGUACAUUUUAUACCCUGCCGGUUGUCCUGAGAGCAAAAUUAAAAGAAUUCAUUCUAGGAAGUCUCACUCUGGCCCUAAUCAUGCUUUUAUGUAUAAGGGUGAGACAUCUAGCUCUAGGCAACCAACCCGUGCUAAGUUGCCCAAGAAAAUUCCUAAUGCAUCAAAUGAUCAUGCCAUUUCAUUUAAAACUUUUGAUGUUUCUUAUGUGCUUACUAACAAAUCCGGCAAAGUAGUUGCCAAGUUUGUUGGGGGCAAACACAAGGGUUCCAAGACUUGUGUUUGGGUACCCAAAGUUCUUGUUUCUAAUGCCAAAGGACCCAAAACAGUUUGGGUACCUAAAGUCAAGAACUAAAUUUGUUUUGUAGGUUUAUGCAUCCGGGGGCUCAAGUUGGAUACUCGACAGCGGGUGCACAAACCACAUGACCGGGGAGAAAAGGAUGUUCUCCUCAUAUGAGAAAAACCAAGAUCCCCAACGAGCUAUCACAUUCGGGGAUGGAAAUCAAGGUUUGGUCAAAGGAUUGGGUAAAAUUGCUAUAUCUCCUGACCAUUCUAUUUCCAAUGUUUUUCUUGUAGAUUCUUUAGAUUACAACUUGCUUUCUGUUUCCCAAUUAUGUCAAAUGGGCUACAACUGUCUUUUUACUAAUGUAGGUGUCACUGUCUUUAGAAGAAGUGAUGAUUCAAUAGCAUUUAAGGGUAUGUUAGAGGGUCAGCUAUACUUAGUAGAUUUUGAUAGAGCUGAACUUGACACAUGCUUAAUUGCUAAGACUAACAUGGGUUGGCUCUGGCACCGCCGACUAGCCCAUGUUGGGAUGAAGAAUCUUCAUAAGCUUCUAAAGGGAGAGCACAUUUUAGGAUUAACAAAUGUUCAUUUUGAGAAAGACAGGAUUUGUAGCGCAUGCCAGGCAGGGAAGCAAGUUGGAGUCCAUCAUCCACACAAGAACAUCAUGACGACCGACAGGCCGCUUGAGCUACUCCACAUGGAUCUAUUCGGCCCGAUUGCUUACAUAAGCAUCGGCGGGAGUAAGUAUUGUCUUGUUAUUGUGGAUGAUUAUUCUCGCUUCACUUGGGUGUUCUUUUUGCAGGACAAAUCUCAUACCCAAGAGACCUUAAAGGGAUUCUUGAGACGGGCUCAAAAUGAGUUCGGCUUAAGGAUCAAGAAAAUUAGAAGCGACAAUGGGACGGAGUUCAAGAACUCUCAAAUCGAAGGCUUCCUUGAGGAGGAGGGCAUCAAGCAUGAGUUCUCCUCUCCCUACACGCCACAACAAAAUGGUGUAGUGGAGAGAAAGAAUCGAACUCUAUUGGACAUGGCAAGAACCAUGCUUGAUGAGUACAAGACACCGGACCGGUUUUGGGCCGAAGCGGUCAACACCGCCUGCUACGCCAUCAACCGGUUAUAUCUUCACCGAAUCCUCAAGAAGACAUCAUAUGAACUCCUAACCGGUAAAAAGCCCAACAUUUCAUACUUUAGAGUUUUUGGUAGCAAAUGCUUUAUUCUUGUUAAAAGAGGUAGAAAAUCUAAAUUUGCUCCUAAAACUGUAGAAGGCUUUUUACUAGGAUAUGAUUCAAACACAAGGGCAUAUAGAGUCUUUAACAAGUCCUCAGGACUUGUUGAAGUUUCUUGUGACGUUGUGUUUGAUGAGACUAACGGCUCUCAAGUAGAGCAAGUUGAUCUUGAUGAGAUAGGUGAAGAACAGGCUCCAUGCAUAGCGCUAAGAAACAUGUCCAUUGGGGAUGUGUGUCCUAAGGAAUCCGAAGAGCCUCCACAUGCACAAGAUCAACCAUCCUCCUCCACGCAAGCAUCUCCACCAACCCAAGAUGAGGACGAGGCUCAAGAUGUUGAACAAGAAAAUCAAGAAGAUGAGCCACCUCAAAAUGACGGCAACGAUCAAGGGGGAGAUACAAAUGAUCAAGAAAAGGAGGAUGAACAAGAACCAAGGCCGCCAUACCCAAGAGUCCACCAAGCAAUCCAACGAGAUCACCCCGUCGACACCAUCCUCGGCGACAUUCAUAAGGGGGUAACCACUCGAUCUCGUGUUGCACAUUUUUGUGAACAUUACUCUUUUGUUUCCUCUAUUGAGCCACACAGGAUAGAGGAAGCACUUCAAGAUUCGGAUUGGGUGGUGGCAAUGCAAGAGGAGCUCAACAAUUUCACGAGGAACGAGGUAUGGCAUUUAGUUCCACGUCCUAACCAAAAUGUUGUAGGAACCAAAUGGGUCUUCCGCAACAAGCAAGAUGAGCAUGGUGUGGUGACAAGGAACAAAGCUCGACUCGUGGCCAAAGGGUAUUCACAAGUCGAAGGUUUGGAUUUCGGUGAAACCUAUGCACCCGUAGCUAGGCUUGAGUCAAUUCGCAUAUUAUUGGCCUAUGCUACUUACCAUGGCUUUAAGCUCUAUCAAAUGGACGUGAAAAGUGCCUUCCUCAACAGACCAAUCAAGGAAGAGGUCUAUGUUGAGCAACCUCCCGGCUUUGAAGACAGUGAGUACCCUAACCAUGUCUAUAGGCUCUCUAAGGCGCUUUAUGGGCUCAAGCAAGCCCCAAGAGCAUGGUAUGAAUGCCUAAGAGAUUUCCUUAUUUCUAAUGGCUUCAAAGUCGGCAAGGCCGAUCCUACACUCUUUACUAAAACUCUUGAAAAUGACUUGUUUGUAUGCCAAAUUUAUGUUGAUGAUAUUAUAUUUGGGUCUACUAACGAGUCUACAUGUGAAGAGUUUAGUAGGAUCAUGACACAGAAAUUCGAGAUGUCGAUGAUGGGGGAGUUGAAGUAUUUUCUAGGAUUCCAAGUCAAGCAACUCCAAGAGGGCACCUUCAUUAGCCAAACGAAGUACACUCAAGACAUUCUAACCAAGUUUGGAAUGAAGGAUGCCAAGCCCAUCAAGACACCCAUGGGAACCAAUGGGCAUCUCGACCUCGACACGGGAGGUAAAUCCGUCAAUCAAAAGGUAUACCGAUCGAUGAUUGGUUCAUUGCUUUAUUUAUGUGCAUCUCGACCGGACAUUAUGCUUUCCGUAUGCAUGUGUGCAAGAUUCCAAUCCGACCCUAAGGAAUCCCACCUUACGGCCGUAAAACGAAUCUUGAGAUAUUUAGCUUAUACUCCUAAGUUUGGGCUUUGGUACCCUCGGGGAUCCACAUUUGAUUUGAUUGGUUAUUCGGAUGCCGAUUGGGCGGGGUGCAAAAUUAAUAGGAAGAGCACAUCGGGGACUUGCCAGUUCUUGGGAAGAUCCUUGGUGUCUUGGGCUUCAAAGAAGCAAAAUUCGGUCGCUCUUUCCACCGCCGAAGCCGAGUACAUUGCCGCAGGACAUUGUUGCGCGCAAUUGCUUUGGAUGAGGCAAACCCUGCGGGACUACGGUUACAAAUUAACCAAAGUCCCUUUGCUAUGUGAUAAUGAGAGUGCAAUCAAAAUGGCCGACAAUCCCGUCGAGCAUAGCCGCACUAAGCACAUAGCCAUUCGGUAUCAUUUUCUUAGGGAUCACCAACAAAAGGGGGAUAUCGAGAUUUCUUACAUUAACACUAAAGAUCAAUUAGCCGAUAUCUUUACCAAGCCUCUUGAUGAACAAACUUUUACCAAACUUAGGCAUGAGCUCAAUAUUCUUGAUUCUAGAAAUUUCUUUUGUUAGCUUGCACACAUAGCUCAUUUGAACACCUUUGAUCAUAUCUCUUUUAUAUGCUAUGACUAAUGUGUUUUCAAGUCUAUUUCAAACCAAGUCAUAGGUAUAUUGAAAGGGAAUUGGAGUCUUAGGCGAAGACAAAGGCUUCCACUCCGUAACCCAUCCUUCGCCAUCGCUCCAAGAAAAGGACCUUGUCCUUGGGGGAGAAAGUAAAAGCCCAAAGCAAAAGGACCGGAUUUCGUCUUUGGUAUAAUCUUAACUCGUUUACUUAUGACCAAAGGGGAAGAAAUUACUUCGAGGGCUCUAAUGAUUCCGUUUUUGGCGAUUCAUGCCAAAAAGGGGGAGAAAUGAGCCCAAAGCAAAAGGACCGCACCACCACCAAAUUCAAAAACUUAGUGCUUUCCAAAAGUAUUUAUCAAUGGGUAUCCUAUUGUGUUCAAAAGGGGGAGAAAGUAGUAUUUCAAAAAUGGUAUAUCAAAACCCUCUUGAACACUAAGAGGUGGAUCUCUUUUAGGGGGAGUUUUGUUAAGUCAAAAGAAAAGCAUUUGAAACAGGGGGACAAAAUUUCAAAUCUUGAAAAUGCUUUACAAACUCUUAUUCAUUUACCUUUGACUAUUUGCAAAAGAUCUUUGAAAUGAAUUUACAAAAAAUUUUGCAAAAACAAAACAUGUGGUGCAAGCGUGGUCCAAAAUGUUACAUAAGAAAGAAACAUUCCAUGCAUAUCUUGUAAGUAGUUAUAUUGGCUCAAUUCCAAGCAACCUUUACACUUACAUUAUGCAAACUAGUUCAAUUAUGCACUUCUAUAUUUGCUUUGGUUUGUGUUGGCAUCAAUCACCAAAAAGGGGGAGAUUGAAAGGGAAUUAGGCUUACACCUAAGUCCUAAAUAAUUUUGGUGAUUGAAUUGCCCAACACAAAUCUUUGGACUAACUAGUUUGCCCAAGUGUAUAGAUUAUACAGGUGUAAAAGGUUCACACUCAGCCAAUAAAAAGACCAAGUUUUGGAUUCAAUAAAGGAGCAAAGGGGCAACCGAAGGCACCCCUGGUCUGGCGCACCGGACUGUCCGGUGUGCCACCGGACAGUGAACAGUACCUGUCCGGUGCACCAGGGGACUCAGACUCAAACUCGCCACCUUCGGGAAUUUCCAGGGCGACUCGGCUAUAAUUCACCGGACUGUCCGGUGUACACCGGACAGUGUCCGGUGCGCCAAGGGAGGUCGGCCUCAGGAACUCGCCAGCUUCGGGAAACGCCAACGGCUAGCCCGCUAAAAUUCACCGGACUGUCCGGUGCGACUCCGGAGCAACGGUCAUCUCCACGCCAACGGCUCUCUGUCGCGCAUUUAAUGCGCGCUCUGCGCGCGCAGGAGUCAGAAUCGCCCAUGCUGGCACACCGGAAUCAAACAGUACCUGUCCGGUGUGCACCGGACACCCAGGCGGGCCCACAAGUCAGAAGCUCCAACGGUCAGAAUCCAACAGCAGUGAUGACGUGGCAGGGGGCACCGGACUGUCCGGUGUGCACCGGACUGUCCGGUGCGCCAUCGAACAGACAGCUCCACCAACGGCCACAUUUGGUGGUUGGGGCUAUAAAUACCCCAACCACCCCACCAUUCAUUGAUCCAAGUUUUCCACUUCUCAACUACUACAAGAGCUCUAGCAUUCAAUUCUAGACACACUAAAAGAGAUCAAAUCCUCUCCAAUUCCACACAAAGCCCUAGUGACUAGUGAGAGUGAUUUGCCGUGUUCAUUUGAGCUCUUGCGCUUGGAUUGCUUCUUUUCUUUCUCACUUGUUCUUGAGAUCACAACUCCAUUGUAAUCAAGGCAAGAGGCACCAAUUGUGUGGUGGCCCUUGCGGGGAAGUUUUGUUCCCGGCUUUGAUUUGAGAAAAGAAGCUCACUCGGUCCGAGGGACCGUUUGAGAGAGGGAAGGGUUGAAAGAGACCCGGCCUUUGUGGCCUCCUCAACGGGGAGUAGGUUUGCAAGAACUGAACCUCGGUAAAACAAAUCUCCGUGUCUCACUUGCUUAUUCGCUUGGGAUUUGUUUUGCGCCCUCUCUCGCGGACUCGUUUACAUUUCUAACGCUAACCCGGCUUGUAGUUGUGUUUAUAUUUGUAAAUUUCAGUUUCGCCCUAUUCACCCCCCCUCUAGGCGACUAUCAAUAGGUCUCAUAGCCGCGUCGUUGCUUGGACUGCUGACAGUACCCUGCCUUCAGCGGCAGCUUGUCCCCAAGCAGGCGCUGACGGGAAACGUUGUUAGAGAGCUUCCAAUUCCUCCCAGGUAGCCAGAGACUGAGGCAGAGACGACCAUUGCACCAGGCCUUGCUGCACCGCACGAACUCCGCGAGAUAUCACACGACGCUGUAAAAUAGCCACUGGAACUUGAAAUGGGUCAGUAAUAUCCGGUAUGUCAGCAGAUACUUGCGAUGGUGGUGGGAUGAACCGUUUCAGCUGGGAAACGUGAAAGACAAGGUGCACAGUGGAGGCCUUUGGUAAGUCCAGUUUGUAGGCAGAGGCACCAAUAUUGGAUAGCACCUGGUAUGGACCAAAGUAGCGAAAACACAACUUCUGGUUAGCACGGAGACCAGCGAGGUCUGGACAUACGGUUGAAGUUUCACAAAGACCUAGUCUCCCACUUGGAACGAACGCUCGGAGCGGCGCUUAUCCCCUUGGUGCUUCAUACGCUGUUUGGCCCGGUGGAGAUGUUGCUGCAACAGCAUGUGGAUACGCUUCUUAUCCUGGAGAAAUGCAGCUAAGUCAGAGGAAGAGGAAUCCAGUGCCUGAAUACCAAAGUGCCUGAAAACAUAUCCAUAGAGUGUUUCAAAUGGUUAUCUGUCAAUAGCAGAGUGGUGACUAGUGUUAUACCAAAAUUCUGCUAAGGCAAUCCAGCUGGCCCAUUUGGAGGGACAAGUGUUCACAAAGCAUCUCAGAUAUGUCUCGAGGCACUGAUUAACAUGCUCAGUUUGCCCGUCUGUUUGAGGAUGAUAAGCACUGCUCAUAUGGAGAUUGACUCCAGCCAGCUUGAAUAGCUCCUUCCAAAAAUUACUUGUGAAAAUUUUAUCACGGUCCGAGACGAUAGCAACCGGAAGUCCAUGCAUCUUGUAAACAUGCUGGAAGAAGGACUGGGCAAUGGUUAGAGCUGAAAAUGGAUGUGACAAUGGAAUGAAGUGCACAUACUUAGUAAAUAAGUCGACCACCACUAGUAUGCAAUCAAAGCGUUGGGACCGUGGCAACCCUUCAAUAAAGUCCAUCGAGAUUGUAUGCCACACAACUUUGGGCACUCGCAAGGGCUGGAGUAACCCAGGUAAAUGGGCUCAGUCUGGUUUUGCUUGUUGACAAGUGACACAGGCAGCCACCCAAUUCUGGACAAAAGAUUUGAGGCUCGGCCAUGCAAGUACUUGCUUGAGCUUCCUGUAAGUAACGGGCACGCCAGAAUGGCCACCAACAGGGCUAUGGUGGAAUGCUGCUACCAAUUUGUGGUGAAGUUGAGGGUUAGAGCCAACCCAAAUUCUAUUCUUGUACCUUAAAAGACCAUCUUUAAGGGAGAAAUGGUUAAUAGAGGAUUCAUCAAGUGAAAGUUUGGCCAACAUUUCCUGAGCCUUAGCAUCAUUCAAAUAAGAUUCGGCCACUGCUGACGCCCAUGAAGGAGCCAUUAUGGAAAUAGCAGCACAACUAGAGUCAUGAGAAGGCUUGCGAGAGAGAGCAUCAGCCGCAGUGUUGUCACUACCUUUCUUGUAAACUACCGAAUACUGUAGCCCCAACAGCUUAUAAAAGACCUUUUGUUGCCACACUGUGUGUAGACGUUGUUCAUUGAGGUGGAUUAAGCUCCUUUGAUCAGUGUGAAUGAUAAACCGGGCAUGUUGCAGAUACGUUCUCCAAUGGUCAAUGACCAUUAAUAUGGCGAGGUACUCCUUCUCAUAUGUGGAGAGUCCUUUAUUCUGUGGUCCAAGUGCCUUACUCACAUAUGAGAGGGGGUGUCCUCCUUGCAUAAGCACUACGCCGAUGCCUUGAUCACACACAUAUGUUUCGAGUAUAAAUGGUUGGGAGAAGUCGGACAAUGCUAAAACAGGGGCUUGGCUCAGUUUAGUUUUCAGACAAUGGAACGGAAUGUCAUGUUCUUGUGUCCAAAUGAACUUGGUAUUUUUCUUGAGCAGGAGAGUCAGUUGCUUCGAAAUAAUUCCAAAGUGCUGCACAAACUUCCUGUAGUAUGCCGCAAGACCAAGGAAACUACAGAGUUCCUAAAUAUUGGUAGGUGUCGACCAAUUAACCACUGUUGUAACCUUGUUUGGAUCUGUCUGAACACCAGUUUCGCUGAUCACAUGACCAAGGUAGGAUAUGGAACGAGUGGCAAAGGUACAUUUAGACAGCUUCACUUGCCACUGAUCCUUCUGCAAGAGAGAGAGAACUGUUGAUAGAUGCUCCACAUGAUCAUCGAGAGUUGAACUGUACACCAAUAUAUCAUCGAAGAAAACCAAAGCGAAUUUGCAAAGGACUGGCUGUAAUGUGGAGUUCAUGGCGCUCUGGAAUGUUGCUGGGGCACCAGUCAAGCCGAAGGCCAUAACACGUAAUUCAUAGUGGCCAUUGUGGGUUUGGAAAGCAGUUUUGAACUCCUCGCCCUCUUUCAGCAGAAUCUGAUGGAAUCUGGCUCGAAGGUCCAGACUAGAAAACCAACUCGCUUCUUGUAGUUCGUCCAUUAAUUCCUCAAUGAUAGGAACUGUGUACUUCCUCUUAAUUGUGAGUGCAUUUAGGUGUCUAAAGUCGACACAAAAUCUCCACGAUUGAUCCUUUUUGCAUACCAACAACAUAGGACUGGAGAACGGACUGCUGUUAUGCUGAAUAAUACCUGACGAAAGCAUCUCACUAACUUGUCGUUCGAUCUCAUCUUUGACAGUCGGGGCAUAACAGUAUGGCCUAAUAAACACUGGCUGGUAACGCUGAAUCAGAGGAAUGGAGUGAUCACAAGAGCGAUAAGGUGGCAUACCUUGGGGAAUAUCAAACACUGGCUGAAAAUGUUGCAAUACCGCAGAGAUUCUGGGGUGGAGCUCGACAGUUACUUGGUCGUUGUCCGUGGCAUCCAUCAGGUAAACCACAUGGAACAAUUCACUAUUGUGGGGCUGCUGACACUUGCCUUGAAGCACAAUAGUGUGGCCAUGGUAAGGAAGUGAUAACCAUUUUUCUGUCUAAUGAAUUUUCAUAGGGCUGAAUUGUUCGAGCCAAUCCAUUCCCAAUACCACAUCAUAAUUUAGUAAAGGAAAUACCCUGAAAUCUGUGAAGAAAUUGUAGCCCUGAACUGACCAUUGAAUUUGAAAAGCUCUGAAAAACUGUGAACAUGAAACAUUGCCUCCAUCUGCCACCUGAACAGUCACUGGGUGAGGAAGAGAUGAAAUACCAGAGAGCUUCACAGCUAAUGCAGAGCUAACAAACGAAUGGGAGCUGCCUGAGUCCACUAACAGUAUAACAGGAUGCCCUUGACACUCACCAGAUAGUUGUACAGUACGGCGAGAAGGAGUACCUGACAUAGCUGACAUUGACAAGGACAACAACUCACCUGAUGGUUUGGGUUCAGUUUCGGUUGUGUUUGUGCUGGAAUCUUCUUCAAUUAACUCCCACAAUUCUUGUAGAGCAUGAAGUUGAACUGUUGGUGCACAACGAUGGCCAGGCACCCAUUUGUCUGCACACCUGUCGCACAACCCACGAGCUCGGCGAUAUGCUUUCAGAGAUGCCAACUUUUCAUCCACCUGACGCUGGCGAGGAACUGCAUAUACUUUGGCAUGAUCAGCCACCACCGUCUCAGCUUGGGGAGGUCGGGGAAGAGGCAUCGGGGAUUGAGCUGGUCUUGUGGAAGGGGAGGAAAUAAACUUGCGAUAAUCAACCUGAGCCGGCUCUGAGACUUCUUCUUGCAGUUGGGCAAGAGCACAAGCAGUAUCGAGAUUUGGAGGACGUUGUAACAAAACAGCAGACUUAAUGUGAUCUUUUAAGCCAUCGAUAAACUGCAUAGUAUAGAAACGAGGGUCUGUGUGAGACUCAUAGGCCAACAACUGAUCAACUAUUCCAGAAAAUUGUUCAAUAUAAGUAGCUAUGGUGGUGGACUGUUUAAUGUGGAAAAGCUGUCGAAUCAGGGUGUCGUGCUGAUCCCGACCAAAGCGCUGAAGCAGUAAUCUAGUGAAUUCCGGCCAGGGGUAAAUUCGAAACUGAGGGCCUAAUGACUGCAACCAGCGGGAAGUCGGCCCUGUGAAAUGCAUGGUAGACACACGAAUCCAAGCGGUGGGAUCAACAUUGUAUAAAUCAAAGUAGUCUUUGCUACGAGUGAUCCAUAAACGGGGGUUGUCGCCAUCAAAAGGGGGAAACGGAACCUUUGGUAAGGGACCAAAAUUGGAGGACUGUGUGAACCCCUCUGUGUGCCCUCCUCCCAACCGAUGAGGGGAACCGAGAAGAUGGGAAAAUGUGGGUGAAUCGGACGGGAGCAUACCAUUGGGCGGGAGGUGGGUGGAUGCGAACAUGCGUCCAAAACCAGCCUCCCGAUGAUUUGAGUCUAAGUGGUGCCCGUCGGGGCCGUUAGUCCAUUCUCUGGUAGGUGGGCGCACGGGUGCCGACCCAAAUGUGCCGAGGAUGCCAGGCUUGAGGUGGUCCGGCUCUGGUGGACGGCGUUCCCAUGAGAGAGACAAGUUGUCGACAAUGGCUUGUACAGCUUUGACACUGAGUUUGAAGUCAGUGACCAUCGACUCCAUGGUGGGGCGCCACGCCUCAAAGGUCGAGGUAGUGGAUUUGAGCGCCGAGACGCGCGAAAUCGUGGCCGCGGCUGCCCGAUCUGUGCGCUCCGUCGCGGAAGAGACGAAGAAUUCCAACUGAGCAGUGACAUCGGUAUGGAUGUCCGCCUUGAGGUCGUAGAACUGAUCGGCGGCCGCCGCUGCCGACCGCUCCAGAUCACCGACGCGUGACUCCCAUUUGGUGUCAUGCGCGGCGAACUUCUUGUCGAGCUCGUUGAGGAAGGAACGAGUUUGUGCCUCCAAAGCGAGCUUGAUUUGGGGAUCCAUAGCGCCUAGGGUUUUGGCUCGGCGGGUGUACUGGAUCGGCUCCAGAUCCGAGGAUCGAUGUCUUUGAUACCAACUGUUAGCUACUAGAGAAGGGGAAGGAGAAGGGAGCAGGACGGCGCCAGGAAGGAGGAAUACUUGACAAGGGGAAGAAGAUAGGUAGAAUUGUUCUGUUCUUUUUCGAUGCCAUCUCCAGUUCGGAUACAGACAACAUAUAUCACAAUUCCAUGGGCCUGCCUAUUACAAGACUAAAGCACCCAAUUUAGGCUAGAAACCUUGCUGUUGGGCUUUAGCUUCCUUUUCACCCUUGGCUCCUGCAGCGCUCUAUUCGGAACAGUCGGUGACACAGGUCUCAUAGCCGCGUCGUUGCUUGGACUGCUGACAAUGUCGCAGUGGAUGAUGCACUCGCGGCAGCUUUGGUGCAGGUAGCACAGUCCUCUUGCGACCCCGACGGCGAUUCUGUACCUCUUGCUCCAAUCCAGCGCAAUGGCGAUGACGACGCUCGUAUUGUAGUACCUUCAACCAGUGAUAUGAAAUUGUGAAGUAAAUGCUUAUUUGCAUAUCUAUGGAUUCUCAAGCAAAUCUGUAGAAACACAUAACUGAAUAGAGGAUGAUUAAAAAAAUAAUGAUCUAGAAAAGAAAAACCGGAGUGAAGAAACUAUUGUUACUUUAGCAUGAAAACCUAAGAAACACACCUUAUAAUCCCUGCUGAAAAAAUGCUUAUCCGCCAACUAAAUUUCAUAUUCCUAUGCAUUAUUAUAAGUAGUAAAUGUAGUAUAUAAUAUGUAUCUGAAGUACUCUAUAAGUGGAAUGAUCGGUCCAAAAGGCAAAGCAUUUCAUAUAAAGAUCUAGUUCCACAGUUCUCCAUCCCCAAAUAGCAUCACAAUCCAAAAGGCAAAGCAUUUCAUAUAAAGAUCUAGUUCCACAAUUCUGCAUCCCCAAAUAGCAUCACAGUCCAAAAGGCAAAGCAUUUCAUAUAUAAGAUCUGGUUCCACAGUUCUGCAUCCCCAAAUAACAUCACAAUAUAAAGCGCCUGGUUUCCUACCUAGAUUUUCUUAGGAUGUAAGCUACAAGACUGAUACAGAAUAAAAUAAGAACAGAAGCUAUAAUAAAAAUUCGAUUUUUUCACAUCAUUAAAAAAUUAACACGAACAAUUUAUGAUAUGUAUUACAAUAGUAAAUAUUUAGCUUUGUCUUAGUUUCACAAUCAAUCAUUUUAAUAGAUGAGCAUGAGAUGCAAAAAAAUGAUCACCUCUUUCUAACUGCAGUACCAGAUAAAACACCACCAUAUGGACGGUUCAGUCCUUCAAUUCCUUGACAACUUGGACCUCUUGGACUCAACAGGUCUCAGGUGUGGAAUAUGCAAUUCAAGCAUAUGGAAUAUUUAUGAGAAGAAGUUGAUGUUGUGCAUUGUACACUACAUGGACCUAGUUUUCUUCCAUAUAAAAUUAUUAAAUUAGUUAAUAAUGUGCAUUACAUCGACAUGUCGAGAGACCACUUAUGAUACAACUCUGCAAGCAUUCCAUUCAUCCCAUGUAUUCAAUUCACUUUAACCUAAAGAAACAUGCUUCUUAUUGGCAAGUGUGGAACUUUCACCACAGGUUAAACAUGAAGACAAUGAUCUCUUCCCAAAGAACAAUAUCAGCCAUGUUAUCAGGGAAGACAACAUUCUAAAGAUGCAGUGCAAGCUGUGCACUCCCCUCCCCCCUAAGAAGCAGAGUCGGUACUACCGACCUCGUGUUAAUGUGAGAACCAGGACCAACCCUUGUGGUGAUGCUUUUCCAUGCAAGAAAAAGCAAACACUCGAUCAAAACUCCACCAAAGAAACAAACACGAAACAGGAGGGAUGGCGAAACUGAGCAGAUCAGACCGGGCAGGACGCACCUGGUUGUCGCCGUAGACAUGGGGUAAGCGAGUCCAAAGCUUGCCAUGGCCGGCGCCCUAGAUCUCCGCUCGGAUCUUGACCGCACCAAGCAAUCGACGUGAGACGACAAGCAGGGUUUAUUCCUCUGAACCGUAGAGCUUCUUCUUUGCCGACGUGUUGGAGAUGGAAAUCUGUAGGGUGAACUUGCAUCGAGAUCUGCAGGAAGGGAGGGAGACGGUGAGCCGAUGCUGACCUCAUCCCUUCGCAGGUGUGUGCCACACUGGGCCGCUCCUUGCCGGAGAUGCGUCGUACGAGGCUACACCUGGGGAAGGAGGGAGCGACGAACUGGGCACGAGCACCCAUGAAUCCACCUAUCCUUCCAAAAAAGGUUGUCGAACCGUUGCCAAUAGUGGUAGCCACCGCAGCCUGGAAUCCACUCCAAGGUUUGGAAGGAGCAGUUUUCUGGAGCCAAAGCCAAUGAAUUUACAGGGCCCAGUUCAUAGUGAGGAGAUUGGGAAUUCUAAGGCGUCCCAAAUCAAAAGGCCUAGUGACCUUAUCCCAAGACAUAAGACAAUUUCCUCCUCUAGCCUCCUUCCUUUCCACAGAAAACUCCUAAUUUUGUCAAUGGCUCUAAAAGCCCAUUUUGGAGCACUGAGGGCAAUUAACAGAUACACUGGGGUAGCAGAGAGGACAUAUUUGACAAGGGUGAUUCUCCUAGCAAGGUUUAAAGACCAGCUUUCCAUCUUAAAAGUUUAUCAGCAAUUUUCUCAAUCCAAGGAGUGAGCUCUCCAACAAUAUGCCUUUUGUUGAUCAGGGGGAGGCCAAGAUAAGUUGUUGGAAAGCAUUUAGAGGCACAACCCAUAAUUUGAAUAGCCAGCUCCACCCUUUCAAAAUCACAGCGAAUUGGGUAAGACAAACUUUUUUGCAGAUUAGUCUGGAGGCCAGAGGCCACACCGAAGCCUUUCAAGGUUUCUUUGAAUACCUAGUCCACUGCAUCAGGCUUAAUAAAUACUGCAACGCCAUCCACAAACAUAGAUACUAUUUGGUUGACAUUUCUACCAGCAAGGGGCUGCAAAAGGCCAUACUCAUCAGCUUGGACAAAGAGGCUGUUAAGAACAUCCAUUACAAGUAUAAAAAACGGAGGGGAUAGGGGAUCUCCCUACCUCAACCAUAACCAUCUGACCCAAAGAGCCCACCCAAGCUUUUGCAGAUCAUGAAUACUGUAACACCCCUGGUGUUUAUAUUUUGCUCGACAACGAGUAUGGAUUUAAGCAUGGGAUAUCAGCAAUAAUAACGAUCUCUAUGUUCUAAUAUUCACCUAUCAUAAUUUUGAUAUCAUUUUCAUCUCUAUCUAUCCGACCUAAUCUAAAUGUUUCGCAAAGUUAGAACGUAUUUGUUUCGGAAAUAUGCGAGUCUGGUGAUUAUUUAAAAUUCAUCGAUUUGCUCAAAUACGAAUUUGGAAACUUAGUCCAGUCUUCCAAUUUCGUCCCAAACAAAAUUUAUUAGAAGCCCGACGAUAAGAGUGUUGAUGCGAGAUUAAAUUGGAUCGAGAUAAUUUGAACUGAUAUUGAGUAUUCAUAACUAAUAUGUUUCCAUGUUCAGACUGUAGAUAAAAUUAUCGGGUUUCGAAUCAAAUCAAAUUAAGCACAGUCUUAAUAUAUUGACUCUGAUGUCGUUUGGUUUGGUCCAUCGACAUCUCGUCUAAAACACUAUCUCAUGUAUCGCCUGCAUUUCUAUCCAUUUGGACUAUUAUAAAAAUUUUAUGAAGUUUGAAAUUUAAAAAUCCUUCAAUAUGUCGAGUCUACGCUGUUCGAAUAGCAUGUGAUCUUCGUCUGAACUCAACUGGGUCAAAUACAAUUUAAAGUAUCGGUCCCGACCUCGUUUGGUUCGGUCUGUGUGUUCCUCGCCCAGAUCCAAAUUUUUGGAUAUAGAUAACGGGUAGGAAUUCAUCUGACUCCAGAAUAUUCACUAAAUAAAAUCCUAUCCAAAUAUUGUGGUCAAUCUUAUUUUGGUUCGACCCUUUUGUACAUCUUUUAGAACUUAAUUUCAGUCUCGAUCUCGUUUGGUUCAUUCUGAUUGCGAUGACGCGCUCGAAUCACAUAGUUCAAAAUUUAUUUAUUUCAUAAAGUGUCAAGUCCGGUGCCAGUUUAAAAUUAAUCGAAUAAGGCAAAUUGGAAAUUUCACUCAAGUAUUUCCCUUUGUUCGAGCGAUCUCUACAAAUUCGGCAGAGACACUACUAGGGACAGGCUGUUUAGAUAAAUCGAACCCGAACUAACCAAAACAAAUGAAAAUUAAAAUAGCGAAGUCGGUGUCGUGGUUCGCUCCAAUUUCGUCUCGCCCAGAUACAAAUGACGGGUAUAAAUGACUGGUAAAAAUUUAUCAGAGUAUUGGGAUAUCUACCAAAUCAAACAUUGUUCCAAUAUUGUUGUCAAUCUCAUUUUUGUUCGAUCCUUGAUUACAUCUUUUAGACCCUAAUUUUAUAACAUCAAAAUAUCUGCUUUUUCUUUUGUAAAAAAGAAUGGAGGAAAAAACUUCUUUUACUUCUCCCACCGUCAUACUCCCUCAGCCAUAUCCAAAUCGUCCAUCUCCCUCACAGCAGCCGCCCUCCCAUUUUCUCAGCUCGACCACAACCAUAGCUUGGUGGUCGACAUGCCCCUGCUCCAGCCUGGCCGCCCAUCUUGGGUCCUCAUCUCCAUCUCUCAGCUGCUCAGCUCCCUGGUGCUCGCCCUCCCCUGCUCUCAGGACAGCAGGGAGCCGUCGACCUCUCCAACUCGGCCGGCCAUGGCACCGCUUCCCCAAGUGUCACACUGGAGCUCGCCCAACCCUCUCCCAUCUCCUUCCCCAAGCACAAGUCCCAUGGUCGAGCUCACCCCUGUAGGAGCUCCCUAUGACGCCUAGAUUUUCAAUUUCCUAUGAGUUUUUCCCCCACGUGCAAUCCCGGCAUCGUCGUCGUGUUUAGUCACGAUGAUUCUCAACUACCCUAUUUUUAUUUCAUUGAAUUUCUAAUGCGAGCAGAAAUUUUUUUGGUGCUAUGUUAAUACGAUGUUAUGUGUAUAUGUGUGUGUUUGUGUGAGUAAGAGGAACCGCAGGUUUUUGCGUAGAGAGGAAAGUCGUGUGGCGCGUGCUAGGUGUUUGAUGGAAUGGAUGAAUCAGAGAUCCUUGUUGCUCUUGCGAAAUCCAAGUCUAUUUAGUGUUGGUAAGCUAAUUUAUUAUUACAGUUGAUUGAAUUAUUAGAUGAAUGGAAUGGAUAUGUUUGGUGAAUAUAUAUGCAUCAUGAGUUAGUGGUAAUACCUCUUCGUGGAUAGUGACAUGAUUGUAUUCAUGAUUAUGGUUAAAAUAAGUGAUGACGGUAUUGAUGUUCGAAUCUGCACGUAUAGUUUUGAUUGUGCAACUAAUUGAGUGGAGUAAAUCAUGUGUUCUAUAGAAAUGUUAUAUACAAAAGUUGUAGCCAACUUCUUUAUCUUGUGUGUUUAAAAAUUUCAUGACCAUAGGUUUAGUAGUUUAGGAGUUAUGAUUUGUCCAAGUCCAGUUUCAGAAUCUGUCCAAAUUCUGUACAGGUUUCGAAAAUUGGAUUGUUUGGCUAAGCUAAAUUGAGAAUCAACCCUUAGUAAUUAUAGAAGAAUUUUAGUACUUUUCUUAAGAUUUCCAAAAAGUCUUGGAUCACUUUUUUGGUGGUCUAGAGACCAAGUUACAGCUGUUUGAACUAGAGUCUGAACUUUUUUUGGUGGUCUAGAGACCAAGCUACAACUGUUUGAACUAUAGAGUCUCAAUCUGUCCAAAUCUGGACAGAGAAGCCUGUUUGUAUUAACUGACUUUGAUAUGCAUUGAAUUGACCUGAUAUGUUUAUAAAUGAAUUGUAGACAAUUCUAUUAGCUUUCUAAAAAGUCUAGGAUCACUUGAUUUGGAUACCUGAGACUCCAAUUAUGGAUUUUUGAAGUGAGUAGUCGAAUUCUGUCUAAAUCUGGACAUAAUUUAUGUUUAGUUAUGUUUGACAUUUCUAAAGGUCGAAUCUUGUUGUGAUGGUAAUACAAAAGUUAUAGAGGACUUCAUAAGCUUUCCAGAAAGUCCUAGUUUAUCAUUUUAAGAUGAAUAUCUUGUGAGUUAUGAUUAAAAGAACUGACUGCUGUACUCAUGUCCAAAAUCAGCAAGUAUUAAGUUGAUUUCUGGAGUCAUUCUUGUUUGGCUAGGUAGGAUUAGUAAAUUCUUGAUUCUUGAGUGAUGAAGACUUAUUACAUAUAAUGGUUUCAUUUCAUUCUUGAGGUUUGCUCUAUACUUUAGUGCUUUUGGGAAGUAAAUGCUUUAGGGAAUGCAAUUGGUCUAGAGAUUACGUAGGCCUUCCGUGAGUAUGGCAAAAUUAAUAAUGUGAAAGGUUUAGUAGACAAGUAUACCUAGUAUUAUUAAGUUGUUUCGGUAGUGUGGUGUUUAUAAGUAUGAUAUGCUAUUCCCACUUGCACUUAACGUUUUGUCGUUCUAAGUUUUUGCUUCUAAGUGAUAGUCGAAUGGGAUUAUGUAAUGUGUUGAUCGUGUUUUUCUUGCUAGGAUAAUUAGUGAGAUACCUUAUUUAGUAGUGUAUAAUUCAUGUUAUUUGUAUAUGGUGGUUUAGAAUGUAGUAGAUUGCUUCUAUCCAUAUUUUGUUCUAGGUGUCUUUUAGUGAAGAAUCUAAGGUUAUUAGUUUUUAGAUGAAUGCUUAAUCUUAGGAGAAAAUAUAACCCGAGCAAAACCUGUUGCUAUAUGUUUGGUUAGGUCCAUUUGGCUUGAAGGUCAUAUUUGUGUAAAGUCAAAAGCAUCUAGUGCUACCGUAGUAAAGUUGAAAUGUCUUGCUUUAAGUGCUUAAUCUACUUCGGAUAGCAUUAUCUAGUCCGUACUAUUUAUACUCGUGCUCAUUCAUGUGCAUCUUGCAUAUCAUAUAGGUACAUUGAUUGAUCACGUGAUGUGGAGGACAAGAGCUGGGUUAAUCCCAAGAUGAUGCUGAUGAAUAAACCGGAAGAGUGGAUUAUCUGAUCAAGUACCAGGAUGAGAGAUGCUCACCAAGUGAUUGUCAUCUAACAACACUGACUUAGUGUUAUUCCAGGCAAGCCCCGGUGCAUUUGCCACCUCCUUCCGUUUUAAAAAGUUUUAUCACCUUGAAUGAUGCAUUAGGUGAUAGGAGUUGUGUGAUCAAACAGUUGAUGCAUUUCCUUCCUUGAUUAAACAUCCCUAAUACAUGUUUUAUGAAAAUUUAGUGAUGCUUAGCCCUACUUAUUACUUUAUGAUGGUUUUUAAAAAGAUGAUGUGUAACACGGGAUAUGGGAGUUUGUCAAAGAAAAGGACCUGUGAUGAUGAACCCAUUGUGGCCGCGAUGAUUUCAUCAUUCAAGUAGGGUACCUCUCUCAGGUAUCAAGUUUUGGGAAAUAAUAUGAAAUGUAGAUUCCAAAGUAGUUGCCGACCAGGUCAAAAAAAGAAUAUUCAGCAAAGGACCCCGCACUCAUGCAGUAUCUUAGCACAUGCUCUGUUUGCGUCCCUCCUCUCCUCCGCCAACUGACGCCUGAGAUCCUCCUUCUCGGCCUCCGCAGCCGCCAACCUCUUCGACAGUGUGCAGCUCUUGUUUUCCGCAGCUGACUUGUCCCGAACAGCAUCCGUAUGCUGCGCUCGGAGGCGCUCGAUCCGACCCUCGAGUCGUUGCCUCUCGGCAGCAAACUCCGAAGUCAGGGCGCCCGACGCAACAUGGUCGGCGAAGGCGGCCGCCUGCCACGAAAAAUCCAUCAGAUUCACAACCACAUAAAAACAACGAACUAACGAAAUCCAAGACGACUUACAUGCUUCAUCUGCUGCGACGCAUGCCUCAGCUGCUGGGACACAGAGCCCGCCACGUCUUUAGCGGCGACGACCGACGAAAUCUCAUCGCUGGCGCAGAAUUUGGACCAUGGGUCCUGCGAAGUACCCUUCGCUCCAACCACCGUCGUAGGCGAAGUGGCCGCCACCGGAGCCGGGACAACAGCCAGCUGCCCCGCAUCCGACCUUGCACCAUAACCUUGUUCUAGACCCAGUCGCCAAAAAAAACUCACCAACGAGGUAAUCCUCCAUGCAGAUGUCCGUGUCGAAGUCGGCACCACCCGCCUCCGCUUCGUCAGUGCGCACCGGCGACGACGGCCUUUGCUCCUUCGCGGGCUCAGCCGAGGGCGGCUUGCCCGCGCUGGAAGCAACAACCCUCGCACCCGCCGAAGACUUGCUGGGCCCGGGGACGGCCGGCUUCGCAGCCGGCGGUGGUUUGCUGCUGCCAAGGGCGAUGGACUUCGCGCCCCCCGAGCCCUCUUCACCUCGCGACUAGGGUCCUCGACCCUAGUGAACGCCCGGUGGUUCCGCGCCGCAUCUUGACGAUCCUUGUCCAUCACUGCCGAUACAACAGCAGCAAUAUUCCGUCCAUAAGGAAAAAUCUUCAUCUCACGGGCCAAAUGAGACGUAAAUAUGUCCUCGCUGGCCGCCCGGGGAAUCGGAACGUUCCUUGGCCAUCGACCCCCGGUAACCUUCAGCAUUCGUGCCAAAGACUCCCGGAGCUCGGGCGAAGACAUCCUUCCACCGAGGGCCGCACAAGUCCCCAUCAACUCCACAGCAAAACGAUCUGAAACCCCCAACCCUCCAACUGUAGUACCUAUUUUUCUCUUCUUAAUGGCUAGGGCAGCCUCCCGCGAAGGGCCUUCCUCAGCCAUGACCACUGGCUUUUUCCCGCGGCGGUCAACAGCCGCAGCAGCGUCGUCUCCAGGGUAACCACCGUAUGGCAAACGGUUUAACUCGAAGACCCGAUUCAAGCGAACAUUGGAUCCACGAAUAUUCCAACUCCGCAGACUCUCCGUCCUCGGCGCAUACCGCCCUACAAUCCUCACAGCCCCAUCCUCCACUUCACGAACGAAAGCGGCUGGGUCUCGGCCGCACAGAUCCAAAGCGAAGGCCGGACUUCGCACCAGCUGCUGGCCCAAAGUAGGCAACUAGCGAUGGCAUACUUCGCCCAGCACCCAGCCAUGUGCCAGGGGCCACACUCCAUAACCAAUGAAUUCCUCAACCAAAUCACGCCCGCUGCUCAUGCGGGCAGCGCACCGGAGGGCCACUUCGUCCUCAUCAUCCUCCGCCACCUCAAAUGGUGGGAUAGCCACAUAACAGUGGGAGCACAUUACGACCGCGAGGAGCCCUGGGAGGUCUUUGACUUCGCUUUCCCAAAACAUAAAACCAAUAAUCCCACCAGUUGCCCCACUUGUUGCGAGCACAGGGAACUAAUUCCACGACUUUCGUCGAAGUCUUUCCGGUCCUCGGUGUGAAGGUGCAUGAUCCAAACUGUGCAAUCUUACUUCCAAUCUUUCUCUUUUGCCAGUGCAGACAGUAAUUCUUGGUGAAGACCUCUACGGAAGGCUGACCGCCGUACGAAGUCACUGCCCAGACAUACUUCGCCAGGGCCACCACAGCGUUAGGUGUCAAAUGCUGGACCUGGACCUCAAACCUCUGCAGGACCUCCGCCAUGAAACGAUGCGCAGGUAGGCGAAGGCCGACGAUGAAGAACGCCUCAAACAUGACUAACACGCCCUCAGGCUCGAGAAUCUCUUCCGCCCCCGGGACACGCCCAACACCGUUCCCAAAAUACCCCAACUGCUACAUAUCCUUCACGCGAACCGAGGAAAUCCUCGAAACGCCGAACUCCACCGUGUGGCCCGGCUGUAACUCCACCGCCGCCAAAUCGCUCAAGGUAUCUUCGGACGACGAAUCGGUUGGCGGCACAUUUGCAGCAGAUGAGGAAGAAGACGACAUUGCUAUGUACAGUCAGCGGCGGCGCGCGGUUUGCUUGACGCGGGCCAGAUCUCUGAUGCAGAGAAACAAGGAGGGCAGGUGAGCGGGCGAGUGGUUUCAAAAGCUUAGGGUUUUCCGGUGCAUGCAAAGGUAAGAGUCAGCCCGAGCCGCCCUGCCCCUUUUUAUACACACGGCGCGGCGCUUCGGGAAACCCGUAGUCCAACAGUGCCACGUCCAUCAAAGGUCACCUCAAAAACCCCGUUGGACCACUUCGAGCGAGGGUAGCGUCUCCACCAUCUAGCGACGUCUUCGGCACCAGAUAACUCAGUCGAACUGGUCCCUCGGAGGGCAAAUAUUGGGGCGAAGGCGAAGACGCUACCCUUCGCACGAAGCCUUCGUUGCCUCGCUACACCAACGAAGGCGAGAUGAUCGGCGCGGUUGCCCCUCGUCCUCUCCAUUGCAAGACAAAGGCCAGACUCCGACGAAGUCUGCUAGUCCCGCGUCCUCAUCUCGCCCAGAGGCCCACGUGGAAUUCGGCCCACUGUAACGGUCCCCGCGUGGACAAGCAUGUUACGGGCCUCAUCUGUAAUAGCUUUUCUGUAAUGACGGUCUGUAACCUCCCUUUAUGGGAAUAUUCUGGGAAUAGUCCGGGUACCCAAGGGCAUAAAUGUCCUUGCCUUGGGACGUUGGACACUCGGGUACCUAUAAAUAUCCCCGUACAAUGCCCUUGAGAGGCUAGAUUAACAGAGCAAUUGGCAUCCCACGUUAAACUUUGCUUGCACUCUUUCCACUUCCCCGUUGGAUCCACUUUCCCAAGAUUCAACAAUUUUAUAUAUCAUCCAAUGAUGGUUUAGAUUUGCAGGUUCCAACAAUUUUCAUUUAAUUACAUAGAAAUUUCAAGAUUUUAUGGUAUUUUGAAUGUUUGACCACGUUUAAUAUUUUAUACCACAUUUAGAACAAUAUUAUAUUUUAUAUAUCAUCCAAUGAUGGUUUAGAUUUUCAUGAUCAUAUAUUCGUUUUAUAAAGCAUGGUUUUUAUUUUGCUAACGUUGAAUAUUUAAUUCAUGCAAGUUCUAUGUUCCAAUAUAUUAUUUUAGAUGUCGUAAAUAUUUUUGUUUUAUUUUGCAAGGUGCACAGAAUGCUCUACUAGUUGGUCAGAUAGGCAGAUUGAGUCGCGAGAUGGUAGUAAUCACCACUCUGUGCAAGAAAAGAUUGAGAUGGUCACCAUAAUGGGUAAUAUAGAUUACACACUUUGUUUUGAGAAACUCACUAAGCCCACAGUGGGCUCACCAUAAUAUGACCAUAAGAUGCUACAGUAUAACAUCAAUAAGGUCAAGUGGGAAAGAUACGUAAAGUGUUUGGUCAUAAUUAAGAGCCUCAUCAAGUACCCUAUUAAGAGUGUUAUUCCAGAGUGUGAGAUAGCCAAGAAGUACCUUAAGAAGAUAGCUUCUCAUUUCACUAGGUCCUCUAAGGCUUAUGCACGUUCCUUGAUGAUGGAGUUUCUCAAUGUUACGUACGAUGGAAGUGGUGUAAAGCUAUUUAUUCAGAACAUGAUUUGCAUUGUUACUAAGCUAAAUAGAUACCUCUCCGAGCCGAGCCUAAGAUGUUGGUGUCUAGUGUCCGACCGCACACCCGAGGGUACCCUCGUGGUGCUUUUUGGGUAGGACGGUGUUGCCGAUCGUAGCUCGAUGGUUCGUGCCAGAAGCACAAGAGAGAGAGAGAGAGAGAGAGAGAAAGAGAGAGAGACGGGCGAUUUUCUAUAGGUUCAGACCGCUUUUAGAGGCGUAAUACCCUACUUCAUGGGUGGCUUUGUAUGUGUGGCGUGUUUACAAGUGGUGUUUCCCGAAUGGAGAGGUGCUAAUGAGAUGAAAAUGAUGGGGCUCUCCCCAGGCCUUAUAUACGCGACCGUAGGGCACUCCCUACGCACACGCUGAUCACACUCUUCCAGCUUAUCUCCUAGCUAAUAGCAAACAAACUUUGCUUAUCUUGAGGAAAACUCGGUGGCUUCGUUUCGAGCUAUCCCCAGCGUUUGAGGGCGUCGGGCGCGGGAAAACGAACGGUCUCCUCGGGAUCAUGCCUAACCCCGCGAACGAUCCGGACGAGAGCCCAUCGCCUUCUUGGGUCGGUCCAUUUCAAUUGUUGUCUUUGCUCGGCCCACGAUGAGACGAUCUUGUGGGGCGACUGGUCUGUGUCCCCACGCAAGGGUUUUCGCCUUCUAGUGGACCCGGGGGAUAUCUGUCCCCCACAAGCCCCCAAUCUUUGAGUUGAUUUUGAAAUAAUCGACUCAAAGGUUCUUGGUCCUGCCUGUGGAUUUGUUGCAUGGCUUGAUUUUUUUUACUGUUGUUGGGUGCCAUUGGGUGUAGCCCCCGAGCUUUGAGUGGAUUUUAGAAGUAAUCCAUUCAAAGGUCUUCAUCUUCAUGCUUUUGAAACUAGCAUUUUGGCCUUAAGGUAUUGUGAAUCUGUUGGGUGCACCCAAAGAUACACCCAAUGGGUGUAGUCCCCGAGCUUUGAGUGGAUUUUAGAAAUAAUCCAUUCAAAUGUCUUCAUCUUCAUGCUUUUGAAAUUAGCAUUUUGGCCUCAAGGUAUUGUGAAUCUGUUGGGUGCACCGAAGGUGCACACCAAUGGGUGUAGCCCCCGAGCUUUGAGUGAAUUUUAGAAAUAAUCCAUUCAAAGGUCUUCAUCUCCAUGCUUUUGAAAUUAACAUUUUGGCCUCAAGGUAUUGUGAAUCUGUUGGGUGCACCGAAGGUGCACCUAGUGGGUGUAGCCCCCAAGCUUUGAGUGGAUUUUAGAAGUAAUCCAUUCAAAGGUCUUCAUCUUUACGCCUUUGAAAUCAUUUCCAGGAUAACCAGGCGAUGUCAUCUGUCCAUGCCUUGUUAGGUCUAGAAUCAAUUUGAUUGGUGACAAGUUGGACAUCUGGCUGGUUGAGUUAGAGGGCCUUCGGCUGGACACCACUCUGCCAUGUACUUUAAUGAUUCUGUUGAUUGGACUUGCGUUUCAGUAACCACAUUUGGGCUUCCUCCCGUUUCAGCUGAUCUCCUCUUUUUGUCGCGGUACAUUCAUUGCGUAUAUUUUGUGGGCAUCACCUCUUCAGAAAAUCUUGAAGGUUCUGGGCGAUACACCCAAUAGGUGUGCCCAAGGGGCGUCUGUCCCACGAAAGGUGUUUAUCACGUUGUACUGAAGUAGUAAUUUGAUGUGAUGGAGGGGUGUAAUCAUUUGCCUGAGCAGUUGACUUGGAUCCAAACGGUGUCGUGUUACGCGAAACGACGCCAGUUGCCUGACUCAUUUUUAGGCGGCUUGAAUUGCUUAUUGAAUUCUUGUGACUGUUCUGAGAGCACCUAGAGGGGGGGUGAAUAGGCGAUCCUGUAAAAUUCAACACUAAUAACCACAAAACUUGAUUAUGAAAGUUAGAACGGCUAAGUGCUUGAAGCGAGUUCUUGAACACAGAUAAUCAAAGGUAAAGAACACAAGAGACACACGAUUUUUAUCCCGUGGUUCGGCCAAGUAAUACUUGCCUACUUCCACGUUGUCGCGUCCCAAUGGACGAGGGUUGCACUCAACCCCUUUCAAGUGAUCCAAUGAUCAACUUGAAUACCCCGGUUUUUCCUUUCUUUGACUUUCUCCCGUUUGCGAGGAAUCUCCACAACUUGGAGCCUCUCGCCCUUACAAUGAUGAUCACAAAAGAAGCACGGAAGUAAGGGAGGGGAGAGCAACACACACAAGACUCAAUCAUAGCACAAUCACGCACACAAGUCACAACUUGAGCUCAAAACACAACCCACGGAGUUCACAACUCAAAUGGAGCUCAAGUCACUAUCUCAAAGAAUCAAAUGUGCGAAGUUGGAGUUUGGAGGCUUAGAAUGUUUCUUGAAUGCUUGGGUGACUCCUCCAUGCGCCUAGGGGUCUCUUUUAUAGCCCCAAGGCAGCUAGGAGUUGUUGGAGGCCAACAAGGAAGGCUAUCCUUGCCUUCUGUCGGGUGGCGCACCGGACAGUCCGGUGCACCACCGGACAACCACUGUUCAUGUCCGGUGCACGAUCUCCUUCCUAUUUUGGCGCAGACGACCAUUGCAGAUUCGUCGCAGUUGGCACACCGGACACUGUCCGGUGCACACUGGACAGUCCAGUGCCUCCUGCCGACCGUUGGCGAUGUCCACGCAUCACCCGCGGAUUGCGCGGUAGACCGUUGUGCUGGCGACCGUUGGCUCACCGGACAGUCCAGUGCACCACUGGACAGUCCGGUGAAUUAUAGUUGUACGCCGCCAAAUUCUCCCAAGAGCGGCAUGUUCACUGGAGUCCAGCCUGGCGCACCGGACAUUGUCCGGUGCACCACCGGACAGUCCGGUGUGCCAGACUGAGCAAAGAUUUGGCUGCACCGAGCCAAGUCUUUUGGUUCUUUUCUUUUCUCUGUUUCUAGCACUUAGACAAAAUAUGUUAGUACUCAAAACAAUGUACUAAGUCUAGAAAUGUACCUUGUUACAUGAUUUGCAUAUUUUGCUUGUUUGGCACAUAAUAUUUCACUCACUACGUGUUGGACACUUAAUCACCAAAACAUUAUAGAAAUGGCCCAAGGGCACAUUUCCCUUUCAUGUUCGGUGAGCCGGGUAGGAAGUGGACGGUCGCCCCUCAGCUUCUUUAAAUAGCCCGCUUGCCCUGGUUGUUGUCUUCACUCGCUCUUGAUCACUUGCUCUCUUAUUCUUCAUCACUUCUCCACCACUUUCUUCACGACCAUGGGCAGAGGCAAGAGGGGCAAGGGAUGGCCUCGCCGCGCUGACAGCAAGCGCAAGCGUCCUCCAAGUCCACCCUCGGAGGACUUUGGUGACUCAGAGUACUCGGAGGAAGUUUCUUUCGAGUAUGAUCGGUCGCUCGCACCAGUGUCCCUGGGACUCGGACGACUCCAUGGGGUUGUCCAUCGCGGCCCGAGCGUACUGGCGAUCCAUUGAGCACGUCGGGCUCGGUGGGUCGGACGAUUCGUAGGUGACCCCUCGGAGGAGGUGGAAGACUCCUCCGACUCCGAGGUGUGGAGCGGCGGCGAGGGCGAGGGCGGUGUGGAUGACGGGAGUAAAAAAUUAGUAUGAAACAUAGAUACAAAACGACAAAUCUUACUACGAUAUGCAAAUUCCAUAUGGCAAAAUAUCGCUAUAACACUAAUAUUAUAAAUAUUCCAAUGCAAAUAGAUUGAACUGAUGUCGAACAAAUACUAUCAAUAUCGCACAAAUUAUUUAUAAAGUGUCAAUAUAUAAUUUUUAAUGACAGUCAAAUAUGUCGACAAUCGUACAAUAAUCUAAUCUUUUUUAGAUAUAUUGAUAAGUCUGUGUUGUAUGUUUGCAGGGAUGGCAUAUCGACAUGAAUUGUCCUCAUAACUUAGCAGAUCGAUUACAAAGUUUCUUCGAAGAACUUUUGCAUCCUACACACAAAGACAUAAGAGAACAAAACGUCAGGUUUUUAUUAUAUAACCGAAAUGUAUGUUUGAACAUGACACGAACUUAGGUCACUCACUCUAACAAAUUUCAUUCGUCUGUUAUUCCCCUCACAUGGCCAUAGCUUGUAGAACAAGGUAGCUAGUAUUAACCCUAUAGAAUAAUGUUUGACAACUAUGUUAUAUACAAUUGUCGGCGUUUCGAACCCGGGGGGUCCCUGGACCGACGAGUAAAUUAUCGCCACGUGCCCCAGCCCAGAUGGGUCGGCGCGAGACGGAGCGCGAAGGGGGGAGGCAGCCGGAGGGAGACGGGCGUGAGAGGUGGAAUCCCGCGGCCUUCGUGUUUGUCCCGCACCCAGGUCGGGUGCGCUUGCAGUAGGGGGUUACAAGCGUCCACGCGGGAGGGAGCGAGCGGCCUCACGCGAGCGCCGUCCCGUCCUUCUCCGCGCGGCCAACCCUCGUAAGAGGGCCCUGUUCCUUCCUUUUAUAGGCGCAAGGAAAGGAUCCAGGUGUACAAUGCGGGGUGUAGCAGCGUGCUAACGUGUCUAGCGGAGGAGAGCUAGCGCCCUAAGUACAUGCCAUUGUGGCAGCCGGAGAGGUUUUGGCAACCGGUUCGUGUGGUGUCGUGGCCGUCGGAGGAGCGUUGGAGCCCGGUGGAAGGACAGCUGUCGGGGCUGUCGGGUCCUUGCUGAUGUCCUCUUGCUUCCGUAAGGGGGCUGAGAGCCGCCAUCGUCAUAAAGCGUGCGGGGCGCCAUCAUUACUUGUCUGGCGGAGCGAGCCAGAUGGGACGCCGGUUUUGUUCCCCGUAGCCUGAGUCAGCUUGGGGCAGGGUAAUGAUUGCGCCUCCUGUUGACGUGGUCGGUCCGUGCCCUAGUUUGGGCGAGGUGGAGGCUCCUCCAAGGUCAAGGUCGAGUCUGUCUUCCAAGGUUGAGGUCGAGUCCGAGCCCCCGGGUCGGACGAGGCGUAGACCGUCGGCUGAUGCUAGGGCUAAGUCCGAGCCCUGGGGUCGGGCAAAGCGGAGUUCGUCGUCCUUUGGGGCUGAGCCCGAGUCCGAGCCCUGGGGUCAGGCAAAGCGGAGUUCGUCGUCUUCCGGGGCUGAGCCCGAGUCCGAGCCCUGGGGUCAGGCGGAGCAGAGUUCGUCGUCUUCCGGGGCUGAGCCCGAGUCCGAGCCCUGGGGUCGGGCGGAGCGGAGUUCAUCGUCUUCCGGGGCUGAGCCCGAGUCCGAGCCCUGGGGUCGGGCGGAGCGGAGUUCGUCGUCUUCCGGGGCUGAGCCCGAGUCCGAACCCUAGGGUCGGGCGGAGCGGAGUUCGUCGUCUUCCGGGGCUGAGCUCGAGUCCGAGCCCUGGGGUCGGGCGAAGCGGAGUUCGUCGUCUUCCGGGGCUGAGCCCGAGUCCGAGCCCUGGGGUCGGGCGGAGCGGAGUUUUCCAUGGCGCCUAGGGCCGGACUUGGCUGCUGUCAGCCUCACUCUGUCAAGUGGCUCAGCAGUCGGUGCGGCGCAGGCGGCGCUGUCCUCUUGUCAGACCGGUCAGUGGAGCGGCGAAGUGACUGCGGUCACUUCGGCUCUGUCGACUGGAGGGCGUGCGUCAAGAUAAAGGUGUCAGGCCACCUUUGCAUUAAAUGCCCCUGCGAUUUGGUCAGUUGGCGUGGCGAUUUGGCCAAGGUUGCUUCUUGGUGAAGACUGGGCCUCGGGCGAGCCGAAGGUGUGUCCGUUGAUGGAGGGGGGCCUCGGGCGAGACGUAGAUCCUCCGGGGUCGGCUGCCCUUGCCCGAGGCUGGGCUCGAGCGAGGUGUGAUCGCGUCCCUCGAAUGGACCGAUCCUUGACUUAAUCGCACCCAUCAAGCCUUUGCAGCUUUGUGCUGAUGGGGGUUACCAACUGAGAUUUAGGAGCCUUGAGGGUACCCCUAAUUAUGGUCCCCGACAGUAGCCCCCGAGCCUCGAAGGGAGUGUUAAUACUCGCUUGGAGGCUUUUGUCGCACUUUUUUGCCAGGGGACCAGCCUUUCUCGGUUGCGUUUUGCUCCGGUGGGUGCGAGCGAGCGCACCCGCCGGGUGUAGCCCUAAGGCCUCGGAAGAGUGGUUUGACUCCUCCGAGGUCUUAAUGCCCCGCGCAAUGCUUCGGCUGGUCUGGUUGUUCCCUUAUGCGAGCUGGCCGUAGCCCGGGUGCACGGUCGGGUCCCAAGUUCUCGGGCUGGUAUAUUGACGCUGUCAACGGUCUGGCCGGAGCCGGGUUUGCAAGAGCAGCCCCCGAGCCUCUGCACAGGGCGAGAGGACGGUCAAGGACAGACUCGACUUUUUUACAUACGCCCCUGCGUCACCUUUCCGCAAGGAGGAGGGGGGAAAGCGCCAUGCUGCCCUCGGAGGGCGCCGAACAUGGUGUUUCCGGUGAGCUGCUGAAGGGUAAUCCGAGUGGACGCCCGUGCCCCAUUUGUUAGGGUCGGCUAGAGGCUCGGAGGCGCGCUCCAAAAGUACCUGCGGGUGAUCUGCCGGACCCGGUCCCCUUUCGACGGGGUCCGAGGGCUCGAUGCCUCCCUCUGAUGGGAUUCCGUUACAAGAUCGUUCCCGCUGGUCUCGGAAAUGUCCUAGGGUACCUCGGGAGCGUAGCCCGAGCCUUGGUUAUGUAUCGAACGUACCCAGGGUCAUCCCUCGCUCUGUGUCUGAGGCGAAUGUGAACCCUUCGAGGGCCAGCCUACGAACCCCUGAUCAGUAGUGGGCGCGGAGCCCGAGCAGCCUGAGGCGGCCGUUGAACCCGUCCGAGGGGCCGGCCUUCGAACCUCUGACCAGUAGUGGGUGCGGAACCCAAGCGCUCUGAGGCGGCUGUUAAACCCCUCCAAGGGGCCAGCCUUUGAACCUUUGAUCAGUAGGGAGGCUCGGGGCCUGUUUCCUUCACGGAGAAGGAUCCUUUUCGGGGUAUCCCCCUUUCCCGGUCCCUGUUGUAAGAGAGAGAAAGAGGAAAAGGAAAAGGAUACGAAAUCGAAUGACGUGGCGUACCUUUUUUGACGCGGUCAUUAUGGCGAAGGCGAAGCGUCGCUUGCUUCUGCUGCCUGAGGCGCCGCCUGUCCCGCCGCGGAGUUAAUGCGACGGGGCGAGUGGUUCGCGAGGCGGCCGUUGCGCGUGUGCGAGCCGUUCGAGGAACGGAACACGGGCGCGCCGUCUUCACGCCGUGAGAGAGGGUUCUCUCGCUGUCCCACGAGGUGACGUGAGCUUGGCUGACGACGUGACCGCUGCUCCUGCCCGCCUGCCACUGCCAUUACUGCCGGCCCAUUUUUGGCCGUAUUGACCGUCGCGCCUGGCUGGCACUGCUGGGUCGUACGCAGGGUUGCCUCGAGUUGCAGUACUGGUUCCGCAGUCGAGGAGGCGUGGUAGUGGUGCGAGUGGCGGUGCAGUUGCUCGCACGUAGCAACCGGCGCGCCGGUUGCAUGACGCGUGGGCCCGGGCCUCCAUGCUGGGUGCGUUGGAAGUUGGAGGGGCGUGCCCACUUGGCGUGGUUGCAUGCCGACUGCAUGGCUGUCCGCCCUUUCACCCGCUGGUCUGGGCGAAAGUGGAGGAAUGCUUGCAACCGCGGGGCAGUUGCGUGCACCGCGCGCGGCGGUUUGGCUUCUUUUGCCCUGAGCCAGUUUGCAUGACGCGUGGGACCCAGCCCCCGCGCCGUAGGGGGAGGACCUUGGAGCGUGUUGGAGAAGACUCAGCCCACGACGGCUGGGGAUGCAAGUAGGGAGAGUUGCCUUUAAAAGGAGGGUGACCCCCUUGAAAGGCAACCAUGUCUUCUCGCUCCCUUAUGCACCGUGUCUUUCCACCUUCCGAGCCCCCGGAUGGGGGACACCCGCAAUCCUUCCGCCUUGUCGUUGGAGGAACGCAACUUCGUGGAAGUUGGUACCUUUCAGCCAUCGUUCGACUUCAAGGAUUUUCAUCACGCGGCCCGGCUGCAUCCCCUCGCCGGUGGUCACCCAAGACGGUGACCACCAGCCCCUGGAUGGGGAGAAGCAAGCCGGGCUGCGAUCUUGGUCCCGCCCUCAGCUCCAAGGAUGUUCAUCAUCCUUGCUGGGGCGGAGGCCGGGCUGAGCCGGAGCUCUACCUCCCGCGCGGGUUCGUGGGUCAGCCUCUCCUUCAGCAUUCAAGGGAGAGGGCGCUCACUGGCCCUGCGGGAGGGGCGGACUCCGACAACGCGGGGCUGGUCGACGGCGGGCGUUGUCAGCUUCAGCGCGUUGGGCUCGCCAGCUUGGCUCCCAGUGCCCCCUCCCGCCGCAAGGGCGGUUGUCGCGCCGCGCGCACGGGAGGACCGCCCAAGACGUCGCGCGCUGCUAGGGCGGCGUUCGUGUUCUGGGGCGGUCCUGCCUUUGCACCGGUACGGCGCCUCCGCGCGGAGGUCGGUGCUCCACUCGUCCGGGAGGAUCUGAGUGGGGAUCUGCCAGAGGGCAGACGGCUCCUGUCGUCGGUGCCGAGAUGGGGGCGGCUCGAGAAGUCCCCGUCGCCGACGGGAUCACCGCCACCAUCCGCGCUUCGGGCCUCCGGCUCUUUGUGCUUGUCCUCGCCCCUCGAGCGUCGGCAUGGGCGAGGGCAAGGUUGCAGCGGCGUCCGCCCUGAGGCCAUCGCUGCUGUAGUUCGGCCACCCGUAGCGGGGUUCGUUGUCGCUGCUGUUGGAGCAGGCGACGGUGAGCCGUCCGUCGGCCUUCUGUUGCUCCGCAGGCCCCCCAAUCGUGUGGGGUUGUUCGUACCUGCGGAGGUGGAACUGGAGUUCCAUUUGUAAUGGCAUCUUGAAUGCCAGUGUUUUGUUCAUUGCGGCCGUUGGGGCCUGAACAUGUAUGUAUUCUCGGCGUGGAGCCGUGUUUUUUCCUUAUUUCGAGCACUAAGACUCGCCUGUCGGCUAUCUAAACCGCUUCACCAAGCGUGAGUUGCCUCGUGCAAAGGUGACGAGUGAGGUAUCCGUAUCCCGGAGGCGUAGGAGUCCCUCGGCUCGGUCGGCCUUGCUGUCCGAGGCUUCUCUUGCUUAGUUAAAUGAACCCUCGGUUGCUCUUCGAUGAGCCGAAGCCGAAGGUAGCGGCGUGAGAACGGGCAGAGGCUAAGUUGGCUCGAAAAGAAGACUUGGUCGGCCAGAGCCUGGCCGCGUCGUCCACUGGCGGGACCGACGCUGGAGUUGAAUUGCCGAGGCCACGGGCCGAGCGGAUGUCCUCGGGGGACAGCUGGCUGAGGCUUCGGGGUGGCCGGCCGAGCCGUCUGCUCGAGCCGGAUUCCUGGAGAAGACCCUGGCAGCGAUGGCCCGAGCGUGGUGCUGAUGUCGUCCUUCAGAGUGGAGAUUCUCCGACUGCUUCGCCGUCCGAGGCUAGGUCGGACCUCGCCGAAGGUGUAGUUGACGCCGAGGGUGCUGCUGCUCCCUUCAGCUGUCAAGAUCCGAGCCUACAGGAUCGGAUUAUCUUGUAGUGUGUGUAUGUUUUCUGCGGCCGCCGAGGCCCAAACACACCAUCGUCGUGUUGUAAAGCUGCGUUUCUUUUCUUCUUGUUUCGAGUAUCUGGACUUUUUUGUCGGUAACAGAAUUGUUUGUGCGAGCGAGAGUUGCUUUUCACGGAAGGUGAUGAGUGAGGUAUCCGUAUCCCAGAGGCGUAGGAAUCCCUCGGCUCGGUCGGCCUUGCCGCUUACGCGCACUCUUACUCGUGCAUAGGGUUCUGUCACCGACGUAGUCGAGAAGGCCCGAAAAAUCGUUCCGGCAGAGGAGCUUUCGAGCGUGAAGACUUGUUCGGUCCGCGGAAUCACUUAUCCGAGCGCGAGUUACUUAUCGCAGAAGGUGAUGAGUGAGGUAUCCGUAUCCCGGAGGCGUAGGAGUCCCUCGGCUCGGUCAGUCUUGGCUGCUUACGUGUACUCCGUCGUUUUCAGGAUCCACUUUUGAAGUAGUCGAGAAGCACGAAAGACAUUCUGGCGAAAAAGAUCUUUUUUCGAGGAAAAUUUUGACGCAGAGGGGGUUCCCCCCUUUUAGCCCCCGAGGGAGGGUCGGGCUUUGCCGAGGCAAGGCUGACCCUUCCUUGAUGACUAAACUUUGCGUGGGAACGAGGCAUACGAACAACUUGAAAGCAUCUUAAGGGUAGAAGCGACGUAGCUGUUGGAUGUUCCAAGCGUUGCUGUAGACCUCGCCUUGACUGUUGGCCAGCUUGUACGUUCCGGGCUUCAGAAUUUUGGCGAUGACGAACGGCCCUUCCUAGGGAGGCGUGAGCUUAUGCCGUCCUCGGGCGUCUUGUCGCAGCCGAAGCACCAGGUCGCCCACCUGGAGGUCUCGGGACCGAACCCCUCGGGCGUGGUAGCGUCGCAGGGACUGCUGGUACCGCGCCGAGUGUAGUAAGGCCAUGUCCCGAGCCUCUUCCAGCUGGUCCGGUGAGUCUUCUCGAUUAGCUUGGUUGCUUUGGUCGCCGUAGGCCCUCGUCCUCGGGGAACCGUAUUCUAAGUCUAUGGGCAAGAUGGCCUCGGCCCCAUAGACUAGAAAGAACGUCGUGAAGCCCAUGGCUCGGCUCGGCGUUGUCCUCAGACUCCAGACCACCGAGGGGAGUUCCUUCAUCCAUCGCUUGCCGAACUUGUUGAGGUCGUUGUAGAUCCGAGGCUUAAGUCCUUGUAGAAUCAUGCCGUUGGCACGCUCUACCUGCCUAUUCGUCAUGGGGUGAGCCACGGCGGCCCAGUCCACCCGGAUGUGGUGAUCCUCGCAGAAGUCUAAGAACUUUCUGCUGGUGAACUGGGUGCCGUUGUCGGUGAUGAUGGAGUUCGGGACCCCAAAGCGAUGGAUGAUGUUGGUGAAGAACGCCACCGCCUGUUCGGACCUGAUGCUGUUUAGGGGUCGGACCUCGAUCCACUUGGAGAAUUUGUCGAUGGCGACCAACUGGUGCGUGUAGCCCCCGGGUGCCUUCUGCAAGGGGCCGACGAGGUCCAGACCCCACACAGCAAAAGGCCAGGUGAGGGGUAUCGUCUGCAGGGCCUGAGCGGGCAGGUGGGUCUGCCUUGCGUAGAACUGACACCCUUCGCAGGUCCGGACAAUUCUAGUGGCGUCGGCCACCGCCGUCGGCCAGUAGAAACCUUGUCGGAAGGCGUUUCCAACAAGGGCUCGAGGUGCUGUGUGAUGGCUGCAAGCCCCCGAGUGUAUCUCUUGUAGGAGCUCCUGGCCUUCGGCGAUGGAAAUGCAUCGCUGGAGGACGCCUGAGGGGCUACGGUGGUAGAGUUCCUUCCCGUCCCCCAGCAAGACAAACGACUUGGCGCGCCGCGCCAACCGCCGAGCUUCGGCUCGGUCGAGGGGUAGCUCUCCUCGAUGGAGAUAUUGCAGGUACGGGGUCUGCCAGUUUCGAUUAGGCGUGACCUCGCUCCGCUCCUCCUCGAUGCGCAGUGCCUCACCCUCGAGGGCCGAGGGUACCUCGGGCCGAACCGAGGGUGCCUCGGGUUGGGCCGAGGGUGCCUCGGGCCGAGCCGAGGGUACCUUGGACUGAGCCGAGGGUGCCUCAGGCUGGGCCGAGGCCUUCUCGGGCUCGGGCGUGUCGUCGGUCUUGACGGAGGGUUGAUGCAGGUCUCGGGAGAAGACGUCCGAGGGAACCGUUGUUCGCCCCGAGGCUAUUUUAGCCAGCUCGUCUGCAGUCUCGUUGUAGCGCCGGGCGACGUGGUUGAGCUCGAGCCCGUAGAACUUGUCUUCCAGGCGCCGAACCUCAUCGCAGUAGGCUUCCAUCUUCGGGUCGCGGCAGUGGGAGUUCUUCAUGACUUGGUCGAUGACGAGCUGCGAGUCACCGGGAGCGUCGAGGCGUCGGACCCCUAGCUCGAUGGCGAUGCGCAACCCGUUGGCCAGAGCCUCGUACUCAGCCACAUUGUUGGAUGCCGGGAAAUGGAGGCGUAGCACGUAGCGUAGGUGCUUUCCAAGGGGCGAGAUGAAGAGCAGGCCCGCGCCUGCUCUUGUCUUAAUCAGUGACCCAUCAAAGAACAUGGUCCAGAGUUCCGGUUGGAUCGGAGCUGUUGGGAGCUGGGUGUCGACCCAUUCAGCCACGAAGUCCGCCAAGACCUGGGACUUGAUGGCCUUCCGAGGGGCGAACGAAAUCGUUUCGCCCAUGAUUUCCACCGCCCACUUUGCAAUUUUACCCGAGCCUCUCGGCACUGGAUGAUCUCCCCCAGGGGGAAGGAUGACACCACAGUUACCGGAUGAGACUCGAAGUAGUGUCGCAACUUCCGCCGCGUCAGGAUCACCGCGUAUAGCAGCUUCUGAAUUUGUGGGUAGCGGAUCUUGGUCUCGGACAGUACCUCGCUGAUGAAGUAGACUGGCCUCUGGACGGGCAAUGCAUGCCCCUCUUCUCGUCUCUCAACCACAAUCGCGGCGCUAACCACCUGAGUGGUCGCGGCGACGUAGAUCAAGAGGGCUUCUCCGGCAGCGGGGGGCACCAAGAUGGGCGCGUUUGUAAGGAGCGCCUUCAGGUUCCCGAGGGCUUCCUCGGCCUCAGGGGUCCAAGUGAAGCACUCGGCCUUCCUUAAGAGGCAGUACAGAGGCAGGCCUCUUUCGCCGAGGCGCGAGAUGAAGCGGCUCAGAGCCGUAAGGCAUCCCAUGACUCUCUGUACGCCUUUCAAGUCCUUGAUGGGCCCCAUGCUGGUGAUGGAUGCGAUCUUCUCCGGGUUGGGCUCGAUGCCCCGCUCGGAGACGAUGAACCCCAAGAGCAUGCCUCGGGGAACCCCGAAGACACACUUUUCGGGAUUGAGCUUCACGCCUUUCGCCUUGAGACAUCAGAAUGUCACUUCAAGGUCGGAAAGGAGGUCGGAGGCUUUCCUCGUCUUGACUACGAUGUCAUCGACGUAGGCCUCGACUGUCCGGCCAAUGUGUUCGCCGAACACGUGGUUCAUGCACCGUUGGUACGUUGCACCCGCAUUCCUCAAGCCGAACGGCAUGGUAACAUAGCAGUACAUGCCGAAGGGUGUGAUGAAAGAAGUCGCGAGCUGGUCGGACUCUUUCAUCCUGAUUUGGUGAUACCCCGAGUAGGCAUCGAGGAAAGACAGGGUUUCGCACCCAGCAGUGGAAUCCACGAUUUGAUCGAUGCGAGGCAGAGGGUAGGGAACUUUCGGACAUGCUUUGUUUAGACCAGUGUAGUCUACACACAUCUGCCAUUUCCCUCCUUUCUUUCUCACAAGCACAGGGUUGGCAAGCCAUUCGGGAUGGAAUACCUCUUUGAUGAACCCUGCUGCCAUUAGCUUGUGGAUCUCCUCGCCUAUGGCUCUGCGCUUUUCUUCGUCGAAUCGGCGCAGAGGCUGCUUCACGGGUCGGGCCCCAGCUCGGAUAUCCAGCGAGUGCUCGACGACAUCCAUCGGUAUGCCGGGCAUGUCCAAGGGACUCCACGCGAAAUUGUCGGCGUUCGCGCGGAGAAAGUCGACGAGCACUGCUUCCUAUUUGGGAUCGAGCUCGGAGCCGAUCCGGAUCUGCUUGGAGGCGUCGCUGCUGGGGUCGAGGGGGACGGAUUUAACCGUCUCUGCUAGCUCGAAGUUGCCGGCGUGGUGCUUCACGUCUGGCGCUCCUUAGAGAGGCUCUCCAGGUCGGCGAUGAGGGCCUCGGAUUCGGCGAGGGCCUCGGCGUACUCCACGCACUCCACGUCGCAUUCGUACGCGUGUCGGUACGUGGGGCCGACGGUGAUGACCCCGUUGGGGCCAGGCAUCUUGAGCUUGAGGUAGGUGUAGUUGGGGACGGCCAUGAACUUCGCGUAGCAUGGCCUCCCCAGUACUGUGUGGUAGGUUCCUCGGAACCCGACCACCUCGAACGUGAGGGUCUCCCUUUGGAAGUUGGAGGGCGUCCCAAAGCAAACGGGAAGAUCGAGUUGUCCGAGGGGCUGGACGCGCUUCUCGGGGAUGAUCCCGUGGAAAGGCGCAGCGCCUGCCCGGACCGAAGACAGAUCAACGCGCAGGAGCCCGAGGGUCUCGGCGUAGAUGAUGUUGAGGCUGCUGCCUCCGUCCAUGAGGACCUUGGUGAGCCUGACGUCGCCGAUGACGGGGUCGACAACGAGCGGGUAUUUUCCCGGGCUCGGCACGCGGUCGGGGUGGUCGGCUUGGUCGAAGGUGAUGGGCUUGUCGGACCAGUCUAGGUAGACUGGCGCCGCCACCUGUACCGAACAAACCUCCCGACGCUCUUGCUUGCGAUGCCGAGCUGAGGCGUUCGCCGCUUGCCCACCGUAGAUCAUGAAGCAGUCGCGGACCUCGAGGAACUCUCCUGCCUGGUGGUCCUCCUUCUUAUCGUCGUCGCGAGCCCUGCCACCCUCCGCGGGUGGCCCGACCUUGUGAAAGUGGCAUCAAAGCAUGGCGCACUCCUCAAGGGUGUGCUUAACGGGCCCCUGAUGAUAGGGGCACGGCUCCUUGAGCAUCUUGUCGAAGAGGUUGGCACCUCCGGGGGGUUUCCGAGGGUUCUUGUACUCGGAGGCGGCAACAAGGUCUGCGUCGGCGGCGUCGCGUUUCGCUUGCGACUUCUUCUUGCCUUUCUUCUUGGCGCCGCGCUGAGUUGACGCCUCGGGGACAUCUUCCGGUGGGCGGCCCUGGGGCUGCUUGUCCUUCCGGAAGAUGGCCUCAACCGCCUCCUGGCCAGAGGCAAACUUGGUGGUGAUGUCCAUCAGCUCGCUCGCCCUGGUGGGGGUCUUGCGACCCAGCUUGCUCACCAGGUCGCGGCAGGUGGUGCCAGCGAGGAACGCGCCGAUGACAUCUGAAUCGGUGAUGUUGGGCAGCUCGGUGCGCUGCUUCGAGAAUCGUCGGAUGUAGUCCCGGAGAGACUCUCUCGGCUGCUGUCGGCAGCUUCGGAGAUCCCAGGAGUUCCCAGGGCGCACGUACGUGCCCUGGAAAUUGCCGGCGAAGGCUUGGACCAGGUCGUCCUAGUUGGAGAUCUGCCCCGGAGGCAGGUGCUCCAACCAGGCGCGAGCGGUGUCGGAGAGGAACAGGGGGAGGUUGCGGAUGAUGAGGUUGUCAUUGUCUGUUCCACCCAGUUGGCAGGCCAGCCGGUAGUCUGCGAGCCACAGUUCCGGUCUCGUCUCCCCCGAGUGCUUUGUGAUAGUAGUCGGGGUUCGGAACCGGGUCGGGAACGGCGCCCGUCGUAUGGCGCGGCUGAAAGCCUGCGGACCGGGUGGUUCGGGCGAGGGACUCUGAUCCUCCCCGCUGUCGUAGCGUCCCCCACGCCUGGGGUGGUAGCCUCGGCGCACCCUCUCGUUGAGGUGGGCCUGACGGUUGCGGUGGUGGUGCUCGUUGCCGAGGCGACCUGGGGCCGCAGGCGCUGUGUUGCGCGUGCGCCUGGUGUGGACCGAGGCUUCCCGCAUGAAUCGGGAAGUCGCGGCGCGUUGUUCCGAGGGGUACCCCUGCCUUCGGGAGGCAGAGCUUUCGGCCCGUCGGACCGCGGCGUCCUCCAAGAGAUUCUUGAGCUCUCCCUGGAUACGCCGCCCCUCGGUGGUUGAUGGCUCCGGCAUCGCGCGGAGAAGCAUUGCCGCUGCAGCCAGGUUCUGGCCGACUCCACUGGAAGUCGGUGGCGGCCUUACCCUGACAUCGUCGGCGAUGCGGUGCUGGAUACCCUGGGGUAGGUGACGUACUUCUCCAGCCAGAGACUCCCAAAACGGAGCACCGUCCCGGGCUAGAAAGGUUGCUGGAGACUGCCCAUCUGGAGCUUGACGGGAAGCUGUUCGUCAACACGCAGCAGGCCCCUACCUGGCGCGCCAACUGUCGGCGUUUCGAACCCGGGUGGUCCCUGGACCGACGAGUAAAUUAUCGCCGCGUGCCCCAGCCCAGUUGGGUCGGCGCGAGACGGAGCGCGAAGGGGGGAGGCAGCCGGAGGGAGAUAGACGUGAGAAGUGGAAUCCCGUGGCCUUCGUGUUUGUCCCACGCUCAGGUCGGGUGCGCUUGCAGUAGGGGGUUACAAGCGUCCAUGCGGGAGGGAGGGAGCGGCCUCACGCGAGCGCCGUCCCGUCCUUCUCCGCGCGGCCAACCCUCGUAAGAGGGCCCUGGUCCUUCCUUUUAUAGGCGCAAGGAAAGGAUCCAUGUGUACAAUGGGGGUGUAGCAGCGUGCUAACGUGUCUAGCGGAGGAGAGCUAGCGCCCUAAGUACAUGCCAUCGUGGCAGCCGGAGAGGUUUUGGCACCCGGUUCGUGUGGUGUCGUGGCCGUCGGAGGAGCGCUGGAGCCCGGCGGAAGGAUAGCUGUCGGGUCCUUGCUGACGUCCUCUUGCUUCCGUAAGGGGGCUGAGAGCCGCCAUCAUCAUAGAGCGUGCGGGGCGCCAUCAUUACUUGUCUGGCGGAGCGAGCCAGAUGGGAUGCCGGUCUUGUUCCCCGUAGCCUGAGUCAGCUUGGGGCAGGGUAAUGAUGGCGCCUCCUGUUGACGUGGUCGGUCUGUGCCCUAGUUUGGGCAAGGUGGAGGCUCCUCCGAGGUCGAGGUCGAGUCUGUCUUCCAAGGUUGAGGUCGAGUCCGAGCCCCCGGGUCGGACGAGGCGUAGACCGUCGGCUGAUGCCAGGGCUAACACCGAGCCCUGGGGUCGGGCGAAGCGGAGUUCGUCGUCCUUCGGGACUGAGCCCGAGUCCGAGCCCUGGGGUCGGGCGAAGCGGAGUUCGUCGUCUUCCGGGGCUGAGCCCGAGUUCGAGCCCUGGGGUCGAGCGGAGCGGAGUUCGUCGUCUUCCGGGGCUGAGCCCGAGUCCGAGCCCUGGGGUCGGGCGGAGCGGAGUUCGUCGUCUUCCGGGGCUGAGCCCGAGUCCGAGCCCUGGGGUCGGGCGGAGCGGAGUUCGUCGUCUUCCGGGGCUAAGCCCGAGGCAUUGAUAGAGCACGACAUGAGAGCAGUAUGGGUUGGUGGGUGGUGCACUUAUUUUGGAUUGUACGUGUGACAUUAGAGAGGCCAUUAUAGUUCAGGACAUACAUAUAAGAACAUUCAUCAUUUGAAGUGAACACAUAUAUAGCCGGUUCCAUCAGUGUUUACAUUUGCAUAGUAAAUAGUUUGUUUUUUUAUUUAAUGGACGAUCCAAAAAAGUAGGAAAAGAAGCAGGUGAGAAAUAGAUGUGAAUGUAUGCAACUCACCGUACUCAAAGCAAACUAUUACCUAGGCAAAGCAUACUUUUAGUUAAGAAUUACCAUUAUAAUUAGCAUCAACCUCUAUAUACUGGAAGCAUGCGUAUAAACUUUAUACCCCAAUAAAUACCCCAAAUACACACAAGUUUGGAACAAAAAUGUUUUAUAAAAAAUAGAAAUUAUAAAAACAUAGUUAACAACUGAUUAGUACUCGACCAAACGAGUGUUGCACGAAACUAACAUAUUAUUGAUGCAGUAAUCGACCAAACGAGUGUGUCGCUACUUAGCUUAGAGUACUUUUAAUUUAUGCAGUUGUAAAAAUUCAGCAAAAAAAUGAAUCAACUCAUUGCUUGGCUAGGUCAGGCCCUGCUGAUCCAUUUGCAUUGGUGAUCUGUUUGGUUCCUAGCAAACAGAUUAAAUUGAAUAUAUCCGCAAAACUGGACAACAGGAUUUCAGCUAGUUCUAUUACAUUCAUAUAAACAGACAACAAGCAAACACAGUGGUUCAGGACAGAGAAUGCGAAGGGUAUUUUCUUAUGAGCACAAUGUGAGUGAUGAUGGCUCCAUCCUACCAGUCACAAAUGUACUAAAAUACUAAUCAACCCUACUUGAUAAAGAAGGUAAGGUAAACUAAACAAUGCAUGUAGAAGGUAAGGUAAACUAUACACAAACUACAUAUUGUCCAAAUUAGCAAACGACACACUGGGCACUAUAAAUUAGCACACAAUCCUACAGAGCCAGUAAUUGGAUUCACAUGAAGUUUGGAACAAAAAAUAGAAAUUAGUAAAUGUUCUUACACAUUCUUAUACACACAAGUUUGGAACAAAAAUGUUUUAGAAAAAAUAGAAAUUACAAAACAUAGUUAACAAAUAAUUAGUACUCGACCAAACGAGUGUUUCACGAAACUAACAUAUUAUUGAUGCAAUAAUCGACCAAACGAGUGUGCCGCUACUUAUCUUAGAGUACUUUUAUUUUAUACAGUUGUAGAAAUUCAGCAAAAAAUGAAUCAACUCGUUUUUGGCUAGGUCAGGCCCUGCUAAUCCAUUUGCAUUGGUGAUUGUUUGGUUCCUAGCAAACAGAGUAAGCAAAAAUAAUACCACACAAAAGAGUAGAGUCGAGCCUCAUGGCAUACAUUGGUCGAGGCCAACGCGGUUGAGCAAUAUCAGAUAUCCUUCCUCUUCGGCAGCGGGGCAAGCUCCUUCUCCUUCGGCUCCUCCUUACUCUCCAGUGGCGAGGGCGUGGGAAUGUAGGGGAAAGAGGAUUGAGCAGGGGUAUGCAGAAUGGGAUAUGGUUAGUGGCUCCCAGAUGAGGAUGUUUGUCGGUGUUUUGGGUCCGACCACACACCCGGGGUUGCCCCUCAAGGUGUUUUAGGAGUAGGACGGUGUCGCCGACUGUAGCUAAAUGGUUCGUGCCUGAUGCACGAGGAACAAUGGACAAUGUUUACAAGUUCGGGCCGCUUUGAGAUGUGUAACACCCUACGUCCUGGCGAGUAUGCUUUGUGUAUGAGUUACAAGGUCGCUCUCCAAAGCGUAGAGAGUUGAGGUGGACGGUUGAAUAGUAAUGGGGUCGAUCGUUCUGAAGGGGUGCCCCCUAGGCCUUAUAUAUUCGACCGUGAGGCAAUACAUGUGGAUAUGCACCUAAAAGAUAGUGAACCAUUUUUGUCUAUCUUCCUAUGAUUCUGCCAACUUAUCCUCGCCUGGUUACGUCGUACGGGGCUCCAGCGCGGGAAAGUCGGAUCUUCUGUUGCGGUCGCUUGCUCAACGCUGUGGGGCCAUCCGGUUUUGCGCCCACCCGGCCUUAUGUCGAUCUGCUCCACUAGUCGUUUCUCCCCAGGCCCAUGAAGGAGUGACCUCACGAUUUAUUGGGCUCUUGGGCCUUUCGUGAGGUCUUUUACCCUUCCAGUGGACCCGGGGGAUAUCUGUCCCCCACAAGCCCCCGAUCUUCGGGCUGAUUUUAAGAUAAUCAGUCCAAAGAUCCUAGGUCCAGCUUGCGGUCUUUGUUUAUGAUAAGAGAUGCUUUCCAAGCAGUCCGGUAAAAAUGAUUUUUUACUGUCUCCUUCUGCUUAGAUCACUCGUAAACUGGAGCCUUGUUUCAUGCUUGUGCCUUAGAGGUCGGCAUUUCUUGUUGUAGGACCCUAGACUUCAUUGGGUGCACCGGAGGUGCACCCAAUGGGUGUAGCCCCCGAGCUUCGAGUGGAUUUUGGAAAAUAAUCCACUCGAAGGUCUUCAUCAGAAAUUACUUUUAUUUUCCACUUGUACUUUAGUUGAGGAUCAAUCUUGUCUUCAAUCUUGCCUUAUGCCUUAGAAGUUGGUGUUGUCUUCUCCUGAAAUGGUGAUUCAUUGGGUGCACCGGAGGUGCAUCCAAUGGGUGUAGCCCCCGAGCUUCGAGUGGAUUUUUGAAGAUAAUCCACUCGAAGGUCUUACUUUCGUGUCUUUUUGCUGAGGGUUAUCUUUUCUGCCUUAGAAGUCGGCAUUAUGUCAUCCACAUUAUGCUUUAGAGGUCAGCAUUAUGUCAUCAAUAUUAUGCUUCAGAGGUCAGCAUGUAGUUUGUCUCUUGCAGCCGAGUUCGUGAUCCGCCCAUAUCUUGCUAGGUGGUGCAAUUUAUUUGCUCUGCGACUGAUUGGACAUUUGAUGGACGUUCCAUGGCUAGUCUUCACGUCGCUUCUGUCGGUCAGAUUUUGUACUUCACCGGCUAUAUUUGGCUUUCCUUUGAUCCUUACUGAUAUCUCAUUUUUGUCUUGAGGUAUUCAUUGCAUGCCCUGCACGGAUGUGACAGUUUUGAAAAAUAUAUUGAUAAUUCCUGGGCGUCCCCCCCCCAAUGGGUGUGGGCAAGGGACGGCUUGGUACGCUAAGUGUUUUAGCCGGCUGCUUCUGAGUAGUAAUGUGAUGUGACGGCGGGUGUAAUCAUAUCAUCUGCGUUGUUGACUGGAGUCCCAAUGGGUGUUGCGUUGCGUGAAACGACGUCAGCCGCCUGACGUGUCUUCAGACGGGUUGAAGUGUGUAUUGAAUGCUUCACGACUGUUCAGUGACCGUGGUUGGAGGUGAGCGGUUGCCUUCUUCUUCUAUAAAUAGUGCCUUUGCCUCUCUGGUUUUUUCACAUCUCUUGCUGUUCUCCGCUGCUUGCUUUCUUCCUCUCCUUGCAUUUCCACCAUGGGCAAGAACAACAAACGCAAGCGCGAGCCGACUCCUCCAUCAGAGGACUUUGGCGACUCGGAAUACUCAGAGGAGGAGUUCUCCUCUGAGUCCGAGGGGUCUCCGGCUCCCGUCUCUCCCCCAGCGUCGUCCGAUGACUCAGACGACUCUCAGGGGAUUGCCGCGAAGGUCUGGACUUACAUCCGGGCCGUCGAGCGCUCCGGGCUCGAGGGCUCGGAUGAGUCGGAGUACUCCUCGGACGAGGAGGACUUGCCCGAGGAGGACGGCGAAGGUGACGACGACGACGACGACGACGACGACGGAGGCGACGGCAGCGACGACGGUGACGGCGGCAGCAGGGGCGACAACGGCGGCAGCAGGAGCGGCAACGGCGGCAGCAGCAGGGGCAGCGGCGGCGGCGGCAGCAACAAGGCCAGUGGCUAAAUGCCACUGGUUUUUAGAUAUUAGUAUAGAUUAGAAGUAGUAUAGUAAAAUAACGUAGUAGUAUUAGUGGUGUAGAGUAGUAUAGUGUAGCGUAGUAGUAGUAGUAGUUGGGGAGUAUCAACUCAUAAUGAGUUGAUUUGUAAGUACUGUUACUUCCCUUAAUGAAGAAUGACUUUGUCUCCUCCUGUGCCAAUUGCUUUGCUUCAUAGUAAGUUGAUCUCUUAUUUGUGAAGUUGAUUCAUUCGGAAUAGUAUCUAAAUAACUCGGGCAUCAUAUCGCCGCCUCAGGGGUGAUGGUCGAGCUAUUAUUGUCGACAUUUAUGCAUUUGAAAUAGAGUCCGAGUGACGACGAAAUCAUGUCAGUGCUGGAAUGACUGUUGACCACGUCGGCGAUCUUAAAGGUGACAGUCGAGUAACUUGUGACGACGCCAGCGUUUUUUAGAGAUAACCGCCGAGCGACUGAGGACAUCGUCGGCGCUUUAGAGAUAGCCACCGAGCGACUGAAGACAUCGUCGGCACUUUAGAGAUAAAUGUCGAGCGACUGGAGGCAUCGUCGGCACUUUAGAGAUAAAUGCUGGGCGACUGGUGAUAACGUUGGCGUUUUAGAAAUUGCCGUCGAGCGACUGAAGACAUCGUCGGCGCUUUAGAGAUAAAUGCCGAGCGACUGGUGAUAACGUCGGCGUUUUAGAAAUAACAGCCGAGUUAGAACGGGUUGUGUCGGCCACUUUGAGGAUAAUAGCCGAGUGAUGAUGUGGCCCGCCGGGGUUUUAGAAGUAACCGCCGGGUGACAACGUGGCACGCCGAUGUUUUAGAUGUAACUGCCGGGUGACAAUGUGGUACGCCAGUGUUUUAGAAGUAACUGCCGGGUGCUGACUGGGCACUCUUGGAAACGGUAUCUAACUCGGGAAUAUCCCAUAUGUACUACGCUUUUCAGCCGCUUCUGCUUUCCGUGCCCUAGUUCUUGCUUUCCUGCCUCUAGAUCCUCUCUACAAUUCGGCUCUCGCUCUGUUCGCCAGUAGAGUUGAGAUGGCGCCCAAGCGAAAGGCCUCGAGUUCAUCCGCUGUGGUGAUUCCCCCCCAUCGAUCCCAACAGCCAGUUGCCUUUCGCAGGUAACCAUAUGUCUGUUGUCUCCGAGCCUGACCUUCUCCACCUCGUAUCCAUCAGGGUCCUUCCCCCGAGGGAGCUUUGUUCUUGGCGGAUUUGCCAUGGGGUCACUGUCCCGACAGAGGAUACCCACGAAUCCGUAAUUUAUGUUCCUUUCCUUCUCCGCGGUCUCGGUCUUCCCAUUUCUCCAUUUUUCCGCGGCCUCCUUGAUUUCUAUCGUCUUAAUUUGACCCAUCUGAAUCCCAAUUCCAUUAUGCAAAUUUCCAUUUAUGUUCAUCUGUGCGAAGCUUUUCUUGGCGUCCUGCCACAUUUUGGGUUGUGGAAGUAUCUGUAUCACUGCCGUCCUGGAAUGGCCGGGGGCAGCAUCAGCUGGUUGGGGGUGCUAGUUUAGAGAUGCGCCGUGGGAGGAAGUCUGAUUAUCUUGAAAUCCCUCUCAAGGACAGUAUUAAGGGAUGGCGCUUGGAGUGGUUUAUCGUUGAAAACUACGGAAAUUCUCUCCCCCCCACGAUCAGGGAGACAGCCGGACGUUCGUACCCCGAGUUGGACCGAGUCCCCCACAGAUCAGGAGGUAGCUGAGGCUGGGGCUUUGCUAGCUGAAGUUGGACUGCUGAAGGAGAGGGGUCUGACUGCAGAGGCUGUGGUUGCUGAUUUUGUUUUCAAGAACAUUCAGCCGUUGAAGGACAGGGCUUACCCGGCUUAUCUGUAUCGAGGCCUAGCUGACUCAACUCGGGUUACCAACAAAAGAAUUCCCUCUGUAGACUUGGUGAACCGACUUGAGAUGAUCCUUAGAGGCAUGGUAUCAAACGUUGGUGCCCCAGUGGCAUACUCGGCCUGGAACCUGCCUCCUUCCAAAGCCUUCACUUAUUUUGUUUCGAAUCCACCUGUUGCUGAUGGCAGUUUGGGCCUUAGAGUGCGGCCCUCUGCUGAAGAAGUUAACGCUUUGGUUGCCUCGUUCGGGGAAAUUCCUGAUGAUGAACGGCAAGUCCACUUUGAGGUACCUUUGGAUCCUAGUGACGCAGAAAUAAGUGCUAUGCUUGAUUUGCUGGCUGAGGACUCUUCUGAUGCUGCUCCUGCUGGGACGUUGGUGGUGGCGCCUCCCCCAGAAACUGAUACAACCUUGGAUGUUCAGAGGCCUGUCAACGUUCGCCCAAGACGCCCUUCCUGAGCCAAUCAACUUAAUCCUCCUGCUGACGAGCAGAAAAGGAAAAAGAGACGUCUCCGGCGAGUAUCUAGUUUGGAUCGGGAUGUUGGUCCUUCGGUUCCUGCUGCUGAAGAAGUGCCUGUUCCUGAAUUUACUGAUGCUGACUUCAAUGGGGGUGCUCCACCUGCUGCUGACCCCAAUGGGUGUGCUCCAUCUGCUGCUGACCCCAAUGGGGGUGCUCCAUCUGCUGCUGACCCCAAUGAGUGUGUUGUCUGUGUUGCUGAUGAAAACGACGGGGAGGAAGAAGAUGAAGUCCCUUUGACUCGGAAGAACAGUCGGCAGUAUGUCGCCAGUGGGGAAAGUAGUGGAGUUCCUUCUCCUGCUCUGUCUGCCCUCAUUGGUCUACAAGAGUUGUCCCUGGCAAACUUCGAUCAGACUCUUGAGGAUAUGGUUCCAGAAGACCUACUGUCAGAGCCAGUGGAUGAUGGUGUGAUGGAGGUUUGUGCUAAUGUGCUCGACGCCGGGCUGGGAUCGUCCCGGGCAGCGUCCCGCGCCUCAUCAACCUUAGAGCGCGGUCUUGAGGGUCAGGAAACUGACUUGGAUCGUCUUGCUCCCAUGGAAGUAAUUGAGGGACCGUCAGCCUUAGAGGCGGCUACUGCAGAGAACUUAGCCCUCAAGGAUGAUGCUGACACUUGCCCAGCCCCCGAGGAUGUUGCCGGGGAUGACUCGGCUCGGGUGGGAGACGCGAGCCACUGCCCAGCCCUCGAGGGUACUGCCGGAGAUGAUCCGGCUCAAGUGGGUAGCGCCGACUAUGGCCCAGCCCCCGAGGGUGUCCGAGCGGGGUCUCCCUUUUGUACUUCCAUGGAUGUUCACGCAGGAUCUUCUCCGCGCUCUGGUUGCAUGGUGGUAGCCCAAGCUUUAGGCCAGGGAGUCGCUUUAGAGGCUAGCGCUCCCACUGACCAAGUUUUGGGCUCUGUUGAUGGUACCGAGUUGGUCCCUGCUGGUUCAUUGCAAGCUGCUUCGGGUGGCGACCUUACGCCAGGUCGUCAAUUGAUUUCUCACGAUUUGGGAGUCCUUUCGUUCUUCUCCAAUCUCCAGGUAUUGUGGUAUAUUCUGGCCUGACUUUUACACCAUACGAACUGCUGCCAACACGCUCAUAUGUUCUCCAUAUCAGGCAUUGGUGGACGGAAUGGCUAGUCAGCUGAGGUUGCAAGGUGCUUCUGUUCCAGAAGGAGCUUCAUCUCUGGCACGUUGGAAUCCAGUGUUGCUCCAACAUCGUGUCUCUGAUUUGGAGGCGACGAAUGCUGGUUAAUACUCUUUUGCUUCUCUUUGUCUACCUUAUUGAACUGCUUUACAUUUUGACUCUUUUUGCUUGAUUGUCUCUCGCUAGAUAUGGCUCGGCAGAUUUCCAUUCUUGAAGAAAAACAUUCUCAAGGUCAGGCUGAACUGGUCCAGUGGUGUUCUAAUUUUGAGGAAAAGUAUUCUCAAAGCCAGACUGAGCUAGCCCAGGUCUCUACUGCUCUGAAUGAUGCUAAGACGCUGAACUCUACUCUUCGCGCUCAGCUUGAUUCUGAAAAGGUGACUUAUGAAACUGUGCCUUGUAUUGCUGUGUUUUUAUUGCUUGCAUGAUGUUUGAAGGAGUUUAUUCUUGUUUGCAGGAAGAAAAAAGUGCCCUUGUUGCUUCUCGCGACAAUCUUGAUAGACUGUAUCGUGAUUCCAGCAACUCGUUGACCAUCCUAGAGAGGAAUCAUCGCUUCACCAUGGAGGAGUUAGACAAUCAUCGUUGUAAGCUACAGGAAUCCACAGAUGAAGUGAUCCGUCUCCGGUAGUUGAUAUCAGCUAAGGAUGCUGCUAUCAAAGAACUCCGUGCUUCCAAGAAAUCCAUCGCCCAAGAGCUAGAGACUGCUCAACUGGCUGUCAAAGUUGCUGAAGAAACUUCCAUUACUCUGAGGGCCCAGCGCGAUAGAGCCAUGGAUAAAGCCAUUCGCGCGGGGCGAAUCUUGAUGAGGAGACCCGGCGUGGUUGUUCCUGAAGACAUAAGGGCUGACGUGAACGCUGCUCCUGAUUCCUCAAGUCGCUCUUGUUCGUCGGCUGCUCCUGAGAAAGAUAUUGCAAAAUAGAGAAACAUUUUGCGUGCUUUGAGCGCGCGGUUAGCAUGAUCGAAUAUUUGUUAGAGGACACCGGCUCAGCAUUUGAAUGAUAUUGUUACUCUCCUAUUGUUUUGGAAUUCGACAGUACGUAAAUUUGCAGUAGUAAAGUGCUAUGUGAUGGUUUUGGAACUUGCUCAUGGGAUAUAGAAAUCACUCCUAUAUGCGUAUUCGUAAGCAUGCAAAAUCGUCUUAAGUCGUUGCUGACUUGAAUCGAUCGCUUUUGCUAGUAGGGCAUAGUGGUCACCCCGAGUUAAGUAAGCGCGAGCAUGUUGCACCGCCUUAAGUCGUUGCUGACUUAAGCCGAUUGCUACGUUGGCAGGGCAUAGUGGUCACCCCGGGUUUAGUAAGCGCGAGCAUGUUGCACCGCCUUAAGCCAUUGCCGACUUAAGCCGAUUGCUCCAUUAGCAGGGCAUAGUGGUCUCCCCGAGUUAAGUAAGCGCGAGCAUGUUGCACCGUCUUAAAUCGUUGCCGACUUAAGCCGAUUGCUCCGUUAGCAGGGCAUAGUGGUCACCCCGAGUUAAGUAAGCGCGAGCAUGUUGCACCGCCUUAAGUCGUCGCCGACUUAAGCCGAUUGCUCCGUUAGUAGGGCAUAGUGGUCACCCCGAGUUAAGUAAGCGCGAGCAUGUUGCACCGCCUUAAGUCGUCGCCGACUUAAGCCGAUUGCUCUGUUAGCAGGGCAUAGUGGUCACCCCGAGUUAAGUAAGCGCGAGCAUGUUGCACCGCCUUAAGUCGUCGCCGACUUAAGCCAAUUGCUCCGUUAGCAGGGCAUAGUGGUCACCCCGAGUUAAGUAAGAAUGCAAGUCAAUCAUGAACAAACUGAGUAUCUUUGAAGCCUUUUUUAUUGAUGACAUAUUUCCCAUUUUACAGAGUACAUCGUCGUCCCGAUAGCUUUUGAAAUACAGCUAAGGAUAAAACUUCCUGACGUGUUCUAUAUUCCAGGAGUUCCCAAUUUCUGUGCCGUCCAUUUGAGUGAGACGAUAUGAUCCCGGCCGAGUGACUUCUGCUACUAUGAAUGGUCCUUCCCAUAAGGGCGAUAACUUGUGCUGUCCCUCCCCCGUUAGAAUUCGGCGGAGGACGAGAUAUCCUACUGAAAAGGAUCGUUGUCGCACGGCCUUGUCGUGAUAGCGUCUCAGAGUCUGCUGGUACCGUGCCGAUUGAAUUACUGCGUUUAGCCGCUCUUCUUCGAGUACAUCAACAUCUUCCAGCCUAGUUGCUUCGGCCUCUGCUAUGCUUUCAAAGAUCAACCUUGGCGCCCCAAACUUGAGAUCAGCAGGCAGUACUGCCUCUGACCCAUAGACCAUGAAGAAAGGAGUGUUUCCAUGCAGAGCUCGGUUAGGUUGGGUUCUUAGGCUCCAAACGACGUAAGGCAAUUCCCUUAUCCACUUUCCUGCAAACUUUUCAUUCUUAUCAAAGACCUUUUUCUGAGUGCCUCCAAUAUCAUCCCGUUAGCUCGUUCAACCUGCCCGUUGGCUCUCGAGUGUGCUACCGAAGCAUACUUGACCUGAAUGCUUUUUUGCUCACAGAAAUUGAAGAAUUCUGAAUUUGUGAAGUUGGACCCCAAGUCGGUUAUGAUGAUGUUCGGUAUUCCAAACCUGAAUAUUAUGUCUUGUAUGAAUUACACGGCUUUAGCUGAGGUUAAAGAAGCAAUGGGUUUGAACUCUAUCCAUUUAGUGAAUUUGUCGAUUGCUACCAACACGUGAGUGUAUCCUCCUUGAGCUUUCUUGAAAGGUCCAAUCAUAUCUAGCCCCAGCAUGCAAAGGGCCAAGUCACCGGUAUGGUCUGCAGUUGCUGUGCUGGUAGAUGUUGUUGUUUCGACAAGUACUGGCAAGCUUUGCACCUCUGAACUAACUCAGCGGCAUCACUUUUUGCUGUUGGCCAAUAGAAUCCUGACCUGAAGACCUUCCCGACUAGUGUCUUGGACGCUGCGUGUAUUCCACAUUGUCCAGCAUGAACCUCCUCCAGAAGUUGCUUCCCAGUAGACGAUAGAAUGCAUUUCAUGAAGAUGCCUGAUGCGCCCCUUCUGUAUAGUGUCUCCCCAAUGAGUGUGUAGUGAGCCGACUGUCUGGCGAUACGCUCGGCUGCAUUUUUAUCGUCUGGCUCCUCUUCAUUUUUUAUAUAUCUGAUGAUCGGCCUUCUCCAGUCAUCAGAGCUUGACUCUGGUUGAUUCACGAUAUUACACUCUUCUGCCUGAUCCAUUGAGAUGCUUGGUCAUGGUAUUUCUUGUACAAAGACUCCGGGUGGGACCUGAGUUCGACUGGAUCCUAGCUUGGACAAUACAUCGGCUGCCGUGUUUCGAUCUCUUUCUACAUGAUGAAAUUCCAGGCCUUCAAAUUUAUCUUCUAGUUUUCGGACGGCAGUGCAAUAUUUUCCCAUUGAAUCAUUCGAACAGUCCCAUUCUUUGUUUAUCUGGCUUAUGACUACCAAAGAAUCUUUGUAUACCAUUAGUCUCUUGAUGCCUAAUGAUAUGGCGAUGUUUAGUCCAUGGAUCAGAGCUUCAUACUCGGCUGCAUUGUUGGAGGCUGGAAAUAACAACUGGAGGGCAUACUUGAGGUGCUCGCCUCCAGGUGCGAUGAAGAGAAUUCCCGCGCCUGCCCCCUGCAGCUUCAGCGAGCCAUCAAAAUACAUCUGCCAUACCUCUGCAGUUUCUGGGUUCUCUGGUACUUGUUGUUCAGUCCAUUCUGAUACGAAGUCAACCAAUGCUUGAGUUUUGAUGGCAGUGCGAGGUCGAAAUUCGAUGUCGUGAGAUCCUAGUUCACAGGCCCACUUGGCUAUUCGGCCAAUGGCUUCCUUGUUGUGAAGGAUAUCCCCUAUCGGAAAACCAGUGACUACUAUGACUUUGUGGUCAUCAAAGUAGUGACGUAGUUUGCGGGCAGUUAGAAGUACUGCGUAUAAUAGCUUCUGAACUUGAGGAUACUUUUUCUUCGAGGGACCUAGAACUUCACUGAUGAAAUAAACAGGAUGUUGCACUAGGUAGGCAUGUCCUUCUUCUGCUCGCUCGACUACCAACACGGUGCUCACCACGUGAGUCAUGCAAGAGAUAUACAGCAGCAGAUCUUCAGCUGGUUGAGUUGAUGUGGCUCGCCGCGGUGGUUUCAGUACUGGUGGGGUUGUCAAGAAUUUCUUCAGCGCAUCUAGGGCUUCUUGUGCUUCUGAAGUCCACUGAAACUUGUCCACCUUCUUGAGUAGCUUGUAAAACGGUAAACCUUUUUCUCCUAGCCUGGAUAUAAAUCUGCUCAGGGCUGCCAUACAUCCGGUAAGUCGUUGAACCUUCUUUUGUGAUCGUGGGGCUCCCAUUUUCAUGAUAGCUUCAAUCUUAUCCGGAUUAGCUUCAAUUCCCCGGUGGCUGACAAUGAAUCCGAGUAGCUUCCCUGCUGGUACUCCAAAGACACAUUUUUCGGGAUUAAGCUUCCAUCGAUAUAGCCGUAGACUAUUGAAAACCAGCUGUAAGUCUUCGAUGAAGUUUUCUGAGUUCUCUGUUUUGAUUACCACGUCAUCCACGUAGGCUUCCACACGCUUGCCCCAGUGAUCGGCUAAGCAUGUUUGAAUGGCUCUCUGAUAAGUCGCUCCAGCGUUUUUGAGGCCAAACAACAUGGAGGUAUAGCAGAAAGCACCGAAUGGAGUGAUGAACGCUGUUUUUUCCUCGUCUUCCUUUGCCAAGCUGAUCUGAUGAUAUCCAGAAUAGCAAUCCAGAAAAGACAGCACAGAACAUCCAGCGGUGGAGUCUACCACCUGAUCUAUCCUAGGGAGCCCGAAGGGAUCCUUUGGACAAUGUUUGUUGAGAUCUGUAUAGUCGACGCACAUGCGCCAAUCCACUUUAUUCUUUUUGAGUACAAGAACAGGGUUGGCUAACCACUCGGGAUGUAACACCUCUCUAAUAAACCCAGCCGCGACCAAGCGAGCCAACUCAGCGCGAAUGGCCUCUCUUUUGUCGGGCGUGAAGCGACGUAGUUUUUGCCGGAUCGGCCUUGCUUGGAGGUAGACCUUCAGUUUGUGCUCGGCCAGUUCUCUCGGGACUCCCGGCAUAUCCGCAGGUUGCCAUGCGAAUACGUCUCGGUUGUCUUGCAGGAACCGGACGAGCGCGCCUUCCUAUUUAUCGUCCAGGCUGGAGCUGAUGAUGGCAGUCUUGCGUUCAUCAGCGAACCCCAGGUUGAUCCUUUUAGUUUCUUCAGUCGGUCGCAUAGAGGUCGCGGCUUGAGCUUCGUUCGCCAGUGCCGUAAGGUCUUCCUCAGGCUUAGAGUUCGCCUGCGCUGAAGAAGUCGCCGACGGUUUGGUGGUGAGGGCUGCUUGGAUGGCCACUCGGAAACAUUCUACGGCGCCUUGAAAGUCAGCGCGCACAGUUAUGAUUCCUUGUGGCCCUGGCAUCUUUAGUAUCAUGUACGUGUAAUGCGGGAUGGCCAUGAAUUUUGCCAAUCCUGGCCUCCCGAUGAUGGCGUUGUACCCGCAGUCGAAGUUUGCCACUUCGAACCUCAGGAACUCGGUUCUGUAAUUCUCCGGAGUUCCGAAGGUGACGGGCAUGUAGAUGUGGCCCAGCGGGUAUUCCCCUUCGGUCGGCACGAUGCCGAAGAAAGGAGUGUCCGACUCGCGGAGUUCUUUGAGGUGAACUCCCAAGCCUUGGAGUGUCCGGGGGAAGGUGACGUUGAUGAUGCUUCCCCCGUCCACUAGCACCUCCUUCGCCCUGCUCUCUCGGAUCACCGGAUCGACGAGGAGCGGGUACUUGCCUGGGUGGUCGAAGUUGAGCCAUUGAUCUGCCCGAGUGAAGGUAAUCGGGUGCUCCGACCACCGGUACGGAGCGGGAGGACAGGUGGUCGUCACCAAUAUCUGGCGAUCGUUGAGCUUUUGUUGUCUUCUGUUCUCCUGUGAUCCGUGUCCGCCGAAGAUGACGUUGACCUCCCUGUCAACGCGUGGGAAGGCUCCUCCUUCCCCCUCCUCCUGCUGCUGGGGUUGUCGUGGUUCUUCUGGUCCUCCCCGCGGCGGAGGAGGAGGUAGAGGUUGGAAGGGUCGGCCGUGUCCGAUGGAGUGCUUGAAGUCCUUGCAGUUCCGAAGGGUGUGGCGCAUGUCCUUGUGGUACGGGCACUGGGCGUCGAGGAUGUCGUCCAGCGUGCGCUCGCCUCCGCGAGGUCCUCCCCGGGCGCGAGAGGCAGGUGGUCCGGCGACGUGCACUUCUUCGCGAGGUCUUUUCUCCCAGCGUUUGUCGGGUUGCUGGUUCGCGUCGCGUCGCAUCGUGGCGCAGCCAGUGCGGGCUUCGCUCCCCCGAUGAGGUCCUGAGCUCGCUCGUCGGCGGUGAUGUAGAGGUCGGCUUCCCGGAACAGCUGCUCGGAGGUAGUCGGCGCUUUCUGCAGUAUGGCUCGGACGAAGGCCGAGUCAUUGGAUCCUCUGUAGAAGUCCUCGAUCACGGCCGCCUCCGUGACCUCGGGGAUUCGAUUUCUCAUGGUCUGGAACCUUUUGAGGUACGACCGGAGAGUUUCGUCCCCCCGACGCUUGAUGGAUUUGAGGUCCCAUGGUUGCGCUAGUUUGUCGGAGAGGGACUGAAGGUUGGCGGUGAAGCGUCGACUGAAGUCGUUCCAGUCGUCGAUGCAGUGUCGAGGUAGAUGUCGCAGCCAUUGUAGUGCGUCUUGCCCGAGGACAAUGGGUAAGUACGCAGUCAUCACGUCCUCGGAUGCUCCGGCGGCUCGGGCGGCAGUGGUGUAGACAGCCAACCAGCCUCCUGGAUCCUGCUUAGGUUCAUAUUUGUCGACAUUGAAUACCUUGAAGUUAGGGGGCCACUGAAUGGCCCUAAGGCGUGGAGUAAGGGCUGUCACUCCACACGUGUCCUCCUGUCGUCGGGGAUGAUGUCUGUCCCGGGGAGGGGAGUAGUCGUUGUGGUUCCUCGACCGACCCCGGGUAGUACCGCCAGUCGAAGCCGUGGCUGACUCGGUUCUGGUUGCCUGACUCCGAGCUGGGAUGCUGUGAUCCCUGUCAUACUCCUCCCGGCGGCGGAUCUCGUUCUCAUGCCGUCGUUCACGCGAAGCGUUGAUGGAGCUUCGCGCGUCCCGACGACUGUUGAUGGCGUGUCGUAGAUCGUUCGGCGGGUGAGCGAGCGGUAGAAGAUGGUUGGCUGCCUGGGUGAACAUUCGUCGAUAGCCCUCGGCGUCGGGAGUCCGAGGGAGUCCAUCAGCUAUCCGAUCUAGUACCCCUCCGACUUCACUCGGCGUGUUCAUGGCUCGGGCGAAGUCGGGAUUCAGGUUGCGCCCGAAGAGUGGAUUUUCUCGGCGCUGCCUUGCAUCCUGCUCGGCUUGUUCCUGAGCUCGUCGGCGAUCACGUCGGCGGGAAUUCCUUCGUUCUCUGAAGACGCGUUCCUCCGGAGUUUCUCCUAUCUCCGAGACCUUGUCCCGCGAAACAGGCUGCUUUGGAUCCCGUUCUCUGGCCUCAUGAUGUCGCCGAAUGUUUCGGCGUCGGUUUCUCCACCGACGGGAUUCCCGCUGAGGUGGUUCUUCUCUGGGUGCGGUCGGCUCGUCGUCGGAGACGGGGGCGACUCCACUCUCCCGAUGAAGAGGAUGUCGGGGUAGAAUGGUGCGGCGGUCGUGGCGAUCUUCUUCCCGUUCUCCUUUGAGGGCGAAGGAACGGAAAGAACGACUUGCUUCCUUUCGGUCUCUUUCUUCCUUGCGAUCUGUGUCCAUUCUUUCGUCGGGGAAGUAGACAAUGGAGUUCUCCGGGUCAGCGGGCUCUCGGCCCCUGGCUUGCCGAGGGCGAUCUUUUUUCGGAGCGCUGGAGGUCGCGCUUUUUCCUUCCUCUCCCCGAUAUUCUCGGAGCGUGUUGGAGUGGACUUCUUCUUUGGCGGAUCGACGAUGCGGUGUAGAGUUCCCUCUUCAUCUGCUAUGGACGAGAUCGUUCCAAAGCAGAAUACGGAUCCGGGUCGGAGGGUGAUCUUGUUGUAGAAGGUGACAGCCAUUGAGCUAGAUUGGAUCGGCGACACACCCCCUACCUGGCGCGCCAGCUGUCGGUGUUUUGGGUCCGACCGCACACCCGGGGUUUCCCCUCAAGGUGUUUUAGGAGUAGGACGGUGUUGCCGACUGUAGCUAAAUGGUUCGUGCCUGAUGCACGAGGAACAAUGGACAAUGUUUACAGGUUCGGGCCGCUUUGAGAUGCGUAACACCCUACGUCCUGGCGAGUAUGCUUUGUGUAUGAGUUACAAGGUCGCUCUCCAAAGCGUAGAGAGUUGAGGUGGACGGUUGAAUAGUAAUGGGGUCGAUCGUUCUUAAGGGGUGCCCCCUAGGCCUUAUAUAUUCGACCGUGAGGCAAUACAUGUGGAUAUGCACCUAAAAGAUAGUGAACUGUGUUUGUCUAUCUUCCUAUGAUUCUGCCGACUUCUCCUCGCCUGGUUACGUCGUACGGGGCUCCAGCGCGGGAAAGUCGGAUCUUCUGUUGCGGUCGCUUGCUCAACGCUGUGGGGCCGUCCGGUUUUGCGCCCACCCGGCCUUAUGUCGAUCUGCUCCACUAGUCGUUUCUCCCCAGGCCCAUGAAGGAGUGACCUCACGAUUUAUUGGGCUCUUGGGCCUUUCGUGAGGUCUUUUACCCUUCCAGUGGACCCGGGGGAUAUCUGUCCCCCACAAUGUUGGCAUGGGAUGCGGGGAUAUGUUAGCAUGGAAGUCGAGGGUGUUUGUCCUCCGCCAUCGCCGCACAACGAAUUGGGCGCUAUCUCCACUAGAAUCACAGGGGAGGAGGGAGCGAUCGCAACGGUGGCUUGCUCGAGGCAUGCACGGGGAGUAGGAUUGAGCGCCUACCAAACAUUCACUAGAUACAAUCAACGGAUUGGGAGCUAUCUCCAUUGGAAUCGUGGGGGAGGAUGGUGCGCUCGCGACGGUGGUUUGAUCGGGGCAUGCACGCGGGGAGACAGGGCUUUGGAGCACUGGAAUUGUGUGGUAGGCAAGCGCGGUUGUGACGGUGGAUUCCUCGGGCCGCGCGCGGGGUAUGCGGCCAUGGGUUUCGACAGUGGCUUGCUAGCGGGGCAGAGUAGGUGGGCGCCAUUGCGAUAGCGGCUUGAGUAGGCGGUCGCGGUUGCGACGACGGAUUGCUCGGGGUGUGCGUGCGGGUAUUGAGCUCGGGGCGGAUUGCUCGGUAGGCCGGCUUGGUCGGGGUCGGGGUUUGCGGCGGGUGGAGGGGGUGCCACGCGCUGAGAAGAGGCGGGGGCAGUCUACACUAAUACCUUAAUAGUUAGUAGAGAUAAUUGAGACGUACAUCCAAGAAUGGCUAUCUUCGUUAACAAUAUCAACCGAGACAACCAUAUUCGCCUCCUUUGACUUUUAAUAGAGGCUGCCUCUAUUAAUGUUUUAUAUAUUUCAAUUAUUUUAUUUCUUGGCAGUAGUGAGAUAUGCAACGAUCAUAUCUGUUUGACGUGAUUAAUUUAUUUCAUCAUAAGCAUAAUAAACUAAAAAUAUAUUAUGUCUCAUCAACAAAUAAAAUUCAGUAAAAAUAAAAUCCAAUAUGGCGGUGCCGCAUGCGCAUAGAGCAUAUAUAGCCCUAACCGUUGUCCACUCCAUGCAUUGGGAUUAUAUGGGCAAUGAAUACUUUAAUAAUAAUUUUAAAUAUUAAAUAUAAAUUAUAAAACUAAUUAAAUAGAUGAAGAUUGUACGAUGAGAUAAAUUUAUUAAGCCUAAUUAAUCUAUGAUUAGCAAAUGUUUGUUGUAGAACUAGUUUUGCAAUUAAACUAUAUUUAAUAUUUUUAAUUAAUAUUUAAAUAUCUGAUCUAACAUGAUUAAAAUUAAGUCAAGGGAAUCCAAACGAGGCCUAGGUUUAGAUGGGUAAAACAAUUCAGCAGCGCCGCAUAAUUUUUUCUCUAAUUUUGGUCCAUCUAGUCCUAACAUUCAUAUGAAUUGAUCAAUAAUUACUUAACGUCGACGGCCAGUAUGACUCAGCCAGUGGCGCGCAUGGUCGUGGUAGGCCCACCAGAGUUAGGGCUAGACGAAAUGCUCGUGGCUCGUUGGCUCGCUCGGUUCAUGGUCAGCGGCUCGUCUCGGAUCGGCUCGUUUGAAUUUUUCACGAGCAGAGCUGACAUCCUAGCUCGGUUCGUUAACGAGCCAGCUCGCGAGCUAAACGAGCUACCACAUUCCAGCAAAACGAAACUAUAUGCAUAUCAUUUACAGAAUAAUUGAUGAACAUGUUAUAUAUAUUUGAUGUGUAUAUGGUCUGUGAGUUAAACUAAUGAUUAAUGAACUAUGUUUAUGUGUUAAUUUAGUCUAUGCAAAUAUAAUUAUGGGUUAAACUGAUGAACAUGUAUGUGAAUUGAUGAGUGAUGAAUUAUGCUAAUUUGGUGUUACAUUGACGUGGUUUGUGAAACUAUGAGUAUAAUUAUUAUUUUCUAUUGUUAAAUUAGUUUGAAAUUAACUAAAAAUAAUUAUUAUUUACAUAUUUUUUUCUGCUCUAGCUCGCGAGCUAAACGAGCCAGCUCGAGCUCAUAAACGAGCCAAGUCGAGCUGACUCUGUGGCUCGUUAACUUAACGAGCCGAGCCGGGCUAGCUCGUUAGCUUAAUGAGCCAACUCGAACUCGGACGAGUCGAGCCGAGCUGUCUCGUUAUCCACCCCUAACUGGACUGCACUUCAAUAACAUUUUCCUUGUGUUUUGUGGUGGAGGGUAGCUAACCAUACAAUUUCCAAUUUAUGUUGGUCCUAAAUUCUCGUUAUAAUCUUAAUUUACAAAAUUCACGUCUUAACACAUGCAUUAAUUAAAUCCAUGUUGGGACCACUAGAUUUGUAUGCAAAUGUAUCACAAGGAUGAAAUGAUGUUGGUCAUUGAGGACUCUCUAGAUUACCCAUAGAGUACACAUAAAAAUUAUUGGAUAUUAUGCAUUAGUAUGUCAAAAUUUGCGUGCGUAAUUUUAAUAUUUUUAUGUUAUCAAUGAGGGUUGAGAAAUGAUUUAGUGAUUUAAUUCAACCUCCUCAGGGCCUACGAAUAGUGUAAGUUCAAGGGUGGGAAAUAAGAUUUGGCAUUGCCAGUACUAAUGUUCUAUGUACUAGUGGUUAAUCCCACGGAACUAACCCAACUGAGGUUCUACUUUAGCCAUUUGUAUCCACAAGUCUCAUACGUUUAGCUCGGCUCACUCAAAAACAUUGGAAAUUAUGCAAAGUUAAUUAAAUUUAUUCCUCAUCAUAAAUAUAACAACCCAUGCAACACAUUCCAAGCUAAGGUUGCAACGAGCCGACAGCAGCUUGGUCGUCUUGCUGUGACGCCGGUGGGGUGUGCUUGUUGUUCAUGGAGGGCAAGUCCAAGUCGUGCCCAUGGUGUGGAGGUGGUAUCGGCGAUGGAUAGAUUAUCGGGGGAAUCCAUGGAUAGAUUAUUAGGGGUCUCUAUUUCUUCUGGAUGUGUGCCUCCGACGCAGUGGAUGAUGACAGCAGUAGCGGCAUCAAAAGGACGAGGAGCACCACGGUGGUUGUGCUCCUGCUACGCUCGAACUACGCUCGAACGCGACCAUUGUUGUUAUUGUUGUUGCUAUCUGUGCUUCUUGUUAGAGAACGUUGCCGGCGUUAUACCACAUAUAUGUGUGUGUAUAUAGUGUCGACUCUCUAGUGCUUAAAUUUAGCAUGGAUAGAUGGUUGUCAUCUAAACUAGGUGGUAAUUUAAUUUUUGCUCUAAGAGAGGUGUAAAUAUUAUGUUGCAUAAAUAUAGAUGGACAAUCAACAUUGGAAUGAUUUUAAUGUGCUCCUAUACUUUUCUCUCUUUCGUGUUUGUCAAUUUAACCUCAUUAAAAAUUUUGUAUCUUUGUGAUCCAACUUCAAGCCUUGAACUACCGUCUGUUUCUAUAAUAAUUUAUUAUCUAUGUUAGCUAAUUGUAAUUACAAGUCGCUUUAUGAUUCUUGGCCAUCAAACUUUCUCAAGUUUCGACCACCACUAGUAUAGAAAUAGGUUUUACUAGUGGUAGUUUUUGUAUCUUCAUAGGUGGUUUUGUGAAAUGCUGACAUGAAAGUUUAUGGAAAUUAUGUGUUCCAUUGGCGUAUGAUUGCGGCGGGUCAUUAUUGGCAUAACAAUGUCGCCUUUGAAAACAAAUUUACAUAGGUAAAAUACUUAGGUCAACCACUAGCAUAGAGUUAUUUUACUUUUGAGUAGCUAAAAUUUAGCUUGGUAAGUCAUUUGGCAUCAAAGACGUCCACCUUCAUUAAUAGUAUCUACAGAGGAAGUCAUGUCCGUCUCAUUUAGCUUGACGAGUCAUUUGGCAUCCAAAGAUGCCUACCUUCAUUUAAUUAGUAGGCAAACACAACUAAGAUAACUACCUUGUAGAUUUGAAUUAUUUCAUUUCUUGACAGCAAUGAAAUAUAUACAACAAUCAUAUCUGUUUGAGAUGAUUAAUUUAUUUCAUCAUAAGCAUAAUGAACUAAAAAUAUAUUCUGCCUCAUCAACCAAUCAUAUGGGUUUAUUGGGCCAGAUUUAGAUGUGUAAAACAAUUCAGUAGCACGCCGACCAUCAAUGGCGUCGCAUAUUUUUUCCCUAAAUCGGCCAUCUUGUCCUAACAUUCCAAUAAACCAAUCAAUAAUUACUCGGCGCCGAUAACCAGUAUGUCUCCGCGCGGUGGCACAUGGUGGUGGUAGGGGAAUCUAGGGCGGCAGAGGAGACCACGACACUUGCCCUGUGGCAGAGGAUAACUGACCAUGGACCCCAAUGCCACGGAGGAGGGUCACGAAAGGGUUGGGGUUGUUGGACGAUGCUUCCACCCAACCAGUGUGCCGUCGCUGUCGUCGAGGAUAGCAUCGUCAUCACCGACAACAGCAGGAGUGCCGCGAUGGUGGGUGUCCUCGUGGAGGCCUUUUGCGCUGCCAUUAUCGAAGCUAGCAGAGUAGGUACCAAUAAUGUUUUAAAUGUCUAGGUAAGGGCCUUAGGAGCAAGCUUUUGGAUAAGCUAUAAAGGUUAUAGCCGACUAUAGCUAUGAGUUAAACCAUUUAACAGUUUUUAGGAAAAACAUGAUAUAACUUCAUAGAUAGUUUAAAUGUUCAACAUUUAAAUAUGACAGUUCAAACUAGUAGUUCAAAUGUCCAAUAAUAAAUCAACAUGCAUGUAAAUUCAAUGACACAUGAAAGGCAUUGAAUCAUUAUCUAACAAAAUCAUAAACAUUAAGUUAAGGACCUACCCACAACUUGUUUUUGGGUCUUAAUGUUUCAAAGGUUAGACCCAGUAAAAGAAUUGCAGGUUUAUCAGCUAAAUCAAGCUAAUGUUAUGUAUUUAUCGGGCUAAAUAAAUCUAUUAGCGGCUAAUCUUGAUUAGCGCUAAAUAGUGCAUCUCUCUUAGCCGGCUAUUUAAAACCUUGACGAUAUCUAGAUUCUCAUGAUAAUUAGAUUAUUUAGAAAUUUAGAUUAUCAUAAAAGCUCUUUAGAAAAAAAAUAAAGCUGUCUCAAACAUCCUCAUGGACUGCUAAGUACAGGAACGAAUAAAAUACAGCUUCGACUGCAUGCGUAUGUUUAGGGUAACAUGGAAGAAACAGCGACGAUGCUGCAGGCUGCGUGUAGCUCCAGCUAUGAACUAUCAGUCUAGCAGUCUAGCUAUGAACUAUCUAUAACAUGAAAUCCGCAUUGGCACGUGCUGUAAUAGCUACAAGCCUACAAGUAGUCUUGGCACUGGGGGCAAAUCGAGCUCCUGGAGGCCCUCGAGAACGCGGACAACGUCAGCCAUGGUCGGCCGGUCGCACUCGUCGUCUUGGAUGCACCAGAACGCGACUUUGCACAGCCUUUCCGCCUCCUCCAGGCUGAGGUCUCCCUGUAGGCAGGGGCGGAUUUACGACCGGGGCUGCCUGGGCUGCAGCCCCGGUCGCGGCCCAAUAACAAGAGGAGCAGGUUUUCAGCCGCCAGCCCAGCAGCUUCCCUAGUCGCUACGGCGCUACCCUAGUCCAGGCGUCCAGCCGCUGCCGCGCCGAGGACAUCCAGACGCGGAGACGCCAGAGCCGCAGCCGCAGGCCCGCAGCAGCCAGCAGGCACGCACGGGCACUGGCCGCUGGGCGCACACGACCACGGGCCACCGCCUACCGCUACCGGCCACCGCGGUCCGCGCCUCCGCGGCACGCCGCACGCCGCGCGUCUGCGCCACGCCGCCACCGACCACCGGCCACCGCCCAGCCCAGGCGCAAGUCUUCUGGGCAGUUGGGCACCCACGCCGCGGCCAGCACCCAGGCCGCCAGGCGCGAGUCUUCUGCGCCACGCCGCCACCCACUGCGGCGCUGCCCGCUGCUGGCUUGGCUGCCGCUGCCGCACGCGGCACGCCCGCCGAGGCUGAGCCGGACAGCCGCCGACCGAGUGCCCGACAGCCCGAGCAGGCGAACAGAGCGGUGAGCCCUUCUGUUGCUGUCCGAGUUUGAUUUGAAGUUUUAAUUUGAAUAUGAUUAUUUAUUUGAUAGUAAUCUCAUGUUUAAUUAUAGAAAUAAGAUGAUAAAUUUCUCAUCAAGAACUAGAAGAAAGAUGAUUCUAUUUCUAAAACAAUUAGGACCUAUGCUUGCAGCCCCCCUCUUGGAUCAAUCCUGGAUCCGCCACUGCCUGUAGGCGCGGGUCCACCAAGCCCUGCAGGUCUCCCUCGUGAAGCUUCGUGAUGGCCUGCAUCUGGAAAUACGCCGCGGCGUGGUAGUAACCGCUCCUGCUGAGAGCCUGCGGCGGCGUGUUCCUCUGCCUGGACACGAUCUCCAGGACCACCAUGCCGAAGCUGUAGACGUCCACCUUGGGCGUGAUGGGGACCCCGGCACCCCGCUCAGCCACUCCGGGGCGAGGUACCCUGCUGUCCCUCGGAACGUGGUCAGGACAGGACCCGGCUGAAGUCUCGGCCGACGAACGCCGCCAGCCCGAAGUCCGCGAUCUUGGGCGCGAAGGAUGCGUCGAGGAGGAUGUUCUCCGGCUUGAUGUCGCAGUGGAUGAUGCACUCGCGGCAGCUCUGGUGCAGGUAGCACAGUCCUCUUGCGACCCCGACGGCGAUCCUGUACCUCUUGCUCCAAUCCAGCGCAGUGGCGACGGCGGCGGCGCUGCUCUGCUGGAACAGAUGCGCGUCGAGGGAGCCGUUCACCACGUGCUCGUACACAAGCAGCCUCUUGUCGCCUUCGCAGCAGAAGCCGAUCAGUCUGACCAGGUUCCUAGGUAGAUAACAUACCAGUGAGGGAUUGAAAGCAAUGGAGAUAAAAGUUAUGAGCUUGUAAGAGAUCAAGGCCGGUACAGCUAGGGGAAGGGGAGAGAUGCUAGGAGAUAGCAUGCAUCGAAUACCAGAUAGUUGCUUGUGAGAAAAAUUUUAUGGCAAAAAUGCCCUUGAAUAUAACAGGUAAUGGAUAUCCUAGUUUGAAAACAAGUAAUCAGACUGUGACCACUUUUCUCUAGUAUUUGUUUCAUUUCUGUAGAAGUACAAAACAUCUGUUGUUUUAUAUCAGCAGUGAUCAGAAAUUCUAGCCUGCAUUACUUCAUUUCAGUACCUUUACAUUUCAUGUCGGUGACAAAUUUCUUCAUAAGAAAAUUUGUGUCUAAAAUUUGCUGAUAUGAGGAGAUAUAAUAUGGUGGGAUUUUUAUCUCCGCCAAAACUUGACUUUACUGGCUCAACGAACCCAGACAGAAGGAAAUCCCAAAUGGCCAUUUUCCUUGAGUUGAACCAGCCUCAUAAUAUUAUAUCUUAUUUGCAGUUUUAGAGUUUAAUUAGAGUAGAAGAAAUUAUCUUAGUUUGGUCUCAUUUGCUUUGGGAGAAAAACCAAACCAAACAAUUCAAACCAUUGUAAUUCAUAAUUCCACUACUUCGUUCGAGCCCUCGUAUUGUAGUACCUUGAACCAGUGAUAUGAAAUUGUGAAGUAAAUGCUUAUUUGCAUAUCUAUGGAUUCUCAAGCAAAUCUGUAGAAACACAGAACUGAAUAGAGGAUGAUUAAAAAAAUAAUGAUCUAGAAAAGAAAAACCGGAGUGAAGAAACUAUUGUUACUUUAGCAUCAAAACCUAAGAAACACACCUUAUAAUCCCUGCUGAAAAAAUGCUCAUCCGCCAACUAAAUUUCAGAUUCCUAUGCAUUAUUAUAAGUAGUAAAUGUAGUAUAUAAUAUGUAUCUGAAGGACUCUAUAAGUGGAAUGAUCGGUCCAAAAGGCAAAGCAUUUCAUAUAAAGAUCUAGUUCCACAGUUCUCCAUCCCCAAAUAGCAUUACAAUCCAAAAGGCAAAGCAUUUCAUAUAAAGAUCUAGUUCCACAGUUCUGCAUCCCCAAAUAGCAUCACAGUCCAAAAGGCAAAGCAUUUCAUAUAUAAGAUCUGGUUCCACAGUUCUGCAUCCCCAAAUAACAUCACAAUAUAAAGCGCCUGGUUUCCUACCUAGAUUUUCUUAGGAUGUAAGCUACAAGACUGAUACAGAAUAAAAUAAGAAUAGAAGCUAUAAUAAAAAAUACGAUUUUUUCACAUCAUUAAAAAAUUAACACGAACAAUUUAUGGUAUGUAUUACAAUGGUAAAUAUUUAGCUUUGUCUUAGUUUCACAAUCAAUCAUUUUAACAGAUGAGCAUGAGAUGCGAAAAAAUGAUCACCUCUUUCUAACUGCAGUACCAGUCAAAACACCACCAUAUGGAUGGUUCAGUCCUUCAAUUCCUUGACAACUUGGACCUCUUGGACUCAGCAGGUCUCAGGUGUGGAAUAUGCAAUUCAAGCAUAUGGGAUAUUUAUGAGAAGCAGUUGUGCAUUGUACACUACAUGGACCUAGUUUUCUUCCAUAUAAAAUUAUUAAAUUAGUUAAUAAUGUGCAUUACAUCGACAUGCCGAGAGACCACUUAUGAUACAACUCUGCAAGCAUUCCAUUUAUCCCAUGUAUUCAAUUCACUUUAACCUAAAGAAACACGCUUCUUAUUGGCAAGUGUGGAACUUUCACCACAGGUUAAACAUGAAGACAAUGAUCUCUUCCCAAAGAACAAUAUCAGCCAUGUUAUCAGGGAAGAAAACAUUCUAAAGAUGCAGUGCAAGCUGUGCACUCCCCUCCCCCCUAAGAAGCAGAGUCGGUACUAUCGACCUCGUGUCAAUGUGAGAACCAGGACCAACUCUUGUGGCGAUGCUUUUCCAUGCAAGAAAAAGCAAACACUCGAUCAAAACUCCACCAAAGAAACAAACACGAAACAGGCGGGAUGGCAAAACUGAGCAGAUCAGACCGGGCAGGACGCACCUGGUUGUCGCCGUAGACAUGGGGUAGGCGAGUCCAAAGCUUGCCAUGGCCAGCGCCCUAGAUCUCCGCUCGGAUCUUGACCGCACCAAGCAAUCGACGCGAGACGGCAAGCAGGGUUUACUCCUCUGAAUCGCAGAGCUUCUUCUUUGUCGACGUGUUGGAGAUGGAAAUCUGUAGGGUGAACUUGCGUCGGGAUCUGCAGGAAGGGAGGGAGACGGUGAGCCGACGCUGACCUCAUCCCUUCGCAGGUGUGUGCCACGCUGGGCCACUCCUUGUCGGAGAUGCGUUGUACGGGGCUACGCCUGCUGUCGGCGUUUCGACCCCGGGGGGUCCCUGGACCGACGAGUGAAAUUGUCACUGCGUGUCCCAGCCCAGAUGGGUUGGCGCGAGAUGGAACACAAGGGGGGAAGAACGUGGCUCGUGUUAUCCUGCGCCAAGGGGGGAUGCGCUUGCAGUAGGGGUUACAAGCGUUCGCGAGGGAGAGAGAGCGAGCCCGCUCGUCAGCCCGUGCUCCCGGGCGACCACCCUCCCGUAUGAGGGCCUGGCCCUUCCUUUUAUAGAUGCAAGGAGAGGGUCCAGGUGUACAAUGGGGGUGUAGCAAUUUGCUAACGUGUCCGGCAGAGAGGAGCCAGAGCCCUAUGUACAUGCCAACGUGGCUGUCGGAGAGGUGCUAGAGCCCUGUGUACGCGGUGUCGUGGCCGUCGGAGGUGCGUUUGAGCCCUGUAGAAGCAUAGCUGUCGGGGCUGCUGGGACCUUGCUGACGUCUCCUUGCUUCCGUAGGGGGCUGAGAACCGCCGUCGUCAUGGACGCACGCGGGGAGCCAUCAUUACUUGUUACCGGGGCGAGCCUGGAUGGGACGCCGGUCUUGUUCCCCCGUAGCCUGAGCUAGCUAGGGGUAGGGUAAUGAUGUAUCCUCCGUGGCUCGGUCGGUCCGAGCCCAAGGUCGGGCGAGGCGAAGACUCCUCCUGAGGCCGAGGUCGGGCGAGGACGCGAUUCCUCCCGAGGUCGAGGUUGAGGCCGAGCCCUAGGGUCGGGCGAGGCGGAGACCACCUUCCGAGGUCGAGGGUGAGGCCGAGCCCUGGGGUCGGGCGAGUCGGAGACCACCUUCCGAGGCCGAGGGCGAGGCCGAGCCCUGGGGUCGGGCGAGGCGGAGGCCACCUUCCGAGGCUGAGGGUGAGGCCGAGCCCUGGGGUCGGGCGAGGCGGAGACCUCCUCCUGAGGCCGAGGCCCAAGGUCGGGCGAGGCGGAGCUUCCUGUUGCGCCUGAGGCUGGACUUAGCUAUAGUCAGCCUUACCCUGGCGAGUGGCACAGCAGUCGGAGAGGGGCGAGCGGCGUUGUUUUCCUGUCAGGUCGGUCAGUGGAAGGGCGAAGUGACUGCGGUCACUUCGACCUUGCCGACUGAGGCGCGUGUGUCAGGAUAAGGUGUCAGGCGAUCCUCGCAUUGAAUGCGCCUGCGAUGCGAUCGGUUGGUGAGGCGAUUUGGCCAAGGUUGCUUCACAACGAAGCCUGCCCGAGCUGGGCUUUGGGCGAGUUGAGGGCGCGCCUGUUGCUUGAGGAGGCCCUCGGGCGAGGCGUGAAUUCGCCUGGACUACUGCUCCUGCCCGAGGCUGGGCUCGGGCGAGGCGAGAUCGCGUCCCUUGAGUAUACGAAGCCUUGACCUGAAUUGCGUCCAUCAGUCUCUGCAGCUUGUGCUGACGGCGAUUACCAGCCGUGUUUAGGAGUGUUGGGGGUACCCCUAAUUACGGUACCCGACACCUGCGGAAGGAGGGAGCGACGAACUGGGCACGAGCACCCAUGAAUCCACCUAUCCUUCCAAAAAAAGGUUGUCGGACCGUUGCCAAUAGUGGUAGCCACCGCAGCCUGUAACAGAGCUCUGGCCUGGGGAGAGAUUUUGAGAUCCAAUCCACUCCAAGGUUUGGAAGGAGCAGUUUUCUGGAGCUAAAGCCAAUGAAUUUGCAGGGCCCAGUUCAUAGUGAGGAGAUUGGGAAUUCCAUGGCCUCCCAAAUCAAAAGGCCUAGUAACCUUAUCCCAAGAAAUAAGACAAUUUCCUCCUCUAGCCUCCUUUCCACAGAAAACUCCUGAUUUUGUCAAUGGCUCUAAUAGCCCAUUUUGGAGCAUUGAGGGCAAUGAACAGAUACACUGGGGUAGCAGAGAGGACAGAUUUGACAAGGGUGAUUCUCCCAGCAAGGUUUAAAGACCAGUUUCCAUCCUGAAAGUUUAUCAGCAAUUUUCUCAAUCCGAGGAGUGAGCUCUCCAACAAUAUGCCUUUUGUUGAUCAGGGAGAGGCCAAGAUAAGUUGUUGGAAAGCAUUUAGAGGCACAACCCAGAAUUUGAACAGCCAGCUCCACCCUUUCAAAAUCACAGCGAAUUGGGUAAGACAAACUUUUUUGCAGAUUAGUCUGGAGGCCAGAGGCCACACCGAAGCCUUUCAAGGUUUCUUUGAAUACCUAGUCCACUGCAUCAGGCUUAAUAAAUACUGCAACGUCAUCCACAAACAUAGAGACUAUUUGGUUGACAUUUCUACCAGCAAGGGGCUGCAAAAGGCCAUAUUCAUCAGCUUGGACAAAGAGGUUGUUAAGAACAUACAUUACAAGUAUAAAAAACGGAGGGGAUAGGGGAUCUCCCUGCCUCAACCAUAACAACCUGACCCAAAGAGCCUGAUAGUCGCCUAGAGGAGGGGUGAAUAGGGCGAAACUGAAAUUUACAAAUAUAAACACAACUACAAGCCGGGUUAGCGUUAGAAAUAUAAACGAGUCCGCGAGAGAGGGCGCAAAACAAAUCGCAAGCAAUGAAGAGUGUGACACGUGGAUUUGUUUUGCCGAGGUUCGGUUCUCGCAAACCUACUCCCCGUUGAGGAGGCCACAAAGGCCGGGUCUCUUUCAACCCUUCCCUCUCUCAAACGGUCCCUCGGACCGAGUGAGCUUCUCUUCUCAAAUCAAAGCCGGGAACAAAACUUCCCCGCAAGGGCCACCAUACACUUGGUGCCUCUUGCCUUGAUUACAAUGGAUUUUUUAUCACAAGAACAAGUGAGAAAGAAAAGAAGCAAUCCAAGCGCAAGAGCUCAAAAGAACACGACAAAUCUCUCUCGCUAAUCACUAAAGACUUGUGUGGAGUUGGAGAGGAUUUGAUCUCUUUGGUGUGUCUAGAAUUGAAUGCCUAGCUCUUGUAAGUGGUUGAGAAGUGGAAAACUUGGAUGCAAUGAAUGGUGCGGUGGUUGGGGUAUUUAUAGCCCCAACCACCAAAAGUGGCCGUUGGGAGGCUGUCUGUUCGAUGGCGCACCGGACAGUCUGGUGCACACCGGACAUGUCCGGUGCCCCCCGCCACGUCAUCACUGCCGUUGGAUUCUGACCGUUGGAGUUCUGACUUGUGGGCCUGCCUUGAUGUCCGGUGGCGCACUGGACAUCUCCUGUUCAUUGUCCGGUGCGCCAGUAUGGGCGCGCCUGCCUUCUGUGCGCGCAGAGCGCGCAUUAAAUGCGUCGCAGGUAGCCGUUGGCGCCGAAUAGCCGUUGCUCCGGAGUUGCACCGGACAGUCCGGUGCACACCGGACAUGUCCGGUGAAUUAUAGCGGACUAGCCAUUGGAGAUUCCCGAAGCUGGCGAGUUCCUGAGGCCGUCUUUCCUUGGAGCACCGGACACUGUCCGGUGUACACCGGACAGUCCGGUGAAUUAUAGCGCGCCGGCCUGAGAAAUUCCCGAAGGUGGCGAGUUCGAGUUGGAGUCCUCUGGUGCACCGGACACUGUCCGGUGGUGCACCGGACACUGUCCGGUGGCACACCGGACAGUCCGGUGCGCCAGACCAGAGGUGCCUUCGGUUGGCCCUUUGCUCCUUUGUUGAAUCCAAAACUUGAUCUUUUUAUUGGCUGAGUGUGAACCUUUUACACCUGUAUAGUCUAUACACUUGGGCAAACUAGUUAGUCCAAUUAUUUGUGUUGGGCAAUUAAACCACCAAAAUUAUUUAGGAACUAGGUGCAAGCCUAAUUCCCUUUCAAUCUCCCCCUUUUUGGUGAUUGAUGCCAACACAAACCAAAGCAAAUAUAGAAGUGCAUAUUUGAACUAGUUUGCAUAAUGUAAGUGCAAAGGUUGCUUGGAAUUGAGCCAAUAUAAAUACUUACAAGAUAUGCAUGGAUUGUUUCUUACUUAUAACAUUUUGGACCACGCUUGUACCACGAGUUUUGUUUUUGCAAAUUCUUUUGUAAAUCUUUUUCAAGGUUUCUUUUACAAAUAGUCAAAGGUAAAUGAGUAAGAUUUUGCAAAGCAUUUUCAAGAUUUGAAAUUUUCUCCCCCUGUUGCAAAUGUUUUUCCUUUGACUAAACGAAACUCCCCCUAAAUGAGAUCCUCCUCUUAGUGUUCAAGAGGGUUUUGAUAUAUCAUUUUUGAAAUACUACUUUCUCCCCCUUUUUUAACAUAAUAGGAUACCAAAUGAUAAAAUUCUUUGAAAACACGAAGUUUUUGAAAUUGGUGGUGGUGUGGUCCUUUUGCUUUGGGCUCUUACUUUCUCCCCUUUGGCAUGAAUCGCCAAAAACGGAAUCAUUAGAGCCCUCAUGGUGCUAUCUUCCCCUUUGGUCAUAGAUAAAUAAGUUAAGAUUAUACCAAAGACGAAGUCCUUUUGCUUGGUGCUCAUGCUUUCUCCCCAAGCAUGGAGAGUGACUUAGAGUGACGACGAAGGAUGAGUUUAUGGAGUGGAAGCCUUUGUUUUUGCCGAAGACUCCAAUUCCCUUUCAAUACACCUAUGACUUGGUUUGAAAUAGACUUGAAGACACAUUAGUCAUAGCAUAUGAAGGGAUAUGAUCAAAGGUAUUCAAAAUGAGCUAUGUGUGCAAGUUAGCAAAAGAAAUUGCGAGAAUCAAGAAUAUUGAGCUCAUGCCUAAGUUUGGUAAAAGAUUGUUCAUCAAGAGGCUUGGUAAAGAUAUCGGCUAAUUGAUCUUUAGUAUUAAUGUAAGAAAUCUCGAUAUCUCCCUUUUGUUGGUGAUCCCUAAGAAAAUGAUACCGAAUGGCUAUGUGUUUAGUGCGGCUAUGUUCGACGGGAUUAUCCGCCAUUUUGAUUGCACUCUCAUUAUCACAUAGCAAAGGGACUUUGGUCAUUUUGUAACCGUAGUCCCGCAGGGUUUGCCUCAUCCAAAGCAAUUGCGCGCAACAAUGGCCUGCGGCAAUGUACUCGGCUUCGGCGGUGGAAAGAGCGACCGAAUUUUGUUCUUUGAAGCCCAAGACACCAAGGAUCUUCCCAAGAACUGGCAAGUCCCCGAUGUGCUCUUCCUAUUGAUUUUACACCCCGCCCAAUCGGCAUCCGAAUAACCAAUUAAAUCAAAUGAGGAUCCCCUAGGAUACCAAAGCCCAAACUUAGGAGUAUAAGCCAAAUAUCUCAAGAUUCGUUUCACGGCCGUAAGGUGAGCUUCCUUAGGGUCGGCUUGGAAUCUUGCACACAUGCAUACGGAAAGCAUAAUAUCCGGUCGAGAUGCACAUAAAUAGAGUAAAGAGCCUAUCAUCGACCGCUAUACCUUUUGAUCCACGGACUUACCUCCCGUGUCGAGGUCGAGAUGCCCAUUGGUUCCCAUGGGUGUCUUGAUGGGCUUGGCAUCCUUCAUCCCAAACUUGUUUAGAAUGUCUUGAGUGUACUUCGUUUGGCAAAUGAAGGUGCCUUCUUGGAGUUGCUUCACUUGAAAUCCUAAGAAAUACUUCAACUCCCCCAUCAUAGACAUCUCGAAUUUUUGCGUCAUGAUCCUACUAAAUUCUUCACAUGUAGAUUCGUUAGUAGACCCAAAUAUGAUAUCAUCAACAUAAAUUUGGCAUACAAACAAAUCAUUGUCAAGAGUCUUAGUGAAUAAAGUAGGAUCGGCCUUGCCGACUUUGAAGCCAUUUGCAAUAAGGAAAUCUCUAAGGCAUUCAUACCAUGCUCUUGGGGCUUGCUUGAGCCCAAAAACCGCCUUAGAGAGCUUAUAGACAUGGUUAGGGUACUCACUGUCUUCAAAGCCGGGAGGUUGCUCAACAUAGACCUCUUCCUUGAUUGGUCCAUUGAGGAAGGCACUUUUCACGUCCAUUUGAUAAAGCCUAAAGCCAUGGUAAGUAGCAUAGGCCAAUAAUAUGCGAAUUGAUUCAAGCCUAGCUACGGGUGCAUAGGUUUCACCGAAAUCCAAACCUUCGACUUGGGAGUAUCCCUUGGCCACAAGUCGAGCUUUGUUCCUUGUCACCACACCAUGCUCGUCUUGCUUGUUGCGGAAGACCCAUUUGGUUCCUACAACAUUUUGGUUAGGACGUGGAACUAAAUGUCAUACCUCGUUCCUAGUGAAGUUGUUGAGCUCCUCUUGCAUCGCCACCACCCAAUCCGAAUCUUGGAGUGCUUCCUCUACCCUGUGUGGCUCAAUAGAGGAAACAAAAGAGUAAUGCUCACAAAAAUGUGCAACACGAGAUCUAGUAGUUACCCCCUUAUGAAUGUCGCCGAGAAUGGUGUCGACGGGGUGAUCUCGUUGGAUUGCUUGGUGGACUCUUGGGUGUGGCGGUCUUUGCUCUUCAUCCUCCUUGUCUUGAUCAUUUGCAUCUCCCCCUUGAUCAUUGCCGUCAUCUUGAGGUGGCUCAUUUGAUUGAUCUUCUUCUUCAUCAACUUGAGCCUCUUCCUCAUUUUGAGUUGGUGGAGAUGCUUGCAUGGAGGAGGACGGUUGAUCUUGUGUUCUUGGAGGCUCUUCGGAUUCCUUAGGACACACAUCCCCAAUGGACAUGUUCCUUAGUGCUAUGCAUGGAGCCUCUUCAAUACCUAUCUCAUCAAGAUCAACUUGCUCUACUUGAGAGCCGUUAGUUUUAUCAAACACAACGUCACAUGAGACUUCAACUAGUCCAGUAGACUUGUUAAAGACUCUAUAUGCCCUUGUGUUUGAAUCAUAUCCUAGUAAAAAGUCUUCUACAGUCUUAGGAGCAAAUUUAGAUUUUCUACCUCUCUUAACAAGAAUAAAACAUUUGCUACCAAAGACUCUAAAAUAUGAAAUAUUGGGCUUUUUACCGGUUAGGAGUUCGUAUGAUGUUUUCUUGAGAAUUCGGUGUAGGUACAACCGGUUGAUGGCGUAGCAAGCGGUGUUGACCGCCUCGGCCCAAAACCGAUCCGAUGUCUUGUACUCAUCAAGCAUGGUUCUUGCCAUAUCCAAUAGAGUUCGAUUCUUCCUCUCCACUACACCAUUUUGUUGUGGGGUGUAGGGAGAAGAGAACUCAUGCUUGAUGCCAUCUUCCUCAAGAAACCCUUCGAUUUGAGAGUUCUUGAACUCCGUCCCGUUGUCGCUUCUAAUCUUUUUGAUCCUUAAGCCGAACUCGUUUUGAGCCCGUCUCAAGAAUCCCUUUAAGGUUUCUUGGGUUUGAGAUUUUUCCUGUAAAAAGAACACCCAAGUGAAGCGAGAAUAAUCAUCCAUUAUUACAAGACAAUACUUACUCCCGCCGAUGCUUAUGUAAGCAAUCGGGCCGAAUAGAUCCAUGUGGAGUAGCUCAAGCGGCCUGUCGGUCGUCAUAAUGUUCUUGUGUGGAUGAUGAGCACCAACUUGCUUUCCUGCUUGGCAUGCGCUACAGAUCCUGUCUUUCUCAAAAUGAACAUUGGUUAGUCCUAAAAUGUGUUCUCUCUUUAGAAGCUUGUGAAGAUUCUUCAUCCCAACAUGGGCUAGUCGGCGGUGCCAGAGCCAACCCAUGUUAGUCUUAGCAAUUAAGCAUGUGUCGAGUUCAGCUCUAUCAAAAUCUACUAAGUAUAGCUGACCCUCUAACACACCCUUAAAUGCUAUUGAAUCAUCACUUCUUCUAAAGACAGUGACACCUACAUCAGUAAAGAGACAGUUGUAGCCCAUUUUGCAUAAUUGAGAUACAGAAAGCAAAUUGUAAUCUAAUGAAUCUACAAGAAAAACAUUGGAAAUAGAAUGGUCAGGAGAUAUAGCAAUUUUACCCAAUCCGUUGACCAAACCUUGAUUUCCAUCCCCGAAAGUGAUCGCUUUUUGUGGAUCUCGGUUUUUCUCAUAUGAGGAGAACAUUUUCUUCUCCCCUGUCAUGUGGUUUGUGCACCCGCUGUCGAUGAUCCAACAUGAGCCCCCGGAUGCAUAAACCUACAAAACAAGUUUAGUUCUUGACUUUAGGUACCCAAAUGGUUUUGGGUCCUUUGGCAUUAGACACAAGAACUUUGGGUACCCAAACACAAGUCUUUGACCCCUUGUGCUUGCCCCCAACAUAUUUGGCAACUACCUUGCCGGAUUUGUUAGUUAAAACAUAAGAUACAUCAAAAGUUUUAAAUGAAAGACUAUGUUCAUUUGAUGCAUUAGGAAUUUUCUUCUUAGGCAACUUAGCACGGGUUGGUUGCCUAGAGCUAGAUGUCUCACUCUUAUACAUAAAAGCAUGGUUAGAACCAGAGUGAGACUUCCUAGAAUGAAUUUUCCUAAUUUUGUCCUCGGGAUAACCGGUAGGGUAUAAAAUGUAACCCUCGUUAUCCUGAGGCAUGGGAGCCUUGCCCUUAACAAAGUUGGACAAUCUUUUAGGAGGGGCAUUAAGUUUGACAUUGUCUCCCCUUUGGUAGCCAAUGUCAUCCUUAAUGCCAGGGUGUCUCCCAUUAUUGAGCAUACUUCUAGCAAAUUUAAACUUUUCAUUUUCUAAGUUAUGCUCGGCAAUUUUAGCAUCUAAUAUUGCUAUAUAAUCAUUUUGUUGUUUAAUUAAAGCCAUAUGAUCAUGAAUAGCAUUGAUAUCAACAUCUCUACAUCUAGUACAAAUAGUGACAUGCUCAAUCGUAGAUGUAGAUGGUUUGCAAGAAUUAAGUUCAACAAUCUUAGCAUGUAGAAUAUCAUUUUUAUCUCUAAGAUCGGAAAUUGUAACUUUGCAAACAUCAAGAUCUUUAGCCUUAGCAAUUAAAUUUUCAUUUUCUACUCUAAGGCUAGCAAGAGAAUCAUUCAAUUCCUUAAUCUUAGCAAGCAAAUCAUCAUUAUCAUUUCUAAGAUUGGGAAUUGAAGCAUCACAAACAUGCGGAUCAACCUUAGCUAAUAAAUUAGCAUUUUCAUUUCUAAGGUUAUCUAUUGUCUCAUGGCAAGUGCUUAGCUCACUAGAUAAUUUUUCGCAUUUCUCAAUUUCUAAAGCAUAAGCAUUUUUAACCUUAACAUGCUUUUUAUUUUCCUUAAUAAGAAAGUCCUCUUGGGUGUCCAAGAGAUCAUCCUUUUCAUGGAUGGCACUAAUCAAUUCAUUUUGUUUUUCUUUUUGUUGCAUGUUGAGGUUGGCAAAGAGGGUACGCAAAUUAUCUUCCUCAUCACUCGCAUUAUCAUCACUAGAGGAUUCAUAUUUAGUGGAGGAUUUAGAUUUAACCUUCUUUUUGCCGUCCUUUGCCAUGAGGCACUUGUGGCCGACGUUGGGGAAGAGAAGUCCCUUGGUGACGGCGAUGUUGGCGGCGUCCUCGUCGUCGGAGGAGUCGCUUGAACUUUCGUCAGAGUCCCACUCCCGACAAACAUGGGCAUCGCCGCCCUUCUUCUUGUAGUACCUCUUCUUCUCCUUUCUUCUCCCCUUCUUGUCGUCGCCCCUGUCACUAUCACUUGAUAAUGGACAUUUAGCAAUAAAGUGACCGGGCUUACCACACUUGUAGCAAACCUUCUUGGAGCGGGACUUGUAGUCUUUCCCUCUCCUUUGCCUGAGGAUUUGGCGGAAGCUCUUGAUGACGAGCGCCAUUUCCUCAUUGUCGAGCUUGGAGGCGUCUAUUGGUUGUCGACUUGGUGUAGACUCCUCCUUCUUUUCUUCCGUCGCCUUGAAUGCGACGGGUUGAGCUUCGGAUGUGGAGGGAUCAUCAAGCUCGUUGAUCUUCCUCGAGCCUUCGAUCAUGCACUCAAAACUUACAAAAUUCCCGAUAACUUCCUCGAGGGUCAUUUUAGUAUAUCUAGGAUUACCACGAAUUAAUUGAACUUGAGUGGGGUUAAGGAAAAUGAGAGAUCUUAAAAUAACCUUAACCAUUUCGUGGCCGUCCCACUUCUUGCUCCCGAGGUUGCGCACUUGGUUUACCAAGGUCUUGAGCCGGUUGUACAUGUGUUGUGGCUCUUCACCUUUGCGAAGCCGGAACCGACCGAGCUCCCCCUCGAUCGUUUCCCGCUUGGUGAUUUUUGUGAGCUCAUCUCCCUCGUGCGCGGUUUUGAGCACAUCCCAAACCUCCUUGGCGCUUUUCAACCCCUGCACUUUGUUAUACUCCUCUCUACUUAGAGAGGCGAGGAGUAUUGUUGUUGCUUGAGAGUUGAAGUGCUCGAUUUGGGCCACCUCAUCCUCAUCAUAAUCCUUAUCCCCUACGGACGGUACCUGUGCACCAAACUCAACAACAUCCCAUAUACUUUUGUGGAGUGAGGUUAGAUGAAAUCGCAUUAAAUCACUCCACCUAGCAUAAUCUUCACCAUCAAAAGUUGGUGGUUUGCCUAAUGGGACGGAAAGUAAAGGUGCAUGUUUAGAAAUGCGAGGGUAGUGUAGGGGGAUCUUACUAAACUUCUUACGCUCUUGGCGUUUAGAAGUUACGGAGGGCGCAUCGGAGCCGGAGGUCGAUGUUGAUGAAGUGUCGGUCUCGUAGUAGACCACUUUCCUCAUCCUCUUUUGCUUGUCCCCACUCCGAUGCGGCUUGUGGGAAGAAGAUUUUUCUUUCUUCUCUUUGUGGUGAGAAGAAGAUUUCUUCUCCUUCCCUUUGUUGGAGGAGCUCUUCUUCUUCUCCCUCCUCUUGGUGCGGGACUCUUCCGAUGAAGUGCUCCCGUGGCUUGUAGUGGGCUUUUCGCCGGUCUCCAUCUCCUUCUCGGCGUGAUCUCCCGACAUCACUUCGAGCGGUUAGGCUCUAAUGAAGCACCGUGGCUCUGAUACCAAUUGAUAGUCGCCUAGAGGGGGGGUGAAUAGGGCGAAACUGAAAUUUACAAAUAUAAACACAACUACAAGCCGGGUUAGCGUUAGAAAUAUAAACGAGUCCGCGAAAGAGGGCGCAAAACAAAUCGCAAGCAAUGAAGAGUGUGACCCGUGAAUUUGUUUUACCGAGGUUCGGUUCUCGCAAACCUACUCCCCGUUGAGGAGGCCACAAAGGCCGGGUCUCUUUCAACCCUUCCCUCUCUCAAACGGUCCCUCGGACCGAGUGAGCUUCUCUUCUCAAAUCAAAGCCGGGAACAAAACUUCCCCGUAAGGGCCACCACACACUUGGUGCCUCUUGCCUUGAUUACAAUGGAGUUUUGAUCACAAGAACAAGUGAGAAAGAAAAGAAGCAAUCCAAGCGCAAGAGCUCAAAAGAACACGGCAAAUCUCUCUCGCUAAUCACUAAAGACUUGUGUGGAGUUGGAGAGGAUUUGAUCUCUUUAGUGUGUCUAGAAUUGAAUGCCUAGCUCUUGUAAGUGGUUGAGAAGUGGAAAACUUGGAUGCAAUGAAUGGUGGGGUGGUUGGGGUAUUUAUAGCCCCAACCACCAAAAGUGGUCGUUGGGAGGCUGUCUGUUCGAUGGCGCACCGGACAGUCUGGUGCACACCGGACAUGUCCGGUGCCCCCCGCCACGUCAUCACUGUCGUUGGAUUCUGACCGUUGGAGUUCUGACUUGUGGGCCCGCCUUGAUGUCCGGUGGCGCACCGGACAUCUCCUGUUCAUUGUCCGGUGCGCCAGUAUGGGCGCGCCUGCCUUCUGUGCGCGCAGAGCGCGCAUUAAAUGCGUCGCAGGUAGCCGUUGGCGCCGAAUAGCCGUUGCUCCGGAGUUGCACCGGACAGUCCGGUGCACACUGGACAUGUCCGGUGAAUUAUAGCGGACUAGCCGUUGGAGAUUCCCGAAGCUGGCGAGUUCCUGAGGUCGUCUUUCCUUGGAGCACCGGACACUGUCCGGUGUACACCGGACAGUCCGGUGAAUUAUAGCGCGCCGGCCUGAGAAAUUCCCGAAGGUGGCGAGUUCGAGUUGGAGUCCUCUGGUGCACCGGACACUGUCCGGUGGUGCACCGGACACUGUCCGGUGGCACACCGGACAGUCCGGUGCGCCAGACCAGAGGUGCCUUCGGUUGGCCCUUUGCUCCUUUGUUGAAUCCAAAACUUGAUCUUUUUAUUGGCUGAGUGUGAACCUUUUACACCUGUAUAGUCUAUACACUUGGGCAAACUAGUUAGUCCAAUUAUUUGUGUUGGGCAAUUCAACCACCAAAAUUAUUUAGGAACUAGGUGUAAGCCUAAUUCCCUUUCAGAGCCCACCCAAGCUUUUGCAUAUCAUGAAUACUGUAACACCCCUGGUGUUUAUAUUUCGCUCGACAACGAGUAUGGAUUUAAGCAUGGGAUAUCAGCAAUAAUAACGAUCUCUAUGUUCUAAUAUUCACCUAUCAUAAUUUUGAUAUCAUUUUCAUUUCUGUCUAUCCGGUCUAAUCUAAAUGUUUCGCAAAGUCAGAACGUAUUUGUUCCGGAAAUUUGCGAGUCUGGUGAUUAUUUAAAAUUCAUCGAUUUGCUCAAAUACGAAUUUGGAAACUUAGUUCAGUCUUCCAAUUUCGUCCCAAACAAAAUUUAUUAGAAGCCCGGCGACAAGAGUGUUGAUGCGAGAUUAAAUUGGAUCGAGAUAAUUAGAACUGAUAUUGAGUAUUCAUAACUAAUCUGUUUCCCUGUUCAGACUGCGUAUAAAAUUAUCGGGUUUCGAAUCAAAUCAAAUUAAGCACAGUCUUAAUAUAUCGACUCUAAUGUCGUUUGGUUUGGUCCAUCGACAUCUCGUCUAAAACACUAUCUCAUGUAUCGCCUGCAUUUCUAUCCAUUUGGACUAUUAUAAAUAUUUUAUGAAGUUUGAAAUUUAAAAAUCCUUCAAUAUGUCGAGUCUACGCUAUUCGAAUAGCAUGUGAUCUUCGUCUGAACUCAACUGGGUCAAAUACAGUUUAAAGUAUCGGUCCCGACCUCGUUUGGUUCGGUUCGUGUGUUCCUCGCCCAGAUCCAAAUUUUUGGAUAUAGAUAACGGGUAGGAAUUCAUCUGACUCCAGAAUAUUCACUAAAUAAAAUCCUAUCCAAAUAUUGUGGUCAAUCUUAUUUUGGUUCGACCCUUUUGUACAUCUUUUAGAACUUAAUUUCAGUCUCGAUCUCGUUUGGUUCAUUUUGAUUGCGAUGCCGCGUUCGAAUCACGUAGUUCAAAAUUUAUUUAUUUCAUAAAGUGUCAAGUCUGGUGCCAGUUAAAAUUAAUCGAAUAAGGCGAAUUGGAAAUUUUACCCAAGUAUUUCGCUCUUGUUCGAGCGAUCUCUACAAAUUCGGCAGAGACUAUACUAGGGCCAGGCUGUUUAGAUAAAUCGAACCCGAACCAACCAAAACAAAUGAAAAUUAAAAUAGCAAAGUCGGUGUCGUGGUUCGCUCAAAUUUUGUCUCGCCCAGAUACAAAUGACGGGUAUAAAUGACUGGUAAAAAUUUAUCAGAGUAUUGGGAUAUCUACCAAAAUCAAACAUUGUUCCAAUAUUGUUGUCAAUCUCAUUUUUGUUCGAUCCUUGAUUACAUCUUUUAGACCCUAAUUUUAUAACAACAAAAUAUCUGCUUUUUGCCUUUGUAAAAAAAUGGAGGAAAAAUCUUAUUUUACUUCUCCCACUGUCAUACUCCCUCAGCCAUAUCCAAAUCUUCCAUCUCCCUCACAACAGCCACCCUCCCAUUUUCUCAUCUCGGCCACAACCAUAGCUUGGUGGUCGAUGUGCCCUGCUCCAGCCUGGCCGCCCACCUUGGGUCCUCAUCUCCAUCUCUCAGCUGCUCAGCUCCCUGGUGCUCGCCCUCCCCUGCUCUCAGGACAGCAGGGAGCCGACGACCUCUCCAACUCGGCCGGCCAUGGCACCGCUUCCCCAAGCGUCACAUUGGAGCUCGCCCAACCCUCUCCCAUCUCCUUCCCCAAGCACAAGUCCCAUGGUCGAGCUCACCCCUGCAGGAGCUCCCUAUGGCGCCUAGAUUUUCAAUUUCCUAUGAGUUCUUUUUCCCCCACAUGCAAUCUCGGCAUCGUCGUCGUGUUUAGUCACGGUGAUUCUCAACUUCCCUAUUUUUAUUUCAUUGAAUUUCUAAUGCGAGCAGAAAUUUUUUUGGUGCUAUGUUAAUACGAUGUUAUGUGUAUAUGUGUGUGUUUGUGUGAGUAAGAGGAACUCCAGGUUUUUGCGUAGAGAGGAAAGUCGUGUGGCGCGUGCUAGGUGUUUGAUGGAAUGGAUGAAUCGGAGAUCCUUGUUGCUCUUGCGAAAUCCAAGUCUAUUUAGUGUUGGUAAGCUAAUUUAUUAUUACUGUUGAUUGAAUUAUUAGAUGAAUGGAAUGGAUAUGUUUGGUGAAUAUAUAUGCAUCAUGAGUUAGUGGUAAUACCUCUUCGUGGUAGUGACAUGAUUGUAUUCAUGAUUAUGGUUAAAAUAAGUGAUGAAGGUAUUGCUGUUCGAAUCUGCACGUAUAGUUUUGAUUGUGCAACUAAUUGAGUGGAGUAAAUCAUGUGUUCUAUAGAAAUGUUAUAUACAAAAGUUGUAGCCAACUUCUUUAUCUUGUUUGUUCAAAAAUUUCAUGACCAUAUGUUUAGUAGUUUAGGAGUUAUGAUUUUUCCAAGUCCAGUUUCAGAAUCUGUCCAAAUUCUGUACAGGUUUCGAAAAUUGGAUUGUUUGGCUAAGCUAAAUUGAGAAUCAGCCCUUAGUAAUUAUAGAAGAAUUUUAGUACUUUUCUUAAUCUUUCCAAAAAGUCUUGGAUCACUUUUUUUGGUGGUCUAGAUACCAAGUUACAGCUGUUUGAACUAUAGAGUCUGAAUCUGUCCAAAUCUGGACAGAGAAGUCUGUUUGUGUUAACUGACUUUGAUAUGCAUUGAAUUGACCUGACAUGUUUAUAAAUAAAUUGUAGACAAUUCUAUUAGCUUUCUAAAAAGUCUAAGAUCACUUGAUUUGGAUACCUGAGACUCCAAUUAUGGAUUUUUGAAGUGAGUAGUCGAAUUCUAUCCAAAUCUGGACAGAAUUUAUGUUUAGUUCUGUUUGACCAUUCUAAAGGUCGAAUCUUGUUGUGAUGGUAAUACAAAAGUUAUAGAGGACUUCAUAAGCUUUCCAGAAAGUCCUAGUUUAUCAUUUUAAGAUGAAUAUCUUGUGAGUUAUGGUUAAAAGAACUGAUUGUUGUACUCCUGUCCAAAAUCAGAAAGUAUUAAGUUGAUUUCUGGAGUCAUUCUUGUUUGGCUAGGUAGGAUUAGUCAAUUCUUGAUUCUUGAGUGAUGAAGACUUAUUACAUAUAAUGGUUUCAUUUCAUUCUUGAGGUUUGCUCUAUACUUUAGUGCUUUUGGGAAGUAAAUGCUUUAGGGAAUGCAAUUGGUCUAGAGAUUACGUAGGCCUUCUGUGAGUAUGGCGAAAUUAAUAAUGCGAAAGGUUUAGUAGACAAGUAUACCUAGUAUUAUUAUGUUGUUUCGGUAGUGUGGUGUUUAUAAGUAUGAUAUGCUAUUCCCACUUGCACUUAACAUUUUGUCGUUCUAAGUUUUUGCUUCUAAGUGAUAGUCGAAUGGGAUUAUGUAAUGUGUUGAUCGUAUUUUUCUUGCUAGGAUAAUUAGUGAGAUACCUUAUUUAGUAGUGUAUAAUUCAUGUUAUUUGGAUAUGGUGGUUUAGAAAGUAGUAGAUUGCUUCUAUCCAUAUUUUGUUCUAGGUGUCUGUUAGUGAAGAAUCUAAGGAUAUUAGUUUUUAGAUGAAUGCUUAAUCUUAGGAGAAAAUAUAACCCGAGCAAAACCUGUUGCUAGAUGUUUGGUUAGGUCCAUUUGGCUUGAAGGUCAUAUUUGUGUAAAGUCAAAAGCAUUUAGUGCUACCGUAGUAAAGUUGAAAUGUCUUGCUUUAAGUGCUUAAUCUACUUCGGAUAGCAUUAUCUAGUCCGUACUAUUUAUACUCGUGCUCAUUCAUGUACAUCUUGCAUAUCAUAUAGGUACGUUAAUUGAUCACGUGAUGUGGAGGACAAGAGCUGGGUUAAUCCCAAGAUGAUGUUGAUGAAUAAACCGGAAGAGUGGAUUAUCUGAUCAAGUACCAGGAUGAGAGAUGCUCACCAAGUGAUCGUCAUCUAACAACAUUGACUUAGUGUUAUUCCAGGCAAGCCUCGGUGCAUUUGCCACCUCCUUCUGUUUUAAAAAGUUUUAUCACCUUGAAUGAUGCAUUAGGUGAUAGGAGUUGUGUGAUCAAACAGCUGAUGCAUUUCCUUCCUUGAUUAAACAACCCUAAUACUUGUUUUAUGAAAAUUUAGUGAUGCUUAGCCCUACUUAUUACUUUAGGAUGGUUUUUAAAAAGAUGAUGUGUAACACAGGAUAUGGGAGUUUGUGAAAUAAAAGGACUUGUGAUGAUGAACCCAUUGUGGCCGCGAUGAUUUCAUCAUUCAAGGUGGGUACCUCUCUCAGGUAUCAAGUUUUGGGAAAUAAUAUGAAAUGUAGACCAGACGUUGAGUAAGAAAGUUCGCCCGUCUGUGUCGAUUAAGGACCGUUCGAUGUAGGCCUGUUGUGGUGGAGACUUUGCAACUAGCCACAUGCUCCGGUAAGCCUGAACUCGGCUAUUCCAUACGUGAAAAGACAAUCGUGCACUGGACGUGGGAGAUGGUGGGAGUAGUAUGUACCCUCCUGGCUAAAGGCCGGACGGAGGAGUAUUGUGCUCCCGGGUAGCGCGGACCGGUUCACGUUGUGGAGGAUCUGUGGGAACGGUUGACAUAUGCAAGGGUUAAGUGCUACAUAUGUCGUAUGGUUAGGUAUCCCCAACUGGGUAUAAUCGGUUCGAAUCGUCGUUGCUCCUCGGUCAUAGAGACUCUACCCUCCGACCACUCAUCGUAGUUAAUAAGUAAAAUAAGAAUUUGGUAAAAGAAAGCUAGACCAGGACAAGUGAAUGCUCUAGAUUAGGCAAAUCUAGAUUCAGGAGAAGUACUUAACUUGUGAAGCAAAAUUUUGGCAUUAGGAUUCACUACUAGUAAGCUCUUCUGCAAAAUGAGUCUUUGAAAUUUGAUAAGCCUUACCUUGAUUCCCAACAAGCCAACAUAUCCUUUAGGCCCGUUUGAUUCGUUGGAAUUGAAUUCCAUUUUAAUAAUUAUAAUUUAGAUAAAACUAAUUAAGUUUAUAUAUUUAUAUAUGUAAUAUAUUUGUAUAUUAUCUAAAUCAUAUGAGAGAGAUAGUUAUAUACUAUAUUUAUGUUAUAGAGGCGCAAGUAGAAGAAUGUGCUAUAAGUUGUACAUCGGAAAAAUAGCAUGUAAAUCUAUAGAAUCAAUUUCCAUCUCUCACCCUAUGAAUUUGAGGUAGGCUUAUAUGAUAACUUUGAAAACUGGUGGAAUGUCAUAUUCUAAAAAAAUAGCCUAUUCCAUUAGUAAGAUUCCAAUUCCUCGAAAUGAUAGGAAACAAACGGGGCCUUAGAGUCUUUUCUUUAGUCGGGUAAGUCUUGCUGAGUAAUUGCGUACUCAGGGUUUUAUUCCCUGUUUUUUUCAGGUUAUAAUUUUGUUCUGUUGUGGAUGGUGCUAAGUGCCGGUGGGCUCGGCCUUCUUAUAUAAGUAUAUCCCAUCUUUAGCUUCUUUAUUGAGGAUUGUCACUCAGCUAGCAUGUAUUUUAAAACUUAUAAAUGUUUUAUACAUUCAAAUUGGAAUCUUUUGAAUCAAUUUCUUUUGUAAUCACUAUGAUAAAUAUAAUGUAAACUUGUUGUAACUCGUUUUUCUUGAAUACGCAGGAGAGCUGCGUAUUUUUGUAUUAAGAAGAAGAAUAAAAUGGGGAGAAAAAACCCCAGUACAAAGGUGUUACAUUUGGCAAACCAAAACCAAAAAACACACCCCAAACAACUAAGACACCUAAGACGCCUCUUCUAAAUGAAAGAAAGAGAGCGCUUUGGCUCCAGCCAUACGCCAACCCAUCAACUCCUCCCUUGCAGCUGCCAACACCACCGCAGCGCUAGGGUUACAGUUAUCAAAAACACACCUAUUUCUAUGCUUCCACAAAGUCCAUGCACCCAAAAUGACAAGAGAAUUGAAUCCCUUGGAUAAAGGCAUGCCCACCCUGGCAGCACUAUUCCUCCACCAGGUUUCAAAACAGACGUCAUCAUGGGAAGGGCAGAGCUCCUGGAAACCACCCGACCGCAGAAGGCUGAACCAAAACUGUUUUGCAAAACUGCACUGAACCAACAAAUGGUUGAUAGUUUCUUCCAUCUGGUCGCAUAAAGGGCAGGACACUGGGUGAUCCAGGCCACGCUUAGCAAGUCUGUCAGCCGUCCAACAUCUAUCGUGCUCCACAAGCCAGAGGAAGAAUUUACACUUUCCUGGAGCCCAGGAUUUCCAAAUGCGUUCAGCAGGCUCAAAGCUAACAGAGCCAAGAAGCAAAGCCCUGUAAGCUGAACUAGCCGAGUAUUCACCCGAUUCACUAAACCUCCAGGUAUGCACAUCAGGAACAUCCGGCUGCAGAACCAUCCCCUCGAGUAAGUCACAAAGGUCCAUGAGAUUAGCAAGGGCUGCAACAGAAAUAGCCCCUCUCAGAUCAGCCAACCAAUUGAGAUCAGGCAAGGCAUCCUUGACCAGGCGUCUAGAAGCAAUACGCUUGGGCACCAUACCGAAGACAGCAGGUGCCACCUCCUUAAUACAUUUGCCAUUCAGCCAACGAUCCUUCCAAAAUAGAGUAUCAGACCCAUCUCCCAAAUGAGUGAUAACAGCCGCAGCCAACAAGCUUUGCACAAUGUCGCAGGUUUGAAUCUGGAAGUCCGACCAUGGCUUAGUCCUAUCAGAUUUUUGCAGCCAAGGCCACCUAGCCCGCAGUGCCCAGCUCAUGAUCCGAAGAUCACUAAUACCCAGACCCCCUAGGUCCUUGGGUCUAGUGACUUUGGGCCAAGUCAGCAGACAAUGGCCACCAUUCACCUCCUUCCUCCCUCUCCACAGAAAGCCUCGUCGAAGCUUAUCAAUUGCUUUAAAAGCCCAAGAAGGGAUGUCCAACGCCAGAGCAGCAUAAAUCAUUCUUGAUGUCAUCACAAAUUGAACAUAAAUGGCUCUACCAGCCUUUGUCAUCAGAUCAGCUUUCCACCCAGGUAACUGUGCUGCAGUUUUAUCGACAAUUGCUUGAAUUUGACUUCUCUUAAGCUUUCCAAGAGAAAGCGGGAGGCCAAGGUACUGACAGGGAAAUUCCGAAAUGGAACAUGGAAGGAGCUCCUGAACACAAGCAAGAUCCGCCUCAGAACAUCGGAUAGGAAAAACAUUACUCUUUUGAACGUUGGUCUUUAGACCGGACGCAUCCCCAAAAAUCCGAAGGAUUUCCAGAAUCAGAUUUAUGUCUGAAGGCACCGGCUUGAGGAAAACCACUGCAUCAUCCGCGUAUAAAGAGAAUCGGUGCUGCAGACUGUUCGUGGAAAGAGAGUGAAGCAGCCCUUCAUCAGAUGCCCUCUGGAUCAGCAAGUUGAGAGUGUCCAUGACUAAGAUGAACAACAUUGGAGAUAAAGGGUCCCCCUGCCGAAGACCCCGCUGGUGAGCAAUGUAGUCCCCGGGAACACCAUUUAAUAAAAUUCUCGUCGAAGAAGAGGCUAGCAGCCCACAAAUGAUGUCACGCCAGAUCUGCCCAAAACCCAACUUCUGCAAGACUUCUAGCAAGAAAGCCCAAGAUACCGAAUCAAAAGCCUUAGAAAUGUCGAGCUUGAAAAGAAUGCGGGCUUGCCUUUGACGAUGAAGAAACCUUGCAGUGUGCUGCACAAGCAUGAAAUUGUCUAAGAUAAAUCUUUUCUUAAUGAACGCUGUUUGAUUCGGAGAGACCAUAUCAUUCAAAUGUCGAGCCAAUCUGUUGGCCAUCAUCUUUGUUACUAACUUUGCGAAACUGUGGACAAGGCUGAUCGGACGAAAAUCUUUCACUUGGGUUGCACCCUCAACCUUAGGCAGAAGAGUGAUAAACGCUGAAUUGAGCAGCCCCAUGUUCCUAAAUUUCCGAGCCCAAACACAAGAGAUCGCUGCCAUAACAUCAGCUUUGAUUGUUACCCAACAAACCUUGUAGAAACGGCCGGUGAAACCAUCCGGGCCCGGAGCUUUAUCCGACGGCAUAGAUUUUACAGUACCCCAAACUUCUUCCUCUGAGAAAGGCACAUCUAGCUCAUUGAGAUUGAAAGAAGGCAUCUCCAGGGCAUCAAGAUUAAGAGAAUUUUCUCUCCCCAAAGCAGUCCCGAGCAAGGCAUCAUAGAAAUGGAACAACUCAUCAGCCUUAUCCUCAUGUGAUGUCAAAAUAAGCCCUUCACUUGUAGAUAACGAGCCAAUAAAAUUCUUCUUCUUUCUUAUUCUAGCCUGAGCAUGGAACAGGGAAGUAUGAGCGUCCCCUUCUUUCAACCAAUUAAUUCUGGACCGAAGACGGGCUAUAGAUCUCGACGAGGAGAGCACCAAGAUGUGCUUCUUAAGGGUACGCCUUAACCAAUCCUCACUUGGAGAUAGAGUUCUGCUGUCAUGAGCCAUCUCCAGUCUAUGAAGGAGCUCCCGAGCCAUUUCAAGCUGUAGUUUUAAAUCCCCCACUUUAUUAUCACUCCAACGCUGCAAAGCCUUUGCCGUAGCCUGUAAUUUCUUGGAAAGACUAACAAGAGGGCACUGGCCUGCGGGAAUCGAACUCCAAGCGUUAGCCACAACAUCCUGGAAAUCCUCCAAUUUUACCCAGAAGGCCUGAAAAUGGAAGCGCCCUUUCCUUUUAUUAAUAUCACACAGGCCCAACAAGAGAGGGCAGUGAUCCGAAUCUUGAGUAGCAGCACUCUGGAGAAGGCAAUCUGGAAAUAAAUCUUCCCAAUCAGCAGUACAAAACAUCCUGUCCAAUCUGACUAAAGUAGGGCAGGCAUGCCCAUUCGACCAAGUAAACCUGCGCCCAAUCAGAGGAAGCUCCAGGAGGGCAAGAUCGUCCUUCCACCUUCGAAAUCUGCCCAUCAUAGCACGAUCAACAUUGGAAUUACUCUUGUCUUCAUCACACAGAAUCAUGUUAAAAUCGCCAACAACCAGCCAGGGCCCAGAACAGUGGGUCCUAAUCAACCGAAUUUUGUUGCAAAUGUUUGUACGUGAGUUGUGUUUACUUAAUCUUGCAAUCCUGGUUGUAAGUGGUUUAUCCAGGGUCCUUGUAACACUCGGACGGAUCAUGUUAAGUUAUCAGAUGCACAUGCAUAGCCGUCUGAGGUCUUUGAGACGAGGACAGAUGCAUGUGGGCCCAAUAACUUGGAAGGUUCUGCCACAAAUACUCAAGCCACCCAACUCCUUUGGUCAGAUGACCUUAGGCCAAAACAGUAGACCAUGGCCACCUUUUACUUCUUUUCUUCCUUUUCACAAAAGACCUUUACGUAGCUUAUCGAUAGCUUUAAGAACCCAACCAAGGAGAUCCAAAGCCAUAGCUAGGUAAAUAAUUCUAGCUGUUAGCACACACUGGACAUAAGUGGCAUGACCAGCCCUAGACAUAAGCUCCGCCUUCCAUCCUGGCCACAUAUCCGCAAUACGAUGGAUGAUGGCUUGUAAUUGAUCUGUAUUAAGCUUCUUGAGAGACAAAGGGAGGCCAAAAUACUUUCUAGGGAAUUCUGAAACCCCACAGGGCAGCAGCUCCUGGAUGACUUCGACCUUCUCAUUAGUACAACGAAUAGGAAAAACGCUACUUUUUUGCACCAUUAGUCUUCAAUCCCGAAGCAUUACCAAACAGUAUCAGGAGGUUCACAGUCAAAAUGAUGUCCGUUAGGAUAGGUUUUAAGAAGACCAUUGCAUCAUCGGCAUACACAUACGGUGUUGUAAGCGAAGAAAGAAGUUGUAGAAGGCCAUCCUCAGAAGCGCGCUGCACAAGGUGAGAAAGAACAUCCAUGACGAGGAUGAAAAGCAUAGGGGAUAGGGGCUCACCCUGCAUUAAUCCUCGUCGAUGGGCAAUGUAGUCACCAGGCACACCAUUCAAAAUAAUUCUUGUUAAUGAAGAAUCCAAAAGCCCACUAAUCAAGACACACCAAAAAACACCAAAACCAAGUAUCUUCAGGACCUCGAGAAGGAAAGCCCAAGAGACUAAAAUCAAAGCCUUUGAAAUCUCAAGUUUAAAAAGGAUUCUGGGUUGUUUCUGAUCGUUAAGAAACCUAGUUGUUUGUUGCACUAACAUAAAGUUAUCCUAAAUAAAUCUCUUCUUGGUAAAGGUUGUUUGAUUAGGAGAGACCAUCAUUUGCAGCUUACCGGCCAACCUAUUGGCCAAAAUUUUCGUAAUGAGCUUAGCAAAGCUAUGCACAAGUAGGGAUGAAAACAGUCGGUAAACACUAAAACCAUUUGCUAGUUUCUGCUGCUAAUCGGGAGGCUGGACCCAAUGUAGAAAGGGUGACAAGUUCGAUCAACCUGUUCACCCCACCCCUAGGGUUCGUAGAUGACCUUUGUGCGAUUUUUCGUUUCCCUUGUUUGUUUCGGUUUGUUUGUUGAAUGGGAAAAGGUUUUGGUUAUUUACUGGGUGAGGCUGGUUUGUUCAGGUCAAGGCUACGACUUGUCUGCUACUGUUAUUUAGUAGCAUGUACUGUUGCUUCCUACUGUAAAAGUUUUCGUUGAUUGGUGUUCCAUGGAUUAUGCUGUCAUUGCAGCAGUGGCACAUGGUAAAUCAGAAUGCUUCUGAGACUGACAAGGUCGAGGGAGACAAGUUUAGGUUUUGAGCUUUUCAUGAACUGUAGGAGGUUCCCUAUCAGAUCAGGUAAACAGAUGCUGAGAUCACAUGGUGCUUGUGUGGCCUUGACAUCACAAUUACUCUGAUGCUAAGAUCACAUGAGCUAUUGAGUCAGUCAUCAGAGAAUGCUUUGAAGGCAAUGUGGCAAAACCAUGUAACUCUAAUUUGAAACGGGGGAGCACAAAAUCAUUUGAUUUAUAAGCAUGCACUGUUAUAAUAGCUUGAUUAGCUUCAUAAAAGAAACACUAUAAUCCGAGUAUGCUAACCAUGUAUAAAUUACAAAUUAGAGUAUUAUCUAAUCAACCAAAACAUAUAAAAGGAUGGUGUAUAUGGUGCAUACCUUUUCACCAUGAUCAAACACAAUGACAUUAUUAUAGAGGCCUAAAUGAAUGCCAGAAAGGUUCCUAUUGUCAUGUGGUGCCUUACUGAAAGGAAGCUUCUUUGUUUUAACAUAACACACUGUAUCAUAUGAGAAAAAUCCAACCCAUCCUCCUACAAGAUAUCAUAAAAACGUUGUGACAGUAAUUGAUACAUAACAAAGAACUAUCCCCAUGACUUCCCUACGGAGCAUUCUCAAGAGCAUUAUAGCUAUCGAAUAGAAGUAAUAUUAGGAUCUCACCAAACAACAUUCUAGCUAUUGAAACUAGUAAAUAAUACCUUGAUACCAAGCACAUAAUAAAUAAGUAAACAACAAACACAAAAUCCAACAAUCUCGAUUAUGGGAGAAGAAAUUAUCACACCUUGACAUGACAAAGGAAAACCUAAAGGUAUAAUAACUGCCAGCUUGCAAACGAGAUCUUAUAGCAAUAAAAACAGAUAAAACCAAAAUAACAAAAAGAAUACAACUAACACUCCAAAUAUCAAAUGGAAAACUCCAGCCUAAAGCUGCAAUAGAAAUAUCCAACAUCAGCACUACUGACAUACAGAAUUGGAGAAGAAACCUUUAGCAACUAUCAUGAUAGCAGGCAUGACCACUAAUGAAAUAGUACAAAAGGUCUAACUCUUAUUCUGCACACAAGCAUAGAGCUCCAUGUUUAGCAGCCAGCAGCCAGAUCAUGUCCUGAAAAGGAGUACCUGAAGAGCACCCUUGCAGAAAAAUCAAGCAGGUCGCCCAACAAUCUCCUUUUAAAAAUAGGUAAUGAUUCUUCACGCCUUAAAAAUAAUAACCAAAAAGGGUAAGGUAAACACAGUGCAGAGAAAACAAAUAGUGUUGCCGACGAAGUUUUUGAAGUAAAUCCUAUGCUUUUGAGUGCAGAUACCUUAGAAUGAAGUUCUGAAAUUAUUUCAUGAACAAGUACAACGAUAUCUAGCUAACCUACAGAUUUUUAAGAGUGAAGGGACCACCUGAUCCUUUGGCCUCCAGUGCAAGAUCGUCCAACCAUUGAGAGUCACUCCGCACAAUGAAUUGUUGCCUCCACAGUCCACAUCCUAUAUAGUUGCAGGGAAAGGACAAACAAGAACUUAUGGACACAAAAUGAAUUUGGCUGUGACACAACCAUCACAAACCUAUCCCCAAAGGGAUGGGCAGAUGGCCAUGACACUACGAAACGUGAAUGUUACUGAGGAUCUUUUGCUUAAAAAUUAUCUUGCCUUCCACCCAUCUUUUUGCCGCAUUGAAUGCUCCAGCAAUAUAAUCAGAAAAUUGUGUAUGAUGUCUUCAAUCUCACCAAUGCUUACACCAUCAGCAUUUUUCUUUGUGUCCAUCUACAGUUUGAAUACAUGGAAUGAAGAAAUACAGUUUAUGUCAUCUGAGCAUGAUCCUUGUUAGAAAAAUAUGAUAAAAGACCUGUGACACUCACCUCAUGGUUAGAUAUCAAAACCUCCAAAAUCCAUUCUGGACAAUCUGAAAUCGAGGUCAUUGUAGUUCUGUUAUCUAGAUGACUACAAGCCAAAAACAUAAGAUCCUGAAACAACGUAGAAAUAUUUUGACACCAUAAGAAUUAAACAAGAUCUAAAAUUAAUAAAUAAAAAGCAUACAAGUCUUAGCUUGUAAAGAACAAAGAGCAUAUAACAAUGUAGAACAGUACAAGUGAAAACAAAAUGUGUAGUUGUAUGGCUGCUGAUAUAAACAUGGCAACUGGGGUUAUGAGGUCGACAGAGAUGUAAGGCAUCCAGAUAUUAGCAACACAGACAUGUAAUCCUAAGAUUUCAAAAUCUAAAAAAACUCGACAUGCGAGAGCAAGACCGCCCCCACAGCAUUAUAUUAAGAAGAAUACCUCACACAGGUCGAAAAAAACCCCUAAACCCCUUCCCCACCCAUAUACGAGUGUAUAUAUGAUUUUAAGAUGGUUAGACAAUGAGUCUAGUGCCACAAGAAAGAGUUGGAUCACACCACUGCAUGCACAAAUACACAACAACAGGGAGAUUGUACCUCUGGGCCAUUGGCCAGAGAAUGCAUUAAUAUGUCAAUGCUACCAAAUUCAUUCCUCGCUGAUUCAACAAUGUCCUGUUAAAUUAAGAGAGCUCAAUGCUAUUGUAAACUCUAAAGCUUUUAUGAGAAACAGGUAACACAUUGGAGUUGUAUCUUCAGAAUUUUCUUCUAGCAAGAAUAGAACCAAGGCAGCUAUUCAUAUGGAAAAAUGAUUGGAGGAUGCACACCUUUACUGUCCAGUUUGAUGCACCUGCAUAUCUUUUGUUCGAUUUGACCUAAUAGAGAAAUAAAAUGUUAAUUAUGAAUCCAUAUUGCAAAAAGAGAUAAAAAAUAAGAACAUUACUCUUCAGGGGAAUCGUAGACAGCAUCAAGUGGGUAGACUUAAACAAUAUCCAUAAGAGAUCCAUCUGGCAGCCUGUAUCAACAGUUAGAUACUUGCUAAACUGUAUGUAUGAUGAAUCCAAUAAAGAACCAAUAUACAUAUUGUUGUGAUUCAUCAAAUUUUCCACGCUUCCAUAGAAGAGCUAAAUUGUUUCAGCAUCAGCAGCUUGUUCCACUCUAACAAACUCGUGGCACUGAACAUUCUGAGAUGAAGGAGCACAGGGACAUCCCCUUCCAGGACCUAACCUGGAACUGACAAAGAAAUAGGGACGCGGGGAGGAGGCCUUCACCUUGUUGAGUGCACAGUGGAAUUCGAGGGUUUCCUUGGCCUCGGUUGCCUAGGCGAGCUCAGGCAUCCGCUCCGCAAAGGUGCCACUGGCGUAGUGGUGGGACCCUACGAUGUGGCCACCGUAGCCCCUCUCCUCGUCCCUGACGUUGACGAUGGUGAUUCGGGCCUCGCUGCCUAGGCGAUGUGGGGAGAGGCGGUUGGAGACACGGGACGGCGGUGAUUGUCUUGGAUACGGGAGAUGGCAGCACGGUUGGUGUCUAUGGGAGAUGCGAGACGAACAGACGAUGGACGACGAAAGCGAGCGAGGAGGGUGCGUACUCCAUGGGAGGAAGGGGACGGGGCGGCCUCAGCGGGAAGGGACCUAGGGCAUAGUGAGAGGGGGUGCUGCAGUGCGGCUAGCGGGGUAGAGGUCGACGACAAUCUUAGAGGUGGGGGUGGGCAUGGCAGUCUCGCCAUAGCGAGCGGGGGGGGGGGGGGGGGGUAGCAUGCGGUACGACACAUGAAAAGUCUGACGACGCACGAAACUCUCCUUUUAAAGGAGUAGAGACUAAAAGCCAUGCUAACAUUUCCAGGAGUUGUAGGCAGAACUGGAGCCAGAGUGAAGUGUGACCUACUGCUAGUAAUGAUCAUUAUUGGUUUACAUUAUUUUUGUGGAGUUCCUGUUUUUUUUACUUUUCAAUUAUUUGUCUUUUAAGAUAGCAUUACAGGAUAAUAAGGGGAAUGAGGAUGUGAGAGUUUCUAUGAAGGUUGGUGGCAAAGAGUUUCCGAUUGGAACACUAUCAGUUGACAAAUACCCUCAAUGUAAAACUAGUUUGUUAUUUGAGGAGUUUGAGUUACUAAACACCUUUUUUUAGAACACACAGGAGAGUUGUGUAUCAUUAUAUUAAGAAGAGAAAAAACGAGGGGAAAAGAACCCUCAAAAGAACAAUACAAAAGCCAACAAACUGAUCUCACCCACUACCUUUUUUUUCUCGAAAAGCGCAAGAGAACUGCGCCCCAUUAUAUUAAGGAGAUAAAAAGGUCUAAGAAGACCAGGUACAACAAAAAUUUAGACUUCCUUACAGAGGUCUAAAAACCAGAAACCCAAAAGAAUCCAUCAGAGGACAGCACCCAACUACUAGCCUAAAACCCCCUCCAAGACUAAGCCUCAAUGAGAGGGGCAGACAGGUAGGAAAGGCCUAAAGCCCCGGCCAUUUCCCACAUCCAUCUUUCCUCUGUAGCCAUCCUAAUGGCUAAAGACACAUUAGGGUUCCAAUUAUCAAAGACGCAUUUGUUGCGAAGAUUCCAAAUAAUCCAGGCCCCGAAUGCAAUAAGAGAAUUAAGCCCUUUCUAACAAGACCCCUGACCGAAUAAGAAGCUUCUUCCCACCAGCCCAUGAAGGAAGACAAACCAGGCUGAGGGGCUAGCACUUAAAGGUCGAAAGUCCUCAGGAGCUGAAACCAUAAAUCCCUUCGUAUGCCACUUUAGCUGAAUAGUUACAAUCUGAGGAAAUACUGAAACAUGUCUGUCUUCAAUAGUAGGCUGCAACACUACCUCAGAAAGAAGGUUCCAAAGCUGUAGACAAUCCACCAAAACUCCUAGAGAGAGAGCACCUUUCAUGUCGGAGAUCCAUCUUCUAUUUAGAAGACCCUCCUGAACAAUUCUUCUUUUUGAAAUCAUCCUAGGUAUACACUGAAAAAGCCUAGGAGCAAUGUCACAUAUUCUCUGCCCUGAGAGCCAUUUAUCAAUCCAGAACAGGGUCAAAAACCUGGAGAAAGGUCAGCCCUUAGCUCCUGCUAAACACCAUCCUAAGACCUCUUUAGCAGAUAGGAGCGUCGCUGCCACAUUUGGCGCAGCCCCAUCAAACACACAUCUAUUUCUAUGUUUCCAAAUAACCCAAGCCCCCAUUUCUAUGUUUCCAAAUAACCCAAGCCCCUAGAAUAACUAAGGAAUUGAAGCCCUUAUGAUGCAACCCUACAAGUUGAGAACUUCGAGUCCUCCAGCAGUUGAAACCAAAAUUGUCGGGCAAAGAUGCAAGAAGCCAACAGGUGUUCGAUGGAUUCCUCUUCCUGAUCAUACAAGGGGCAUCGCUCGGAGUGAGGCAACUCACGCCUGGCAAGACUGUCAACAGUCCAACAUCAAUCAUGUUCAACCAACCAUAUGAAGAAUCUACAUUUGCCGGAGCCCAUGUCUUUCGUAUUCUAUCAGAAGAAUCAAAAGAGGUUAAACCAAAACAAUAUAAUAGCACGUUUGGAUGUCGAUAUUAGAGCAUUGAAUUGAGAAUUGGAAUCAGCUUUCCUAAAUUAUGUCGUUUGGUUGCACACAGAAUUGAGAUUUGGAACCAGAGACUCAAUUCCCUGGAAUAUAAUUAAAGGCGCAGUUCCCCUGCGCUUUCGAGAAAAAAAAAUUCCCUGGAAUUGGACUAUAACUAGAAACUCCUCCCAAUACCAAACGUCACCCCUUUGUAUUGUGUGGAAUUAGACCGCACAAUUCCAAACUCCAAUCCAGCGACAUCCAAAUAAUAGAAUUGGAAUCACAUCAUUUCAAUACCAUGGCUGAUUUGGUAUUGAACUCAAUUCAAUUACAUGACCUUAAAUAUUGACAUCCAAAGGAAAGUUGGGAGCAUCAAAUCACAAUUAGAAAUUGCUAAAGAGCUUCUCCAUCGCUGGGAAAUUGAAAGAGAUGAAAGGGCUCUUGCUGAUGAUGAGGAGUGGCUGAGACGGAAGUUGAAGCUUCAUUGUCUUGGUUUGGCCUCACUGGUGAGAACCAUCGCCCGUCUGCGUUCUCGGAUUUUGUAUAUUCAGAAGGGUGAUGCCAACACCUCCUUUUUUCAUCAGCAGGCUAGAUACAGAAAAAAGAAGAACUUCAUUCCUAAGCUGCACGUUGGUGAUCAGGUGGUCACCUCCCAAGAAGAUAAACAGAAGGCCGUUUCUGAUUUCUAUGAGAACAUUUUGGGUAGGGCUGAGGAGAGGAGCUACACUCUUGACUUGGAUGAGUUGGCCAUCCACAAUCAUGAUUUAUCUGCUUUAGAUGAUCCGUUUCUUGAGGAGGAGGUGUGGGCUGUGGUAAAAGAUUUGCCUCCGGAUAAAGCCCCGGGGCCGGAUGGUUUCACAGGUCGAUUUUAUAAAUCCUGUUGGAAUAUUAUUAAAGGUGAUGUGUUGAGGUCUUUGGAUGUCAUCCAGCGUGGCCAUGUUUUCAAAUUCCGCCUGCUUAACACGGCUUAUAUCUCCUUACUGCCUAAGAAGAUGGAUGCUGUUGAAGUUAAGGAUUUCCGGCCUAUAAGUUUGAUUCAUAGUUUUGCCAAAUUGGUAGCUAAGCUCAUGGCUACUCGGCUGGCCCCUUUGCUUCCCUCACUGGUUUCUGUGAACCAGAGUGCCUUUGUGAGGGGGAGGAGGAUUCAUGAUAACUUUAUGCUUGUCCAACAAAUUGUGAAGUUGCUGCAUAAGAAGAAAGAACCACAUAUCCUUCUUAAGUUGGACAUUUCCAAGGCUUUUGACUCUGUUUCUUGGUCGUUCCUUUUGGAGGUUUUAAGAAAAAUGGGAUUUGGUCAGUGUUGGCGGGAUCUCCUUUGUUUAUUGCUGUCUACUUCUUCCACUCAGAUUUUAGUCAAUGGAGAGCCUGGGGACAUCAUUAUUCAUCGUCGCGGUCUCAGGCAGGGAGAUCCUCUUUCCCCAAUGCUCUUUAUUCUAGUCAUGGAUACUCUGAAUUCUUUAAUCAACUAUGCCACUUCGUUGGGUUUGCUUCAACCUAUUGCUGUUCAGCAGGUCAGGCAUCAUGUUUCCUUCUAUGCUGAUGAUGUUGUAGUUUUCUUGAGGCCUCACAUUCUGGAUCUGGUUUCGGUCAGACGCAUUCUUGAUUUAUUUGGUCACGCCUCAGGCCUCCGGACCAACCUGGUUAAGAGCUCGGUCUCCCCUAUUCAUUGUUCUGAUGAUGAGCUGGCUCUUUCUGUGGAAACUCUCUCUUGUUCGGUUAAAGCUUUUCCUUGCACUUAUUUGGGUCUUCCUCUCACAACCUGUAAGCCUUCUAAAGAGGUGUUGCUGGCCUUUGUGGAUAAGGUGGCAGAUUACCUUCCUGGGUGGAAAGCUUCUUUGUUGAAUAGGGCUGGGCGUCUUGUGCUUGUGAAAGUGGUUCUCACUGCUGUUCCUAUUUAUUGGCUUAUAGCUUUGGAUCUCCCGAAAUGGUUCAUCAAGGCUGUUGAUAAAAAGCGGCGGGGGUUCCUGUGGAAGGGACAUCAACAAGCUAAUGGAGGAAACUGCUUGGUAGCUUGGGAUAAGGUCCAGAGACCUCUUCAGUAUGGCGGCCUUGGAAUCCAUAAUCUUGAGCUUCUAGGUUGGGCCUUGAGAAUUAGAUGGCUUUGGGCUCAGAAGACUGAUGUGGAGAGGCCAUGGGCUGGACUCUCAAUUUCUAUUCCCUAUAAAGCUCGGGCCCUCUUCGAUAUGGCUGUGAAUGCCGUGGUUGGGAAUGGUGAGAAAAUUAUUUUCUGGACUGACCGUUGGUUGGAUGGGCUUACCAUGGCUGAGAUGGCACCCAAUCUUUUCAGAACUGUCCCUAUGCGAAUUGCUAAGCGAAAGACUGUGGCUCAGGCUUUGUUUGGGCGGAGUUGGGUUCGUGAUAUCAAGGGUGCUCUUACUGUUCAGGUUUUAAUUGAGUACCUCCAGGUCUGGGAUUUUGUUGAGGAGGUCGUACUGCAAGCUGAUGUUCCUGAUCAUUUCAGAUGUAAGUUGACACAAGAUGGCUGUUAUAGCAGCAAGUCUGCGUAUGAGGCCUUCUUCGUGGGCUCUACCAAGUUUGGCCCUUGGAAGAGAAUCUGGAAAACCUGGGCCCCGUCGCGUUGUAAGUUCUUCCUAUGGUUGGUGCACCAUAAUCGGGUUUGGACCGCUGAUCGUCUUGAGCGCAGAAAUCUGCCCCAUCCAGUGUCUUGUCCAUUUUGUGACCAGAUGACUGAGACGGUGCAUCACUUGUUGGUUGGUUGUGUGUUUGCUCGCCAAAUUUGGGCCUGAUCCUUCAACAGCUGGGGCUGCUGCAGUUGGCUCCUCAGUCCUCAGUGUCUCGGUUCUCAGGUUGGUGGAAGAGAACUGUUGCUGCUGUUCCUAAGGGGCUUCGUAGAGGCCUCAAUUCUCUAAUUACGUUAGUGGCUUGGGAGAUUUGGAAGCACCGCAACAGGUGUGUCUUUGACAAUUCAAGACCAUGUGUUGUGGAAGUGCUAAAAGCUGUUAAUGUGGAGGGGGGGCUUUGGUGUUUGGCUGGAGCUUCCAAGCUCCAGGAUCUUGUUUUUGGGUCGGUGCCUACUGGUGCUUAAUUAAGCUCUGUAGGUUGUGGUCGCCUUCUUCAUUGAUGUGGCGCGACGGUUGUAUUUAAGGGAAGGCGUGUGUGUGUUGGUGUUUGUGUUUCAGGGUCACUCUUGACCUUUGUACCUCCUUUCUUCCUUAAAUGAAAUAACGCGCAGUUCUCCUGCGCUGUUCGAGAAAAAAAAAAGCAUAAAGCAUCAUAGGCAGAUAUAGUGGAGAACUGUCCAGAAGGGGAAAGACUCCAAAUAUGAGCGUCAGGAAUCUCAGGAUGGAGAAUAACAUCAUCAACUAUCUGAAACAGCUCCACGAACUCCCAAAUAACUCUGGUCGUAAGGGCACCUCGAAUGUCACUGACCCACAUAUGAUCCACCAAAGCCUCACUAACCAGCCUCUUGAUAGCAAUACGCUUGGAGACUAAAGCAAAAACAAUCGGAUCAAGAGUUUUUACACUCCUUCCAUGUAACCAAUUGUCGGUCCAAAAAAGAGUAUCAUUGUGUUUGCCCACUUGCGAAAUCACAGCCACUGAAGGAAGUUUUUGACAAUAUCACAAAUCUGAACAUGAAAUUCAGACCAAGGUCUAAGGGGCUCCGUCAUUUGCAACCAUAGUCAUCUGACCCGAAUAGCCCACCCAAGCUUUUGCAGAUCAUGAAUACUCAAGCCUCCCAACUCCUUUGGCCUGGUGACCUUAGGCCAAGAUAGUAGAUAGUAGCCACCUUUUACUUCUUUUCUUCCUUUCCACAAAAGACCUUUACGCAGCUUAUCUAUAGCUUUAAGAACCCAACCAAGUAGAUCCAAAGCCAUAGCUGGGUAAAUAACUCUAGUUGUUAGCACACACUGGACAUAAGUGGCACGACCAGCCAUAGACAUAAGCUCCGCCUUCCAUCCUAGCCACAUAUCCGCAGUACGAUCGAUGAUGGCUUGUAAAAGUGUAAUUGAUCUGUAUUAAGCUUCUUGAGAGACAAAGGGAGGCCAAAAUACUUGAGGGCUUGUUCGGUUAUUUUUAAUCCAUAUGGAUUGGAGGGAUUGAUACGGAUUGUGAGAGAUUUUGACUUACUAGGGAUUGAAAUCCCCUCAAUCCAUAUGGAUUGGGGUAGAACCGAACAAGCCCUGAGAGGGAAUUCUGAAACCCCACAAGGCAGCAGCUCCUAGAUGACUUCGACCUCCUCAUUAGUACAACAAAUAGGAAAAACACUACUCUUUUCCACAUUAGUCUUCAACCCGAAGCAUUGCCAAACAGUGUCAAGAGGUUCACAGUCAAAAUGAUGUCCGAUAGGAUAGGUUUUAAGAAGACCACUGUGUCAUCGGCAUAAAGAGACAUACGGUGUUGUAAGCGAAGAAAGAAGUUGUAGAAGGCCAUCCUCAGAAGCACGCCGCACAAGGUGAGAAAGAACAUCCAUGACGAGGAUGAAUAGCAUAGGGGAUAGGGGUCGCCCUAUAUUAAUCCUCGUCGAUGGGCAAUGUAGUCACCAGGCACACCAUUCAAAAUAAUUCUUGUCGAUGAAGAAGCCAAAAGCCCACUAAUCAAAUCAUACCAAAAGACACCAAAAUCAAGUUUCUUCGGGGCCUCGAGAAGGAAAGCCCAAGAGACUGAAUCAUAAGCCUUUGAAAUGUCAAGUUUAAAAAGGAUUCGGGGUUGUUUCUGAUCGUUAAGAAACCUGGUUGUUUGUUGCACUAACAUAAAGUUAUCCUAAAUAAAUCUCUUCUUGGUAAAGGCUGUUUGAUUAGGAGAGACCAUCAUUUGCAGCUUACCGGCCAACCUAUUGGCCAAAUUUUUUGUAAUGAGCUUAGCAAAGCUAUGCACAAGGCUAAUAGGUUCAAAGUCCUAAACAUGUUGGGCAUCAACCUUUUUAGGCAACAGCGAGAUGAAGGCAGAAUUCAAAAGCUCCAUAUUCCUGAAUUUCUGAGCCCACACACAAGAGAUAGCAGCCAUGACACUCCCCUUAAUAAUCGACCAAUAAGAUUUAUAGAAGCACCCAGUGAAGCCAUCCAGCCCCGGGGCCUUUCCGAAGGAAGGUGCUCGAUGGUGUUCCACACCUCACCUCCGAAAUGGGUACUUCAAGAGCAGACAAAUCAUGAGAAAGGAAUCCCCAGCGCAUCAAGGUCAAUGGUAGUGUCCCUAGGCUCCACUGUAACCAGCAACCCGUUAUAGAAGUUGAGAAAUUUUGUUGCUUUAUCCUCAUGCACAGUCAGCACUCUACCAUCUAUAGUAGUGUCGGGGACCACAAUUAGGGGUACCCUCAAGACGCCUAAUUCUCAGCUGGUAACCCCCAUCAGCAUAAAGCUGCAGAGGCCUGAUGGGUACGAUUAAGUCAGGGAUCAGUCCAUACGAGCGACUCGAUCACGCCUCGCCCGAGCCUAGCCUCGGACAAGGGCAGCCGACCCCGAGGGAUUUCCGUCUCGCCCGAGGCCCCCCUCCAACGGCGGACACAUCUCCGGCUCGCCCGAGGCCUUGCCUUCGCUAAGAAGCAACCCUGACUAAAUCGCCGCGCCGACUGACCGAGUCGCAGGAGCAUUUAACGCAAAGGUGGCCUGACACCUUUAUCCUGACGCGCGCCCCCCGGCAGAGCCGAAGUGACCGCCGUCACUUCGCCGCUCCACUGACCGGUCUGACAGAAGGACAGCGCCGCCUGCGCCACUCCGACUGCAGUGCCACUUGACAGAGUGAGACUGACAGGCAGUCAGGCCCUGCCAAAGGCACCAUAGGAAGCUCCGCUCCGCCCGACCCAGGGCUCGGACUCGGGCUAAGCCCCGGAAGACGGCGAACUCCGCUCCGCCCGACCCAGGGCUCGGACUCAGGCUAAGUCCCGGAAGACGGCGAACUCCGCUCCGCCCGACCCAGGGCUCGGACUCGGGCUAAGCCCCGGAAGACGGCGAACUCCGCUCCGCCCGACCCAGGGCUCGGACUCGGGCUAAGUCCCGGAAGACGGCGAACUCCGCUCCGCCCGACCCAGGGCUCGGACUCGGGCUAAGUCCCGGAAGACGGCGAACUCCGCUCCGCCCUAUCCAGGGCUCGGACUCGGGCUCAGCCCCAGAAGACGACGAACUCCGCUUCACCCGACCCCAGGGCUCGGACUCCGCCCUGGCCUCUGCCGAACGACCUCCGCCUCGCCCGACCCAGGGGCUCGGACUCGGCCUCGGCCACGGAAGACAGACUCGACCCCGGCUUCGGAGGAGCCUCCACAACGCCCAACCUAGGGCGCAGGCCAACCACGUCAGCAGGAAGCGCCAUCAUCACUCUACCCCGAGCCGACUCGGGCCGCAGAGAACAAGACUGAUGUCCUAUCCGGCUAGCUCUGCCAGAUAGGCAAUGAUGGCGCCCCGCAAGCUCUGUGAUGACGGCGGCUCUCAGCUCUCUUACGGAAGCAGGAGGACGUCAGCAAGGACUCAACCGCUCCGACAGCUGUCCCUCUGCCAGGCUCCGCCGCUCCUCCGACAGCCACGACACCACACCAGCUGGGUGCCAAGAUCUCUCCGGCUGCCACAUUGGCAUGUACUUAGGGCGCUAGCUCUCCCCCGCUAGACACGUAGCACUCUGCUACACCCCCAUUGUACACCUGGAUCCUCUCCUUACGCCUAUAAAAGGAAGGACCAGGGCCUUCUUAGAGAAGGUUGGCCGCGCGGGGACGAGGACGAGACAGGCGCUCUCUUGGGGCCGCUCGCUUCCCUCACCCGCGUGGACGCUUGUAACCCCCUACUGCAAGCGCACCCGACCUGGGCGCGGGACGAACACGAAGGCCGCGGGAUUUGCACCUCUCUCACGCCCGUCUCCGGCCACCUCGCUUCCCCCCUUCGCGCUCGCCCACGCGCUCGACCCAUCUGGGCUGGGGCACGCGGCACAUUCACUCGUCGGCUUAGGGACCCCCUGGUCUCGAAACGCCUACAGUUGGCGCGCCAGGUAGCGGCCUGCUGCGUGUUGACGAACAGCUUCCCGUCAGGCUCCAGAUGGGCAGUCUCCAGCAACCUCUCCGGCCCGGGACGGUGCUCCGUUUCGGGAGUCUUGAGUUCAUGUCCUUCGACGGUAGCUACGACAUGAUACUUCUUCCACCGCCGCGCGACAACGAUAAUGGCGGCCGACAACCCGUCCGCCGGCGGCGGAAUCGACGACAUCUUCCCCGCGUGGUGGAAGAACAACAUUCGAGCUCGCCCCGUCCUCUCCCCCACCAACGGAGGAGGAGGCGGGGCAACCAAGGCCAAGCGGGAGGCCGCGCUUCGUCGGCUGUCGAGCGAAUCGACGUCCCCAGCGCCCCAACGGGGGGCGCGUCGGGCGUCGACCUCACGUUUGAAGCGAAGGCGAGCGCCGUCCCCCCGCGACACGCCAAUCCCGAGCAAGUGGACGACGCCAGCGCGCUCGCGGAGAGCUUGCAGGACGUCGCCCUCGUACCUGAGACGACGGUGCAAUCAGUCCCCGACGUGACUAUGUCGCUGCUCGUCGACCAAAAGGUACCGACCGAUUCCCAUCCUACGUCAUUUCGACUCAGCCUCAACCCGCCUAGCGACCUCGCUUUGGCGGGCGCUCUCGUUGAGGCGAGUGCAACCCCUCUGGGGUUUCGUAUGCGGUCGCCUUGGGACCGAUUGACGGACGUCACGACCUACGGCCCUCUGGGUCCGAGGAAGAUGACGAUCCCAGCAUCUGUUGGGAUUUCUCUGGAUUUGGCAACCCCAGUGCCAUGCGGGACUUUAUGACCGCGUGUGACUACUGCCUCUCCGACUGUUCCGACGGUAGCCGCAGCCUCGACGACGAGGACUGCGGCCCAAGCCGCGAAUGUUUCCACGUCGGGCUAGGGGAUCCCUCCGAAGGCAACCAUCUCGGCAUGCCGGAGGACGGUGAUCUCCCUAGGCCGGUGCCUCGCGCUGACAUCCCGCGGGAGCUAGCUGUGGUCCCCGUUCCGGCGGGGGGUCACGACCCACAGCUCGAGCAAGUCCGCGGGGCGCAGGCCAGGCUCGACGAGGGAGCAAGAGCGCUUGAGCCGAUCCGCCGGGACGUCGGGCAGGUAUGGGCGGGCCAACCCCCGGCCGGAGAAAUACGUCACCUGCCCCAGGGUUUCCAGCACCGCGUCGCCAACGACGUCAGGGUCAGGCCGCCACCCGCAUCCAGUGGGGUCGGUCAGAACCUGGCAGCCGCAGCGAUGCUCCUCCGCGCGAUGCCGGAGCCAUCAACCACCGAGGGUCGGCGAAUCCAGGGAGAGCUCAAGAAUCUCCUGGAAGGCGCUGCGGUCCGACGGACCGAAAGCUCUGCCUCCCGAAGGCAGGGAUACCCCUCGGAACCUCAUGCCGCGACUUCCCGAUUCAUGCGGGAAGCCUCGGUCUACACCGGGCGCACGCGCAACACCGCGCCUGCGGCCCCGGGCCACCUCGGCAACGAGCACCAUCGUCGCGACCGUCGGGCCCACCUCGACGAAAGGGUGCGCCGAGGCUACCACCCCAGGCGUGGGGGACGCUACGACAGCGGGGAGGAUCGGAGUCCCUCGCCCGAACCACCCGGUCCGCAGGCCUUCAGUCGGGCCAUCCGACGGGCGCCGUUCCCGACCCGGUUCCGACCCCCGACUACUAUCACAAAGUACUCGGGGGAAACAAAACCGGAACUGUGGCUCGCGGACUACCGCCUGGCCUGCCAACUGGGUGGAACGGACGACGACAACCUCAUCAUCCGCAACCUCCCCCUGUUCCUCUCCGACACUGCUCGCGCCUGGUUGGAGCAUCUGCCUCCGGGGCAGAUCUCCAACUGGGAUGACUUGGUCCAGGCCUUCGCCGGCAAUUUCCAGGGCACAUACGUGCGCCCCGGGAAUUCCUGGGACCUCCGGAGCUGCCGGCAGCAGCCGGGAGAGUCUCUCCGGGAUUACAUCCGGCGAUUCUCGAAGCAGCGCACCGAGCUGCCCAACAUCACCGACUCAGAUGUCAUCGGCGCGUUCCUUGCCGGCACCACCUGCCGCGACCUGGUGAGUAAGUUGGGUCGCAAGACCCCCACCAGGGCGAGCGAGCUGAUGGACAUCGCCACCAAGUUCGCCUCUGGCCAGGAGGCGGUCGAGGCUAUCUUCCGAAAGGACAAGCAGCCCCAGGGCCGCCCAUCGGAAGAUGCUCCCGAGGCGUCAACUCCGCGCGGCGCCAAGAAGAAAGGCAAGAAGAAGUCGCAAGCGAAACGCGACGCCGCCGACGUGGACCUUGUCGCCGCUGCCGAGUACAAGAACCCUCGGAAGCCCUCCGGAGGUGCUAACCUCUUCAACAAGAUGCUCAAGGAGCCGUGCCCCUAUCAUCAGGGGCCCGUCAAGCACACCCUCGAGGAGUGCGUCAUGCUUCGGCGCCACUUCCACAGGGCCGAGCCACCCGCGGAGGGUGGCAGGGCCCGCGACGACGACAACAAGGAAGAUCACCAAGCAGGAGAGUUCCCCGAGGUCCGCGACUGCUUCAUGAUCUACGGUGGGCAUGUGGCGAAUGCCUCGGCUUGGCAUCGCAAGCAAGAGCGCCGGGAGGUCUGCUCGGUGAAGGUGGCGGCGCCAGUCUACCUAGACUAGUCCGACAAGCCCAUCACCUUCGACCAAGCUGACCACCCCGACCACGUGCCGAGCCCGGGGAAAUACCCGCUCGUCGUCGACCCCAUCGUCGGCGACGUCAGGCUCACCAAGGUCCUGAUGGACGAGGGCAGCUGCCUCAACAUCAUCUACGCCGAGACCCUCAGGCUCCUGCGCGUCGAUCUGUCCUCCGUCCGAGCAGGCGCUGCGCCCUUUCAUGGGAUCAUACCCGGGAAGCGCGUCCAGCCCCUCGGACGACUCGACCUUCCCGUCUGCUUCGGGACGCCCUCCAACUUCCGAAGGGAGACUUUGACGUUCGAGGUGGUCGGGUUCCGAGGAACCUACCACGCGGUACUGGGGAAGCCAUGCUACGUGAAGUUCAUGGCCGUCCCCAACUACACCUACCUGAAGCUCAAGAUGUCGGGCCCCAACGGGGUCAUCACCGUCGGCCCCACGUACAAACACGCGUUCGAAUGCGACGUGGAGUGCGUGGAGUACGCCGAGUCUAAAAAGGGGGAACCCCUCUGCGUCAAGAUUGGGUGUACUUCUCCGCACCCAAAAUUUUCGAUCAAAAAAGGCUUUUUGCGUUCUCCCGGCUAUGUCAGAAGCAGGGUCCCGAGGAGUGAACGAGGGUACAUGUAAGUGGCGAGGCCGACUGAGCCGAGGAACUCCUAUGCCUCCGGGUUAGGGACACCUCACUCAUCACCUGCCACGAAAAAUGACUCAACUCGAGAAGCCACUCUAUUAUUGACAAGCUAAGCCGGACACGCAAAUUGAAAGAAAGGAGAGUGCGACUUCAUGCAAGAAAAACAAAGUGUUCAGGCCUCAGCGGCCGCGGUAAGACACACGCACAUCCGACAGAAACUGUUCCAACAAGAGUUAGGCGCCGCCUUGGGAAGGAGCCGUGCCUUCAGUUCCGUCCCCGCCUUCGGUGAAGUCCAUCUCGGCUUCCGGCGACGGCGCAGGGGGAAGGAUCUCCGCCUCAAAAGUGGUCGCCAGCACCGCGCUCGGACCCGCGGCGACCGCGUCGAGCCGCUGAACUUCUGCCAGGGCAGCUUCGUCUUCGUCAGGAAGACAAUACCCCUCACUAACCCGCUCCAGGUCCACAACGUAGUGGGAAGCGAGCACGGCGAAGGCCCGCCUGACAUCGUGGUGUAGCGCCUCGCGGACUCUGCCGCGUGCGUGAUCACCCAAGGCUUGAAGGCGGCUUUGAGGGGAGCUUCCUGAAGGGACGUCGCCGGAGCCGAGGAUCCGAUAAACGUCCGAGACGGCCUCGGACAUGGCCGCGAGGUCAGCCUCCCUCUGCUCGGCAGCUCCGGCGAGCGCCUCGGCGAGCACCUUGGCGGACUCGUCAAGGGCGGACUCAAGCUCUGCGAACAACCAGAAGGAAGACCUCAAGCACAAGCAGAGGAAACUGACAAGAACAAGAACCAGGGACGGCCAAGGCGUACCUCCGGCUCGAGCACGCUGCUCCGAGGCCGCGACCUGGGCUGCGGCUAGGUCGGCCGCGAGGGUCUCGGCCCGGCUUUCGGCCUCGGCAGCCCGGCCCCGAGAUUGGUCCCGCUCCUCGACGACCUGGACGAACUCCGACCGCUGCCGUUGCGCCUCUGCGCGCGCCGCUGCCGCCUCCGUGCGCGCUGCUGCCGCCUCGGCUCUCAGGUCAGCGCAGAGCAACUGGAGGUCCGCUACCUUGGCAUCCUGCUGAGAAAGGCGCGCAGUAGCCCCGGCGAGCGAGGUCCUCAGGGAUCGCAGCGAGCCCCAGACAUCGACCUCGCGGCGGAUGAACGACGACUUGGCGGCGCUCCGAUCCGUCAGAUCCUGGGGGAAGGAAACAGGGUGUCACGAAGAACGCCUCGCUCACAGAAAAGAAAAGGUAUGCCUGAAACCGUUACCUGGAGGAUUUUGGGGACGUCCCUGCAGAAAACCUCCAGCGACGACCGGAGCGACCCCACCGUUGCUUCAGCACACUCGCGGAGCUCAUCCCAGGACUGGUCCUCCUGUUCAUCGUCGAGAACGAAGACAGGGUCCGAGGCCUCGCGGGUCCGAAACCGGAGCAACUGGCGCCGGGCCCCGGGGCUCCGCCGCACAGCGAUGAGGCUGCCGCCCGGCUGGACGGAUAGCGCCUCCACGCCCACCUCUUCUGAGGCACUGGGCGCCGACGUAUCAGCCAUCUCGACGCCGGCAGCAACCGGUCGCUCUCCGACUGGGACGGCGGCAACUUCGGUAGCGGCAGGCGCCAGCAUGGCCGGCACGACAGGCGGGCUCGGGACCACGUCGGCGUCAGCCGCCUCCCCUAUCACGAUGGCCGCCUCGGCAGAAGAGCCAGCCUCGGGAACCUGCUCCCCAGCGACAGGUGCCGCCCGAGCCCCCUGCGGUGAAACGCCCUGCGAAAGGGUCGGCUGAACGACAAGGCCCGGGGCGGCGCUGGCCGCACAGGCCGGCGCCGUCUUAAGGGCCUUCCGGGGUGCCAGGUCGGUCUGGCCAUGGCUUCGCUUGCUGAGGAAAAAAGGGAAAUCACGGCCGAGACAUAUGAAUGGAAAGCCAAGACGAAGACAUUCCGAGAUACUUACCCACUCCGGGCCAUAAUCCACCGCGCCUGGGGGGAAGUUUCUUGGAUCCCGGCUCCCGCAACAGCCGCCGAGGUCCGCUUCGCCGGCAACUUCGGCGCCACCCUUGCUUUGGACACCCGGGAAGCAGACUGCCCGGGCACUGUCACGAUGACUUGAGGGUCACCUCCAUGCGCUGCUGGUACGAGCGGCGGCCCUUGGGGAGCAGACGCCCUGACCUGGCCCUUCGGAACCACCUCAGCUCCUCCAACCGAGGGGUCAGGUGACCUCUCGAGUUGCCCCCGUGCCUCGGGCCGGGACCCCGACGCCCCAGCUCCGGGGACUGACGGUGUCGGCCCGCUCGGGGGCUGGCUCGACGGCUCCUGGCCACACCCCAAGCCGGGGCUGAGGCCGAGACGGGCGGCCAUGUCGUCUUCCUCCUCAUCAUCAUCGUCGUCGUCGUCGUCGGGCGUCUCCGACGACGGCUCCCUCGGGAGUCCCUCCCUCUCCUGCUGGCGACGGCGCUUCUCCAAGGCGUCCCGAGCCCGCCUCCGCUCGCGGGCCCGGGCCUUCUCUGCGUCCUUCUUCUUCUUCUCCUCCGCGGCGACCCGCCACGCUGCUCGGUCCACCGCGUCCUCCGGGACCCGCGGCCGGGAGGGCUUGUGCCACCCCACCUCCUGAAGAAAGGGGGGAAAGAAGCCCGAUCGUAAGAACCAGGAGCAACCCGAUGUAUGAAGAAGGAAGAAGCGAACACUCACCAGAGUCACGCACCCCUGGUCGGGGCGCAUCCGAAGCUGGGAGAAGGCGUGGGGGUCCGGCUUCCCCAACGCAGCCGACACCCGCCAUUGGAGGGCGUCGAAGGGAAGAGGAUCAGGGGACAUCCGUGAGCCCUCCCAGUCAGCCUCCGGGGUCAUCUCCCAAAGCGACAGCCGUCGCUUCGCCAAGGGAAGCACCCUCCGACGGUGGAUGGCGGCAAUCACUCCCGCUGCGGUGAGUCCCCCCUCCCGCAACGCCUCCAAGGCCUGGAGAAGGGGUCCGAGGUUCUUCUGUCUUUCGUGCGGGGUCCCGUGACGCCAGGCGUCGGUAGCGGCGGUGACUACUCGCUCGGAGUACGACGGGAGCAACUCACCGUCGUUCCGGAGAUAGAACCACCGGCGCUGCCACCUCUUGUUCGAGGACGCGAGGAUGGCAGGAAUAUACUGCGACGCCCGCGACUGCCUCAGCAGGAGGGUGCAGCCGCCGGCCCGCACCGCUGCGUGGACUUUCCUCUCCCCCGUCGGUGAAGCAAAAAGCUCGGCGAAAAAGAGAUGGGUCCACAAAUCCCAAUGGGGGGCGAUCCCCAAAUACCCUUCGCACACCGCUACGAAGAUAGCGGCCUGCGAGAUGGAGUUCGGGGUGAGGUUGUGCAACUCCACCCCAUAGUGGAACAGGAGUGCCCGCAUAAAGCGGCCCGUCGGCACACCGAAUCCCCGCUCGUGGAAGGAGACGAAGCUCACGACGUACCCCGGCGGUGGGGAUGGAGCGACUCCGCCCACGGGAGGAAUCCAUUCUGGUCGCUGCUCAUCGGUGAGAGGGCGAAGCAAACCCUCGCCGACCAGCUCCUCCAGAUCGCUCGCCGUCACCGUGGAAAAGGGCCACGGAUCGCGUGGUGAGAUGAUGGUCACCCGGUCAGCCAUCACCAAAACGGAAGGGACGGCGACGCAAGGGGCAGGAAAGGCGGUUUCCUCUUCUCUGGCUAAAGUCUCUCGGGUUGCGAAAACCUAAAGGAAGAGGCAGGAAGCGGAGCGAAGAACCGUCACCAGACCCUCUCCCGGGUAUAUAAAGACCAAGGCGAGACCGUUUCCAGCGUUACGCCCGGACCGGACGCGGGAUUCAAAAAACGCGAAGCGAAACAGCCGUUCCUCGAACGGCUCGCGCACGCGCAACGGCCGCCCUGCCAACAACUCACCCCGUCGCCUUAACUCCGCGGCGUGACAGGCGGCGCUUCUGGCGGGAGAAGCGGGCGACGCUUCGCCUUCGCCGUAAUAACCGCGCCAAAAAAGGUACGCCACGUCGUUCGAUUUCGUAUCCUUUUCCUUUUUUCCUCUUUCUCUAUCUCUUGCAACAGGGACCGGGAAAGGGGGAUACCCCGAAAAGGAUCCUUCCCUGUGAAGGAACCGGGCUCCGAGCCCCCCUACUGAUCAGAGGUUCGAAGGCUGGCCCCCCGAGGGGUUCAACAGCCGCCUCAGAUCGCGUGGGCCCUACACCCACUACUGGUCAGAGGUUCGAAGGCCGGCCCCCCGAAGGGCUCCACGGCCGCCUCAGGCUACUCGGGCUCCGCGCCCAUUACUGAUCAGGGGUUCGAAGGCUGGCCCCCAAAGGGUUCACAGUCGCCUCAGACGCCGAGCGAGGGAUGACCAGGGGUACGUUCGAUACAUAGCCGAGGCUCGGGCUGCGCUCCCGAGGUACCCUAGGACAUUUCCGAGACCAGCGGGAGCGAUCUUGUAACGGAAUCCCAUCGGAGGGAGGCAUCGAGCCCUCGGACCCCGUCGCCAGGGGACCGGGUCCGGCAGAUCACCCGCAGGUACUUUUGGGCGUGCCUCUGGGCCCCUAGCCGACCCCCAACGAACGGGGCACGGACGUCCACUCGGAUUACCCGCUUGCAGCUCACCGGAGACACCAUGUUCGGUGCCCAUCGAGGGUAACAUGGCGCUCUCCCCCCCUCCUCCUUGCGGAAAGGCGACGUAGGGGCGUAUGUAAAAAAGCCGAGUCUGUCCCUGAUCGCCCUCUCGCCCUGUGCGGAGGCUCGGGGGCUGCUCUCGCAAACCCGGCUCCGGCCGAACCGUUGACAGCGUCAACAUACCAGCCCGAGAACUUGGGCCCCGACCGUGCACCCGGGCUACGGCCAGUUCGCAUGAGGGAACAACCAGACCAGCCGAAGCGUUACGCAAGGCAUUAAGACCUCGAAGGAGUGAAACCACUCCUCCGAGGCCUCGGGGGCUACACCCGGCGGGUGCGCUCGCGCGCACCCACCGGAACAAAAUGCAACCGAGAAAGGCUGGUCCCCUUGCAAAAAAGUGUGACGAAAGCCUCCAAGCGAGUGCUAACACUCCCUUCGAGGCUCGGGGGCUACUGUCGGGGACCAUAAUUAGGGGUACCCUCAAGACGCCUAAUUCUCAGCUGGUAACCCCCAUCAGCAUAAAGCUGCAGAGGCCUGAUGGGUACGAUUAAGUCAGGGAUCAGUCCAUACGACCGACUCGAUCACGCCUCGCCCGAGCCUAGCCUCGGACAAGGGCAGCCGACCCCGAGGGAUUUCCGUCUCGCCCGAGGCCCCCCUCCAACGGCGGACACAUCUCCGGCUCGCCCGAGGCCUUGCCUUCGCUAAGAAGCAACCCUGACUAAAUCGCCGCGCCGACUGACCGAGUCGCAGGAGCAUUUAACGCAAAGGUGGCCUGACACCUUUAUCCUGACGCGCGCCCCUCGGCAGAGCCAAAGUGACCGCCGUCACUUCGCCGCUCCACUGACCGGUCUGACAGAAGGACAGCGCCGCCUGCGCCACUCCGACUGCAGUGCCACUUGACAGAGUGAGACUGACAGGCAAUCAGGCCUGCCAAAGGCACCAUAGAAAGCUCCGCUCCGCCCGACCCAGGGCUCGGACUCGGGCUAAGCCCCGAAAGACGGUGAACUCCGCUCCGCCCGACCCAGGGCUCGGACUCGGGCUAAGUCACGGAAGACGGCGAACUCCGCUCCGCCCGACCCAGGGCUCGGACUCGGGCUAAGUCCCGGAAUACGGCGAACUCUGCUCCGCCCGACCCAGGGCUCGGACUCGGGCUAAGCCCCGGAAGACGGCGAACUCCGCUCCGCCCGACCCAGGGCUCGGACUCGGGCUAAGUCCCGGAAGACGGCGAACUCCGCUCCGCCCGACCCAGGGCUCGGACUCGGGCUAAGGGUCUGUUUGGUUUGUGGCUAAAUGUGCCACAUUUUGUCUAAGGUUAGUCGUUCGAAUUGAAUAACUAACCUUAGGCAGAAAAGUUAGGCAAAGUGUGGCAACUGAGGUAGUGAACCAAACAGGCCCUAAGUCCUGGAAGACGGCGAACUCCGCUCCGCCCUAUCCAGGGCUCGGACUCGGGCUCAGCCCCAGAAGACGACGAACUCCGCUUCACCCGACCCCAGGGCUCGGACUCCGCCCUGGCCUCUGCCGAACGACCUCCACCUCGCCCGACCCAGGGGCUCGGACUCGGCCUCGGCCACGGAAGACAGACUCGACCCCGGCUUCGGAGGAGCCUCCACGACGCCCAACCUAGGGCGCAGGCUAGCCACGUCAGCAGGAAGCGCCAUCAUCACUCUACCCCGAGCCAACUCGGGCCGCAGAGAACAAGACUGAUGUCCCAUCCGGCUAGCUCUGCCAGAUAGGCAAUGAUGGCGCCCCGCAAGCUCUGUGACGACGGCGGCUCUCAGCUCUCUUACGGAAGCAGGAGGACGUCAGCAAGGACUCAACCGCUCCGACAGCUGUCCCUCCGCCGGGCUCCGCCGCUCCUCCGACAGCCACGACACCACACCAGCUGGGUGCCAAGAUCUCUCCGGCUGCCACAUUGGCAUGUACUUAGGGCGCUAGCUCUCCCCCGCUAGACACGUAGCACUCUGCUACACCCCCAUUGUACACCUGGAUCCUCUCCUUACGCCUAUAAAAGGAAGGACCAGGGCCUUCUUAGAGAAGGUUGGCCGCGCGGGGACGAGGACGAGACAGGCGCUCUCUUGGGGCCGCUCGCUUCCCUCACCCGCGUGGACGCUUGCAACCCCCUACUGCAAGCGCACCCGACCUGGGCGCGGGACGAACACGAAGGCCGCGGGAUUUCCACCUCUCUCACGCCCGUCUCCGGCCACCUCGCUUCCCCCCUUCGCGCUCGCCCACGCGCUCGACCCAUCUGGGCUGGGGCACGCGGCACAUUCACUCGUCGGCUUAGGGACCCCCCGGUCUCGAAACGCCAACAAGUAGUGAUACUAGGUAAGUGGGUAUAAAAUUCUUCCUUUUUCGGUACCUAGCAUAAUAAUGGAACAAACGGGUGUUGGCAUCCCCAUCUUUUAGCCAUCCAAUGCAAGAUUUCAAUCUGGCCAUAUUGUGCAAGAAGGAUGCCAAAGCAAGACUGUGUUUCUUCAACAAAUUCUUUAGCCAAACAUCUAAAGGUGACAAAGUUUGACAAUCUUGGGCUAUUUCAAGUUGAUGCAAGAGCUAUUUAGCAAAAUCAAGUUGAUUUUUCACAUGCCCCACCUUUUUAUCACUCCAACUCUACAACCCACGCGCAACAGCCCUUAUUUUAAAGAAAGGGUAGCUAGAGGGCAAGGACCAUCAGAAAUUGAAGGCCAAGUAGCCACCACAUCCUGGAAACCCUCCAAUUUAGGCCAAAAAGCUUGAAAGUGGAACCUACUCUUGCCCUGGAUGUCACCUCAAAAACCAGCACCAUCUCUGCCCUUGGCUACAAAUUUUGGCAUUGCAAGAGAAAAUAUCCUUUCAUUUUACUUUGAUCAAUAUUUUUAGAGAAGCUGGAACACAAAUUUCUUUUCCUUAACCGCUUCUAUCUUUUUAUCACAUAUGACAGUGUCACAAGUUCCAAAGAAGGUAAUGAUCCUCUUCUUUCAGUAUUGAACAUCCCUAAUGUUUUUUAUCACUUGGCAUAAGCAAUAUGGCGAUGGAUAUUUCAGAUGAUGAAUCUAAUGAGGAGGUUCCACAGGCUAUUCCAUUAUUCCCAAACGCAGAUGGUAUAUAUCCUUGUUCUACAUAACAUUUUUGUUUAAUAGUUACUAUUGCAUCUCUCUCUGCAUUUCUCUCUGUGUUCUACAUAACACUUAUGUGGGAGCCUUCGGCAGCAGGCCUGCCCUUUUUAAUAUUGAACAUUGUCUGCGCCAGUUUUGCUGAAGCUAUGGUAUUAUAGAGAAAAAGAGGGAAAAAAACAAGAAAAUUGUCUUAUUUAACCUUUGUCGUUGAUCCAGACCACCCUCUCUACCUUCUUCAGGCCAAUCACCAAUAUUCCAAAGGUACAGCUACAAAAGAACAAUGUAAGCAGCAGAUAACUUCAGCACGGUUAUUGGGAAGGGUGGUUUUGGAACUGCCUGUAAAGCUCAAUUCAGUGAUGGAUCCAUAGCUGUGGUGAAAAGGAUGAACAAGGUUUCAAAGCAAGCUGAAGAAAAGUUAGAAUGCCUACAAAAAGGGAAAACAUCAGCAACAAAUUAAGGUCGCUUAUUUCUUCUUUGGGAUCUUCUUCAGUAACUCAUCCAGAACCUCAAACAGAUCGGCAACCAGUCCGUAAUCUGCAACCUGGACAAUGUCAAUGCCCGGUUGGCUUAGAAUUGUAGCUAAUAUUGGUGGACAACACGUAAUUUGUUAAAUGAGAGAAGGAACCUGAAAUAUGGGGCAUCAACACCUUUAUUAAGAGCCACAAUAACCUUCGAGUCUCAUUCGAUCAUUCCUGCCAAGUGCUGUAUCGCUCCAGAUACUCCAAAAGCAUGGCAUAGAGUUAUGGAACUAUAUGAAUUGUAUCUAAAAACAAAGAUAAAAAGAACUAUAAGAAUUGUACCUGAAAAACAAAAAUAAAAGAACUAUGGAACUCUACCUUCUCAUCUAUCAUUAUAAAAACAAAGAUGAGUGUGUUAGCUGGGCAAUAGCAGGAGCUAAGGAGCUUGAGAGCCUAGGUUUAGUUGUAGCUCUGGCCGAGGUCGGGUCAAGUUCCGGUUCCAGUUUGUAAUUUCCUUCAGGUUUUUGUGUAGGGGCCUUGGGAGACUUGCUCAGCAAGGUCUCCUUUGUGUAAGGUUUUUUAUUCCUCUCUAAUAUAUAAGAUGUGCAGUUCUCCUGCGCGUUCGAUAAAAAAAUAAAAAAUAAAAAUCGUUGGUCAUGCUUUGCUCGCAUCCUCCGUUCUCCAGGAUGCAGUCGUUGAUGUCCGAAACUGAGAAAAUUGCAAGAUCACCACCGCGGAAAGCUGGCUUCGCUGCAUUGCAACCAUCAACUGAUCCCUCACUGUUGUUAUGCCAUCCGGCCUCAUAUAAUCCAUCAACUUGUUCUUUUACAGAUCUCCAGCCACGGGAAAAGACAGCUCUAUCCUUAGGUCAAGAUAAGGUCAUCUUGCCUCUGUUUGCUUGGACUAAAAAUGAACAAGCCUUGAGUUCCCCCCCCCCCCCCCCCCCCCCGCGGCGCAUAGAGGGUUGGACACUCAAGCACGCAUAACUCAACAUUUGGUUCUCCUCCAAGCCCACAGGCAGCAGAUUUGAUCAUUUGAGGUAAGAAUGGUGUUCCAGUUGUAUUCCCUCAUUUUCUGUUAUCCUCCUUCGAUUUCUAAAAUCCCUUGUUUUUUUGGAUGCAUGAACCAAUAGAUUUUGUGAUGUUGGCUCUAAAUCUGUGAUCCAUUGCCCUUGGAGAGGUGGUGCUAUGCCAGAUAUGGACAUGGAACCCAACUCCAACUCUUGGGACAUGAACCUAAGGUAUAUAAUCUAUUCUGCUAUGUGGUUUUGUUUACAUAUUUCGGCUGUUCGAGUUGCUAACCAAAGAUAGGUCGCCCCUCUAACUCGAUUUUAUUGUGCACUUGUUCCUUGCAUUGAGGGUUUUUUAGCAGGAUGUAGGCCUUAUCUAGUUAUCUUAGUGUAAACUCAACUGCACUAAAUGGUAGGUGGAAUGACCAAUUGGCAUCAGUAACAGAUAUAGACGGUCAUAACUGGAUGUAUCCUGUUGCAUUUGGAUUAAUACAAUCUGAACCAGAGGAUAACUGCGUUCGGUUUAUGAAGCAGUUGCGUAGAGCUAUAGGAGACAUGCCUCAACUAGCAAUUUGCACAGAUGCUUGUAAGGGAUUAGAAAAAGCAGUGGUACAAGUGUUUCCUUAUGUUGAUCAAAGGGAAUGUUUUAGGCACCUCAUGCAAAACUUUAUUAAGAGAUAUAGUGGUGUCAUUUAUUCACGUAUGUACCCUGCUGUUGAGGCUUAUAAGAAGGACAAAUUUCAGUACCACAUGACCCAAAUGUUCUCAGGUAGCAAUGAUGUGUUCAAGUACCUUGAUGAACAUCAUUCACUGAAAUGGAUGAGAUGUGACUUCAACCAAGAAAUUAAGUGUGAUUAUAUUACUAACAAUCUAGCGGAGUGUUUCAACAAUUGGAUUAGAGAGUACAGUAGAGACAUAAAGAACUUGCCAGUGACUGAUCUUGUUGAUAAGGGAAAUGAUAAUGAUUCUAUGGGAGAAGAUGAGAAAAAUUGGAGAACGACUUCAAGGCAAGAUACUAACAGCUGUCCUACACCAAUUGAAUGCAAGAACUAGAGGGUUGGGACACUUAAAUGUUGUGAAAGCUGACUUACAUGAUGCAGAGGUGUACAACAGCAGCCACAAUCAUCAUGAUCGACAUGCUAUCAAGGCACAUUUACAUGACUGUACUUGUGAAGAGUAGCAACAUACGGGCAAGCCUUGCGAGCAUGUAUUGGCCUUGCUAGCCGCAGUAAAAAACAGAAAUGUGAAGCUUGAGGAUUUGUUCAUGAAUACUACUCUGUUGCAAAGUUCAGAGAGGCAUAUAAAAGAUUGAUAGAGCCACUGCCUGACAAGUCACAAUGGCCCACAGUAGAACUUUCAUUUGAUAUGGGUGCACCAAUUUGCAAAAUAACUGUUGGCAGACAGAGAAAGUUGAGGUUCAAAAGUUUCCUUGAAGGCGGCAACAGUUCAGAGACAAAACAUGAUGAAGGUGGCAGCAGUUCAAAGGCAAAACCAACUGAACAAGAAAAGCCCAAAACGAUGAUAAGAGGAAACGUAGGUGCAAAAGAUGUGGCACAUUGGGUCACACAGAAGUUAGUUACAAAUGACCACUCAAUGGUACAAAGAAAAGGAAGAGAAAGCCUAGGAAGAAUAGUACUAAAUCAAGUGGUAAAAGUCAGAUGGCAACACCUUAUAGGCCAAUAACAACUAGGGAAACCAUAAUUCAAGAGCGCCCUGGAGCAACAAUGAAAGGAGGUAAUUCCAAAAAUUUUACAAGCACACUCUAGUUUGAAAUAUGUUCUUUUUCAAUACCAUUAACAAUGUUUUUGUGCAGGCGACUUGCUGCUCUGUUAGAAAGCAAUUCUUCUCAGACCACUAUGCCUACUUCAACUCCAACCAAGAUAACAACGCCAACCAAGAAGACAGUUCAAAAGAAACUGACCCCAAGGAAGAAAAAAAAUAACUCUUAGGAUUCUAUUUGUGGUUGUAGUCCUAAACUGAAAUAUUUGUGGUUGUAGUGCUAAACUGUGUCACAUGUUUAAUUGUGCAGUUUGUUUUGGAUUCUAUAGUCCUAAACUGAGAUAUUUUGUGGCUGAUAUAUUCAGUAUGGGUGCUUGUCUUAAAGAUGUGUGCUUGUCUUAAACAUGUAUGGGUGUUGUGCAUAUAUAUCUUGUAAGGAUUUGUUCACCACGCAUCAAGGUUCAUGGCACAGGAGAUUGGUGUCAGCAGUAUGGAGAACAAGCAUGAUGCCAAAACUGAUGCCGGUUACCUGGAAUGAGGCAUGAUGGCAUAAGAACAGCAAGUGAUUGAUAUUGGCACUUCAGCGUGGUCACGAUCGACGGUGGCAAUGCAGCGAAGCCACCUUUCCAAGGUAGUGAUCUUGCAAAUUUCUCGUCCAGAACUUUGUAUGCCCGGCCAAUCAUCGGACCACCGCGCGCUCAUGCAACACGCCACGUCGGUCCUCCUCGGCCUUGUCAAACACGACAAACGGUACAGUCCCUACCCACACGCCGGGGCAGUGGUAGGCCUGACGGCAAAGGGUGUGUGCCACCUGGUUCCCCUCCCGGUACACAUGCCUCACAUCGCAUCCUUCAAAACAGCGAAGCAGCUCGUGGAUCUCCUCCUGCAGCGCCACGGGGAUCCGUGUCUGCGUGUCCUCGCUGCGGAGCAGCCGCACAAGCACGAGAUCGUCGCCCUCGACCACCACCCGCUGCAGGUUAAGCCCAAGCGCCAGGCAAAGGCCUCGAGCCAUCGCGCGCGCCUCCACUAUGCCCACCGUGGAGUGCUCCGUGGGCUCAGCGAAUGCGAGCACGACACGACCGUCGCUGUCACGGAUGGCGCCACCAAUACUGGCUCGCGCUGAGCCAUCAUGGUAGACGGAUCCAUCAAAGUUGAGCUUGUACCAACCACGAGGUGGCGGCGACCAUUGUACUAGGAUGACGCGGCCAGGAUGGUACGGACGUGCCCACGGAGAGAGCUGCGAUGCAUGGUGGUAUAGAUUGGGGUCGUUGGGUGCCGCCAUCGAUGCUAGGGAGCACACCAUGCUAUCAGAUCAACUAACUGUUCGUGCAGUGUAUCGCGUAUGUAGUGCAACACGCAGGGGCGGCGGGGUGAAACAGUAGCUUACCGGUCGCCGCUCCGGCGUCCAACGUCCACCCCUCUGGGUCUCUGUGGGGUCUGCCUCCGCCACACGCCCACACGAUCUACAAGUACACUAGUUCUCUUUGGGGUCAGCCUCCACCUCCGCGCACACAAACUAUGCGUAAUGGAUUAAGAGCAGAGGAGACCGAAUCUCAACUAAGAUUAGUGAGAAACGUGGCAAGAAGAACACAGAUCGGAUCUUUAUGGAACCCUAAAUCCCCAGAUUCGAGCCCCGAAUCCCCAAAUCGGAAAUCAACAGCCAUCUUGAGAUGGGGAUUAGAACAAGGGAGCAAGAAAGGAGAACGCACCGUGGUCUUGCCGUCGGUAGUUCACAGUUCGCAACCCUCAGGCCGACGCCGUACCUCCUUGCAAGUGCAGAAGCACCGCCGAGGAUCUCACCGACGGCGGCGCCCUCGCAGGAAAGCGCUCGCCGGCGGGGAGUUCGACGACAGCGCAACAAUGGACGCCGGAUCAGUCCUCCACCUCGCCGGUGAACAGAAGCGACGAGAGUGGUAGGGUUUCAGGCGAGAGGCGCACGGCUGAGAGAAAUGGGGAAAGUGGGUAGGGUUUGUGAUAAAUGGAUAAACAGUGAUCCGUGUAUUCUUGCCCGUCGAUCCUUAUCCCCGUGGCGAUGCGGGGGGGCGCGGUUUUGGUGGGCCGACAUCUCGGCCCGGGCGCACGGGCCGCACCGCCUGGACCGGCACAGAGACGGGCCAAAAGGCCGACAGAGGCCAAGUAGCCCAUUUUUAUUUCCAGCGAAUUAAGAAUUGGUCUUUUCUUUAUUUCGGCAGAUUGAAUAAAAAUAAAAUAAAAGGUUAUAAAAAUUAGAAAAUACUUUUAUGAGAUUUAGAAUUUUGCAAAUAAUAUCUUGGAAUAUUUUGUUUUCGCUGCAUAGUUUAGAUAUUUUCUAUGCAUUAUUAUUCAUUAUGAAGCCAACGUGGAUUAUUUCUAUUUAAUUACAUAGAAAUUUCGAGAUUUUAUGGUAUUUUGAAUGUUUGACAACGUUUAAUAUUUUAUAAAUAUUUUAUACCAAAUUUAGAACAGUAUUAUAUUUUAUACUAGGUGUAUGCCAGUCCUUUGCCACGGAGUCAACAUGUAUUAAUAAAAUACAUUAAGAUGCAGAAGCACUAUUUUAUCGUUCUAUGCUCUCGUUAUUAAAAUGUCCGUAUGUUUAGAGUUGUACUCGGAUGCUUCGUCUAGCUGACGAAGAUGACAGAUGGGUCGCAGCACUCGUCGAUCAAGCAGUAGGAGCACAACGCGACCAGACUGUAGAUUAAUCAAUUAGAUGACGCAUGUGCAAGAGCAGAAGUCUACGUCGUCACUUGGGAAAUCAGAGAGACAGAGCCAACAAUAAGCUUAUGGCAGAGGAAUGAUAGGAUCAGAGAGACAUAGGUGUACCAACAAAUGAAAAGGGAUAUGUCAGCACCGGAUCGACCAAGCGAUUCUAUUCAUUUCUUCACAUGGAUUAGAUCAGAUUGACAAGGACAAUGGGUCAAGACGAGAGGCGGGAGAGGACAAGUCCUACAGGGACGCACUCGGACCCGAGUUUCACUAUCUAGGUUCUUGGGAAGCAGAGCACGUCAGCGAAGGGGAGGGCCAGGUCGUGGAUGCAGCUAUUGACGAAAUUGACAAGGACUAGGGAUGAGGACACAUAGUCGGCGUCCGACGAGGAGGGCAUGGUGGAGACGAGGAGCCGGCCGAGAAGCUUGGCGAUCUCCUUCUUUGUUGUUGUGCGCUAGAGGCUGGAGUGGGGAGCCGGCACCGGAAGACGCGGCGCGGCACGGGGACUCACUGAGAUAGGCAUGCAACUAGGGUUUGGUUGUCCAGUUGGUCGGGCCUGGGAUGCGUGUAUGUGGAUGUGAGACCUUGGACUGCAGGUCGCGCCGCCUCCUUCGCCCAUGCCGCGGCCUCGUCGUGCGGAGGCAGCCAUUGUCGUGGCCUAGUCGUGCAGGGGAAGCCUAGUCCGCGAGGGAUUAGGGAAGCGCGCGGGUGUUGGUGAGAGCACCUAGACGGGGGAAUAGGUGAUCCUGUAAAAAUCAAAUACUUAUAGCCACAAAACUUGGUUAAGUGUUAGUAUGGCUACGAAGCAAGCUCUUGCUAACACAAGAUAUCACAGAAAAGCAAUCACAAGAGACACGGUGGUUUUAUCCCGUGGUUCGGCCAAGUAUAACACUUGCCUACUCCACGUUGUGGCGUCCCAAUGGACGAGGGUUGCACUCAACCCCUUUCAAGUGAUCCAGUGAUCAACUUGAAUACCACGGGUUUUCCUUUCUUAUGCCUUGAAAGUCGCCUAGAGGGGGUGAAUAGGGCGAAUCGGAAAUUUAUAAACUUAAGCACAACUACAAGCCGGGUUAGCGUUAGAAAUAUGAACGAGUCCGAGAGAGAGGGCAAAAACAAAUCGCAAGCAAAUAAAGAGUGAGACAUAAGGAUUUGUUUUACCGAGGUUCGGUUCUUGCAAACCUACUCCCCGUUGAGGUGGUCACAAAGACCGGGUCUCUUUCAACCCUUUCCCUCUCUGAAACGGUCACUUAGACCGAGUGAGCUUCUCUUCUCAAUCAAACGGGACACAAAGUCCCCGCAAGGACCACCACACAAUUGGUGUCUCUUGCUUCGGUUACAAUAGAGUUGAUCACAAGAAAGAAUGAGAGAGAAAAGAAGCAAACCAAGCGCAAGAGCUCAAAUGAACACAAAUGUCGCUCUCUCUAGUCACUAUUCGAUUUGGAGUGAUUCCGGACUUGGGAGAGGAUUUGAUCUCUUUGGUUGUGUCUAAAAUUGAAUGUUAUAGCUCUUGUAAUGUGUUGAAGGUGGAAAACUUGGAUGCAAUGAAUGUGGGGUGGUUGGGGUAUUUAUAGCCCCAACCACCAAAAGUGGUCGUUGGGAGGCUUUCUGUCGCAUGGCGCACCAGACAAUCCGGUGCGCCAGCCACGUCAGCCGGCCAUUGGGUUCUGACCGUUGGAGCUCUGACUGGUGGGGCCUCUGGGCUGUCCGGUGGUGCACCGGACAGGUCCUGUAGACUAUCCGGUGCGCCUUCUAUGCGUGCUAUGUCAUCUGCGCGCGUAGGCGCGCAUUAAAUGCGUUGCAGUCGACUGUUACGUGCGCAGUAGUCGUUGCUCCGCUAGCACACCGGACAGUCCGGUGUGACACCGGACACUGUCCGGUGCCUCACCGGACAGUCCGGUGAAUUAUAGCGGAGCGGCCUCCCAUUUUCCCGAAGGUGAGGAGUUCAGCGUCGAGUUCCCUGGUGCACCGGACAGUCCGGUGUGCCAGACCAGGGUGCCUUUUGGGAUGUCUUUAGCUCUCUUUAUUUGAACCCAUCUUUGGUCUUUUUAUUGGCUUGUUGUGAACCUUUGGCACCUAUAAAACUUAUAGACUAGAGCAAACUAGUUAGUCCAAUUAUUUGUGUUGGGCAAUUCAACCACCAAAACCAAUUUAGGAAAAGGUGUAAGCCUAUUUCCCUUUCAAUCUCCCCCUUUUGGGUGAUUGAUGCCAACACAAAUCAAAGCAAAUAUAGAAGUGCAUAAUUGAACUAGUUUGUAUAAUGUAAGUGCAAAGGUUACUUAGAAUUGAACCGAUAAAUUCUUAUAAGAUAGGCAUGUAUUGUUUCUUCAUUUUUAAUAUUUUGGACCACGCUUGCACCACAUGUUUUGUUUUUUCAAAUUUUUUUGUAAAUUCUUUUCAAAGUUCUUUUGCAAAUGGUCAAAGGAUAAAAGAAUAAGAUUUUGAGAAGCAUUUUCAAGAUUUGAAAUUUUCUCCCCUAUUUCAAAUGAUUUUCCUUUGACUAAACAAAACUCCCCCUCAAUAAAAUCCUCCUCUUAGUAUUCAAGAGGGUUUUAGAUAUUGGUUUUUGAAGAGGGUGUUCCAGUUUGAAAUUCUAUCAAAAAUAAGAUACCAAUUGAAAAAAAUCAUCAUUUCAAAAUCUUUUCUAAACUUAAAUUUUGAAAAUUGGUGUGGUGGUACGUGGUGGUGCGGUCCUUUUGCUUUGGGCUAAUACUUUCUCCCCCUUUGGCAUGAAUCGCCAAAAACGGAUACUUGAGUAAAAUAUAAGCCCUUGGUGACUACUUUCUCCCCCUUUGGCGAACAAAAUAUGAGUGAAGGUUAUACCAAAGUUGGAGAGUGGCUCGGAGCGGCGGCGAAGGAUGAGUAAUUUGAUGGAGUGGAGUGGAAGCCUUUGUCUUCGCCGAAUACUCCAAUUCCCUUUCAAUCUAUGACUUAGUUUGAAAUACACUUGAAAAUACAUUAGUCAUAGCAUAUAAAAGAGAUAUGAUCAAAGGUAUAUUAAUGAGCUAUGUGUGCAAAACAUCAAAAGAAAUUCCGAGAAUCAAGAAUAUUUAGCUCAUGCCUAAGUUUGUUAAAUGUUUGUUCAUCUAGUGGCUUGGUAAAGAUAUCGGCUAAUUGUUCUUUGGUGUUAAUAUAUGCAAUCUCGAUAUCCCCUUUUGUUGGUGAUCCCUUAAGAAAUGAUACCGAAUGGCUAUGUGUUUAGUGCGGCUAUGUUCAACGGGAUUAUCCGCCAUGCGGAUUGCACUCUCAUUAUCACAUAGAAGAGGAACUUUGGUUAAUUUGUAACCAUAGUCCCUAAGGGUUUGCCUCAUCCAAAGCAAUUGCGCGCAACAAUGGCCUGCGGCAAUAUACUCGGCUUCGGCGGUAGAAAGAGCUACGGAAUUUUGCUUCUUUGAAGCCCAAGACCCCAGAGACCUUCCCAAGAACUGACAAGUCCCUGAUGUGCUCUUUCUAUUAAUUUUACACCCCGCCCAAUCGGCAUUCGAAUAACCAAUCAAAUCAAACAUGGAUCCCCGAGGGUACCAAAGCCCAAACUUAGGAGUAUAAACUAAAUAUCUCAAGAUUCGUUUUACGGCCCUAAGGUGAGUUUCCUUAGGAUCGGCUUGGAAUCUUGCACACAUGCAUACGGAAAGCAUAAUAUCCGGUCGAGAUGCACAUAAAUAGAGUAAAGAAUCUAUCAUCGACCGGUAUACCUUUUGAUCUACGGAUUUACCUCCCGUGUCGAGGUCGAGAUGCCCAUUUGUUCCCAUGGGUGUCUUGAUGGGCUUGGCAUCCUUCAUCCCAAACUUGUUUAGAAUGUCUUGGAUAUACUUCGUUUGGCUAAUGAAGGUGCCCUCUUGGAGUUGCUUCACUUGAAAUCCUAAGAAGUACUUCAACUCCCCCAUCAUAGACAUCUCGAAUGUUUGUGUCAUAAUCCUACUAAAUUCCUCACAUGUAGAUCCGUUAGUAGACCCAAAUAUAAUAUCAUCAACAUAAAUUUGGCAUACAAACAAAUCAUUGUCAAGAGUUUUAGUAAAUAAAGUAGGAUCAGCCUUUCCGACUUUGAAGCCAUUAGUGAUAAGAAAAUCUCUUAGGCAUUCAUACAAUGCUCUUGGGGUUUGCUUGAGCCCAUAAAGCGCCUUAGAGAGUUUAUAUACGUGAUUAGGAUACUCACUAUCUUCAAAGCCGGGAGGUUGCUCAACAUAGACCUCCUCCUUGAUUGGUCCAUUGAGGAAGGCACUUUUCACGUCCAUUUGAUAAAGCUUGAAGCCAUGGUAAGUAGCAUAGGCAAGUAAAAUGCGAAUUGGUUCUAGCCUAGCUACGGGUGCAUAGGUUUCACCAAAAUCCAAACCUUCGACUUGUGAAUACCCCUUGGCCACAAGGGCUUUGUUCCUUGUCACCACACCAUGCUCGUCUUGUCUGUUGCGGAAGACCCACUUGGUUCCUACAACAUUUUGGUUAGGACAUUGUCGGGGACCAUAAUUAGGGGUACCCUCAAGACUCCUAAUUCUCAGCUGGUAAACCCCAUCAGCACAAAGCUGCAAAGGCCUGAUGGGUGCGACUAAGUCAGGGAUCGGUCCAUUCGAGGGACUCGAUCACGCCUCGCUCGAGCCCAGCCUCGGGCAAGGGCAUCCGACCCCGGAGGAUCUCCGUCUCGCCCGAGGCCCCCCUCCAGCGACGAACAUACUUCCGGCUCGCCCGAGGCCCAGUCUUCGCCAAGAAGCAACCCUGGCCAAAUCACCACGCCAACCGACCAAAUCGCAGGAGCAUUUAAUGCAAAGGUGGCCUGACACCUUUAUCCUGACGCACGUCCUCCAGUCGACAGAGCCGAAGUGACCGCAGUCACUUCGCCGCUCCACUGAACGGCCUGACAGAAGGACAACAUCGCCUGCGCCGCUCCGACUGCUGUGCCACUCGACAGAGUGAGGCUGACAGGCAGUCAGGCCCGGCCUCGGGCACCAUAGGAAACUCCGCUCCGCCCGACCCAGGGCUCGGACCCGGGCUCGGUCCCGGAAGACGGCGAACUCCGCUUCGCCCGACCUAGGGCUCGAACUCGGGCUCAGCCCCGGAAGACGGCGAACUCCGCUCCGCCCGACCCAGGGCUCGGACUCGGGCUCAGCCCUGGAAGACGGUGAACUCCGCUCCGCCCGACCCAGGGCUCGGACUCGGGCUCAGCCCCGGAAGACGGGGAACUCCGCUCCGCCCGACCCAGGACUCGGACUCGGGCUCAGCCCCGGAAGACGGCGAACUCCGCUCCGCCCGACCCAGGGCUCGGACUCGGGCUCAGCCCCAGAAGACGACGAACUCCAUUCCGCUCGACCCCAGGGCUCGGACUCAGCCCUGGCCUCAGCCGACGGUCUCCGCCUCGCCCGACCCAGGGGCUCGGACUCGACCUCGGCCUCGGAAGACAGACUCGACCUCGACCUCGGAGGAGCCUCCACAUCGCCCAACCUAGGGCACGGACCGACCACGUCAACAGGAGGCGCCAUCAUUACCCUACCCCAAGCUAACUCAGGCUACGAGAAACAAGGUCGGCGUCCCAUCUGGCUCGCUCCGCCAGACAAGCAAUGAUGGCGCCCCGCACGCUCUAUGACGACGGCGGCUCUCAGCCCCCUUACGGAAGCAAGAGGACGUCAGCAAGGACUCGACAGCUCUGACAGCUGUCCUUCCACCAGGCUCCAGCGCUCCUCCGAUGGCCACGACACCACACGAACCGGGCGCCAAAACCUCUCCGGCUGCCACGAUGGCAUGUACUUAGGGCGCUAGCUCUCCUCCGCUAGACACGUUAGCACACUGCUACACCCCCCAUUGUACACCUGGAUCCUCUCCUUACGCCUAUAAAAGGAAGGACCAGGGCCCUCUUAGAGAAGGUUGGCCACGCGGGGAAGAGGAUGGGACAGGCGCUCGCGUGAGGCCGCUCGCUCCCCUCCCGCGUGGACGCUUGUAACCCCCUAUUGCAAGCGCACCUGACCUGGGCACGGGACAAACACGAAGGCCGCGGGAUUUCCACCUCCCUCUCUCCGGCUGCCUUUUCCCCCCUUCGCGCUCUGUCUCGCGCCGACCCUUCUGGGCUGGGGCACGCGGCGACAUUUCACUCGUCGGUCCAGGGGCCUGCUGCGUGUUGACGAACAGCUUCCCGUCAAGCUCCAGAUGGGCAGUCUCCAGCAACCUUUCCAGCCCGGGAUGGUGCUCCGUUUCGGGAGUCUUGAGUUCAUGUCCCUCGACGGCAGCUACGACAUGAUACUCCUUCCCCCGCCGUGCGACAGCGACAAUGGCGGUCGAUAGCCCGGCUCACCCCGCCCUCUCCCCCGCCGACGGAGGAGGAGGCGGGGCAACCAAGGCCAAGUAGGAGGCGGCACCUCGUCGGCUGUCGAGCAAGUCGACGGCGCCGGCGCCCCAACGGGGGGCGCGUCGGGCAUCGACCUCGCGUUUGAGACGACGACGAGCGCUGUCUCCCCGCAACACGCCAAUUCCAAGCAAACGGACGACGCCAGCACGCUCGCAAAAGGCUUGCUGGGCGUCACCCUCGUACCUAAGACGACGGUGCAGUCAGUCCCUGACGUGACUUCGUCACCGCCCGUCGACCAAGAGGUACCCACCGAUUCCCAUCUCACGCCGUUUGGAUUCAGCCUCGACCCGCCAAGCGACUUCGCUUUGGCGGACGCCCUCGUAGAGGCGAGUCCAAACCCUCUGGGGUUUCGUAUGCAGUCACCUUGGGACCGGCUGACGGACGUCUCGACCUACGGGCCCUCGGGGUCCGAGGAAGAUGACGUGCCCGACUUCUGUUGGGAUUUCUCCGGACUUGGUAACCCCAGUGCCAUGCGGGACUUCAUGACCGCAUGCGACUACUGCCUUUCCGACUGUUCCGACGGUAGCCGCAGCCUCGGCGACGAGGACUGCGGCCCAAGUCGUGAAUGUUUCCACAUCGAUCUAGGGGGUCCCUUCGAAGGCAACCAUCUUGGUAUGCCGGAGAACGGUGAUCUCCCUAGGCCUGUGCCUCGCGUUGACAUCCUACGGGAGCUAGCAGUGGUCCCCGUUCAUGCGGGGAGUCAUGACCCACAGCUCGAGCAAAUCCGCGGGGUGCAGGCCAGGCUCAACGAGGGAGCAGGAACACUUGAGCCGAUCCGCCAGGACGUCGGGCAGGAAUGGGCGGGCCAACCUCCGGGCGGGGAAGUGCGUCAUCUACCCCAGGGCUUCCAGCACCGCAUCGCCGACGAUGUCAGGGUGAGGCCGCCACCCGCUUCCAGUGGAGUCGGCCAGAACCUGGCUGCAGCGGCAAUGCUUCUCCGCGCGAUGCCGGAGCCAUCAACCACCGAGGGGCGGCGAAUCCAGGGAGAGCUCAAGAAUCUCCUGGAGGGCGCCGCGGUCCGACGGGCCAAAAGCUCUGCCUCCCGAAGGCAGGGGUACCCCUCGGAACAUCGCGCUGUGACUUCCCGAUUUAUGCGGGAAGCCUCGGUCCACACCGGGCGCACGCGCAACACAGCGCCUGCGGCCCCGGGUCGCCUCGGCAACGAGCACCAUCACCGCGACCGUCGGGCCCACCUCGAUGAGAGGGUGCGCCGAGGCUACCACCCCAGGCUUGGGGGACGCUACGACAGCGGGGAGGAUCGGAGUCCCUCGCCCGAACCACCCGGUCUGCAGUCGUUCAGCCGCGCCAUACGACGGGCGUCGUUCCCGACCCGGUUCCGACCCCCGACUACUAUCACAAAGUACUCGGGGGAGACGAGACCGGAACUGUGGCUCGCGGACUACCGGCUGGCCUGCCAACUGGGUGGAACGGACGAUGACAACCUCAUCAUCCACAACCUCCCCCUGUUCCUCUCCGACACCGCUCGCGCCUGGUUGGAGCACCUGCCUCCGGGGCAGAUCUCCAACUGGGACGACCUGGUCCAAGCCUUCGCCGGCAAUUUCCAGGGCACGUACGUGCGCCCUGGGAACUCCUGGGUCCUCCGAAGCUGCCGUCAGCAGCCGGGAGAGUCUCUCCGGGACUACAUCCGGCGAUUCUCGAAGCAGCGCACCGAGCUGCCCAACAUCACUGAUUCGGAUGUCAUCGGCGCGUUCCUCGCCGACACCACCUACCGCUGGUGAGCAAGCUGGGUCGCAAGACCCCCACCAGGGCGAGCGAGCUGAUGGACAUCGCCACCAAGUUUACCUCUGGCCAGGAGGUGGUUGAGGCUAUCUUCCGGAAGGACAAGCAGCCCUAGGGCCGCCCACCGGAAGAUGCGCUCGAGGCGUCAACUCAGCGCGGCGCCAAGAAGAAGGGCAAGAAGAAGUCGCAAGUGAAACGCGACGCCGCCGACGCGGACCUUGUCGCCGCCGCCGAGUACAAGAACCCUCGAAAACCCCCCGGAGGUGCCAACCUCUUCGACAAGAUGCUCAAGGAGCCAUGCCCCUAUCAUCAGGGGGCCGUCAAGCACACCCUUGAGGAGUGCGCUAUGCUUCGGCGCCACUUCCACAGGGCCGGGCCACCCGCGGAGGGUGGCAGGGCUCGCGACGACGACAAGAAGGAAGAUCACCAGGCAGGAGAGUUCCCCGAGGUCCGCGACUGCUUCAUGAUCUACGGUGGGCAAGCGGCAAACGCCUCGGCUCGGCACCGCAAGCAAGAGCGUCGGGAGGUCUGUUCGGUGAAGGUGGCGGCGCCAGUUUACCUAGACUGGUCCGACCAGCCCAUCACCUUCGACCAAGCCAACCACCCCGACCACAUGCCGAGCCCGGGGAAAUACCCGCUCGUUGUCGACCCCAUCAUCGGCGACGUCAGGCUCACCAAGGUCCUCAUGGACGGAGGCAGCAGCCUCAACAUCAUCUACGCCGAGACCCUCAGGCUCCUGCGUGUUGAUCUGUCCUCGGUCCGGGCAGGCGCUGCGCCUUUCCACGGGAUCAUUCCCGGGAAGCGCGUCCAGCCCCUCGGACGACUCGACCUUCCCGUCUGCUUCGGAACACCCUUCAACUUCUGAAGGGAGACCCUCACGUUCGAGGUGGUUGGGUUCCGAGGAACCUACCACGCAGUACUGGGGAGGCCAUGCUACGCGAAGUUCAUGGCCGUCCCCAACUACACCUACCUCAAGCUCAAGAUGUCAGGCCCCAACGGGGUCAUCACCGUCGGCCCCACGUACCGACACGUGUUCGAAUGCGACGUGGAGUGCGUGGAGUACGCCGAGGCCCUCGCUGAAUCCGAGGCCCUCAUCGCCGACCUGGAGAGCCUCUCGAAGGAGGUGCCAGACGUGAAGCGCCACGCCGGCAACUUCGAGCCAGCGGAGACGGUUAAGUCCGUCCCCCUCGACCCCAGCAGCGAUGCUUUCAAGCAGAUCCGGAUCGGCUCCGAGGUCAAUCCCAAAUAGGAAGCAGUGCUCGUCGACUUUCUCCGCGCGAACGCCGACGUUUUCGCGUGGAGUCCCUCGGACAUGCCCAGCAUACCGAGGGAUGUCGCCGAGCACUCGCUGGAUAUCCGAGCCGGAGCCCGACCCGUCAAGCAGCCUCUGCGCCGAUUCGACGAAGAAAAGCGCAGAGCCAUAGGCGAGGAGAUCCACAAGCUAAUGGCGGCAGGGUUCAUCAAAGAGGUAUUCCAUCCCGAAUGGCUUGCCAACCCUGUGCUUGUGAGAAAGAAAGGAGGGAAAUGGCGGAUGUGUGUAGACUACACUGGUCUAAACAAAGCAUGUCCGAAGGUUCCCUACCCUCUGCCUCGCAUCGAUCAAAUCGUGGAUUCCACUGCUGGGUGCGAAACCCUGUCUUUCCUCGAUGCCUACUCAGGGUAUCACCAAAUCAGGAUGAAGGAGUCCGACCAGCUCGCGACUUCUUUCAUCACGCCCUUCGGCAUGUACUGCUAUGUCACCAUGCCGUUCGGCUUGAGGAAUGCGGGUGCGACGUACCAGCGGUGCAUGAACCAUGUGUUCGGCGAACACAUUGGCCGGACGGUUGAGGCCUACGUCGAUGACAUCGUAGUCAAUACGAGGAAAGCCUCCGACCUCCUUUCCGACCUUGAAGUGACAUUCCGAUGUCUCAAGGCGAAAGGCGUGAAGCUCAAUCAUGAAAAGUGUGUCUUCGGGGUACCCCGAGGCAUGCUCUUGGGGUUCAUCGUCUCCGAGCGAGGCAUCGAAGCCAACCUGGAGAAGAUUGCAGCCAUCACCAGCAUGGGGCCCAUCAAGGACUUGAAGGGCGUACAGAGAGUCAUGGGAUGUCUUGCGGCUCUGAGCUGCUUCGUCUCACGCCUCGGCGAAAGAGGUCUGCCUCUGUACCGCCUCUUAAGGAAGGCCGAGUGCUUCACUUGGACCCCUGAGGCCGAGGAAGCCCUCGGGAACCUGAAGGCGCUCCUCACGAAUGCACCCAUCUUGGUGCCCCCCGCUGCCGGAGAAGCCCUCUUGAUCUACGUUGCCGCGACCACUUAGGUGGUUAGCGCCGCGAUUGUGGUUGAGAGGCGAGAAGAGGGGCAUACAUUGCCCGUCCAGAGGCCAGUCUACUUCAUCAGCGAGGUACUGUCCGAGACCAAAAUCCGCUACCCACAAGUUCAGAAGCUGCUGUACGCGGUGAUCCUGACGCGGCGGAAGUUGCGACACUACUUCGAGUCUCAUCCGGUAACUGUGGUGUCAUCCUUCCCCCUGGGGGAGAUCAUCCAGUGCCGAGAGGCCUCGGGUAGAAUCGCGAAGUGGGCGGUGGAAAUCAUGGGCGAAACGAUCUCGUUCGCCCCUCGGAAGGCCAUCAAGUCCCAGGUCUUGGCGGACUUCGUGGCUGAAUGGGUCGACACCCAGCUCCCAACAGUUCCGAUCCAGCCGGAACUCUGGACCAUGUUCUUCGAUGGGUCGCUGAUGAAGACAGGAGCCGGCGCAGGCCUACUCUUCAUCUCGCCCCUCGGAAAGCACCUACGCUACGUGCUACGCCUCCAUUUCCCGACGUCCAACAAUGUGGCUGAGUACGAGGCUCUGGUCAACGGGUUGCGGAUCGCCAUCGAGCUAGGGGUCCGACGCCUCGACGCUCGCGGUGACUCGCAGCUCAUCAUCGAUCAAGUCAUGAAGAACUCCCACUGCCGCGACCCGAAGAUGGAGGCCUACUACGAUGAGGUUCGGCGCCUGGAAGACAAGUUCUACGGGCUCGAGCUCAACCACAUCGCCCAGCGCUACAACGAGACUGCGGACGAGCUGGCUAAAAUAGCCUCGGGGCGAACAACGGUUCCCCCGGACGUCUUCUCCUGAGACCUGCAUCAACCCUCCGUCAAGAUCGACGACACGCCCGAGCCCGAGGCACCCUCGGCCCAGCCCGAGGCACCCUCGGCUCGGUCCGAGGCACCCUCGGCUCGGCCCGAGGCACCCUCGGCUCGGCCCGAGGCACCCUCGGCUCGGCCUGAGGCACCCUCGGUUAAGCCCGAGGUACCCUCGGCCCCCGAGGGUGAGGCACUGCGCGUCGAGGAGGAGCGAAGCGGGGUCGCGCCUAAUCGAAACUAGCAGACCCCGUACCUGCAAUAUCUCCACCGAGGAGAGCUACCCCUCGACCGAGCCGAAGCUCGGCGGUUGGCACGACGCGCCAAGUCGUUUGUCUUGCUGGGAGAUGGGAAGGAGCUCUACCACCGCAGCCCCUCAGGCAUCCUCCAACGAUGCAUCCCCAUCGCCGAAGGUCAGGAGCUCCUACGAGAGAUACACUCGGGGGCUUGCGGCCAUCACGCAGCACCUCGAACCCUUGUUGGAAACGCCUUCCGACAAGGUUUCUACUGGCCGACGGUGGUGGCCGACUCCACUAGAAUUGUCCGCACCUGCGAAGGGUGUCAGUUCUACGCGAGGCAAACCCACCUGCCCGCUCAGGCUCUACAGACGAUACCCAUCACCUGGCCUUUUGCUGUGUGGGGUCUGGACCUCGUCGGCCCCUUGCAGAAGGCACCCGGGGGCUACACGCACCUGUUGGUUGCCAUCGACAAAUUCUCCAAGUGGAUCGAGGUCCGACCCCUAAACAGCAUCAGGUCCGAACAGGCGGUGGCGUUCUUCACCAACAUCAUCCAUCGUUUUGGGGUCCCAAACUCCAUCAUCACCGACAACGACACCCAGUUCACCGGCAGAAAGUUCCUAGACUUCUGCAAGGAUCACCACAUUCGGGUGGACUGGGCCGCCGUGGCUCACCCCAUGACGAAUGGGCAAGUAGAGCGUGCCAACGGCAUGAUUCUACAAGGACUCAAGCCUCGGAUCUACAACGACCUCAACAAGUUCGGCAAGCGAUGGAUGAAGGAACUCCUCUCGGUGGUCUGGAGUCUGAGGACAACGCCGAGCCGAGCCACGGGCUUCACGCCGUUCUUUCUAGUCUAUGGGGCCGAGGCCAUCUUGCCCACAGACUUAGAAUACGGUUCCCCGAGGACGAGGGCCUACGCCGACCAAAGCAACCAAGCUAGUCGAGAAGACUCGCUGGACCAGCUGGAAGAGGCUCGGGACAUGGCCUUACUACACUCGGCGCGGUACCAGCAGUCCCUGCGACGCUACCACGCCCGAGGGGUCCGGUCCCGAGACCUCCAGGUGGGUGACUUGGUGCUUCGGCUGUGACAGGACACCCGAGGGCGGCACAAGCUCACACCUCCCUGGGAAGGGCCGUUCGUCAUCGCCAAAGUUCUGAAGCCCGGAACGUACAAGCUGGCCAACAGUCAAGGCGAGGUCUACAGCAAUGCUUGGAACAUCCAACAGCUACGUCGCUUCUACCCUUAAGAUGCUUUCAAGUUGUUCAUAUACCUCGCUCCCACGCAAAGUUUAGUCAUCAAGGAAGGGUCAGCCUUGCCUCGGCAAAGCCCGACCCUCCCUCGGGGGCUAAAAGGGGGGAACCCCCUCUGCGUCGAAAUUUUCCUCGAAAAAAGAUCCUUUCUGCCAGAAUGUCUUUCGCGCUUUUCGACUACUUCAAAAGUGGAUCCUGAAAAUGAUGGAGUACACGUAAGCAGCCAAGGCUGACCGAGCCGAGGGACUCCUACGCCUCCGGGAUACGGAUACCUCACUCAUCACCUUCUGCGAUAAGUAACUCGCGUUCGGAUAAGUGAUUCCGCGGACCGAACAAGUCUUCACGCUCGAAAGCCCCUCUGCCGAAGUGAUUCUUCGGGCCUUCUCGACUGCGUCGGUGUUAGAACCCUAUGGACGGGCAAGAGUGCGCGUAAGCGGCAAGGCCGACCAAGUAGAGGGAUUCCUACGCCUCCGGGAUAUGGAUACCUCACUCAUCACCUUCCGUGAAAAGCAACUCUCGCUAUCACAGACAAUUCUGUUACCGACGAAAAAGUCCAGAUACUCGAAACAAGAGGAAAAGAAGCGCAGCUUUACAACACGGCGAGGGUGUGUUUGGGCCUCGGCGGCCGCAGAAAACACACACUACAAGAUAAUCCGAUCCUGCAGGCUCGGAUCUUGACAGUUGAAGGGAGCAGCAGCACUGAAAGGGAAUUAGGCUUACACCUAGUUCCUAAAUAAUUUUGGUGGUUGAAUUGCCCAACACAAAUAAUUGGACUAACUAGUUUGCUCUAGUGUAUAAGUUAUACAGGUGCCAACGGUUCACAACAAGCCAAUUAAAAAGACCAAAGUUGGGUUCAAAAUAGAGAGCUAAAGGCAUCCCGAAAGGCUCCUUGGUCUGGCGCACCGGACAGUGUCCGGUGCACCAGGGGAUCUCGCGCAGAACUUCUCAGCCUCGGGAAUUUUCAGAAGCCGGCGCGCUAUAAUUCACCGGACUGUCUGGUGUACACCAGACAGUGUCCGGUGCUCCAAGAGGACGCGGCUCUGGAACUUGGCAGCCUCGGGAAAUCAUAACGGCUGCUCCGCUAUAAUUCACCGGACAUGUCCGGUGUACACCGGACUGUCCGGUGCAUCUGCGGAGCAACGGCUACUUCGCGCCAACGGUCACCUGCAGGCGCAUUCAAUGCGCGCCAGAAGCGCGCAGAAGUCAGGCACGCGCGCGCUGGCACACCGGACAUUGAACAGUACAUGUCCGGUGUGCACCGGACAUCCAGGCGGGCCCAGAAGUCAGAGCUCCAACGGUCGAAUCCCAACGGAAUUGGUGACGUGGCUGGCGCACCGGAUAUGUCCGGUGUGCACCGGACUGUCCGGUGCACCAUACGACAGUCAGCCUCCACCAAACGGCUAGUUUGGUGGUUGGGGCUAUAAAUACCCCCAACCACCCCACAUUCAAGUAAUCCAAGUUUUCCAGCUUCCAACCACUAUACAAGAGCUAGCAUUCAUUGCAAAGCACACCAAAAGAGAUCAAAUCCUCUCCCAACUCGACACAAAGCCUUAGUGACUAGAGAGAGUGAUUUGUAGUGUUCAUUUGAGCUCUUGCGCUUGGAUCGCUUCUUUUCUUUGGCAUUCUUUCUUGUGAUCAAACAUUCACUUGUAAUUGAGGCAAGAGACACCAAUUGUGUGGUGGUCCUUGCGGGAAGUUUGAUUCCCAAGUGAUUUGAGAAGAGAAGCUCACUCGGUCCGAGGGACUGUUUGAGAGAGGGAAGGGUUGAAAGAGACCCGGCCUUUGUGGCCUCCUCAACGGGGAGUAGGUUUGCAAGAACCGAACCUCGGUAAAACAAAUCCGCGUGUCACACUCUUCAUUUGCUUGCGAUUUGUUUUCCACCCUCUCUCGCGGACUCGUUUUUAUUUCUAACGCUAACCCGGCUUGUAGUUGUGUUUAUAUUUGUAAAUUUCAGUUUCACCCUAUUCACCCCCCCUCUAGGCGACUAUCAAGCACCCUCGGCGUCGACUACACCUUCGGCGAGGUCCGACCUAGCCUCGAACGGCGACGCGGUCCGAGGACCUCCACUCUGAAGGACGACAUCAUCAUCACGCCCGGGCCAUCGCCGCCAGGGUCUUCUUCAAGAAUCCGGCUCGAGCAGGCAGCUCGGCCGGUCACCCCGAGGUCUCGGCCAGCUGUCCCCCGAAGACAUCAGCCCGGCCCGAGGCCUCGGCAGAUAAAUUCCGGCGUCGGUCCCGCUAACGGACGACCCGACCAGGCUCCGGCCGACCAAGUCUUCUUUUCGAGCCAACUCUGCCUCUGUCCGUGCUGACACCGCUACCCCUGGCUUUGGCUCAUCGAAGAGCGGCCGAGGGGUUCCUUUAACUAAGCAAGAGAAGCCUCGGACAACAAGGCCGACCGAGCCAAGGGACUCCUACGCCUCCGGGAUACGGAUACCUCACUCUUCACCUUUGCACGGGGCGACUCAGGCUUGGUGAAGCGGUUCAGACAACCAACAGGCGAGUCUUAGUGCUCGAAAAUGAGGAAAAAACACGGCUCCGCGCCAAAAAUACAUACACGUUUAGGCCCCGACAGCCACGUUGAACAAAAGACCGACAUUCAAGGUGCCAUCACAAACGGAACUCCGGUUCCGUCCCCACGGGUAUGAACAACCUCCACACCGGGGAGCCUGCGGGGCGACAAGUUCCGGGCGACUCGCCGGCGACCUCUGCAGCAGCAGCCAUGGUCCCAGGACGGACGCGGCCACCGGAAGGCUCUCGUUCGCGUCCCCGCUCAAGGGAUGCGAACCAGCCAUCAAAGCCAAAGAGCCGGAGGCCGGCCCGUAGGCGGCACUGACGGCCUCGAUGGUGGGGAAGCUUCCCCCGGCCGCCACCAUGUCAGCACCGACGACGGUGUCUGCCUCUCUACCAACGCCGCACCGGCGAACGCAGGCCGCUCCAAAGCGCACCGGUAGGUCCUCGCUCCCGUCCUCGCCACGAAAGCGAGGAAGAGGACAGAAUGUUGCACCCUAGCUGGGCAGCAACAGUUCGCCUUCCCCGGCAUGGCUGGAGGACGCCUCCUCCGCAGAGCUGGAGGAUGGUUUCCACCACCAGAAACUGGAAGAGGAGGUGGCCAGCCGACCCGCGCGGGAGGUAGAGCCCCGGCUCGCCUCGCUCUCCGCCCCAGCAAGGAUGGUAAGCAUCCUUGAAGCUGAGGGAGAGACGGGGGCCGCAGCCCGGCUUGCUUCUCCCCAUCCAGGGGCUGGUGGUCACCGUCUUGGGUGACCACCGGCGAGGGGGUGCAGCCAGGCUGCGUGAUGAAAAUCCUUAAAGCUGAACGAUGGCCGAAAGGUACCAACUCCCACAGAGUUGCGUUCCUCCAACGACAAGGCGGAAGGAUUGCGGGUGUCCCCCAUCCGGGGGCUCGGAAGGUGGAAAGACACGAUGCAUAAGGGAGCGCGAAGACAUGGUCGCCUUUCAAGGGGGUCACCCUCCUCUUAAAGGCGACUCUCCCUACUUGCGUCCCCAGCCGUCGUGGGCUGAGUCUUCUCCAACACGCUCCAAGGUCCUCCCCCUACGGCGCGGGGGCUGGGUCCCACGCGUCAUGCAAGCUGGCCCAGAGCAGAAGAAGCCAAACCGCCGCGCGCGGUGCAUGCAACCGCCCAGCGGUUACGAGCAUUCCUCCACUUUCGCCCAGACCAGCGGGCGAAAGGGCGGGCAGCCAUGCAGGCGGCAUGCAACCGCGCCAAGUGGGCACGCCCCUCUGACUUCCAACGCACCCAGCAUGGGGGCCCACGCCCACGCCUCAUGCAACCAGCGCGCCGGUCGCUACAUGCAAGCAACUACACCGCCACUCGCACCACUGCCAUGCCUCCUCGACUACGGAACCAGUACCGCGACUCGAGGCAACCCUGCUACGACCCAGCAGUGCCAGCCAGGCGCGACAGUCAAUACGACCAAAAAUGGGCCGGCAGUAAUGGCGGUGGCAGGCGGGCAGGAGCAGCGGUCACAUCGUCAGCCAAGCUCACGUCCCGUCCAGGGGCAGCGAGAGAACCCUCUCUCACGACGUGAAGAUGGCGCACCCGCGUUUCGUUCCUCGAAUGGCUCACGCACGCGCAACGGCCGCCCCGCGAACUACUCGCCCCGUCGCAUUAACUCCACGACGGGACAGGCGGCGCCUCUGGCAGGGAAAGCGAGCGACGCUUCGCCUUCGCCAUGAUGACCGCGUCAAAAAAGGUACGCCACGUCAUUCGAUUUUGUAUCCUUUUCCUUUUCCUCUUUCUCUCUCUUACAACAGGGACCGGGAAAGGGGGAUACCCCGAAAAGGAUCCUUCUCCGUGAAGGAAACAGGCUCCGAGCCUCCCUACUGAUCAGAGGUUCAAAGGCUGGCCCCUCGGAGGGGUUUAACAGCCGCCUCAGAGCGCGUGGGCUCCACACCCACUACUGGUCAGAGGUUCGAAGGCCGGCCCCUCGAAAGGGUUCAACGGCCACCUCAGGCCACUCGGGCUCCGCGCCCACUACUGAUCAGGGGUUCAUAGGCUGGCCCUCGAAGGGUUCACAGCCGCCUCAGACAUAGAGCGAGGGAUGACCCUGGGUACGUUCGAUACAUAACCGAGGCUCGGGCUACGCUCCCGAGGUACCCUAGGACAUUUCCGAGACCAGCGGAAACGAUCUUGUAACGGAAUCCCAUCAGAGGGAGGCAUCGAGCCCUCGGACCCCGUUGACAGGGGACCGGGUCUGGCAGAUCACCCGCAGGUACUUUUGGGCGCGCCUCCGGGCCUCUAGCCGACCCCUAACAAAUGGGGCACGGGCGUCCACUCGGAUUACCCGCCAGCAGCUCGCCGGAGACACCAUGUUCGGCGCCCUCCGAGGGCAACAUGGCGCUUUCCCCCCUCCUCCUUGUGGAAAGGCGACGCAGGGGCGUAUGUAAAAAAAGUCGAGUCUGUCCUUGACCGUCCUCUCGCCCUGUGCGGAGGCUUGGGGGCUGCUCUCGCAAACCCAGCUCCGGCCAAACCGUUGACAGCGUUAACAUACCAGCCCGAGAACUUGGGACCCGACCGUGCACCCGGGCUACGGCCAGCUCGCAUGAGGGAACGACCAGACCAGCCGAAGCAUUGCGCGAGGCAUUAAGACCUCGGAGGAGUCAAACCACUCCUCCGAGGCCUCAGGGGCUACACCCGGCGGGUGCGCUCGCGCGCACCCACCGGAACAAAACGCAACCGAGAAAGGCUGGUCCCCUUGCAAAAAAGUGCGACAAAAGCCUCCAAGCGAGUGUUAACACUCCCUUUGAGGCUCGGGGGCUACUGUCGGGGACCAUAAUUAGGGGUACCCUCAAGCCUCCUAAUUCUCAGCUGGUAAACCCCAUCAGCACAAAGCUGCAAAGGCCUGAUGGGUGCGACUAAGUCAGGGAUCGGUCCAUUCGAGGGACUCGAUCACGCCUCGCCCGAGCCCAGCCUCGGGCAAGGGCAGCCGACCCCGGAGGAUCUCCGUCUCGCCCGAGGCUGCCCUCCAGCGACGAACAUACUUCCGGCUCGCCCGAGGCCUAGUCUUCGCCAAGAAGCAACCCUGGCCAAAUCGCCACGCCAACCGACCAAAUCGCAGGAGCAUUUAAUGCAAAGGUGGCCUGACACCUUUAUCCUAACGCACGUCCUCCAGUCGACAGAGCCGAAGUGACCGCAGUCACUUCGCCGCUCCACUGACCGGCCUGACAGAAGGACAGCGCCGCCUGCGCCGCUCCGACUGCUGUGCCACUCGACAGAGUGAGGCUGACAGGCAGUCAGGCCCGGCCUCGGGCACCAUAGGAAACUCCGCUCCGCCCGACCCAGGGCUCGGACUCGGGCUCGGUCCUGGAAGACGGCGAACUCCGCUCCGCCCGACCUAGGGCUUGGACUCGGGCUCAGCCCCGGAAGACGGCGAACUCCACUCCGCCCGACCCAGGGCUCGGACUUGGGCUCAGCCCCGGAAGACGGCGAACUCCGCUCCGCCCGACCCAGGGCUCGGACUCGGGCUCAGCCCCAGAAGACGACAAACUCCGUUCCGCUCGACCCCAGGGCUCGGACUCAGCCCUGGCCUCAGCCGACGGUCUCCGCCUCGCCCGACCCAGGGGCUCGGACUCGACCUCGGCCUCGGAAGACAGACUCGACCUCGACCUCGGAGGAGCCUCCACAUCGCCCAACCUAGGGCACGGACCGACCACGUCAACAGGAGGCGCCAUCAUUACCCUACCCCAAGCUGACUCAGGCUACGGGAAACAAGACCGGCGUCCCAUCUGGCUCGCUCCGCCAGACAAGCAAUGAUGGCGCCCCGCACGCUCUAUGACGACGGCGGCUCUCAGCCCCUUUACGGAAGCAAGAGGACGUCAGCAAGGACUCGACAGCUCCGAUAGUUGUCCUUCCACCAGGCUCCAGCGCUCCUCCGACGGCCACGACACCACACGAAUCGGGUGCCAAAACCUCUUCGGCUACCACGAUGGCAUGUACUUAGGGCGCUAGCUCUCCUCCGCUAGACACGUUAGCACACUGCUACACCCCCCAUUGUACACCUGGAUCCUCUCCUUACGCCUAUAAAAGGAAGGACCAGGGCCCUCUUAGAGAAGGUUGGCCGCGCGGGGAAGAGGACGGGACAGGCGCUCGCGUGAGGCCGCUCGCUCCCCUCCCGCGUGGACGCUUGUAACCCCCUACUGCAAGCGCACCCGACCUAGGCGCGGCACAAACACGAAGGCCGCGGGAUUUCCACCUCCCUCUCUCCGGCUGCCUUUUCCCCCCUUCGCGCUCCGUCUCGCGCCGACCCAUCUGGGCUGGGGCACGCGGCGACAUUUCACUCGUCGGUCCAGGGACCCCCCGGUCUCGAAACGCCGACAAACAUGGAACUAAAUGCCAAACCUCAUUCCUCGUGAAGUUGUUGAGCUCCUCUUGCUUCGCCACCACCCAAUCUGAAUCUUGAAGUGCUUCCUCUACCCUGUGUGGCUCAAUAGUGGAAACAAAAGAGUAAUUUUCACAAAAAUGAGCAACACGAGAUCGAGUAGUUACCCCUUUUUGAAUAUUGCCGAGGGUGGUGUUCACGGGGUGAUCUCGUUGAAUCGCUUGGUGGACUCUUGGGUGUGGCGGUCUUGGAACUUGUUCAUCUUCCUCAUCUUGAUCAUGGGCAUCUCCCCCUUGAUCAUUGCUCUCCUCUUGAGGUGGCUCAUCUUCUUGAUCUUCUCCUUCAUCAUCUUGAGCCUCAUCCUCAUUUUGAGUUGGUGGAGAUGCUUGCAUGGAGGAGGAUGGUUGAUCUUGUGUUUGUGGAGGCUCUUCGGAUUCCUUAGGACACACAUCCCCAAUGGACAUGUUCCUUAGCGUGACGCACGGAGCCUCUUCAUCAUCUAAUUCAUCAAGAUCAACUUGCUCUACUUGAGAGCCGUUAGUCUCAUCAAACACAAUGUCACAAGAAACUUCAACUAGUCUAGUGGACUUGUUAAAGACUCUAUAUGCCUUUGUGUUUGAAUCAUAACCAAGUAAAAAGCCUUCUACAGCCUUAGGAGCAAAUUUAGAUUUUCUACUUCUUUUAACAAGAAUAAAGCAUUUGCUACCAAAGACUCUAAAAUAUGAAACAUUGGGCUUUUACCGGUAAGGAGUUCGUAUGAUGUCUUAUUGAGGAUUCGGUGUAAAUACAACCGGUUGAUGGCAUAGCAAGCGGUGUUGACCGCCUCGGCCCAAAACCGAUCCGAAGUCUUGUACUCAUCAAGCAUGGUCCUUGCCAUGUCCAGUAGAGUUCUAUUCUUCCUCUCCACUACACCAUUUUGUUGUGGCGUGUAGGGAGAAGAGAACUCAUGCUUGAUGCCCUCCUCCUCAAGGAAGCCUUCGAUUUGAGAGUUCUUGAACUUCGUUUCGUUGUCGCUUCUAAUUUUCUUGAUCCUUAAGCCGAACUCAUUUUGAGCCCGUCUCAAGAAUCCCUUUAAGGUUUUUUGGGUAUGAGAUUUUUCCUGCAAAAAGAACACCCAAGUGAAGCGAGAAUAGUCAUCCACAAUAACUAGACAGUACUUACUCCCGCCGAUGCUUAUGUAAGCUAUCAGGCCGAAUAGAUCCAUGUGUAGGAGCUCGAGUGGCCUGUCAGUCGUCAUGAUGUUCUUGUGUGGAUGAUGAACACCAACUUGCUUCCUUGCCUGACAUGCGCUACAAACUCUGUCUUUCUCAAAAUGAACAUUUGUUAGUCCCAAAAUGUGUUCUCCCUUUAGAAGCUUGUGAAGAUUCUUCAUUCCAACAUGUGCUAGUCGGUGAUGCCAGAGCCAGCCCAUGUUAGUCUUAGCAACUAAGCAAGUGUCGAGUUCAGCUCUAUCAAAAUCUACUAAGUAUAGCUGACCCUCUAACACUCCCUUAAAUGCUAUUGAAUCAUCACUUCUUCUAAAGACAGUAACACCUGUAUCCGUAAAAAGACAGUUGUAACCCAUUUUGCAUAAUUGCGAAACUGAAAGCAAGUUGUAAUCUAAAGAAUCUACAAGAAAACAUUGGAAAUGGAGUGGUCAGGAGAUAUAGCAAUUUUACCCAAUCCUUUGACCAAACCUUGAUUUCUGUCCCCGAAUGUGAUAGCUCGUUGGGGAUCUUGGUUUUUCUCAUAGGAGGAGAACAUCUUCUUCUCCCCUGUCAUAUGGUUUGUGCACCCGCUGUCGAUGAUCCAACUUGAGCCCCCGGAUGCAUAAACCUACAAAACAAAUUUAGUUAUUGAUUUUAGGUACCCAAAUGGUUUUGGGUCCUUUUACAUUAGAUACAAGAACUUUGGGUAACCAAACAUAAGUCUUUGAUCCCUUGUGUUUGCCCCCAACAUACUUUGCAACUACCUUGCCGGAUUUGUUAGUCAAAACAUAAGAUGCAUCAAAAGUCUUAAAUGAAAUGUUAAAAUCAUUUGAUGCAAUAGGAGUUUUCUUCUUAGGCAAUUUUGCACGGGUUGAUUGCCUAGAGCUAGAUGUCUCACCCUUAUACAUAAAAGCAUGAUUAGGGCCAGAGUGAGACUUCCUAGAAUGAAUUCUCCUAAUUUUGCUCUCGGGAUAACCGACAGGGUACAAAAUGUAACCUUCGUUAUCCUAAGGCAUGGGAGCCUUGCCCUUUACAAAGUUAGACAAUCUUUUAGGAGGAGCAUUAAGUUCGACAUUGUCUCCCUUUUGGAAGCCAAUGCCAUCCUUAAUGCCAGGGUGUCUCCCACUAUAGAGCAUGCUUCUAGCAAAUUUAAUUUUUUCAUUUUCUAAGUCAUGCUCAUUAAUUUUGGCAUUAAGUUGAGCUAUGUGAUCAUUUUGUUUCUUAAUUAAAGUUAGGUGAUCAUGAAUAGCAUCAACAUUAAUGUCUCUACAUCUAGUGCAAAUAGUAACAUGCUCAAUGGUAGAUGUAGAAGGUUUGCAAGAAUUAAGUUCAGCAAUCUUAGCACGUAAAAUGUCAUUCUUAUCUCUAAGAUCGGAUAUUGUAACAUUGCAAACAUCUAAGUCUUUAGCCUUAGCAAUUAAUUUUUCAUUAUCAUUUCUAAGGCUAGCAAGAGAGAUAUUCAAUUCUUCAAUCUUAGCAAGUAAACUAACAUUAUGAUCUCUAAGAUUGGGAAUUGAAACAUCACUAACGUUAGAAUCAACCUUAGCAACUAAUUUAGCAUUCUCAUUUCUAAGGUUGGCAAUAAUAUCAUGGCAAGUGCUUAGCUCACUAGAUAGUUUUUCACAUUUUUCUACUUCCAGAGCGUAAGCAUUUUUAACCUUAACAUGCUUCUUAUUUUCCUUAAUUAGGAAGUCCUCUUGAGAAUCCAAGAGUUCAUCCUUCUCAUGAAUAGCACUAAUUAAUUCAUUUAAUUUUUCUUUUUGUUGCAUGUUUAGGUUGGCAAAAAGGGUACACAAAUUAUCCUCCUCAUCACUACAAUUAUUCUCAUCACUAGAGGUUGCAUAUUUAGUAGAGGAUUUUGAUUUUACCUUCUUCCUUUUGCCGUCCUUGGCCAUGAGGCACUUGUGGCCGACGUUGGGGAAGAGGAGGCCCUUGGUGACGGCGAUGUUGGCGGCGUUCUCGUCGGAGGAGGAGUGGGUGGAGCUCUCGUCGGAGUCCCACUCGCGGCAUAUAUGGGCAUCGCCGCCCUUCUUCUUAUAGUAUCUCUUCUUUUCUCUCCUCUUUCCCUUCUUGUCGUCGCCCCUGUCACUAUCACUAGAUAAUGGACAUUUAGCAAUGAAAUGACCGGGCUUACCACACUUGUAGCACACCUUCUUGGAACGGGGCUUGUAAUCUUUCCCCUUCCUUUGUUUGAGGAUUUGACGAAAGCUCUUGAUGAUGAGCGCCAUCUCCUCAUUGUCAAGCUUGGAGGCGUCGAUGGGGAUUCUACUUGAAGUAGAAUCUUCUUUCUUCUCCUUCGUUGCUUUGAAUGCAACGGGUUGUGCUUCGGGCGUGGAGGAGUCGCCUUGCUCGAUAAUCUUUUUGGAGCCUUUGAUCAUUAGCUCAAAGCUCACAAAUUUACCUAUGACCUCCUCGGGAGACAUUAGCGUAUAACUAGGAUCACCUCGAAUUAAUUGAACUUGCGUAGGGUUAAGAAAAACGAGAGAUCUUAGAAUAACCUUGACCAUCUCAUGGUCAUCCCAUUUGGUGCUCCCGAGGUUGCGCACUUGGUUCACCAAGGUCUUGAGCCGAUUGUACAUCUCUUGUGGCUCCUCCCCUUGGCGAAGCCGAAAGCGACCGAGCUCCCCCUCGAUCGUCUCCCGUUUGGUGAUUUUAGUCACCUCAUCUCCUUCGUGUGCGGUCUUGAGCACGUCCCAAAUCUCCUUGGCGCUCUUUAAUCCUUGCACCUUGUUAUACUCCUCUCGACUUAGAGAGGCGAGGAGUAUAGUGGUGGCUUGGGAGUUGAAGUGUCGGAUUUGGGCGACCUCAUCCGAAUCAUAGUCUUCAUCCCCCGGUGAUGGUACCUGUACUCCAAUUUCAACAACAUCCCAAAUGCUAGUGUGGAGUGAGGUUAGAUGAUGCCUCAUUUUAUCACUCCACAUAUUAUAAUCUUCACCAUCAAACAUAGGUGGUUUGCCUAAUGGAACGGAAAGUAAUGGAGUACGUUUGGAAAUGCGAGGGUAGCGUAGGGGGAUCUUACUAAACUUCUUGCGCUCAUGGCGCUUAGAAGUUACAAACGGCGUGUCGGAGCCGGAGGUGGAUGGCGACGAAGAGUCGGUCUCAUAGUAGACCACCUUCCUCAUCUUCUUUUUCUUGUCACCGCUCCAACGCGACUUGUUGUGUGAAGGGGAUCCCUUCACCUUGUUGGCGGACUCCCCGGAUGGAGCCUUCCCAUGGCUUGUGGCGGGCUUCUCGCCGGUCUCGAUCUCCCUCUUGGCGGAUGCUCCCGACAUCACUUCGAGCGGUUAGGCUCUUGUCAGGGACCAUAAUUAGGGGUACCCCUAAGACUCCUAAUCUCAGCUGGUAACCCCCAUCAGCACAAUGCUGCAAAGGCCUGAUGGGUGCGAUUAAGGUCAAGGCUCGGUCCACUCAAGGGACACGAUCUCGCCUCGCCCGAGCCCAGCCUCGGGCAAGGGCAGCCGACCCCAGAGGAUUCAUGUCUCGCCCGAGGACCCCCUCAAGCAACGGGCACACCUUCGGCUCGCCCGAGGCCCAGUCUUCGCAGAGAAGCAACCUUGGCUAGAUCGCCACGCCAACCGACCGUAUCGCAGGAGCAUUUAAUGAAGGAUGGCCUGACACCUUAUCCUGACGCGCGCUCUUCAGUCGACAGAGCCGAAGUGACCGCAGUCACUUCGCCGCUCCACUGACCGACCUGACAAGAAGACAGAGCCGCCUGCGUUGCUCUGACUGCUGUGCCACUCGACAGAGUGAGGCUGACAGCAGCCAAGUCCGGCCUCGGGCGCCAUAGGAAGCUCCGCCUCGCCCGACCCUAGGGCUUGGCCCCCGUCUCGGCCUCGGACGAUGGACUCCGCCUCGCCCGACCCCAGGGCUCGGACUCAGCCCUGGCUCCGGAAGACGACGAACUCCGCCUCGCCUGACCCCAGGGCUCGGACUCGGCCUUGGCUCCGGAAGACGACGAACUCCGCCUCGCCCGACCCCAGGGCUCGGACUCAGCCUUGGCUCCGGAAGACAACGAACUCCGCCUCGCCCGAGCCCAGGGCUCAGACUCAGCCUUGGCCUCGGACGACGGUCUCCGCCUCGCCCGACCCAGGGCUCGGACUCGACCUCGACCUCGGAAGGCAGACUCGACCUCGACCUCGGAGGAGCCUCCACCUCGCCCGACCCAAGGCUCGGACUGACCACGUCACAGCGGGGCCCAUCAUUACCCUACCCGUAGCUAGCUCAGGCUACGGGGAACAAGACCGGUGUCCCAUCUGGCUCGCCCCGAUAAACAAAUAAUGAUGGCGCCCCGCAUGCUCCAUGACGACGACGGCUCUCAGCCCCUUACGGAAGCAAGGAGACGUCAGCAAGGACUCGACAGCCCCGACAGCUGUCCUUCCGCAAGGCUCCAGCGCUCCUCCGACGGCCACGACAUCAUAUGAACAGGGUGCCAAAACCUCUCCGGCUGCCACGAUGGCAUGUACUUAGGGCUCUAGCUCCUCUCUGCUAGACACGUUAGCACACUGCUACAUCCCCCAUUGUACACCUGGACCCUCUCCUUACGCCUAUAAAAGGAAGGUCCAAGGCUCUCAUACGAGAAGGUUGGCCGCGCGGGAGAACGAUACGACACGUAAAGUCUCUCGCUCUCUCCCACGUGGACGCUUGUAACCCCCUACUGCAAGCGCACCCGACCUGGGCGCAGGACAACACGAAGGCUGCGGGUUUCCCCUUUUGCCUGUCUCUUUAUUCCUCCUUCGUGCUCCAUCUCGCGCCGACCCAUCUGGGCUGGGACACAUGGCGACAAUUUACUCGUCGGUCCAGGGACCCCCCGGGGUCGAAACACCGACAGUUGGCGCGCCUGGUAGGGGCCUGCUGUGUGUUGACGAACAGCUUCCCAUCAAGCUCCAGAUGGGUAGUCUCCAGCAACCUUUCCAGCCCGGGACGGUGCUCCGUUUCGGGAGUCUUGGGUUCAUGUCCCUCGACGGCGGCUACGACAUGAUACUCCUUCCUCCGCCGCGCGACAGCGACAAUGGCGGCCGUCAGCCCGCCCGCCGGCGGCGGAAUCAACGACGUCUUCCCCACGUGGCGGAAGAACAACAUUCGGGUUUGUCCCGUCACCCCCCGCCGACGGAGGAGGAGGCGGGGCAACCAUGGCCAAGCAGGAGGCGACACCUUGUCGGCUGUCGAGCGAGUCGACGGCGCCGGUGCCCCAACGGGGGACACGUCAGGCGUCGACCUCGCGUCUGAGACGAAGACGAGCGCCGUUUCCCCGCAACACGCCAACUCCAAGCGGACGAACGACGCCAGCACGCUCGCGAGGGACUUGCUGGGCGUCACCCUCGUACCUGAGACGACGGUGCAGUCCGCCUCUGACGCGACUUUAUCACUGCCUGUCGACCAAGAGGUACCGACCGAUUCCCAUCUCGUGCCUUUUAGAUCCAGCUGCGACCCACCGAGCGACCCCACUUUGGUGGACGCUUUUAUAAAGGCAUGUUCAAGCCCUCCGGGGUAUCAUAUGCGGUCACCCUGGGACCGGUUGACGGCCGUCUCGACCUACGGACCCUCGGGUUUCGAGGAAGAUGACGAUCCCGACUUUUGUUGGGAUUUCUCUAGGCUCAGUAACCCCAGUGCCAUGCGGGACUUCAUGACCGCAUGCGACUACUGCCUCUCCGAUUGUUCCGAUGGUAGCCGCAGCUUCGGCGACGAGGACUGCGGCCCAAGUCGUGAAUGUUUCCACGUCGAUCUAGGGGGUCCCGGCGAAGGCAACCAUCUUGGUAUACCGGAAAACGGUGAUCCCCCUAGGCCUGUGCCUCGCGUUGACAUCCUUCGGGAGCUAGCUGUGGUCCCAGUCCCUGCGGGGGGUCAGGAUGCACAGCUCGAGCAAAUCCGCGAGGUGCAGGCCAGGCUCGACGAGGGAGCAGGAACACUUGAGCCAUUCCGGCGGAACAUCGGGCAGGAAUGGGCAGACCAAGCUCUGACCGGAGAAGCGCGUCAUCUGCCCCAGGGCAUCCAGCUCCGCAUUGCCGACGAUGUCAGGGCAAGGCCGCCACCGGCUUCUAGUGGGGUCGGCCAGAACCUGGCUGCGGCAGCGAUACUACUCCGCGCGAUGCCGGAACCAUCGACCACCGAAGGGCGGCGUAUCCAGGGAGAGCUCAAGAAUCUCCUGGAAGAUGCCGCGGUCCGACGGGCCGAAAGCUCUGCCUCCCGAAGGCAGGGGUACCCAUCGGAGCAUCGCGCCGGGACUUCCCGAUUCAUGCGGGAAGCCUCGGUCCAUACCGGGCGCACGCGCAACACAGCGCCUGCGGCCCCGGGUCGCCUAGGCAACGAGCACCACCACCGCAACCGUUGAGCCCACCUCGAUGAGAAGGUGCACCGAGGCUACCACCCCUGGCGUGGGGGAUGCUACGACAGCGGGGAGGAUUGGAGUCCCUCGCCCGAACCACCCGGUACGCAGGCUUUCAGCCGGGCCAUACGACAGGCGCCGUUCCCGACCUGGUUCCGAACCCCGACUACCAUCACAAAGUACUCGGGGGAGACGAGGCCAGAACUGUGGCUCGUGGACUACCGACUGACCUGCCAGCUGGGUGGAACGAACGAUGACAACCUCAUCAUCCGCAACCUCCCCCUGUUCCUCUCCGACACCGCUCGAGUCUGGCUGGAGCACCUGCCUCCGGGGCAGAUCUCCAACUGGGACGACCUGGUCCAAGCCUUCGCCGGCAACUUCUAGGGCAUGUACGUACGCCCUGGAAACUCUUGGGAUCUCCGAAGCUGCCGCCAACAGCCGGGAGAGUCUCUCCGGGACUACAUCCGGCGAUUCUCGAAGCAGCGCACCGAGAUGCCCAACGUCACUGACUCGGAUGUCAUUGGCGCGUUCCUCGCCGGCACCACCUGCCGCGACCUGGUGAGCAAGCUGGGUCGCAAGACCCCCACCAGGGCGAGCGAGCUGAUGGACAUUGCCACCAAGUUCGCCUCUGGCCAGGAGGCGGUUGAGGCCAUCUUCCGGAAGGACAAGCAACCCCAGGGCCGCCAGCCGGAAGAUGUCCCCGAGACGUCCACUCAGCGCGGCACCAAGAAGAAAGGCAAGAAGAAGUCGCAAGCGAAACGCGACGCCGCCGACGCAGACCUUGUCGCCGCCGCUGAGUACAAGAACCCUCGGAAACCUCCCAGAGGCGCCAAUCUCUUCGACAAGAUGCUCAAGGAGCCGUGCCCCUAUCAUCAGGGGCCCGUCAAGCACACCCUUGAGGAGUGCGUCAUGCUUCGUCGCCACUUUCACAAGGCCGGGCCACCCGCGGAAGGUGGCAGGGCCCACAACAACGAUAAUAAGGAGGAUCACAAGGCAGAGGAGUUCCCCGAGGUCCACGACUGCUUCAUGAUCUACGGUGGGCCAGUGGCGAACGCCUCAGCUCGGCACCGCAAGCAAGAGCGUCGGGAGGUCUGUCGGUAAAGGUGGCGGCGCCAGUCUACCUAGACUGGUCCGACAAGCCCAUCACCUUCGACCAGGGCGACCACCCCGACCGCGUGCCGAGCCCGAGGAAAUAUCCGCUUGUUGUCGACCCCGUCAUCGGCAACGUCAGGCUCACCAAGGUCCUCAUGGACGGAGGCAGCAGCCUCAACAUCAUCUACACCGAGACCCUCGGGCUCCUAUGGAUCGAUCUGUCCUCGGUCCAGGCAGGCACAACGCCCUUUCACGGGAUCAUCCCCGAGAAACGCGUCCAGCCCCUCGGACAACUCGAUCUGCCCGUCUGCUUCGGGACUCCCUCCAACUUCCGAAGGGAAACCCUCACGUUCGAGGUGGUCGGGUUUAGAGGAACCUACCACGCGGUGCUGGGGAGGCCGUGCUACGCCAAGUUCAUGGCCGUCCCCAACUACACCUACCUCAAGCUCAAGAUGCCGGGCCCCAACGGGGUCAUCACCGUCGGCCCCACGUACCGACACGCGUACGAAUGCGACGUGGAGCGCGUGGAGUACGCCGAGGCCCUCGCCGAAUCCGAGGCCCUCAUCGCCGACCUAGAGAGCCUCUCCAAGGAGGCGCCAGACGUGAAGCGCCAUACCGGCAACUUCGAGCCAGCAGAGACGGUCAAGUCCGUCCCUCUCGACCCCAGCAACAACGCCUCCAAGCAGAUCCGGAUCUGCUCCGAGCUCGACCCCAAAUAAGAAGCAGUGCUCGUCGACUUUCUCCGCGCAAACGCCGAAGUUUUCGCGUGGAGUCCCUCGGACAUGCCUGGCAUAUCGAGGGAUGUCGCCGAGCACUCGCUGGAUAUCCGAGCUGGAGCCCGACCCAUGAAGCAGCCUCUGCGCCGAUUUGACGAAGAAAAGCCAGAGCCAUAGGCGAGGAGAUCCACAAGCUGAUGGCCGCAGGGUUCAUCAAAGAGGUAUUCCAUCUCGAAUGGCUUGCCAACCCUGUGUUUGUGAGAAAGAAAGGAGGGAAAUGGCGGAUGUGUGUAGACUACACUGGUCUAAACAAAGCAUGUCCGAAGGUUCCCUACCCUCUGCCUUGCAUCGAUCAAAUCGUGGAUUCCACUGCUGGGUGCGAAACCCUGUCUUUCCUCGAUGCCUACUCAGGGUAUCACCAAAUCAGGAUGAAAGAGUUCGACCAGCUCGCGACUUCUUUCAUCACACCUUUUGGCAUGUACUGCUACGUCACUAUGCCAUUUGGUUUGAGGAAUGCGGGUGCGACGUACCAAAGGUGCAUGAACCACGUGUUCGGAGAGCACAUUGGUCGAACGGUCGAGGCUUACGUCGAUGACAUCGUAGUCAAGACGAGGAAAGCCUCCGACCUCCUUUCCGACCUUGAAACGACAUUCCGGUGUCUCAAGGCGAAGGGCGUAAAACUCAAUCCCGAGAAAUGUGUCUUCGGAGUCCCCCGAGGCAUGCUCUUGGGAUUCAUCGUCUCCGAGCAAGGCAUCGAGGCCAACCCGGAGAAAAUCGCGGCCAUCACCAACAUGGGGCCCAUCAAAGACUUGAAAGGCGUACAGAGGGUCAUGGGAUGCCUUGCGGCUCUGAGCCGCUUCAUCUCGCGCCUCGGCGAAAGAGGCCUACCUCUGUACCGCCUCUUGAGAAAGGCCGAGUGCUUCACUUGGACCCCUGAGGCCGAGGAAGCCCUCGGGAACCUGAAGGCGCUCCUCACGAACGUGCCCAUCUUGGUGCCCCCCGCUGCCGGAGAAGCCCUCUUUAUCUACGUCGCCGCUACCACUCAGGUGGUCAGCGCCGCGAUCGUGGUUGAGAGACGAGAAGAAGGGCAUGCAUUGUCCGAGACCAAGAUCCGCUACCCACAAAUUCAGAAGCUGCUAUACGCAGUGAUUCUGACGCGACGGAAGUUACGACACUACUUCGAGUCUCAUCCGAUGACUGUGGUGUCAUCCUUCCCCCUGAGGGAGAUCAUCCAGUGCCGAGAGGCCUCGGGUAGGAUUGCGAAGUGGGCGGUGGAAAUCAUGGGCGAGACAAUCUCGUUCGCCCCUCGGAAGGCCAUCAAGUCCCAAGUCUUGGCGGACUUUGUGGCUGAAUGGGUCGACACCUAGCUCCCGGCAGCUCCGAUCCAACCGGAACUCUGGACCAUGUUUUUCGAUGGGUCACUGAUGAAAACAGGGGCAGGCGCGGGCCUACUCUUCAUCUCGCCCCUCGGGAAGCACCUCCGCUACGUGCUGCGCCUCCAUUUCCCGGCGUCCAACAACGUGGCUGAGUACGAGGCUCUGGUCAACGGGUUGCGCAUCGCCAUCGAGCUAGGGGUCCGACGCCUCGACGCUCGCGGUGACUCGCAGCUUGUCAUCGACCAAGUCAUGAAGAACUCCCACUGCCGUGACCUGAAGAUGGAAGCCUACUGCGAUGAGGUUCGGCGCCUGGAAGACAAGUUCUACGGGCUUGAGGCCAACCACGUCGCCCAACGAUACAACGAGACUGCGGACGAGCUGGCUAAGAUAGCCUCGGGGCGAACAACGGUUCCCCUGGACGUCUUCUCCCGAGACCUACAUCAGCCCUCAGUCAAGACCGACGACACGCCCGAGCCCGAGAAGGCCUCAGCCCAGCCCGAGGCGCCCUCGGCUCAGCCCGAGGCACCCUCGGCCCCCGAGGGUGAGGCACUGCGCGUCGAGGAAGAGCAGAAUGGGGUCCCGCCUAAUCGAGACUGGCAGACCCCGUACUUGCAAUAUCUCCACCGAGGAGAGCUGCCCCUCGACCGAGCUGAAGCUCGGCGACUGGCGCGGUGCGCCAAGUCGUUCAUCUUGCUGGGGGACGGGAAGGAGCUCUACCACCGCAGCCCCUCAGGCAUCCUCCAGCGAUGCAUAUCCAUCACCGAAGGUCAGGAGUUAUUACAAGAAAUACACUCAGGGGCUUGCGGUCAUCACGCAGCGCCUCGAGCCCUUGUUGGAAAUGCUUUCCGACAAGGCUUCUACUGGCCGACCGCGGUGGCCGACGCCACUAGAAUUGUCCGCACCUGCCAAGGGUGUCAAUUCUACGCAAGGCAGACCCACCUGCCUGCUCAGGCUCUGCAGACGAUACCCAUCACCUGGCCGUUUGCUGUGUGGGGUCUGGACCUCGUCGGUCCCUUGCAGAAGGCACCCGGGGGCUACACGCACCUGCUGGUCGCCAUCGACAAAUUCUCCAAGUGGAUCGAGGUCCGACCCCUAAAUAACAUCAGGUCCGAAUAGGCGGUGGCGUUCUUCACCAACAUCAUCCAUCGCUUUGGGGUCCCGAACUCCAUCAUCACCGACAACGGCACCCAAUUCACCGGCAGAAAGUUCCCGGACUUCUGCGAGGAUCACCACAUCCGGGUGGACUGGGCCGCCGUGGCUCACCCCAUGACGAAUGGGCAGGUAGAGCGUGCCAACGACAUGAUUCUGCAAGGACUCAAGCCACGAAUCUACAACGACCUCAACAAGUUCGGCAGGCGAUGGAUGAAGGAACUCCCCUCGGUGGUCUGGAGUCUGAGGACAACGCCGAGCCGAGCCACGGGCUUCACACCGUUCUUUCUAGUCUAUGGGGCCGAGGCCAUCUUGCCCACAGACUUAGAAUAUGGUUCCUCGAGGACGAGGGCGUUCGACGACCAAAGCAAUCGAACCAACCGAGAAGACUCACUGGACCAGCUGGAAGAGGCUCGGGACAUGGCCUUACUACACUCGGCGCGGUAUCAGCAGUCCCUGCGAUGCUACCACGCCCGAGGGGUUUGGUCCCGAGACCUCUAGGUGGGCGACUUGGUGCUUCGGCUGCGACAAGACGCCCGAGGGCGGCACAAGCUCACGCCUCCCUGGGAAGGGCCAUUCGUCAUCGCCAAGGUUCUGAAGCCCGGGACAUACAAGCUGGCCAACAGUCAAGGCGAGGUCUACAGCAACGCUUGGAACAUCCAACAACUACGUCGCUUCUACCCUUAAGAUGCUUUCAAGUCAUUCGUACACCUCGUUCACACACCAAGUCUAACCAUCAAGGAAGGGUCAGCCUUGCCUCGGCAAAGCCCGACCCUCCCUCGGGGGCUAGAAGGGGGGAACCCCCUCUACAUCAAAAUUUUCCUCGGAAAAGGUCUUUUCUGUCAGAACGUCUUUCGUGCUUUUCGACUACUUCAAAAGUGGGAUCCUGAAAACGACGGAGUACACGUAAGCAGCCAAGGCUGACCGAGCCGAGGGACUCCUACGCCUCCGGGAUACGGAUACCUCACUCAUCACCUUCUGCGAUAAGUAACUCACGCUCGGAUAAGCGAUUCUGCGGACCGAACAAGUCUUAACGCUCGAAAACUCUUCUGCCGAAACGAUUUUUCGUGCCUUCUCGACUAUAUCGAUAGCAGAAUCCUACGGACGAGUAAGAGUACACGUAAGCGGUAAGGCCGACCGAGCCGAGGGACUCCUACGCCUCUGGGAUACGGAUACCUCACUCAUCACCUUCCGUGAAAAGUAACUCUCGCUCGGACAAACAAUUCUGUUACCGACAAAUAAGUCCUGAUACUCGAAACGAGGGGAAAAGAAACGCAGCUUUACAACACAACGACGAUAUGUUUGGGCCUCGGCGGCCGCAAAAAACAUAUGCAUACUACAGGCGAACCGAUCCUGCAGGCUCGGACCGUGACGGAGGGGGAGCAGCAGCACCCUCGGCGUCAACUACACCUUCGACGAAGUUCGACCGAGCCUCGGACGACAACGCGGUCGGAGGAUCUCCGCUCCGAAGGACGACGUCAGCACCGCGCCCGGGCCAUCGCCGCCAGGGUCUCCUCCAGGAACCCGGCCCGAGCAGACGGCUCGGCCGGCCACCUCGAAGCCUCAGCCAGCUGUCCUCCGAGGACACCAGCCCGGCUCGUGGCCUCGGCAACUCGACUCCGGCGCUGGUUCCGCCAGUGGACAGCCCGGCCAGGCUCCGGCCGACGAAGUCUUCUUUUCGAGCCAACUCUGCCUCUGUCCACACUAACACCGCUGCCUCCAGCUCCAGCUCAUCGCAGAGCGGCCGAGGGUUCCUUUAACUAAGCAAGAGAAGCCUCGGGCGGCAAGGCCGACCGAGCCGAGGGUCUCCUACGCCUCCGGGAUAUGGAUACCUCACUCGUCACCUUCGCACAAGGCAACUCACACUUGGUUAAGCGGUUCAGUUAGCCGACAGGCGAGUCCUAGUGCUCGAAAUGAGGAAAAAACACGGCUUCAUGCCAAAAAUACAUACAUGUUCAGGCCCCAACAGCCACAAUGAAUAGUCACCGACAUUCAAGGUGCCAUUACAAAUGGAACUCCGGUUCCGCCCCCACAGGUAUGAACAACCUCCACACCGGAGAGCCUGCGGGGCGACAAGCUCCGGGCGACUCGCCAACGACCUCUGCAGCAGCAGCCAUGGUCCCAGGACGGACGCAGCCACCGAAAGGCUCUCAUUCGCGUCCCCACUCAAGGGACGUGAACCAGACAUUAAAGCCAAAGAGCCGGAGGUCGGGCCGCAGGCGGCGCUGACGGCCUCGACGACGGAGAAGCUUUCUCCAGCUGCCACCACGUCAGCACCGACGGCGGCGUCCGCCUGUCCACCAACGCCGCACCAGCGAGCGCAGGCCGCUCCAAAGCGCACCGGCAGGUCCUCACUCCCGUCCUUGCCACGAAAGCGAGGACAGAGGAUGGAAUGUUGCAUCCUAGCUGGGCAGCAACAGUUCACCUUCCCCGACAUGGCUGGAGGACGCCUCCUCCGCAGAGCUGGAGGAUGGUUUCCACCACCAGAAGCUGGAAGAAGAGGUGGCCAGCUGACCCGUGCGGGAGGUAGAGCCCUGGCUCACCUCGCUUUCCGCCCCAGCAAGGAUGAUGAAGAUCCUUGAAGCUGAGGGUGGGGGCAGAGGCCGCAGCCCGGCUCGCUUCUCCCCACCAUCGAACUGGUGGUCACCGUCUUGGGUGACCACCAGCGAGGGGAUGCAGCCGGGCUGCCUGAUGAAAAUCCUUGAAGCCGAACGAUGGCUGAAAGGUACCAACUUCCGCGAAGUUGCGUUCCUCCAACGACAGCAAUACGAAAGCGACGCGAGUGUUCCCCAUCCGGGGCUCGGAAGGUGGAAGGAUGCGAUGCAUGAAGGGAGUACGAAGACAUGGUUGCCUUCCAAGGGGGUCACCCUCCUUUUAAAGGCAACUCUCCCCACUUGCGUCCUCAGCCGUCGCGGACUGAGUCUUCUCCAACACGCUCCAAGGUCUUCCACCUACGACACAAGGGCUGGGUCCCACGCGUCAUGCAAGCUGACCCAGGACAGAAGGAGCCAAAACCGCCGCGCACGGUGCACGCGACUGCCCAGCGGUUACAAGCAUUCCUCCACUUCCGCCCAGACCAGCGGGUGAAAGAGCGGACCGCCAUGCAGGCGGCAUGCAACCGCACCAAGGGGCGCACCCUUUCGACUUCGACGCGUCCAGCAUGGAGGCCCAGGCCCACACGUCAUAUAACCGACGCGCCGGUUACUACGUGCAAGAAACUGCACCGCCACUCGCGCCAGUACCGCGCCUUCUCGACUGCGGAACCGGUGCCACGACUCGAGGCGACCCUGCGCAUGACCCAACAGUGCCAACCGAGCACAUCGGUCACGAGUCAGUCAGCCGCGGGAGAAGGCACGACGGUCGAUACGGCCAGAAAUGGGCCGGCAGCAAUGGCGGUGGCAGGCGGGCGGAAGCAGCGGUCAAGUCGUCAGCAAGCUCACGUCCCCUCCUGGGACAGCGAGAGAACCCUCUCCCACGGCGUGAAGACGACGCGCCCGUGUUCCGUUCCUCGAACGGCUCGCGCACGCACAACGGCCGCCCCGCGAGCCACUCACCCCGUCGCAUUAAUUCUGCGGCAGGACAGGCGGCACCUUUGGCAGGCGAAGCAGGCGACGCUUCACCUCCGCCAUAAUGACCGCGUCAAAAAAGGUGCGCCACGUCAUUCGAUUUCGUAUCCUUUUCCACUUCCUCUUUCUCUCUCUUGCCACAGGGACCGGGAAAGGGGAUACUCCGAAAGGGAUCCUUCUCCGUGAAGGAAGCGAGCCCCGAGCCCCCCUACUGAUCAGAGGUUCGAAGGCUGGCCCCUCGGAAGGGUUCAACAGCCGCCUCAGAGCACUCGGGCUCCGCGCCCACUACUGGUCAGAGGUUCGAAGGCUGGCCCCUCGGAAGGGUUCAAUAGCCGUCUCAGGCCACUCGGGCUCCGCGCCCACUACUGAUCAGGGGUUCGUAGGCUGGCCCCCGAAGGGUUCUGACAGCCGCCUCAGAGCAUGCAGAGCGAGGGAUGACCCUGGGUACGUUCGAUACAUAACCAAGGCUCGGGCUACGCUCCCAAGGUACCCUAGGACAUUUCCGAGACCGACGGGAACGAUUUUGUAACGGAAUCCCACCAGAGGGAGGCAUCGAGCCCUCAGACCCCGUCAAAAUAGGACCGGGUCCGGCAAAUCACCCGCAGGUACUUUUGGAGCGCGCCUCCGGGCCACUAGCCGACCCCUAACGAAUGGGGCACGGGCGUCCACUCAGAUUACCCAUUAGCAACUCACCGGAGACACCAUGUUCGGCGCCCUCCGAGGGCAACAUGGCGCUUUCCCCCCUCCUCCUUGCGGAAAGGCGACGUAGGGGCGUAUGAAAAAAGCCGAGUCUGUCCCUGACCGUCCUCUCGCUCUGUGUGGAGGCUCGGGGGCUGCUCUCGCAAACCCGGCUCCGGCCAAACCGUUGACAGUGUCAACAUACCAGCCCGAGAACUUGGGACUCGACUAUGCACCCGGGCUACGGCCAGUUCGCAUGAGGGAACAACCAGACCGGCCGAAGCAUCACGAAACGCGCUAAGACCUCGAUGGAGUCAAACCACUCCUCCGAGUAGGGGUGGUAACGGAUCACGAUCCAAAUACCUCUUCACAAAAAGUUAAGGCCCUUAAAUAAUAUUAGUUCAAAAAUGAAUAAGAAUAGGGCCCGACCCUAAUCCGAUUCGAUCCUUAAAAUUUGCAGUGUAAAGUUUAUAGCCCAUUACCACCCCUACCUCCGAGGCCUCGGGGGCUACACCCGGCGGGUGCGCUCGCGCGCACCCACCGGAACGAAACGCAACCGAGAAAGGCCGGUCCCCUUGCAAAAAAGUGCGACAAAAGCCUCCAAGCGAGUAGCAACACUCCCUUCGAGGCUCGGGGGCUACUGUCAGGGACCAUAAUUAGGGGUACCUCCAAGACUCCUAAUCUCAGCUGGUAACCCCCAUCAGCACAAAGCUGCAAAGGCCUGAUGGGUGCGAUUAAGGUCAAGGCUCAGUCCACUCAAGGGACACGAUCUCGCCUUGCCCGAGCCCAGCCUCGGGCAAGGGCAGCCGACCCCGGAGGAUUCACGUCUCGCCCGAGGACCCCCUCAAGCAACGGGCACACCUUCGGCUCGCCCGAGGCCUAGUCUUCGCAGAGAAGCAACCUUGGCCAGAUCGCCACGCCAACCGACCGUAUCGCAGGAGCAUUUAAUGCAAGGAUGGCCUGACACCUUAUCUUGACGCGUGCUCUUCAGUCGACAGAGCCGAAGUGACCGCAGUCACUUUGCCGCUCCACUGACCAACCUGACAAGAAGACAGAGCCGCCUGCGUUGCUCCGACUGUUGUGCCACUCGACAGAGUGAGGCUGACAGCAACCAAGUCCAGCCUCAGGCGCCAUAGGAAGCUCCGCCUCGCCCGACCCCAGGGCUCGACCCCCGUCUCAGCCUCGGACGAUGGACUCCGCCUCGCCCGACCCUAGGGCUCGGACUCAGCCCUGGCUCCGGAAGACGACGAACUCUGCCUCGCCUGACCCCAGGGCUCGGACUCGGCCUUGGCUCCGGAAGACGACGAACUCCGCCUCGCCCGACCCCAGGGCUCGGACUCAGCCUUGGCUCCGGAAGACGACAAACUCCGCCUCGCCCGAGCCCAGGGCUCGGACUCAGCCUUGGCCUCGGACGACGGUCUCCGCCUCGCCCGACCCGGGGCUCGGACUCGACCUCGACCUCGGAAGACAGACUCGACCUCGACCUCGGAGGAGCCUCCACCUUGCCCGACCCAGGGCUCGGACCGACCACAUCACAGCGGGGGCCAUCAUUACCCUACCCCUAGCUAGAUCAGGCUACGGGGAACAAGACCGGCGUCCCAUCUGGCUCGCCCCGGUAAACAAAUAAUGAUGGCGCCCCGCGUGCUCCAUGACGACGGCAGCUCUCUGCCCCUUACGGAAGCAAGGAGACGUCAGCAAGGACUUGACAGCCCUGACAGCUGUCCUUCCGCAAGGCUCCAGCGCUCCUCCGACGGCCACGACAUCACAUGAACAGGGUGCCAAAACCUCUCCGGCUGCCAUGACGACAUGUACUUAGGGCUCUAGCUCCUCUCUGCUAGACACGUUAGCACACUGCUACAUCCCCCAUUGUACACCUGGACCCUCUCCUUACGCCUAUAAAAGGAAGGUCCAGGGCUCUCGUACGAGAAGGUUGGCCGCGCGGGAGAACGGGACGACGCGUAAAGUCUCUCGCUCUCUCCCACACAGACGCUUGUAACCCCCUACUGCAAGCGCACCCGACCUGGGCGCAGGACAACACGAAGGCCGCAAGUUUCCCCUUUUGCCUGUCUCCUUUUCCCCCCCUUCGUGCUCCGUCUCGCGUUGACCCAUCUGGGCUGGGACACGCGGCGACAAUUUACUCGUCGGUCCAGGGACCCCCCGGGGUUGAAACGCCGACAGCUCUAAUGAAGCACCGGGCUCCGAUACCAAUUGAAAGUCGCCUAGAGGGGGGGAGGUGAAUAGGGCGAAUCGGAAAUUUAUAAACUUAAGCACAAAUACAAGCCGGGUUAGCGUUAGAAAUAUGAACGAGUCCGAGAGAGAGGGCAAAAACAAAUCGCAAGCAAAUAAAGAGUGAGACACAAGAAUUUGUUUUACCAAGGUUCGGUUCUUGCAAACCUACUCCCCGUUGAGGUGGUCACAAAGACCGGGUCUCUUUCAACCCUUUCCCUCUCUCAAACGGUCACUUAGACCGAGUGAGCUUCUCUUCUCAAUCAAACGGGACACAAAGUCCCCGCAAGGACCACCACACAAUUGGUGUCUCUUGCUUCGGUUACAAUAGAGUUGAUCACAAGAAAGAAUGAGAGAGAAAAGAAGCAAUCCAAGCGCAAGAGCUCAAAUGAACACAAAUGUCGCUCUCUCUAGUCACUAUUCGAUUUGGAGUGAUUCCGGACUUGGGAGAGGAUUUGAUCUCUUUGGUUGUGUCUAGAAUUGAAUGCUAUAGCUCUUGUAAUGUGUUGAAGGUGGAAAACUUGGAUGCAAUGAAUGUGGGGGUGGUUGGGGUAUUUAUAGCCCCAACCACCAAAAGUGGCCGUUGGGAGGCUGUUGUCGCAUGGCGCACCGGAUAGUCCGGUGCGCCACCGGACACUGUCCAGUGCGUCAGCCACGUCAGCCGGCCGUUGGGUUCUGACCGUUGGAGCUCUAUCUGGUGGGGCCUCUGGGCUAUCCGAUGGUGCACCGGACAGGUCCUAUAGACUGUUCGGUGCGCCUUCUGCGCGUGCUCUGUCCUCUGCGCGCGCAGGCGCACAUUAAAUGUGUUGCAGUCGAUCGUUGCGUGCGAAGUAGCCGUUGCUCCGCUGGCACACCGAACAGUCCGUUGAAUUAUAGCGGAGCGGCCUCCCAUUUUCCCGACGGUGAGGAGUUUAGCGUCAAGUUCCCUGGUGCACCGGACACUGUCCGGUGGCACACCAGACAGUCCGGUGCGCCAGACCAGGGUGCCUUUUGGGAUGUCUUUAGCUCUCUUUAUUUGAACCCAUCUUUGGUCUUUUUAUUGGCUUGUUGUGAACCUUUGGCACCUGUAAAACUUAUAGACUAGAGCAAACUAGUUAGUCCAAUUAUUUGUGUUGAGCAAUUCAACCACCAAAAUCAAUUUAGGAAAAGGUGUAAGCCUAUUUCCCUUUCAUGCCUUCUCCCGUUCGCGAGGAAUCUCCACAACUUGGAGCCUCUCGCCCUUACAAUUGAUGAUCACAAAGAAGCACGGAAGUAAGGGAGGGGAGAGCAACACACACAAGACUCAAAACAACGAGCACAAUCACGCACACAAGCCACAACUUGAGCUCAAAACACAACGCGAGGAGUUCUCUACUCAAAUGGAGCUCAAGUCACUAUCUCAAAGAAUCGAAUGCGCGAGAAUGGAGUCUUGGUGUCUUAGAAUGAUCAAAGAAUGCUUGUGUAUCUCGUCCAUGCGCCUAGGGGUCCCUUUUAUAGCCCCAAGGCAGCUAGGAGCCGUUGGAGGCAAUCUUGGAAGGCCAAAGUUGCCUUCUAUCGGGUGGCGCACCGGACAGCUACUGUUCAUGUCCGGUGCCCGAUUCCCUUCCAAAUCGGGCGCAACCGACCGUUGCAGAUUAGUGGCAGUUGGCGCACCGGACACUGUCUGGUGCACACCGGACAGUCCGGUGCCCACCGGACAGUCCGGUGCCCCCUGCCGACCGUUGGAGCGAGCCACGCGUCGCCCGCGGAUUUGGCGGCCGACCGUUGCGCUGGUGGCCGUUGGCUCACCGGACAGUCCGGUGCAUCACCGGACAGUCCGGUGAAUUAUAGCCGUACACCGCCGAAGUUUUCCCGAGAGUGGCCAGUUCGCCGGAGACCAGCCUGACGCACCGGACACUGUCCAGUGCACCACCGGACAGUCCGGUGUGCCAGACUGUGCUGAGUCUUGGCUGCACACAGGCACUCUCUUCCAAUUUUUUUCUUUUUCCUGUUUCUAGCACUUAGGUAACUUCAUUAGUACCCAAAACAAAUGAACUAAGUCUAGAAACAUACCUUCUUGUUGAUUUGCACUUCAUUCAUCAUUUGGCAUAUAAUAACCCACUUAAUAUGUGUUGGACACUUAAUCACCAAAAUAUACUAGAAAUGGUCCAAGGGCACAUUUCCCUUUCAAUCUCCCCCUUUUUGGUGAUUUAUGCCAACACAUCAAAAAGCAACAAAUAGAAGUGCAACAUCAAUGCAAUUGAGAACAAAAAUAGACUUUGACAAAAUUUGACAUAUUUGGAUCGUUCUUUGCCACCACUUGGUUUGUUUUUACAAAUCAAAAUCAUUUUCCUAUCUCUAAGUCAAACACACAUGUUUAGGCACAAAGAGAGAUAAUCCAAAUGAAAAAUUCAUUAAGUACCAAAAACUCCCCUUUUUCCCAUAAUCAUAAAAUCUCCCCGUAAGAGACCAAAUUUUGACAAUAAGAGUAUUUUGACAAAUCACAAGUUCUAACUCUAUUAUUUUUCAAAAUUCUCAGGUGGUAGCUGAUCCAUUUGUUUUGGCGUUAAUUUCUCCCCCUUUGGCAUUAAGCACCAAAACUGUCAAUUAAGAGCAAAAAGGCAACAAGAGCAUAGAUAUGAACUUGGAGUUAAUUACCCUCACAUCAGAGUGCAGUGGAAGUCUUGCAUGGUCCAAGUUCACCUUUCACUUUCAAUUCACUCUUGAGACUAAAUCAAGUAAACUCAAACACAUGGUUAGUCUUAAGGGGUCAAGUUGUAGCACAUCUCCCUCUAAAUAUGUGCAUCACUCACACAUGGACUUGUGAGGUCCGGGGAUUUCUUGCACAACUUGAGCACCAUAAAUAAGCAAUAAAUCAUAUAAAUGCAUAAGGUAACAUGAUCAAAGGCAUAAAACACAUGUAUGCUAUAGAUCAAUCCAAGUUACGCAAAUCUAAGACAUUUAGCUCACUACGCAGCCUGCAAAAGGUCUUCUCAUCUAAAGGCUUGGUAAAGAUAUCGGCUAGCUGGUUCUCGGUGCUAACAUAAAACACUUUGAUAUCUCCCUUUUGCUGGUGGUCUCUCAAAAAGUGAUGCCGGAUGUCUAUGUGCUUAGUGCGGUUGUGUUCAACAGGAUUGUCCGCCAUGCGGAUUGCACUCUCAUUGUCACAUAGGAGUGGGACUUUGCUCAGAUUGUAGCCAAAGUCCCGGAGGGUUUGCUUCAUCCAAAGUAGUUGUGCGCAACACUGUCCUGCGGCAACAUACUCGGCCUCAGCGGGGGAUAAGGCAACGGAAGUUUGUUUCUUAGAACUCCAAGACACUAGGGACCUUCCUAGGAAUUGGCACGUCCCUGAUGUACUCUUCCUAUCAACCUUGCAUCCAGCAUAAUCGGAGUCUGAGUAUCCAAUCAAGUCAAAGGUAGACCCCUUUGGAUACUAGAUCCCGAAGCAAGACGUAGCAACUAAAUAUCUAAGAAUUCGUUUAACGACCAUAAGGUGACACUCCCUUAGGUCGAAUUGAAAUCUAGCACACAUGCAUACGCUUAGCAUAAUAUCCGAUCUACUAGAACAUAAAUAAAGUAAAGACCCUAUCAUAGACCGGUAUGCCUUUUGAUCAAUGGACUUACCUCCUUUGUUGAGGUCGACGUGUCCGUCGGUUUCCAUUGGUGUCUUUGCAGGCUUGGCGUCCGUCAUCCCAAACCGCUUGAGAAGAUCUUGCGUAUACUUCGUUUGUGAGAUGAAGGUGCCGUCCUUGAGUUGCUUCACUUGGAACCCGAGGAAGUAGUUCAACUCAUCCAUCAUUGACAUCUCAAAUUUCUGAGUCAUCACCCUGCUAAACUCCUCACAAGACUUUUGAUUAGUGGAACCAAAUAUUAUGUCAUCGACAUAAAUUUGACACACAAAUAGGUCACCAUCAUAGGUCUUAGUGAAAAGAGUUGGAUCGGCUUUCCCAACCUUGAAAGCAUUAGCAAUUAGGAAAUCUCUAAGACAUUCAUACCAUGCUCUUGGGGCUUGCUUAAGUCCAUAGAGCGCCUUAGAGAGCUUACACACAUGGUCGAGAUACCGUUCAUCCUCAAAGCCAGGGGGUUGCUCCACGUACACCUCCUCCUUGAUUGGCCCGUUGAGGAAAGCGCUCUUCACAUCCAUUUGGAACAACCUAAAAGAGUGGUGAGCGGCAUAGGCUAAUAAUAUUCUAAUGGACUCUAGCCUAGCCACAGGAGCAAAAGUUUCCUCGAAAUCCAAACCUGCGACUUGGGCAUAACCUUUUGCCACAAGUCGAGCCUUGUUUCUUGUCACCACCUCGUGCUCGUCUUGCUUGUUGCGGAACACCCACUUGGUGCCCACAACGUUUUGCUUUGGAUGUGGCACCAGGGUCCAAACUUCAUUUCGCUUGAAAUUGUUGAGCUCUUCCUGCAUGGCCAAUAUCUAGUCCGGAUCUAGUAAGGCCUCUUCUACCCUGAAAGGCUCAAUAGAAGAGACAAAUGAGUAAUGCUUACAAAAAUUAGCUAAUCUAGAGUGAGUGGUUACUCCCUUGAUUAUAUCACCCAAAAUCUGGUCGACGGGAUGAUUCCUUUGAAUCGUCGCUCGAACUUGAGUUGGAGGGGCCAGUGGUGCUUCUUCCUCCAUAACUUGUUCUUCUUGUGCUCCCCCUUGAUCACACGCCUCUUCUUGAGGAACCUGUUCAUCAUCUUGAGUUGGGGGAUGCACCAUGGUUGAGGAAGAAGGUUGAUCUUGUUCUUGUUGUUCCUAUGGUCGCACAUCUCCAAUCGCCAUGGUGCAUAUUGCGGCUGUUGGAACAUCAUCUUCAUCUACAUCAUCAAGAUCAACUUGCUCUCUUGGAGAGCCAUUAGUCUCAUCAAAUACAACAUCGCUAGAGACUUCAACCAAACCCGAUGAUUUGUUGAAGACUCUAUACGCCUUUGUAUUUGAGUCAUAACCUAGUAAAAACCCUUCUACAACUUUAGGAGUAAAUUUAGAAUUUCUACCUUUCUUCACUAGAAUGUAACAUUUACUCCCAAAUACACGAAAGUAUGAAACGUUGAGUUUGUUACCAGUUAGUAGUUCAUACGAGGUCUUCUUGAGGAGGCGAUGGAGAUAGAGCCGGUUUAUGGCAUGGCAAGCUGUGUUCACAGCUUCCGACCAAAACUGCUCGGGCGUCUUGAACUCUCCAAGCAUCGUCCUCGCCAUAUCAAUAAGCGUUCUGUUCUUCCUCUCUACCACACCGUUUUGCUGUGGUGUGUAGGGAGCGGAGAACUCGUGCUUGAUCCCUUCCUCCUCAAGGUAUUCCUCCACUUGAAGAUUCUUGAACUCGGACCCGUUGUCGCUUCUAAUCUUUUUCACCUUGAGCUCAAAUUCAUUUUGAGCUCGCCUUAGAAAGCGCUUGAGGGUCCCUUGGGUUUCUGUUUUAUCCUGCAAAAAGAAUACCCAAGUGAAGCAGGAAAAAUCAUCAACAAUAACAAGACCAUACUUACUUCCCCCGAUGCUAAGGUAGGCGAUGGGUCCGAAGAGGUCCAUACGUAGUAACUCUAGUGGUCUUGAUGUAGUCAUCACAUUCUUGUUGUGAUGAGUGCUUCCCACCUGUUUUCCUGCCUGACAAGCUGCACAAGGUCUAUCCUUUUCGAAGCAUACAUUGGUUAGUCCUAACACAUGCUCUCCCUUUAGAAGUUUGUGAAGGUUCUUCAUCCCAACAUGUGCUAGACGGCGAUGCCACAACCAGCCCAUACUAGUCUUAGCGAUUAAGCAUGCAUCUAGAUCGACCUCCUCUUUCGAAAAAUCAACUAAGUAGAGUUUGCCAUCUAGUACACCCUUAAACGCUAAUGAACCAUCACUCCUUCUAAAGACAGAUACAUCAACAUUUGUAAACAAACAAUUGUAGCCCAUGUGGCACAAUUGACUAACAGACAAGAGAUUAUAGCCUAGCGACUCUACUAAAAAUACAUUAGAGAUAGAGUGCUCAUUUGUGAUGGCUAUCUUGCCCAAGCCUUUGACCUUGCCUUGGUUCCCAUCUCCAAAGAUAAUCGUAUCCUGGGAAUCCUCAUUCUUGACGUAGGAGGUGAACAUCUUCUUCUCCCCCGUCAUGUGGUUUGUGCAUUCGCUGUCGAUAAUCUAGCUUGAGCCCCCGGAUGAAUAAACCUGCAAGACAAUUUACGCUUGGGUUUUAGGUACCCAACUCUUGUUGGGUCCUACAAGGUUAGUCACAAUAGUCUUUGGGACCCAAAUGCAAGUCUUGUCUCCCUUGCACUUGGCCCCCAACUUCCUAGCAACCACUUUCUUAUUCUUACAACAAAUUGCAAAAGAAGUAUUGCAAGCAUGGUAAAUUGUAGAGGGUUCAUUGCAUACUUUCCUAGGCACAUGAUGAACAACAUUUUUCCUAGGCAUAUUUCUACCAUGCACAAAAGAAGAACUUGAAGCAAUCAUAGCAUGUGAAUCAUAAGCAUAACUCCUAUGAGCAUUUCUAGAAAUUUUUCUAUCACUAUAGAUGAAAGCAUGAUUCCUUUGAGCACUAUUAGCCAUAGGGGCCUUCCCUUUCUCCUUGGCGGGAUCCAUUUGGCUUGUUAAGUUCUUGGCUUCCUUUCAAAAGCCAAGCCCAUCCUUAAUUGAGGGGUGUCUACCAACCGUGUAGGCAUCCCUAGCAAAUUUUAAUUUAUCAAAGUCACUUUUGCAAGUUUUAAGUUGAGCAUUAAGACUUGUCACUUCAUCAUUUAAUUUAGAAAUGGAAAUUAAAUGUUCAUUACAAGCAUCAACAUUAAAAUCCUUGCAUCUAUUGCAAAUAACGACAUGUUCCACACAUGAACUAAAUUUAUUAGCUAUUUCUAACUUAGCAUUUAAAUCAUCAUUAACACUCCUUAAACUAGAAAUAGUUUCAUGACAGGCAGAUAAUUCCGAAGAUAGCAUUUCAUUUCUUUUAACUCUAAAGCAAGAGACUUUUGCACACUUACAAACUUAUCAUGCUCUUCAUAUAAAAUAUCCUCUUGCUUUUCUAAAAGUCUAUUCUUUUUCAUUUAAAGCAUCAAUCAAUUCAUUGAUUUUAUCUACUUUAGUUCUAUCUAAACCUUUGAAUAAACUUGUGUAAUCUACUUCAUCAUCACUAGAGUCAUCAUCACUUGAAGUAGUAUACUUAGGGGUAUCUCGAGCGCUUACCUUUUCUCCUUUGCCAUGAGGCAAGUAUGACGCUCGUUGGGGAAGAGAGAUGACUUGUUGAAGGCUGAGGCGGCGAGUCCUUCGUCGUCGGAGUCGGAAGAAGAGCAAUCCGAAUUCCAUUCUUUUCCAAGGUGCGCCUCGCCCUUUGCCUUCUUGUAGGACUUCUUUUUCUCCCUCUUCCCGCUCUUUUCUUGUCCCUGGUCACUAUCAUUAUCCGGACAGUUAGCAAUAAAGUGACUAGUCUUACCGCACUUGAAGCAGGAGCGCUUUCCCUUUGUCUUGUUCUUGUUUGGGUACUUCUUGCGCCCUUUUAAUGUGGUCUUGAAGCGCUUUAUGAUUAGGGCCAUCUCAUCCUCGUUUAGCCCGACUGCCUCAACUUGUGCCACCUUGCUAGGUAGCGCCUCCCUACUGCUUGUUGCUUUGAGAGCAACGGGUUGAGGCUCGUGGACGGAUAGAGGGCCAUUGAGAGCGUCAUCCACGUAUCGCGCUUCCUUCACCAUCAUCCGCCCGCUCACAAACUUCCCAAAGAUCUCCUCGGGAGUCAUCUUUGUGUACCUGGGAUUUUCACAGAUGAGGUUUACAAGAUGAGGAUCAAUAAUUGUGAAGGACCUGAGCAUAAGUCGGACGACGUCGUGGUCCGUCCAUCUCGUGCUUCCAUAGCUUCUGAUCUUGUUCACCAGGGUCUUGAGCCUGUUGUAUGUCUGCGUUGGCUCCUCUCCCCUGAUCAUUGCAAAUCUUCCCAGUUCACCUUCCACCAAUUCCAUCUUGGUGAUCAUGGUGGCAUCAUUUCCCUCAUAAGAGAUCUUGAGGGUAUCCCAGAUUUGCUUGGCGUUAUCCAAGCCGCUCACCUUGUUGUACUCAUCCCUGCACAAUGAUGCUAGCAAAACAGUGGUUGCUUGUGCAUUCUUAUGGAUUUGCUCAUUAAUGAAAACGAGGUUGUCAGUACUAUCAAAAUGCAUUCCAUUUUCAACUACCUCCCAAAUACUUGGAUGGAGAGAAAAUAGGUGACUACGCAUUUUGUGACUCCAAAAUGAGUAGUCUUCUCCAUCAAAGUGUGGAGGUUUCCCAAGUGGAAUUGAAAGUAAAUGAGCAUUAGUAUUGAAAGGAAUGCGAGAGUAAUCAAAGGAAUAGUUUUGAUUAACCGUUCUUUUCUUUGACGAAGAAUCAUCGUCGUCGUCUCUUGGUGAAGAAGAAGAUUCGUCGCUGUCGUAGUAGACGAUCUUCUUGAUGCGCCUCUUCUUCUUCUCGUCCUUCUUCUUAUGACUCGAGCCAGAGUCAGUGGGCUUGUCAUCUCUUGGCUCGUUGAAGAUGGACUCCUUCUCCUUAUCGUUGACCACCAUCCCCUUUCCCUUAGGAUCCAUCUCUUCGGGCGAUUAGUCCCUUACGUGAAGAGAACGGCUCUGAUACCAAUUGAGACACCUAGAGGGGGGAUAGGUGAUCCUGUAAAAACCAAAUACUUAUAGCCACAAAACUUGGUUAAGUGUUAGUAUGGCUAUGAAGCGAGCUCUUGCUAACACAAGAUAUCACAGAAAAGCAAUCACAAGAGACACAUUGGUUUUAUCCCGUGGUUCGGCCAAGUAUAACACUUGCCUACUCCACGUUGUGGCGUCCCAAUGGAUGAGGGUUGCACUCAACCCCUUUCAAGUGAUCCAAUGAUCAACUUGAAUACCACAGGUUUUCCUUUCUUAUGCCUUCUCCCAUUCGCGAGGAAUCCCCACAACUUGGAGCCUCUCGCCCUUACAAUUGAUGAUCACAAAGAAGCACGGAAGUAAGGGAGCGGAGAGCAACACACACAAGACUCAAAACAACGAGCACAAUCACGCACACAAGCCACAACUUGAGCUCAAAACACAACGCGAGGAGUUCUCUACUCAAAUGGAGCUCAAGUCACUAUCUCAAAGAAUCGAAUGCGUGAGAAUGGAGUCUUGGUGUCUUAGAAUGAUCAAAGAAUGCUUGUGUAUCUCCUCCAUGCGCCUAGGGGUCCCUUUUAUAGCCCUAAGGCAGCUAGGAGCCGUUGGAGGCAAUCUUGGAAGGCCAAAGUUGCCUUCUGUCAGGUGGCGCACCGGACAGUUCGGUUUGCCACCGAACAGCUACUGUUCAUGUCCGGUGCCCGAUUCCCUUCCAAAUCGGGCGCAGCCGACCGUUGCAGAUUGGUGGCAGUUGGCGCACCGGACAGUCCGGUGCCCCCUGCCGACCGUUGGAGCGAGCUACGCGUCGCCCGUGGAUUUGGCGGCCGACCGUUGCGCUAGCGGCCGUUGGCUCACCGGACAGUCCGGUGCACCACCGGACAGUCCGGUGAAUUAUAGUCGUACACUGCCGAAGUUUUCCCGAGAGUGGCCAGUUCACCGGAGACCAGCCUGGCGCACCGGACACUGUCCGGUGUGCCAGACUGUGCUGAGUCUUGGCUGCACACAGGCACUCUCUUCCAAUCGUUUUCUUUUCCUGUUUCUAGCACUUAGGUAACUUCAUUAGUACCCAAAACAAAUGAACUAAGUCUAGAAACAUACCUUCUUGUUGAUUUGCACUUCAUACAUCAUUUGGCAUAUAAUAACCCACUUAAUAUGUGUUGGACACUUAAUCACCAAAAUAUACUAGAAAUGGCCCAAGGGUACAUUUCCCUUUCAGUUGGAGCGAAGGCAAACACGCUACCCUUUGCUCUACGACUUCGUCUUCUCAUCAUGCUGACGAAGGCUACAUCGACAGAACACGCCAGAACAAGCCGAGGGCGCCGCCCGGGCGGAGAACAGUGCGACCCACUUCGGUCUGGUGUUGCAAGACGAAGGACCCGCUGAAGUCUAUGGGCCUCUCGCGCCCCCAUCCACCGAGGAAGGCCCAUGUGUGAUUUGGCCCAUAGUGAUGGGCCCCAUGAGGACAAGUGCGAUAAGGGUCGAGUCUGUAAUAGGGGGCGGUUUUGGUGGGCCGACAUCUCGGCCCGGGCGCACGGGCUGCACCGCUUGGACCGGCACAGAGACGGGCCCAAAGCCCGACAGAGGCCAAGCAGCCCAUUUUUAUUUCCAGCGAAUUAAAAAUUGGUCUUUUCUUUAUUUCGACAGAUUGAAUAAAAAUAAAAGAAAAGGUUAUAAAAAUUAGAAAAUACUUUUAUGAGAUUUAGAAUUUUGCAAAUAAUAUCUUGGAAUAUUUUGUUUUUGCUGCAUACUUUAGAUAUUUUCUAUGCAUUAUUGUUCAUUAUGAAGCCAACGUGGAUUAUUUCCAUUGAAUUACAUAGAAAUUUCGAGAUUUUAUGGUAUUUUGAAUGUUUGACCAUGUUUAAUAUUUUAUAAAUAUUUUAUACCAAAUUUAGAACAGUAUUAUAUUUUAUACUAGGUGUAUGCCAGUGCUUUGCCACGGAGUCAACAUGUAUUGAUAAAAUACAUUAAGAUGCAGAAGCACUAUUUUAUCGUUCUAUGCUCUCGUUAUUAAAAUGUUCGUAUGUUUAGAGUUGUACUCGGAUGCUUCGUCUAGCUGACGAAGAUGACAGAUGGGUCGCAACACUCGUCGAUCAAGCAGUAACAGCACAACGCGACCAGACUGUAGAUUAAUCAAUUAGAUGACGCAUGUGCAAGAGCAGAAGUCAGCGUCGUCACUUGGGAAAUCAGAGAGACAGAGCCUACAAUAAGCUUAUGGCAGAGGAAUGAUAGGAUCAGAGAGACAUAGGUGUACCAACAAAUGAAAAGGGAUAUGUCAGCACCGGAUCGACCAAGCGAUUCUAUUCGUUUCUUCACAUGGAUCGGAUCAGAUUGACAAGGACAAUGGGUCAAGACGAGAGGCAGGAGAGGACAAGUCCUACAGGGACACACUCGGACCCGAGUUUCACUAUCUAGGUUCUUGGGAAGCAGAGCACGUCAGCGAAGGGGAGGGCCAGGUCGUGGAUGCAGCUAUUGACGAAAUUGACAAGGACCAGGGAUGAGGACACAUAGUCGGCGUCCGACGAGGAGGGCGUGGUGGAGACGAGGAGCCGGCCGACAAGCUUGGUGAUCUCCUUCUUUGCUGUUGUGCGCUAGAGGCUGGAGUGGGGAGCCGGCACCGGAAGACGCGGCGCGGCGCGGGGACUCACUGAGAUAGGCAUGCAACUAGGGUUUGGUUGUCGAGUUGGUCGGGCCUGGGAUGCGUGUAUGUGGAUGUGAGACCUUGGACUGCAGGUUGCGCCGCCUCCUUCGCCCACGCCGCGGCCUCGUCGUGCGGGGGCAGCCAUUGUCGUGGCCUAGUCGUGCAGGGGAAGCCUAGUCCGCGAGGGGUUUGGGAAGCGCGCGGGUGUUGGGGCGAAGGCGAACACGCUACCCUUCGCUCUACGACUUCGUCUUCUCAUCACGCCGACGAAGGCUACAUCGACAAAACACGCCAGAACAAGCCGAGGGUGCCGCCCGGACGGAGAACAGUGCGACCCCCUUCGGUCUGGUGUUGCAAGAUGAAGGCCCCGCCGAAGUCUAUGGGCCUCUCGCGCCCCCAUCCACCGAGGAAGGCCCAUGUGUGAUUCGGCCCAUAGUGAUGGGCCCCGUGAGGACAAGUGCGAUAAGGGUCAUGUCUGUAAUAGGGGGCGGUUUUGGUGGGCCGACAUCUCGGCCCGGAAGCACGGGCCGCACCGCCUGGACCGGCACAGAGACGGGCCCAAAGCCCGACAGAGGCCAAGCAGCCCAUUUUUAUUUCCAUCGAAUUAAAAAUUGGUCUUUUCUUUAUUUCGGCAGAUUGAAUAAAAAUAAAAGAAAAGGUUAUAAAAAUUAGAAAAUACUUUUAUGAGAUUUAGAAUUUUGCAAAUAAUAUCUUGGAAUAUUUUGUUUUCGCUGCAUACUUUAGAUAUUUUCUAUGCAUUAGUGUCCAUUAUGAAGCCAACGUGGAUUAUUUCCAUUUAAUUACAUAGAAAUUUCGAGAUUUUAUGGUAUUUUGAAUGUUUGACCACGUUUAAUAUUUUAUAAAUAUUUUAUACCAAAUUUAGAACAGUAUUAUAAUUUAUACUAGGUGUAUGUCAGUGCUUUGCCACAGAGUCAACAUGUAUUGAUAAAAUACAUUAAGAUGCAGAAGCACUAUUUUAUCAUUCUAUGCUCUCGUUAUUAAAAUGUUCGUAUGUUUAGAGUUGUACUCGGAUGCUUCGUGUAGCUGACGAAGAUGACAGAUGGGUCGCAGCACUCGUCGAUCAAGCAGUAGCAGCACAACGCGACCAGACUAUAGAUUAAUCAAUUAGAUGACGCAUGUGCAAGAGCAGAAGUCAGCGUCGUCACUUGCGAAAUCAGAGAGACAGAGCAAACAAUAAGCUUAUUGGAGAGGAAUGAUAGGAUCAGAGAGACAUAGGUGUACCAACAAAUGAAAAGGGAUAUGUCAGCACCGGAUCGACCAAGCGAUUCUAUUCGUUUCUUCACAUGGAUCGGAUCAGAUUGACAAGGACAAUGGGUCAAGACGAGAGGUAGGAGAGGACAAGUCCUAAGGGACGCACUCGGACCCGAGUUUCACUAUCUAGGUUCUUGGGAAGUAGAGCACGUCAGCGAAGGGGAGGGCCAGGUCGUGGAUGCAGCUAUUGACGAAAUUGACAAGGACCAAGGAUGAGGACACAUAGUCGGCGUCCGACGAGGAGGGCGUGGUGGAGACGAGGAGCCGGCCGAGAAGCUUGGCGAUCUCCUUCUUUGUUGUUGUGCGCUAGAGGCUGGAGUGGGGAGCCGGCACCGGAAGACGCGGUGCGGCGCGUGGACUCACUGAGAUAGGCAUGCAGCUAGGGUUUGGUUGUCCAGUUGGUCGGGCCUGGGAUGCGUGUAUGUGGAUGUGAGACCUUGGAAUGCAGGUUGCGCCGCCUCCUUCGCCCACGCCGCGACCUUGUCGUACGGGGGCAGCCAUUGUCGUGGCCUAGUCGUGCAGGGGAAGCCUAGUCCGCGAGGGGUUAGGGAAGCGCGCGGGUGUUGGGGCGAAGGCGAACACGCUACCCUUCGCUCUACGAUUUCGUCUUCUCAUCACGCUGACGAAGGCUACAUCGACAGAACACGCCAGAACAAGCCGAGGGCGCCGCCCAGACGGAGAACAGUGCGACCCCCUUCGGUCUGGUGUUGCAAGACGAAGGCCCCACCGAAGUCUAUGGGCCUCUCGCGCCCGCAUCCGCCGUGGAAGGCCCAUGUGUGAUUCGGCCCAUAGUGAUGGGCCCUGUGAGGACAAGUGCGAUAAGGGUCGUGUCUGUAAUAGGGUUUACUUUAAUGACUAUCUGUAACCUCCACUCGUGUGAAUAUUUUGGGGAUAAACCGGGUACUCGAUUGUCUAAACGUCUUUGACAGGGACAAACGGCCCCUCGAGUACCUAUAAAUACCCCCGUACAGUGCCCACAUACGGGAGAUUAAGCUUUGGACAUUCCGUGUAAACUUUGCAAACACACUGUCCACCCCCUUGUUGGAUCAACUUGCCUAGGCAGAUUAAAUCCCAACAUUUGGCGCCCACCGUGGGGCUCGAACCCACGACCAGAAGGUUAAGAGCCUUGUCGUCAUUGAUCCUCACCAAAAAGGUCCAUAUCUUGACAGCAAUGAGAUAUAUACAACAAUCAUAUCUGUUUGAGAUGAUUAAUUUAUUUCAUCAUAAGCAUAAUAAACUAAAAAUAUAUUCUGCCUCAUCAACCAAUCAUAUGGGCUUAUUGAGCCAGAUUUAGAUGUGUAAAACAAUUUAGUAGCACGCCGACCAUCAAUGGUGUCACAUAUUUUUUUCCCUAAAUCAGCCAUCUUGUCCUAACAUUCCAAUGAACCAAUCAAUAAUUACUCGGCGUCGAUGGCCAGUAUGUCUCCGGCGGUGGCGCAUGGUGGUGGUAGGGGAAUCUAGGGCGGCAGAGGAGACCACGACGCUUGCCCCAUGUUCUGUGGCAGACAAUAACUGACCAUGGACCCCAAUGCCGCGGAGGAGGGUCACGAAAGGGUUGGGGUUGUUGGACGAUGCUUCCACCCAACCAGCGUGCCUCCGCUGUCGUCGAGGACAACAUCGUCAUCGCCGACAACAGCAGGAGUGCCGCGAUGGCGGGUGUCCUCGUGGAGGCCUUUUGCGCUGCCAUUAUCGGAGCUAGCAGAGCAGGUACCAAUAUUGUUUUAAAUGUCUGGGUAAGGGCCUUAGGGGCAAGCUUUUGGAUAAGCUAUAAAGGCUAUAGCCAGCUAUAGCUAUGAGCUAAACCAUUUAACAGUUUUUAGGAAAAAGCAUGAUAUAACUUCAUAGAUAGUUUAAAUGUUCAACAUUUAAAUAUGACAGUUCAAACUAGUAGUCCAAAUGUCCAAUAAUAAAUCAACAUGCAUGUAAAUUCAAUGACACAUAUGAAAGGCAUUGAAUCAUUAUCUAACAAAAUCAUAAACAUUAAGUUAAGGACCUACCCACAACUUGUUUUUGGGUCUUAAUGUUUCAAAGGUUCGACCCAAUAAAAGGAUUGCAGGUUUAUCAGCUAAAUCAAGCUAAUGUUAUGUAUUUAUAGGGCUAAAUAAAUCUAUUAGCGGCUAAUCUUGAUUAACGCUAAAUAGUGUAUCUCUUAGCCGGCUAUUUAAAACCUUGACGAUAUCUAGACACUACUACAGCAUACCUCUAUACAGGCGGUUUGGUUCGCCUCUACACAGGCGGUUCCAGGAACCGCUUGUGGUGCACCGCCUGUGAUGUAAAACAAUAUCACAGGCGGUCAAUAAAAAACCGCCUGUGAAAAACACAGAUUACAGGCGGUCCAGUUCAAAGGAACCGCCUGUGAUAGACACACAUCACAGGCGGUUUCUUAUCCUAGCCGCUUGUGUAGCCACACAUCACAGACGGUUUUUUAUAUAAGUCCGACUGCAUACAAUAUAAAUCACAGACGGUUUUCAUUAUACAGAUUCAUAUAUACAGAAUUUUCAAACACAGGAUAUACACAGAUUUCAUACACAGAUUAUACACAGAUUCACACAGAUUGCAUACACAGAUUUCAUACACAUAUUACAAGUUCCAUAACAGGUAUAAUACACAGAUUCAUCCACAUAUCAAGUUCCAUCGUCAUACACAGAUUUAUACACAUAUCAAGUUCCAUAUACAACUAAACAUCUCAAAGUUCCAUAGACAACUAAACAUCUAAAGUUCCUAACUAAAGACCUAAACACUGUGUGAUAUUGUGUACAAACUUAGUUCUAGGAAUUUUUGUAAAUUUCCAUUUGUAUUGUAGAAUAGCCCUUGUUGAUGACGAACUUCACGACGCAUAAAGUAAAGCAAGUCUCUUACAACCUUAGCAACGCCGACGGAAACCAUAUCUCUUUCUAACCAUUCAGCAUUGAUCUUGGAUUUAGGAACCUGCAAUGAAAGCAAAAAGCAAGCGGUGCUAAGAGUAAUGUGAUGAGCAACAAUAUAACAUAAAAAUUGCAACAUAGACAAUGAUAGCGAACUUACAUCCUCACGAUUGACCAUGUAAUGGAAGGUGACACGACACCAUUCGCAUACAUAAUAACCGCACAGGACAGUACCCGGAGGUUGUUUGUCACCAUAUGGAAAUAAUGAUAUUGACAAAUUAGGCUUGUCCUCUGGAUGUUCGCCGCCAAGAUCUUUCCAAUAAAAACGGUAUGCACUGCAUAUAAGAAUAGCAUUGUGAGAUUAAGAAUUCAUUUGUUAAGUUGUAAUAAGUACAAGUGUGCAAUAAUAAUCAUACUUCUCUAAAAUCUUCAAGAAGUCAUUAUAAGUAGCCUUUUCCAUUCUCAGUGAGUCGAAGACCACGACUUUACCAUCCUUUGGCCAGAUCAUGAUACAAAUGUAGUGGUCACUAUAUAGACAUAGACAAAAACACAUGUUAAGAUCACGAUUGCCAUAAUUUAUAGUUCAAAAUUAAACCAUGUCAAUAACUUACUUAAAGUGGUGCAGAGCUAUUAUUAAGUCCUUGCCAUGUUGUACAUGAUUCUUCAUCGUUGGGAAUAUAGUCGGCAUCAAGAUCAUCUGAUGUUUUUUUCUUCCUUGGAGGUAUAGGAGUACAAGGAUUGUCGUCACUAGAACUAUCCUCCCCGCUCCCUUCAUCGGAGCUACUCGUUGUCUGCCAUUCAAGUUUGAUCGCGUCUUCAUCAACUUUGUUAGACGCACCAGUGCAGACCACAUCCAUACUAGGCUGCUCGUUGUCUACCAUUCAAGCUGGUUCCAUCGAUAAAGGGAUAUACUAUUAGUCUGAUAUACUGGUUCCAUCAAUAAGGGAACUUGGAGAAAAGGUGAUUCAAAAGAAAUCGAGCCCAAACCCGCCUCUGGGGCAGGAUCGGGUCGGGAAGCAAGCUCGCAGAUAGAAGUGCACUUUCCAAUGCAGUUAGACAGAGAAGGCAUGGCUGUGAUGUUAUAAUGCUGAAGGACCCCAAGAAGAGAUUAUGCCCUAUAGUCUACCACCUCUCAUUAUUUGUGGGCUUCACCGAGGGCAGGAAACAUUUGGUGACAUCAAACGACCUUCGGGCUGGGGACGUCUGCGAGCUUGUUAAGGGGCCAGACGAUGGUGAGCCGGUGUACUCUGUCCGGAUGUGUGGUCACAAAAUUUAAAGCCGCCCCGGCUUCAUCUGUGCGCUUCUCUUCUCUUAUGUCGGCUACUAAGAUCACUUAGCACCCCACCUAAGAGAAGAGAAGCACACACAUGCAGCCGGGGCGGCUUUAAAUUUUGUGACCACACAUCCGGACAUAGUACACCGGCUCACCAUCGUCUGGCCCCUUAACAAGCUCGCAGACGUCUUCAGCCCGAAGGUCGUUUGCUAUCACCAAAUGUUUCCAGCCAUCGGUGAAGCCCACAAAUAACAAGAGGUGGUAGACUAUAGGGCUUAAUCUCUUCUUGGGGUCCUUCAGCAUUAUAACAUCAUAGCCAUGCCUUCUCUGUCUAACUGCAUUGGAAAGUGCACUUCUAUCUGCGAGCUUGCUUCCCGACCCGAUUCAGGCAUUCCGCCGAUGCCAUUCUCCAUAUAAGUCCCAAACAGAGAAUAGGGAUGAGGUAGUCAAGAUUGUAGGCGCUAGUGCUCAACUACUAGCAUCUAUAGAUAUGGACACAAGUCCAAAUUUGGUGCUACUCGGCACCAUCGAUAUCACUAGAAAAAAAAUACAUCAAAGAGAUCCACUUCCCAAUAGUACUCGAAGAUAGUUCAUUAACUUGACACUCUCUAAGAGGUUCAUACAAAAUACAUUAUCUCUAAGAGUGAAACCUACGAUACUCAUAUCGUGUUGUUUAGGACUAAACAUCAACAACCCCUUGACUGGUCGCUAUCAUACUCAAUUCCAAAAUAUUUUUCCAAUAUGUCGGCUUGAGUAAGGAGAUCUGGGCUUGGGAGUUCCUCCAAAUCAUCUGCAGCUUCAUCAUCUUCAGCAUAUUGCAGGGCUUCAUCUUGAAUAAUUUUAGCCCUCUUGGAGUCAGCAUACUUUUUGAUGGACAGAGCACACUUCUCAAGCAUGUCGCAUACAUCUCCAAUUUGAAACAAAGUGGUCUUAAGUGUGUACACUGAUUCCGGUUCACUAGUAUCCACAACCCCAUCAGUCACUAGACUGCGAAUGAUGUCAACAUGUGUCUCGAUGACUCGAACUGAGCUCUCAACCAUGUCAAGUGGCUCUUUUUCCAUCUCUAAAACUGAAAAUGGCCAAGUCUCACAAUCAAAAUUGAGAUCGCAACAAAGGCAGGGAUCAGAGGGAAAACAAGGAUGUGGCUUAUAGGGCAAAAAGAGGGGUCCAAAUAACAUUGUCAUGGCUAUGAACAAGUCAAAGAUGGGAGAUAAGAACAAGUCUUAUAACAUAGGGUUGGGAAGCAAAGAUAGGUAGUCAAAAAACUAAGAAGGGAGAUAAGAACAAGUCUUAUAACAUAGGGAGAUAAUAACAUUGUCAUGGCUAUGUACUUCCAUGAUGUAUGUGGCCAUAAGCACAUUUGCCCUAAUGAUUAUCAAACAAAGAUAGGUAGUCAAAAAACACUAAAAAUAGACUUGUUGCCCCAAUCACUAUGGAGAUUUUCUUAUAACUGAAUAUGUAAGUGAAAAAACAUUUAAUCAGAAGGGAUAAAAAUAGAUCCCAAUCGAUGGAGGGACACAAAAUUCUUCAUUCGAAGGAUACUAACACCUUAAUGGUAUACAAACAUUUAAUCAGAAGGGAUAAAAGAAAUAAAAAAUUGAUACAUGAGAAGUAAUUGACAACCAAGCAAUAAGCAUAUGAUUCAGGGAUAGCCAAACAAGUAAUUGACAACCAAGCAAUAAGCAAUAAGCAUAUUGACAACCAAACAAAAUAUGUAAGUGAAAACAACAACAGUAAUUAAUCUAAGAACUGAUAAUCAGGGAUAGCCAUUGAUUAACACCUUAAUGUGUUUGAACCAUUGAUUAACCUAAGCAUUUGAUUAACCUAACCAUUUGAUUAACCUAAGCUAUGAUUCAAACACAUAUAUAUCCAGCUGUGUAUUCAAACACAUAUAUGAUUCAAACACAAGUAAUCUACCAUCAAUUAACAUAUAUGAUUCAAACACAUAUAUGAUUCAAACACAUAUAGGAAAUUCGAGCCAUGAACUUAGAAGAAAUGAACCUGAACUUUGACCUUACUACGAGAGGAAGAAGAAAGAGCUUGGGGACGGCAGCGCUUCGGGCUCGGGGACCGUGACGGCGGCCCUUGGGCUCAGGGACGAGGACGGCGGGGCUCGAGCUCGGGCUCGGGGACGGCGGGCGCUCGGGCUCGGUGAAGGGGACGGCGGCGCUCGGGCUCGGUCUCGGGGACGGCGUUGCUCGGGCGCUCGGGGACGGCGGCGCUCGGGCUCGGGGACUAGGACGGCAGGGCUCGAGCUCGGUGAAGGGGACGGCGUUGCUCGGGCGCUCGGGGACGGCGGCGCUCGGGCUCGGGGACGGGGACGGCGGCGCUCGGGCUCGGGGACAGGGACGGCGGCGCUCGAGCUCGAGGACGGGGACAGCGGCGCUCGGGUUCGUGCUCGGGGCGGGGACACAGCGGCAGCCUGGCGGCGCUCGGGUUCGUGCUCGGGCGGGAAGAGUUAGGGUUCCUGCCGACCAACGAGCUUUUUAUAUUGUAAAGAAUCACAGGCGGAUAUUUAGCAAAACCGCCUGUGAUAGACAACAUCACAGGCGGUUGUUAAUUCCGACCGCCUGUGAUAAAUUAACUUCACAGGCGGUCGAUAUAAAAAACUGCCUGUGAUGUUAUCUAUCACAAGCGGUUUUGCUAAAUAUCCGCCUGUGAUGUGUGUACACUAUAAAAGGGCUAGCCCCCGACGGGUUCCAGAACCCUAACUCGCAGAACCCUAAUUCACAGCACUAGCGACGGCGGUUUUUUUAGAUCUAGAGGGAGAAGGUUUUGUUUUUGAGUUUAUUGAUUGAUUUCAAUAUGUUUUUGAGUUUAUUGAUUGAUUUCAAUAGUUUAUGCAUAUAUAUGAUCUCCAUUUGUUUUCUUUCUCAUUUUGAUGCGAUUUUUUUGCCUUAAUUUUGUAAUAUAGAACAGAUUUGAAGAAAAGCUUUGGAAUUCAAGAUUUGGACUUAUAAUAGUUGAUCUAGUUUAAAGAUUCUUUAAAAACACAAUUGUCUCACCUCAAGGUAUCUAUUGUUGCAAUGUUUGUUUUAUUUUCAUACAUAUCAAUUCGUUUCAUGUUUUAUGGAUGAAUUCAAUUAAUUAAUGAUUUUAUUGAUGUUAAUCAAUAUAAGGAUAGGUAAUGGACCGAGGUUGGAUGUACAAUGUGUCAAGACCACAUCCGUUGUAUAUUCGAAAUUUGAGAAGCUUUAUUGAAGCGGCCAAAAAGCACGCGAAUUUGCGAAAGAGAAGGAGAUAUUAUGUCCGUGCAUCGACUAUGAUAAUAAGAUAGCUUGGAGAGAUACAUGAGUAAUCCAAUUACAUCUGCUAAAAAGAGGGUUUAAAAACAAUUACACGAUAUGGUCAGAACAUGGUGAGUUGGAUCCGUGUGAAGUGCCUGGUAAUGACGAGAGAGUUGUCGGAAUUUUAGAUCUUAAAGUUGAUGGUAAAGUGGAUAAUGUGGAUGCUAAUCAAGAUUUUGAAGAAUUUGAUUGCAAAGAGAUGUUGCGCCAUAUGGAACCAGAAAUGUCGAGUUCUGUGGGAUCGCAGAAAGCGCUAUCUAAAAUGGAGGGACUGGAAAGUGCUUCAAAAGAACCUUUAUAUGAUGAAUCAAAGGGUUGUGACAAAGAGUUUACUACACUGUGUACAGUUCUAGAACUUCUGAAGUUGAAGGCUAGCGCCGGAUGGUCUGAUACUAGCUUCACAGAUCUUUUGAAUUUUCUGUCCCAAUUACUACCAAAACCCAACAAACUACCAACAAGCACUUAUAAAGCGAAGAAGCUUAUAUCUCCCAUAGCUCUGGGUGUGCAAAAAAUUCAUGCAUGUCCGAACCAUUGUAUUCUGUAUCGUGGCGAUUUUGAGAACGCAUCAAGAUGCCCAGUUUGCAAUGUCAGUCGAUACAAGAAGAGCUACAAUCAAGACUGUGUAAAAAAAUUCCCAAAGAAAAAUACAAACAAGAAAUCCACUAUUGGACCUGAAAGUGACGAUGACACUUUUGAUGACAUGGAUGGGAAAAAGAAGUCAAAGAACCCAGCUUUGGUGAUGUGGUAUCUUCCAGUAAUUGAUCGCUUAAAACGUUUGUUCUCAAAUCCUAGGGAGGCUGAGCUUAUGCGUUGGCAUGCUGAAAAUCGCAAGCAGAAUAACAAACAGAUUCGACACCCUGCUGAUGCAUCACAAUGGAAAAAUUUCGAUCUUAUGUAUCCUGAGUUUGCCAAAGAAACCAGAAAUGUAAGAUUUGCUUUGGUUACAGACGGAAUGAAUCCAUUUGGUGAAAAAAGAAGUGUACAUAGCACCUGGCCCGUGACUUUAACGAUGUACAACCUUCCAUCAUGGCUGUGUCACAAAAGAAAGUACAUUAUGUUGACUAUUCUUAUUCAAGGUCCGAAAUCAGCUGGUGUUGAUAUUGAUGUGUUCCUAGAACCUCUUAUGGAAGAUAUGACAAAGCUCUGGAAUGAAGGAGUUAGAAUAUGGGAUGAGUAUUGCCAUGAGUAUUUCAACUUAAGAGCAAUUAUAUUUGUUACCAUCCAUGAUUCUCCCGGUGGCGCCACACUAUCAGGGCAAAAGACUAAAGGAAAGAAUGGUUGUGUAGUGUGCGUCGAUGGAACUGCUUCCAUGUACCUUAAAUCAUCCAAGAAGUUGGUGUUCAUGGGACACAGACGGUUCUUGAUGAAGCAGCAUAAGUACCGAAAGAUGAAAGCGGAAUUUAACAAUCAACUGGAAAGUGAAGGUGCACCAAAGCCUUAUAGUGGGAAACUUGUUUUUGAAAUUGUAAAGAACAUUCAUGUUGUAUUCGGAAAGGGAAAAAACAAAGGAGAAAAGAGAAAGAGAACUGACCCUUCAACUUACACAACUUUCAAGAAGCAAUCAAUUUUUUUCAAGUACCUCCCGUACUGGAAGGAUAUGGAAAUUUGCCACAACAUUGAUUUGAUGCAUGUAACAAAAAAUGUUUUUGACAGCAUCAUUGGAACCUUGUUGGGCAUGCCGAGUAAGACAAAAGACGGACUCAAAUCACGCAAUGAUCUAGUAGAUCUUCAAAUCAGACCGGAACUUCAUCCAGUGGAUAGUGGCAAAGGGAAGCCUUACCUCCCCCCAGCUAGCUACAACUUGUCAGUUGAGGAGAGAACAAGAUUUGCAAAUGUUUGCGUGGGGUCAAAGUGCCCACAGGUUUCUCAUCCAAUAUCAGCAGACUAGUCAGGAUGAAGGACUUGUCUCUAUUUGGCUACAACUCUCAUGACUGCCAUGUGAUGAUGAUGGUGUUCCUCCCAAUUGCGGUAAGAGCCCUCGAAACAGAGCAUGUCAAAGUUGUCAUCACACGCUUGUGUUACUUUUUCAAUGCGGUUUCACAAAAAGUAAUAGCUUUAGAAGACUUGGACUAUCUAAAGGCAUACAUCAUCGAGACUAUGUGCAAGCUUGAAAUGUGUUUUCCUCCAUCAUUUUUUGAUAUGCAAGUACACCUAAUCAUACAUCUCGUGGAUCAGAUAAAAAUAUUAGGGCCACUAUAUUUACAUCAUAUGUUUCAGUUGGAGCGAUACCUGGGAGUAUUAAAAGGUUAUGUGCGAAAUCGCGCUCACCUAGAGGGUUCAAUCAUGGAGGGAUACACUACAGAAGAAGUGAUUGAGAGCUGUAUAGAUUACAUCAGUGACGGAACAAUGAUAGGUGUGCCUGUACCUAAACAUGAGGGUAAACUAUGUGGGAGAGGGAGAAUGGGCAAGAAAACUUUUCGCGUUGAGGAUUACAAGCUAGUACAUUGUGCUCAUGGUAGUGUUCUACAACAUCUCACGAUAGCCGAGCCUUACAUAGAGGAAUACCUGGAUGAGCUUCGUAAAGAAAAUCAGAACCGCACAGAGGACUGGAUCAUGAGGGAGCACAAACAUCGUUUCAGCGAAUGGUUAAUGGACAAAAACAUCCCAUUCAGAGACUCUUUGGAAGAGAAAACAAUGAAGAAUUUGGCUUCUGGGCCAUCGUGUUUUGUGACAUCAUGGCAAGCAUAUGACAUCAAUGGGUACACAUUCUACACUAAAUCAAAAGACAUGAAAAGUGUUACACAAAAUAGCGGUGUUCGUAUCGAUGCUUUUGACCUACAUGGACAGAAGACCACAUAUUUUGGAUUCAUAGAGGAAAUAUGAGAACUUGAUUAUGGCCCAAGCAUGAAAAUACCCUUAUUUAAGUGCCAAUGGGUACAACAUCCCGUGGGGGUGAUAGUGGAUAACUACGGACUCACACUGGUAGACUUAAAGAAAGUAGGAUAUAAAGAUGACCCGUUGGUUCUCGCCGAAUGUGUUGCACAAGUGUUCUAUGUACUCGAUCCAGCAGAUGAGAAGAUACAUGUAGUUAUUUCUGGAAAGCAACAAAUUGUUGGAGUUGAGAAUGUAGGAGACCAAGAUGAGGAAUACAAUAAGUAUGAAGAGAUGUUCGUCUUUAACGGUCCAGAGAGAAUCAAGCGUGUGGAAAAGAAAAUUGAUAAGAACUUAAAGCCAUACAUGCGGAAAAAUGGUAGUUCAUGAAAAAUUGUAUGAAUCAAAUUGUAUUUGUUAUCAUGUAUGAUCGACUAUGAAUUGUGGUUGCCAAUUAAUUUAAAAUCUCUCUAGUUAUCUAUGUGUGCUAUUAUAAUUCAUUUAAAUUGUAUUUGCAUAUUAUUGUUAAAAAUUAAAUAUUAAUUCAUUUAAAUUGUAUUUGCAUAUUUCUGUUAAAAAUUAAAAUAAUUUUCAUAUUUAAAUUGUAUUUUCAUAUUUUUACAAUCACAUGCGGUUUUUUCUUAGGGUCCGUUUGUGAAAAGGAUAGAGCACCACAGGCGGUCCUAAACAAAAACCGCUUGUGAUACUAUUACAUCACAGGCGUACUGAACCGACUGGGACAUCACAAGCGGUUUUCUAAUCGAACCGCCUGUGAUGUAAAAAGCCUACCGCUUGUAUAGAGCCAAAUUGUACUAGUGAGAUUCUCAUGAUAAUUAGAUUAUUUAGAAAUUUAGAUUAUCAGAAAAGCUCUUUAGAAAAAAAAAAUAAAGCUGUCUCAAACAUCCUCAUGGACUGUUAAGUACAGGGACGAAUAAAAUACAGCUUCGACUGCAUGCGUAUGUUUAGGGUAACAUGGAAGAAACAGCGACGACGCUGCAGGCUGCGUGCAGCUCCAGCUACCUGCAUGUUCGUUGAUUCAGCGCUAAACCAAACGCGUGACCUGCCAGUUGUGUAAGCAAUGCAAAUUGAGUUAUUGUCAAUUGCACUAAUGAUUGUCAACGCCAUAGAACCACUCAGAUUUUCAGAUCGUCUUACCAUAGACAAAGGCUUAAUCUGACCACGCAGACGCAGUCAAGCAGGAAGUGCUGCCAUGCCAGCCAUGCUCGAGCUCAAUCAUCAUGAGGCCUCGCGUCGUCACGACGGAGAUGGAAUUAUCUAGUCUAGCUAUGAACUAUCUAUCACACGAAAUCCGCAUUGGCGCGUGCUGUAAUAGCUGCAAGUAGUAUUGGCACUGGGGGCAUAUCGAGCUCCUGGAGGCCCUCAAGAACGCGGACAACGUCAGCCAUGGUCGGCCGGUCGCACUCGUCGUCUUGGAUGCACCAGAACGCGACUUUGCACAGCCUCUCCGCCUCCUCCAGGCUGAGGUCUCCCUGCUGAGAGCCUGCGGCGGCGUGUUCCUCUGCCCGGACACGAUCUCCAGGACCACCAUGCCAAAGCUGUAGACGUCCACCUUGGGCGUGAUGGGGACCCCGCUCAGCCACUCCGGGGCGAGGUACCCUGCUGUCCCCCGGAACGUGGUCAGGACCCGGCUGAAGUCUCGGCCGACGAACGCCGCCAUCCCGAAGUCCGCGAUCUUGGGCGCGAAGGACGCAUCGAGGAGGAUGUUCUCCGGCUUGAUGUCGCAGUGGAUGAUGCACUCGCGGUAGCUCUGGUGUAGGUAGCACAGUCCUCUUGCGACCCCGACGGUGAUCCUGUACCUCUUGCUCCAAUCCAGCGCAGUGGCGACGGCGACGGCGUUGCUAUGCUGGAACAGAUGCGCGUCGAGGGAGCCGUUCACCACGUGCUCGUACAAAAGCAGCCUCUUGUCGCCUUCGCAGCAAAAGCCGAUCAGUCUGACCAGGUUCCUAGGUAGAUAACAUACCAGUGAGGGAUUGAAAGCAAUGGAGAUCAAAGUUAUGAGCUUGUAAGAGAUCAAUGCCAGUACAGCUAGGGGAAGGGGAGAGUUGCUAGGAGAUAACAUGCAUCAAAUACCAGAUAGUUGCUUGUGAGAAAAAAUUUAUGGAAAAAAUGCCCUUGAAUAUAACAGGUAAUGGAUAUCCUAGUUUGAAAACAAGUAAUCAGAUUGUGACCACUUUUCUCUAGUAUUUAUACCUCCAUUUUUUCACAGUUGCAGCAACAUGGCGUCAUGUCAUGCUCAUGCAAAGGGCAAUACUUCUAGCCCUAGAAUGUGUGGGCUCUGUACUCUAUCAAGCCACUCAUUUUUGUUAGGAUCUGUACAAAUACUAAUGCAUAUGCAAUUUAUCAGUAUGUGGUGCAGAUCAUUCAGGUUUCCGAGGAAGCCUUACAAACUGAAGGGAGACAUCACAGUUUGGAUGAUGCAGCUCUUUGUAGCACAACUUGUGGUAUGAAUUUGUACCCAACAAGGUGUCCGUGACAAAUACAAGAAAAAACAAACAGUCGAUCAAAAAUCCACCAAACUAACAAACACGAAACAGGAGGCACGGCGAAACCAGGACUAGUUCUUAGUUCAUGUCAUUUGAUAAAGAGUAUUUGUUUCAUUUCUGUAGAAGUACAAAACAUCUGUUGUUUUAUAUCAGCAGUGAUCAGAAAUUCAAGCCUGCAUUACUUCAUUUCAGUACCUUUACAUUUCAUAUCCGUGGCAAAUUUCUUCAUAAGAAAAUUUGUGUCUAAAAUUUGCUGAUAUGACGAGAUAUAAUAUGGUGGGAUUUUUAUCUCCGCCAAAACUUGACUUUACUGGCUGAACGAACCCAGACAGAAGGAAAUCCCAAAUGGCCAUUUUCCUUGAGUUGAACCAGCCUCAUAAUAUUAUAUCUGAAAGGGAAAUAGGCUUACACCUUUUCCUAAUUGAUUUUGGUGGUUGAAUUGCCCAACACAAAUAAUUGGACUAACUAGUUUGCUCUAGACUAUAAGUUCUACAGGUGACAAAGGUUCACAAUAAACCAAUAAAAAGACCAAGAAAGGGUUCAAACAAAGAGAGCAAAAGACAACCGAAGUGUGCCAUGGUCUGGCGCACCGGACUGUCCGGUGUGCCACCGGACAGUGUCCGGUGCACCAGGGGAUUCCAGCCUGAACUUGCCACCUUCGGGAAUUCUAGGAGCCGCUCCGCUAUAAUUCAUUGGACUGUCCGGUGUAGCACCGGACUGUCUGGUGUGCCAGCGGAGUAACUACAGCGCCAACGGUCGUCUGCACUAGCAGUUAAUGCGCUACAGUGCGCGCAGAAGUCAGAGCAGAGCCAGAAGGCGCACCGGACAGUCUACAGGACCUGUCCGGUGCACCACCGGACUGUCUGGUGACCCAGAUGUCAGAAGCUCCAACGGUCAGAAUCCAACGACCGGGUGACGUGGCUGGCGCACCGGACAGUGUCCGGUGGCGCACCGGACUGUCCGGUGCGCCAUGCGACAGAAUCCCUCACCAACGGUUCUUUUGGUGGUUGGGGCUAUAAAUACCCCCAACCAACACACUUCAAUGCAUCCAAGUUUUCAGCCUUCAAACACCUUACAAGAGCUAUAGCAUUCAAUACAAGACACAAUCAAAGAGAUCAAAUCCUCUCCCAAGUCCAAAGAUCAUUCCAAUCAAAUAGUGACUCAUGAGAGAGAGACUUGUGUUCAUUUGAGCUUUUGCGCUUGGAUUGCUUUUCUUCUUCCUUCUUUCUUGUGUGUUCAACUCAAUUGUAACCAAGGCAAGAGACACCAAUUGUGUGGUGGUCCUUGUGGGGACUUAGUGUCCCGUUUGAUUGAGAAGAGAAGCUCACUCGGUCUAAGUGACCGUUUGAGAGAGGAAAAGGGUUGAAAGAGACCCGGUCUUUGUGACCACCUCAACGGGGAGUAGGUUUGCAAGAACCAAACCGCGGUAAAACAAAUCACCGUGUCAUCCGCCUUAUUUGCUUGUGAUUUGUUUUCGCCCUCUCUUUUGGACUCAAAUUUAAUUCUAAUGCUAACCCCGGCUUGUAGUUGUGCUUAAAGUUUGUAAAUUUCAGAUUCUCCCUAUUCACCCCCCUCUAGGCGACUUUCAAUUGGUAUCAAAGCCCGAUACUUCAUUAGAGCCUAACCGCUCGAAGUGAUGUCGGGAGAUCACGCCAAGAAGAAAAUGGUGACCGACGAGAAGCCCGCCACAAGCCAUGGGAAGGCUCCAUCCGGGGAGUCCGACAACAAGGUGAAGGGAUCCCCUUCACACGACAAGUCGCGUCGGAGCGGCAAGAAGAAAAAGAAGAUGAAGAAAGUCGUCUACUACGAGACCGACUCUUCAUCGCCAUCCACCUUCGGCUCCGACACGCCGUCCGUCACUUCUAAGCGCCAUGAGCGCAAGAAGUUUAGUAAGAUCCCCUUACGUUAUCCUCGCAUUUCCAAACACACCCCUUUACUUUCCGUCCCACUAGGCAAACCACCGGUUUUUGACGGUGAAGAUUAUUGUAUGUGGAGUGAUAAAAUGAGGCACCAUCUAACCUCACUCCACGCUAGCAUUUGGGACAUUGUUGAGUUUGGUGCACAGGAACCAUCCGUGGGGGAUGAAGGCUAUUACUCGGAUGAAGUAGCUCAAAUCCGACACUUCAACUCCCAAGCCACCACUAUACUCCUCGCCUCUCUAAGUCGAGAGGAGUAUAACAAGGUGCAAGGGUUGAAGAGCGCCAAAGAGAUUUGGGAUGUACUCAAGACCGCGCAUGAAGGAGACGAGGUGACCAAGAUCACCAAGAGGGAAACGAUCGAGGGGGAGCUCGGUCGCUUCAUGCUUCACCAAGGGGAGGAUCCACAAGCCAUGUACAACCGGCUCAAGACCUUGGUGAACCAAGUGCGCAACCUCGGGAGCACUAAAUGGGAUGACCAUGAAAUGGUCAAGGUUAUUCUUAGAUCACUCGUAUUUCUUAAUCCCACUCAAGUUCAAUUAAUUCGUGGUGAUCCUAGAUAUAAGCUAAUGUCUCCCGAGGAAGUUAUAGGCAAAUUUGUGAGCUUUGAGUUGAUGAUCAAAGGCUCCAAGAAAAUCAUCGAGCAAGGCGCCUCCUCCACACCCGAUGUACAACCCGUUGCAUUCAAGGCAACGGAGGAGAAGAAGGAAGACUCUACACCUAGUAGGGUCCCCAUCGACGCCUCCAAGCUUGACAAUGAGGAGAUGGCGCUCAUCAUCAAGAGCUUUCGCCAAAUCCUAAAGCAAAGGAGGGGGAAGGACUACAAGCCCCGCUCCAAGAAAGUUUACUACAAGUGUGGUAAGUCCGGUCAUUUUAUUGCAAAAUGUCCAUUAUCAAGUGAUAGUGACAGGGGCGACGACAAGAAGGGAAAGAGAAGAGAGAAGAAGAGAUAUUACAAGAAGGGCAACGAUGCCCAUGUUUGCCGGGAGUGGGACUCCGACGAGAGCUCCACCGACUCCUCCUCCGACGAGGACGUCGCAAACAUCACCGUCACCAAGGGCCUUCUCUUCCCCAACGUCGGCCACAAGAGCCUCAUGACAAAGGACGGCAAGAAGAAGGUAAAAUCUAGAUCCUCCACUAAGUAUGCAACAUCUAGUGAUGAGGCUAAUUCUAGUGAUGAUGAGGAUGAUUUAUUAACACUUUUUGCCAACCUAAACAUGCAACAAAAGGAGAAAUUAAAUGAAUUAAUUAGUACUAUUCAUGAUAAGGAUGAACUCUUAGAUAGUCAAGAGAACUUCCUAAUUAAAGAAAAUAAAAAGCAUGUUAAGGUUAAAAAUGCUUAUGCUCUAGAGGUAGAAAAAUGUGAAAAAUUAUCUAGUGAGCUAAGCACUUGCCAUGAUAUUAUUUCCAACCUUAGAAAUGAAAAUGCCAAACUAAUUGCUAAGGUUGAGAAAUCAAGUGUUGAUGAUGAUUCAAUUGACAAUCUUAGAAAUGAUAAUGCUAGUUCAAUUGCUAAAAUUGAAAAAUUGAAUGCCUCUCUUGCUAGCCUUAGAAAUGAGAAUGAAAAAUUAAUUGCUAAGACUAAGGAAUUAAAUGUUUGCAAUGUUUCAAUUUCCUAUAUUAGAGAUGAGAAUGACAUUUUACAUGCUAAGAUUGUUGAACUAAAUUCUUGCAAACCCUCUACAUCUACCGUUGAGCAUGUUACUAUUUGCACUAGAUGUAGAGAUGUUAACAUUGAUGCUAUUCAUGAUCACAUUACUAUGAUUAAACAACAAAAUGAUCAUAUAGCAAAUUAGAUGCUAAAAUUGCCGAGCAUUAAUUAGAAAAUGAAAAAUUUAAAUUUGCUCGUAGUAUGCUCUAUAGUGGGAGACGCCGUGGCAUUAAGGAUGGCAUUGGCUUCCAACAGGGAGGCAAUGUCAAACUCAAUGCCCCUCCUAAAAGAUUAUCUAAUUUUGUUAAGGGCAAGGCUCCCAUGCCUCAGGAUAACAAGGGUUACAUUUUAUACCCUACCGGUUAUCCCGAGCACAAAAUUAGGAGAAUUCACUCUAGGAAGUCUCACUCUGGCUCUAAUCAUGCUUUUAUGUAUAAGAGUGAGGCAUCUAGUUUUAGGCAAUCAACCCGUGCUAAAUUGACUAAGAAGAAAACUCCUAUUGCAUCAAAUUAACCUAAUAUUUCAUUUAAGACUUUUGAUGCAUCUUAUGUGCUUACUAACAAAUCAGGCAAAGUAGUUGCCAAAUAUGUUGGGGGCAAACACAAGGGGUCAAAGACUUAUGUUUGGGUACCCAAGGUGCUUGUUUCUAAUUUCAAAGGACCCAAGACCGUUUGGGUACCUAAGAACAAGGCCUAAAAUUGUUUUGUAGGUUUAUGCAUCUAGGAGCUCAAGUUGGAUCAUCGAUAGCGGGUGCACAAACCACAUGACAGGGGAGAAGAAGAUGUUCUCCUCCUAUGAGAAAAACCAAGAUCCCCAAUGAGCGAUCACAUUCGGGGAUGUGAAUCAAGGUUUGGUCAAAGGAUUGGGUAAAAUCGCUAUAUCUCCUGACCAUUCUAUUUCCAAUGUUUUUCUUGUAGAUUCUUUAGAUUACAAUUUGCUUUCUGUUUCUCAAUUAUGCAAAAUGGGCUAUAACUGUCUUUUUACGGAUAUAGGUGUUACUGUCUUUAGAAGAAGUGAUGAUUCAGUAGCAUUUAAGGGAGUGUUAGAGGGUCAGCUAUACUUAGUAGAUUUUGAUAGAGCUGAACUCGACACUUGCUUAAUUGCUAAGACUAACAUGGGUUGGCUCUAGCACCGUCGACUAGCUCAUGUUGGGAUGAAGAAUCUUCAUAAGCUUUUAAAGGGAGAGCACAUUUUGGGACUAAUCAAUGUUCAUUUUGAGAAAGACAGGGUUUGUAGCACAUGUCAACCAGGGAAGCAAGUCAGUGUUCAUCAUCCACACAAAAACAUCAUGACGACUGACAGGCCGCUUGAACUACUCCACAUGGACCUAUUCGGCCCGAUCGCUUACAUAAGCAUCGGCGGGAGUAAGUACUGUCUAGUUAUUAUGGAUGAAUAUUCUCGCUUCACUUGGGUGUUCUUUUUGCAGGAAAAAUCACAAACCCAAGAGACAUUAAAAGGAUUCUUGAGACGGGCUCAAAAUGAGUUCGGCUUAAGGAUCAAAAGAUUAGAAGCGAUAACGGGACAGAGUUCAAGAACUCACAAAUCGAAAGCUUUCUUGAGGAGGAGGGCAUCAAGCAUGAGUUCUCUUCUCCCUACACACCACAACAAAAUGGUGUAGUGGAGAGGAAGAAUAGAACUCUAUUGGACAUGGUAAGGACCAUGCUUGAUGAGUACAAGAUUUCGGACCGGUUUUGGGCGGAAGCGGUCAACACCGCUUGCUACGCCAUCAACCGGCUAUAUCUUCACCGAAUCCUCAAGAAGACAUCUUAUGAACUCCUAACCGGUAAAAGCCCAAUGUUUCAUAUUUUAGAGUCUUUGGUAGCAAAUGUUUUAUUCUUGUUAAAAGAGGUAGAAAAUCUAAAUUUGCUCCUAAGGCUGUAGAAGGCUUUUUACUAGGAUAUGAUUCAAACACAAGGGCCUAUAGAGUCUUUAACAAGUUAUCUGGACUAGUUGAAGUUUCUUGUGACAUUGUGUUUGAUGAGACUAACGACUCUUCUCACACCCGGGUUUUAGGGGACCAAAGCCCGGGCGCAAACAUAAUCACCAGGUGUGCUGGGACCAAGUCUCACACAUAUGAUGAAUCAUGGCACAGGAUCGAAUGUCACAUCUUUACUACAUAACAGGAGUUCUAUACAAAAUAAAUAAAUAAUUACAUUAUAAGGAGACAACGGUCCAGCAACCCCAAAGUUGACUGGGAGACGACGACCUAGACCUCUCACGAACACAUCACGACAUCCUCCAAGCGCCUCAUCCUGCGGUACCUGUUCUUGACCUGUGGGGGGGUGUGAGACAGCAAGAGUGAGCUCACAUACGUUCAUCGCUCAACAAGUUGUGGGGAAUAAUGUGCAUGAACUCGCCAAAGGUGGGAGCUCACGUGAAGUGUAAGGCUUACCAAAGAGAAUGGUUAGAGCUGAGCAUUGCUUUUAAAGUUGGUCAAAAUUUUAUUAGCAAUUACUAAGUAUAAGUAAAUACCAACCCAAUUAAGUAGUAGAACAAAAGUAACAACCUCACCUGCGAUGCAAUGCAUAUGACAAAUUGAGUUUAAGUUCCAUAAUUUAAUCAUGUGAGUGUCCGAGCUGCUCAUGACCGUGAGCACGACUAGUAUACCAGUUUUACACUCUGCAGAGGUUGCACAUCUUUACCCACAAGUCAGGUUACCCAUCUGCCAAGGGAUCGCGACUUCCCAUACACCUCUACCGAGGAGGUGAGGCAGGGUAACACUACGAGGCCUUUACAAAGUUCCACUAGCUUCAGAAAACCCGCUACAGUUUAUAGGAAGCUCCAAUGCAGGAAUCCCUUGCAGGACCGCCAUCGCAACAAAAUCCUCCCGAGGGCCUCCCUACACUGACCACUCCCCUACUGCCCUUGCCCCUUUCGGGUAAGGUAGUCUUCCACUAGCUUUCCUAAUUAAUCGGCCAAGGGCAUUCCAUUAAACCCUUGUGGUAGCACUGUUUUCCCGGGUGGUUCUCCAUGUUCCAAUUAACAUAAUGAUCUUAUCAUGAACAAUAAAUAGCAACUGAUAACAAAAGUAUGAAUAAUAUGUAUCUCAAUGCCCAAAUCCACAUAUAGCACUAGCAAGUACUACCCAGAAAGUUUAGUGGUAAACAAGGCAUAAAGAUAGACAAACUAGGGUAACCUAUUGGGUCCCAUCAAAAUUAACCUAUGCAGAUCAUUAUGAUUAAUUAGAACAUGAGUGGGUAAAAGAAGUGAUCAAGGGCACAACUUGCCUGGGACUUGAGAUUCCAGAUACCAGGAUGAUCUUCAGAUGACUCGCGACCUCACGCUAGUCGUAGCAAUACAAACAAGCAUGGUAUCUACAAAAUUAACAUCACACCAAACAUAAGAAUAAACUACGUAAUAAUAAUCUACGCGUUUCUACGAGAUCGUAGGAACAAGAAUCACUAAAUUUGGAGGUAUAGAUUUUAAGUUAUGGAUUUUCUAAGGUUUUAUACAUUUAAUAUAAGAUUAAGUGGGAAAUAAAUUUAAAUGUGCAUUUCAUGUAAAAACAGUGGUACUAUUUAAUAGAUAAUAAUAUUACCAAAUUAUAGGAACUGGAAUGGUCCAAUUUGGAGUUCAUAUGCAUUUUCUAUGAAUUAAACUAGUUUCUGCAAUUAAAUUUAUACUAAAAACCAUUUUCUAAACUAUUUUCCUGGUUUUAUUAAUUAUCUGGACUAGGCCUCGAAUACUAAAAACUGCAGGGGCUAGCGGGUAAUUUAAACUAGACUCAGUGAAUAAUACCCACAGGAUGGCGGGUUAGUUAUCUAAUAACCGAAGGGCUCAUUUGCAAUUCAGCCAGCGAAGCGGUAUCGGCUCCUGUGAGCCGCCCGAUCGGUGCUCAACGGCUCUGGUUUAAUGAAUCGAAGGGGGUACGGCAUCAACUAAUCUCAGCCACCAGAAAUCGGUCCAACGGUGAGGAUCAUGGUUGUGUGAACGAGUACGCUUGCUCAAUCUAAGCCAUCCAUGGGUCGAUCUACGGCCCUAGACCUUUCACUAAGCUUCCACCGAGACCGACCAUGGCGGCCUCCGCACUGGCGGCAGUGCCACGACCGCCCAUGGAUGACCGGUUUUCCCCACGUCCGAGUUUGACUGAUGGUCCAUGGAAUCGUAGAGGUGACAACGGAUUCGAGCUGGAACUACUUGUCACUAACCAUCCCGAGCUGAGGCCGUUUUACCGCGUGCGACGGCGACCUCGCCAUACCGACACCGACGAUAGGUGCCCCAGCACACCCGAAGCCCGAUUGACAAAUUCCGAGAACGCUACACUAUGCGCAGAGCAUCACGAAUCGCUAGGUAGAGCACCUACCCGAGAUAGAGGUACAAAAUCACGUGCCCACGUAGACCACCGCACAGCGGCAGAAUCCCUGCUCCGUCGAGCAAUUGCCGGUGACCAAGCUCCCACCGAUGGGUUAAUCCGGGCGCGAACGAGCGAGAAGAAGCAGGGGUAGACUCACGAUGAUCGGAGCAGCGAAUGCGGAUUUCCCUGAUUCCCCGGCGGCGCGAUUCGAGCUCCCCACUGCUCCCUCUCUCUCGGGCAACGGCGAUGGCGACGGACUGGAUGAGGUGAGAAGAGGAGGUCGCAGGCCCAAUUUAUAGCCCGGGGGCGAGGGUAUUCAUGGCCGACCCCGUCUGGAGGUCUGCGCGGCGAAGAUCUUGGCCACGCGCAACGAUCCGCAUCAAAUCGCAGUCCCCAAAUUCUCUCUCUGUUUGUUGCCGUGAAAAUCGCUGUCGUUGAAGAUGAAGCACCUGCUCCGUAGUCCCACCAAUCAGCGGUUCAAUGAGCUGAGGCAAGCGCGUCGCCAGAUAGGACCCAGCCCCGAGCGAUUCCUACGCAGCCGCGGUUCCACUGGACAGACGCCUGGGAGCGACGCCCGCGCGACUCGAGAGAGGGAAGAAGAAGCAGUGCGGCGCGGCCAGGUGGGUGAGGCUGGAAUGGGGGCCCCACAUGGCGGUGUACCAGGGCACGGAAGCAGCGGCGUGGGCUGCGCAGAGCUAUGGAAUUGGGCCGAGAUUGCAGCCGCAGGCCCAAUUAUCUCUUCCUUUCUUCUUUUUUUUAUAUUUUUGGUUUCCCUUUUCUUUUAUUCUCUUUUCUUUCUUAUUCUUGAAUUCAAAUUUGAAUUCAAAUCUCUAUUGUGAAUUUGUACUUUAGAUUAAAUAUUCAAACCAAAUAUUCCAAUAUGAAAAGGUACAUUUAGUUAUAUAUUUUUCUAUAUACCUUAUAUACUCUCUUUUUCCUCAAAUCCUCUUCUCGUUAUUAUUUUUUUUCAUGUUAUUAUUUAUUUAUUUUUAUUGUCACAAAAUGCACACCAAAUAAAGUCCAGCAUGAUGCACAGGUUAUUUAUGUGUUCUUGGUUCUAAUUAUCCUCUUUUAACUAGUGCUGAUUAUAUGUAAUGAAUAGUAGAGACCACAAACUAUUGAGAUUAUCUCUAUCCUCUUCUAUUACACUUUUGAGUAUUACAAAUCCUACCCCCCUUAACAGAAAUCUCGUCCUCGAGGUUUGUAAGGAAAGGGAUGUAAUAGGUUUGGUCUAGAAUUUUAGUUUCUCAUUUGGUUUUGGGAAUCAAAGUUUUGUUCAAGUUUUUUUUUAACAGUUAGUAGAUGAUAUGAAUAUUGUAUGUCUAGAUAUUCAUUAGGUCAGGUACGGUUAUGGCAAGUAGAGGUUGUGGCAAGGGUAUAAUAAGGAAAGACUUCAUCCUAAACUAUGGAUAUUGAUUCCGCUGGCGAUUCAACUUGAUCUUUGAAGUCUUGAGUUGAUGCUUAUCCUUCUUUGACAUGGUUGGUCUUCUUUGGCCUUUAUUUCUUGGAGUUGUCAUCCGAGUUAAGGACAUAUGGCUAGGACAUAUGUGAGUAGGAUGGAUUGUAUGGUGUAGGUAGGUUAGAAUCUCUUGCUAGGUUAAAAUUGUGGGGUUAUGCAACUAUUGGAUGGUUAAGGUAGUUGCAUAUGGCCAAGUCGAUCUGUCAUUCUUAAUUUAAUGCAGGGUGAACUAAGUUAAGACCCGUUCUAUAGGAGUAGAGUCUAAUCUAUUUCAUCAGUAUUAUCUAACAUGUUUGAUAAAUCACUUUAGAUUAGAUCAGAUCUAGGUUAGAUUGGUGUGACUAGUUUGACUAGAUAAGAUCUUAUUUAUUUUAGGCUAGAUCAUGGUUGUUACACUAGCGUGGGAUAAAUGUGCUUAUUGGGGUAAGGUGAAUCCAUAAGGAUAAGGUAGAAUCUUUUGAGGUCAGAUAGAUCUAUUAGGAUAAGAUAAAUCUUUUCAAGAUAAGAUGAGAAUCUAUUUUUUUUAGGAUAAGAUGGAUCUAUGAGUGUAGGAUAGACUUUUUCAAGAUAAGAUGGAUUUUGCUAGGCUAGAUUCUUUGAUGAGGGAUAACCUAGUUCAUUUAGAUAUUUUAAUAACCAUUUUUUCUAUAUGUAUAUGCAGAUGUGAUUGUGGACAUUACUCCACAACUAAUCACACUCAAUCAAAGAUCCAAAUCAAACAAGUAUCAUAAGAACAAACAUUCAAGCAUACAAAUACCUAUAAAAAUAGUUUUGUUUUUAUUCCUAAGAGUAGGUCUCCUAUUCCUAAAGUCACUUUAGGCACAGGAUUUCAAAGUGUGAAAUCCACAUUUGUCUUUAGAAUGAAAAGGUAAGAAUAAUCAGAGUAAAGCGGAAAUAGAUGAGAAAAGUUUAGAAAAGAAUCAAAGUAGCAAGGGUAAGUAAAUAAUGGUUGUCCAGUUCUAUCUAGGUUUCGUCCUACAGUCAACAUUCCUCUGAUACCACUUCUGUCACACCCGGGUUUUAGGGGACCAAAGCCCGGGCGCGAACAUAAUCACCAGGUGUGCUGGGACCAAGUCUCACACAUAUGAUGAAUCAUGACACAGGAUCGAAUGUCACAUCUUUACUACAUAACAGGAGUUCUAUACAACAUAAAUAAAUAAUUACAUUAUAAGGAGACAACGGUCCAGCAACCCCAAAGUUGACUGGGAGACGACGACCUAGACCUCUCACGAACACAUCACGACAUCCUCCAAGCGCCUCAUCCUGCGAUACCUGUUCUUGACCUGUGGGGGGGUGUGAGACAGCAAUAGUGAGCUCACAUACGUUCAUCGCUCAACAAGUUGUGGGGAAUAAUGUGCAUGAACUCGCCAAAGGUGGGAGCUCACGUGAAGUGUAAGGCUUACCAAAGAGAAUGGUUAGAGCUGAGCAUUGCUUUUAAAGUUGGUCAAAAUUUUAUUAGCAAUUACUAAGUAUAAGUAAAUACCAACCCAAUUAAGUAGUAGAACAAAAGUAACAACCUCACCUGCGAUGCAAUGCAUAUGACAAAUUGAGUUUAAGUUCCAUAAUUUAAUCAUGUGAGUGUCCGAGCUGCUCAUGACCGUGAGCACGGCUAGUAUACCAGUUUUACACUCUGCAGAGGUUGCGCAUCUUUACCCACAAGUCAUGUUACCCAUCUGCCAAGGGAUCGCGACUUCCCAUACACCUCUACCGAGGAGGCGAGGCAGGGUAACACUACGAGGCCUUUACAAAGUUCCACUAGCUUCAGAAAACCCGCUACAGUUUAUAGGAAGCUCCAAUGUAGGAAUCCCUUGCAGGACCGCCAUCGCAGCAAAAUCCUCCUGAGGGCCUCCCUACACUGACCACUCCCCUACUGCCCUUGCCCCUUUCGGGUAAGGUAGUCUUCCACUAGCUUUCCUAAUUAAUCGGCCAAGGGCGUCCCAUUAAACCCUUGUGGUAGCACUGUUUUCCCGGGUGGUUCUCCAUGUUCCAAUUAACAUAAUGAUCUUAUCAUGAACAGUAAAUAGCAACUGAUAACAAAAGUAUGAAUAAUAUGUAUCUCAAUGCCCAAAUCCACAUAUAGCACUAGCAAGUACUACCCAGAAAGUUUAGUGGUAAACAAGGCAUAAAGAUAGACAAACUAGGGUAACCUAUUGGGUCCCAUCAAAAUUAACCUAUGCAGAUCAUUAUGAUUAAUUAGAACAUGAGUGGGUAAAAGAAGUGAUCAAGGGCACAACUUGCCUGGGACUUGAGAUUCCAGAUACCAGGAUGAUCUUCAGAUGACUCGCGACCUCACGCUAGUCGUAGCAAUACAAACAAGCAUGGUAUCUACAAAAUUAACAUCACACCAAACAUAAGAAUAAACUACAUAAUAAUAAUCUACGCGUUUCUACGAGAUCGUAGGAACAAGAAUCACUAAAUUUGGAGGUAUAGAUUUUAAGUUAUGGAUUUUCUAAGGUUUUAUACAUUUAAUAUAAGAUUAAGUGGGAAAUAAAUUUAAAUGUGCAUUUCAUGUAAAAACAGUGGUACUAUUUAAUAGAUAAUAAUAUUACCAAAUUAUAGGAACUGGAAUGGUCCAAUUUGGAGUUCAUAUGCAUUUUCUAUGAAUUAAACUAGUUUCUCCAAUUAAAUUUGUACUAAAAACCAAUUUCUAAACUAUUUUCCUGGUUUUAUUAAUUAUCUGGACUAGGCCUCGAAUACUAAAAACUGCAGGGGCUAGCGGGUAAUUUAAACUAGACUCAGUGAAUAAUACCCACAUGAUGGCGAGUUAGUUAUCUAAUAACCGAAGGGCUCAUUUGCAAUUCAGCCAGCGAAGCGGUAUCGGCUCCUGUGAGCCGCCCGAUCGGUGCUCAACGGCUCAGGUUUAAUGAAUCGAAGGGGGUACGGCAUCAACUAAUCUCAGCCACCAGAAAUCGGUCCAACGGUGCGGAUCAUGGUUGUGUGAACGAGUACGCUUGCUCAAUCUAAGCCAUCCAUGGGUCGAUCUACGGCCCUAGACCUUUCACUAAGCUUCCACCGAGACCGACCAUGGCGGCCUCCGCACUGGCGGCAGUGCCACGACCGCCCAUGGAUGACCGGUUUUCCCCACGUCCGAGUUCGACUGAUGUUCCAUGGAAUCGUAGAGGUGACAACGGAUUCGAGCUGGAACUACUUGUCACUAACCAUCCCGAGCUGAGGCCGUUUUACCGCGUGCGACGGCGACCUCGCCAUACCGACACCGACGAUAGGUGCCCCAGCACACCCGAAGCCCGAUUGACAAAUUCCGAGAACGCUACACUAUGCGCAGAGCAUCACGAAUCGCCAGGUAGAGCACCUACCCGAGAUAGAGGUACAGAAUCACGUGCCCACGUAGACCACCGCACAGCGGCAGAAUCCCUGCUCCGUCGAGCAAUUGCCGGUGACCAAGCUCCCACCGAUGGGUUAAUCCGGGCGCGAACGAGCGAUAAGAAGCAGGGGUAGACUCACGAUGAUCGGAGCAGCGAUUGCGGAUUUCCCUGAUUCCCCGGCGGCGCGAUUCGAGCUCCCCACUGCUCCCUCUCUCUCGGGCAACGGCGAUGGCGGCGGACUGGAUGAGGUGAGAAGAGGAGGUCGCAGGCCCAAUUUAUAGCCCGGGGGCGAGGGUAUUCAUGGCCGACCCCGUCCGGAGGUCUGCGCGGCGAAGAUCUUGGCCACGCGCAACGAUCCGCAUCAAAUCGCAGUCCCCAAAUUCUCUCUAUGUUUGUUGCCAUGAAAAUCGCUGUCGUUGAAGAUGAAGCACCUGCUCCGUAGUCCCACCAAUCAGCGGUUCAAUGAGCUGAGGCAAGCGCGCCGUCAGAUAGGACCCAGCCCCGAGCGAUUCCUACGCAGCCGCGGUUCCACUGGACAGACGCCUGGGAGCGACGCCCGUGCGACUCGAGAGAGGGAAGAAGAAGCAGUGCGGCGCGGCCAGGUGGGUGAGGCUGGAAUGGGGGCCCCACAUGGCGGUGUACUAGGGCACGGAAGCAUCGGCGUGGGCUGCGCAGAGCUAUGGAAUUGGGCCGAGAUUGCAGCCGCAGGCCCAAUUAUCUCUUCCUUUCUUCUUUUUUUUUUUAUAUUUUUGGUUUUCCCUUUUCUUUUAUUCUCUUUUCUUUCUUAUUCUUGAAUUCAAAUUUGAAUUCAAAUCUCUAUUGUGAAUUUGUACUUUAGAUUAAAUAUUCAAACCAAAUAUUCCAAUAUGAAAAGGUACAUUUAGUUAUAUAUUUUUCUAUAUACCUUAUAUACUCUCUUUUUCCUCAAAUCCUCUUCUCGUUAUUAUUUUUUUUUCAUGUUAUUAUUUAUUUAUUUUUAUUGUCACAAAAUGCACACCAAAUAAAGUCCAGCAUGAUGCACAGGUUAUUUAUGUGUUCUUGGUUCUAAUUAUCCUCUUUUAACUAGUGCUGAUCAUAUGUAAUGAAUAGUAGAGACCACAAACUAUUGAGAUUAUCUCUAUCCUCUUCUAUUACACUUUUGAGUAUUACAGCUCUCAAGUAGAGCAAGUUGAUCUUGAUGAGCUAGAUGAUGAAGAGGCUCCAUGCGUCGCGCUAAGGAACAUGUCCAUUGGAGAUGUGUGUCCUAAGGAAUUCGAAGAGCCUCCACAAACACAAGAUCAACCAUCUUCCUCAAUGCAAGCAUCUACACCAACUCAAGAUGAGGAUCAAGCUCAAGAUGAUGAUGAUGAAGAUCAAGGGGAGCCACCUCAAGAAGAGGACAAUGAUCAAGGGGGAGAUGUUAAUGAUCAAGGCAAGGAAGAUGAUGAGGGUCCAAGUCCGCCACACCCAAGAGUCCACCAAGCAAUCCAACGAGAUCACCCCGUGAACACCAUCCUCGGCGACAUUCAUAAGGGGGUAACCACUCGAUCUCGUGUUGCUCAUUUUUGUGAAUAUUACUCUUUUGUUUCCUCUAUUGAGCCACACAGGGUAAAGGAAGCACUUCAAGAUUCAGAUUGAGUGAUGGCGAUGCAAGAGGAGCUCAACAACUUCACAAGGAAUGAGGUAUGAGAUUUAGUUCCACGUCCUAAUCAAAAUAUUGUAGGAACCAAGUGGGUCUUCCGCAACAAGCAAGAUGAGCAUGGUGUGGUGACAAGGAACAAUGUUUGACUUGUGGCCAAGGGAUAUUCACAAGUCGAAGGUUUGGAUUUUGGUGAAACCUAUGCACCGGUAGCUAGGCUUGAGUCAAUUCGCAUUUUACUUGCCUAUGCUACUUACCAUGGCUUUAAGCUUUACCAAAUGGACGUGAAAAGUGCCUUCCUCAAUGGACCAAUCAAGGAGGAGGUCUAUGUUGAGCAACCUCCUGGCUUUGCAAUAGUGAGUUCCCUAACCAUGUCUAUAAACUCUCUAAGGCGCUUUAUGGGCUCAAGCAAGCCCCAAGAGCAUGGUAUGAAUGCCUAAGAGAUUUUCUUAUCGCUAAUGGCUUCAAAGUCGAAAAAGCCGAUCCUACUCUCUUUACUAAAACACUUGCAAAUGAUUUGUUUGUAUGCCAAAUUUAUGUUGAUGAUAUCAUAUUUGGGUCUACUAACGAAUGUACAUGUGAAGAGUUUAGUAGGAUCAUGACUCAAAAAUUCGAGAUGUCUAUGAUGGGGGAGUUGAAGUAUUUUCUAGGAUUUCAAGUGAAGCAACUCCAAGAGGCCACCUUCAUUAGCCAAACGAAGUACAUUCAAGACAUACUCACAAAGUUUGGGAUGAAGGAUGCCAAGCCCAUCAAGACACCCAUGGGAACAAAUGGGCAUCUCGACCUUGACACAGGAGGUAAAUCUGUAGAUCAAAAGGAAUACCGGUCGAUGAUAGGUUCUUUACUCUAUUUAUGUGCUUCACGACCGGAUAUUAUGCUUUCCGUACGCAUGUGUGCAAGAUUCCAAGCCGAUCCUAAGGAAGUUCACCUUAGGGCCGUAAAACGAAUCUUGAGAUAUUUAGUUUAUACUCCUAAGUUUGGCCUUUGGUACCCCAGGGGAUCCACAUUUGAUUUAAUUGGUUAUUCCGAUGCUGAUUGGGCAGGGUGUAAAAUUAAUAGAAAGAGCACAUCAGGGACUUGCCAGUUCUUGGGAAGAUCUCUGGUGUCUUGGGCUUCGAAGAAGCAAAAUUCUGUGGCUCUUUCCAGCGCCGAAGCCGAGUAUAUUGUUGCAGGCUAUUGUUGCGCGCAACUGCUUUGGAUGAGGCAAACCCUCAGGGACUAUGGUUACAAAUUAACCAAAGUUCCUCUUCUAUGUGAUAAUGAGAGUGCAAUCCGCAUGGUGGAUAAUCCCGUUGAGCAUAGCCGCACUAAACACAUAGCCAUUCGGUAUCAUUUUUUAAGGGAUCACCAACAAAAGGGGAUAUCGAGAUUGCAUAUGUUAACACCAAAGAAUAAUUAGCCGAUAUCUUCACCAAGCCAUUAGAUGAGCAAACAUUUACCAAACUUAGGCAUGAGCUAAAUAUUCUUGAUUCUAGGAAUUAUGAUUGCUGUUUUGCACACAUAGCUCAUUUAUAUAUUUUUGAUCAUAUCUCUUUCUUUGCUAUGACUAAUGUGUUUUUCAAGUGUAUUUCAAGCUAAGUCAUAGAUUGAAAGGGAAAUGGAGUCUUCGGCGAAGACAAGGCUUCCACUCCACUCCAUCGAUUAUUCAUCUUUCGCCGUCGCUCCGCACCGCUCUCCAAUUUGGUAUAAUCUUCACUCAUAUGUUAUUUACCAUAGGGGGAGAAAGUAGUUAGAAGGGCUCUACUGACUCCAUUUUUGGCGAUUCAUGCCAAAGGGGGAGAAAGUAUUAGCCCAAAGCAAAAGGACCGCACCACCACCAAUUUCAAAAAAUUAGUCCUUCAAUUUAUAUUUAAAGUAGUGUUUUCAAAUUGGUAUCUUAUUAUUGAUAGAUUUUUCAAAAUGGUAAACCCUCUUCAAAAAUCUAUAUCUAAAACCCUCUUAAACACUAAGAGGAGGAUUUCAUUAAGGGGGGAGUUUUGUUUAGCCAAAGGAAAAACAUUUGAAACAGGGGGAGAAAAUUUCAAAUCUUGAAAAUGCUUCUCAAAAUCCUAUUCAUUUACCUUCGACUACUUUGCAAAAGACUUUGAAAAAAAAUUAUAAAAUAAUUUGCAAAAACAAAACAAGUGGUGCAAGCGUGGUACAAAAUUUUAAUUUAGAAGAAAGCCAUCCAUGCAUAUCUAGUAGAAAUAAUUAUUGGUUUCAUUCCAAGCAACCUUUGCACUUACAUUAUGCAAACUAGUUCAAUUCUGCACGUUUAUAUUUUCUUGGUGUGUGUUGGCAUCAAUCACCAAAAAGGGGGAGAUUGAAAGGGAAAUAGGCUUACACCUUUUCCUACUUGAUUUUGGUGGUUGAAUUGCCCAACACAAAUAAUUAGACUAACUAGUUUGCUCUAGACUAUAAGUUCUACAAGUGCCAAAGGUUCACAAUAAACCAAUAAAAAGACCAAGAAAGGGUUCAAACAAAGAGAGCAAAAGACAACCAAAGUGUGCCCUGGUCUGGCGCACCGGACAGUGUCCGGUGCACCACCGGACAGUGUCCGGUGCACCAGGGGAUUCCAGCCUGAACUUGCCACCUUCGGGAAUUCUGGGAGCCGCUCCGCUAUAAUUCACCGGACUGUCCGGUGUAGCACCGGACAGUCUGGUGUACCAGCGGAGUAACGACUACUACAGCGCCGACGGUCGUCUGCAACAACAGAUAAUGCGCUACAGUGCGCGCAGAAGUCAGAGCAGAGCCAGAAGGCGCACCAGACAGUCUAUAGGACCUGUCCGGUGCACCACCGGACUGUCUGGUGACCCAGAUGUCAGAAGCUCCAACGGUCAGAAUCCAACGGCCGGGUGACGUGGCUGGCGCACCGGACAGUGUCCGGUGCGCCAUGCGACAGAAGCCCUCACCAACGGUUCUUUUGGUGGUUGGGGCUAUAAAUACCCCCCAACCACCACACUUCAAUGCAUCCAAGUUUUUAGCCUUCAAACACCUUACAAGAGCUAUAGCAUUCAAUACAAGACACAAUCAAAGAGAUCAAAUCCUCUCCCAAGUCCAAAGAUCAUUCCAAUCAAAUAGUGACUCGUGAGAGAGAGACUUGUGUUCAUUUGAGCUCUUGCACUUGGAUUGCUUUUCUUCUUCCUUCUUUCUUGUGUUCAACUCAAUUGUAACCAAGACAAGAGACACCAAUUGUGUGGUGGUCCUUAUGGGGACUUAGUGUCCCGUUUGAUUGAGAAGAGAAGCUCACUCGGUCUAAAUGACCAUUUGAGAGAGGGAAAGGGUUGAAAGAGACCCGGUCUUUGUGACCACCUCAACGGGGAGUAGGUUUGCAAGAACCGAAUCUCGGUAAAACAAAUAAACGUGUCAUCCGCCUUAUUUGCUUGUGAUUUGUUUUUGCCCUCUCUUUCGGACUCGAAUUUAAUUCUAACGCUAACCCCGACUUGUAGUUGUGCUUAAAGUUUGUAAAUUUCAGAUUCGCCCUAUUCACCCCCCUCUAGGCGACUUUCAAUAUCUGUUUUGCAAUUUUAGAGUUUAAUUGGAGUAGAAGAAAUUACCUUAGUUUGGUCUCAUUUGCUUUGGGAGAAAAACCAAACCAAACAAUUCAAACCAUUGUAAUUCAUCAUUCCACUACUUCGUUCGAGCCCUCGUAUUGUAGUACCUUCAACCAGUGAUAUGAAAUUGUGAAGUAAAUGCUUAUUUGCAUAUCUAUGGAUUCUCAACAAAUCUAUAGAAACACAGAACUGAAUAGAGGAUGAUUAAAAAAAUGAUGAUCUAGAAAAGAAAAACCGGAGUGAAGAAACUAUUGUUACUUUAGCAUCAAAACCUAAGAAACACACCUUAUAAUCCCUGCUGAAAAAUGCUAAUCCGCCAACUAAAUUUCAGAUUCCUAUGCAUUAUUAUAAGUAGUAAAUGUAGUAUAUAAUAUGUAUAUGAAGUACUCUAUAAGUGGAAUGGUCGGUCCAAAAGGCAAAGCAUUUCAUAUAAAUAUCUAGUUCCACAGUUUUCCAUCCCCAAAUAGCAUCACAAUCCAAAAGGCAAAGCAUUUCAUAUAAAGAUCUAGUUCCACAGUUCUGCAUCCCCAAAUAGCAUCACAGUCCAAAAGGCAAAGCAUUUCAUAUAUAAGAUCAGGUUCCACAGUUCUACAUCCCCAAAUAACAUCACAAUAUAAAGCGCCUCGUUUCCUACCUAGAUUUUCUUAGGAUGUAAGCUACAAGACUGAUACAGAAUAAAAUAAGAACAGAAGCUAUAAUAAAAAUAUGAUUUUUUCACAUCAUUAAAGAAUUAACACGAACAAUUUAUGAUAUGUAUUACAAUGGUAAAUAUUUAGCUGUCUUAGUUUCACAAUCAAUCAUUUUAACAGAUGAGCAUGAUAUGCGAAAAAAUGAUCACCUCUUUCUAACUGCAGUACCAGACAAAACACCACCAAUCAAUUCCUUGACAACUUGUACCUCUUGGACUCAACAGGUCUCAGGUGUGGAAUAUGCAAUUCAAGCAUAUGGGAUAUUUAUGAGAAGCGGUUGAUGUUGUGCAUUGUACACUAUAUGGACCUAGUUUUCUUCCAUAUAAAAUUAUUAAAUUAGUUAAUAAUGUGCAUUACAUCGACAUGCCGAGAGACCACUUAUGAUACAACUCUGCAAGCAUUCCAUUCAUCCCAUGUAUUCAGUUCACUUUAACCUAAAGAAACAUGCUUCUUAUUGGCAAGUGUGGAACUUUUACCAUAGGUUAAACAUAAGACAAUGAUCUCUUCCCAAAGAACAAUAUCAGCCAUGUUAUCAGGGAAGACAACAUUCUAAAGAUGCAGUGCAAGCUAUGCACUCCCCUCCCCCCUAAGAAGCAGAGUCGGUACUACCGACCUUGUGUCAAUGUGAGAACUAGGACCAACUCUUGUGGCGAUGCUUUUCCAUGCAAGAAAAAGCAAACACUCGAUCAAAACUCCACCAAAGAAACAAACAUGAAACAGGCGGGAUGGCGAAACUGAGCAGAUCAGACCGGGCAGGAUGCACCUGGUUGUCACCGUAAACAUGGGGUAGGCGAGUCCAAAGCUUGCCAUGGCCGGUGCCCUAGAUCUCUGCUCAGAUCUUGACCGCACCAAGCAAUCGAUGCGAGACGGCAAGCAGGGUUUACUCCUCUGAACCGUAGAGCUUCUUUUUUGCCGACGUGUUGGAGAUGGAAAUCUGCAGGGUGAGCUUGCGUCGAGAUCUGCAGGAAGGGAGGGAGACGGUGAGCCGACGCUGACCUCAUCCCUUCGCAGGUGUGUGCCACGCUGGGCCGCUCCUUGUCGGAGAUGCGUUGUACAGGGCUACGCCUGGGGAAGGAGGGAGCGACGAACUGGGCACGAGCACCCAUGAAUCCACCUAUCCUUCCAAAAAAAGGUUGUCGAACCGUUGCCAAUAGUGGUAGCCACCGUAGCCUGGAACAGAGCUUUGGCCUGGGGAGAGAAUUUGAGAUCUAAUCCACUCCAAGGUUCAGAAGGAGCAGUUUUCUGGAGCCAAAGCCAAUGAAUUUGCAGGGCCCAGUUCAUAGUGAGGAGAUUGGGAAUUCCAAGGCCUCCCAAAUCAAAAGGCCUAGUGACCUUAUCCCAAGAAAUAAGACAAUUUCCUCCUCUAGCCUCCUUUGUUUCCACAGAAAACUCCUAAUUUUGUCAAUGGCUCUAAUAGCCCAUUCUGGAGCACUGAGGGCAAUUAACAGAUACACUGGGGUAGCAGAGAGGACAGAUUUGACAAGGGUGAUUCUCCCAGCAAGGUUUAAAGACCAACUUUCCAUCAUGAAAGUUUAUCAGCAAUUUUCUCAAUCCAAGGAGUGAGCUCUCCAACAAUAUGCCUUUUGUUGAUCAGGGGGAUGCCAAGAUAAGUUGUUGGAAAGCAUUUAGAGGCACAACCCAGAAUUUGAACAGCCAGCUCUACCCUUUCAAAAUCACAGUGAAUUGGGUAAGACAAACUUUUUUGCAGAUUAGUCUGGAGGCCAGAGGCCACACCGAAGCCUUUCAAGGUUUCUUUGAAUACCUAAUCCACUGCAUUAGGAUUAAUAAAUACUGCAACGUCAUCCACAAAUAUAGAGACUAUUUGGUUGACAUUUCUACCAGCAAGGGGCUACAAAAGGCCAUACUCAUCAGCUUGGACAAAGAGGCUGUUAAGAACAUCCAUUACAAGUAUAAAAAACGGAGGGGAUAGGGGAUCUCUCUGCCUCAACCAUAACCAUCUGACCCAAAGAGCCCACCCAAGCUUUUGCAGAUCAUGAAUACUGUAACACCCAUGGUGUUUAUAUUUCACUCGACAACGAGUAUGGAUUUAAGCAUUGGAUAUCAGCAAUAAUAACGAUCUCUAUGUUCUAAUAUUCACCUAUCAUAAUUUUGAUAUCAUUUUCAUCUCUAUCUAUGCGACCUAAUCUAAAUGUUUCGAGUCAGAACGUAUUUGUUCUAGAAAUUUGCGAGUCUGGUGAUUAUUUAAAAUUCAUCGAUUUGCUCAAAUACGAAUUUGGAAACUUAGUUCAGUCUUCCAAUUUCGUCCCAAACAAAAUUUAUUAGAAGCCCGGCGACAAGAGUGUUGAUGCGAGAUUAAAUUGGAUCGAGAUAAUUAGAACUGAUAUUGAGUAUUCAUAACUAAUUUGUUUCCCUGUUCAGACUGUGGAUAAAAGUAUCGGGUUUCGAAUCAAAUCAAAGUAAGCACAGUCUUAAUAUAUCGACUCUAAUGUCGUUUGGUUUGGUCCAUCGACAUCUCGUCUAAAACACUAUCUCAUGUAUCGCCUGCAUUUCUAUCCAUUUGGACUAUUAUAAAUAUUUUAUGAAGUUUGAAAUUUAAAAAUCCUUCAAUAUGUCGAGUCUACGCUGUUCGAAUAGCAUGUGAUCUUCGUCUGAACUCAACUGGGUCAAAUACAGUUUAAAGUAUCGGUCCCGACCUCGUUUGGUUCGGUUCGUGUGUUCCUUGCCUAGAUCCAAAUUUUUGGAUAUAGAUAACGAGUAGGAAUUCAUCUGACUCCAGAAUAUUCACUAAAUAAAAUCCUAUCCAAAUAUUGUGGUCAAUCUUAUUUUGGUUCGACCCUUUUGUACAUCUUUUAGAACUUAAUUUCAGUCUCGAUCUCGUUUGGUUCAUUCUGAUUGCAAUACCGCGUUCGAAUCACGUAGUUCAAAAUUUAUUUAUUUCAUAGUGUCAAGCCUGGUGCCAGUUUAAAAUUAAUCGAAUAAGGCGAAUUGGAAAUUUCACCCAAGUAUUUCGCUCUUGUUCGAGCGAUCUCUACAAAUUCGGCAGAGACACUACUAGGGACAGGCUGUUUAGAUAAAUCGAACCCGAACUAACCAAAACAGAUGAAAAUUAAAAUAGCAAAGUCGGUGUCAUGGUUCGCUCCAAUUUCGUCUCGUCCAGAUACAAAUGACGAGUAUAAAUGUCUGGUAAAAAUUUAUCAGAGUAUUGGGAUAUCUACCAAAUCAAAUAUUGUUCCAAUAUUGUUGUUAAUCUCAUUUUUGUUCGAUCCUUGAUUACAUCUUUUAGACCCUAAUUUUAUAACAUCAAAAUAUCUGCUUUUUGCUUUUGUAAAAAAGAAUGGAGGAAAAAUCUUCUUUUACUUCUCCCACCGUCAUACUCCCUCAGCCAUAUCCAAAUCGUCCAUCUCCCUCACAACAGCCGCCCUCCCAUUUUCUCAGCUCGGCCACAACCAUAGCUUGGUGGUCGACGUGCCCCUGCUCCAGCCUGGCCGCCCACCUUGGGUCCUCAUCUCCAUCUCUCAGCUGUUCAGCUCCCUGGUGCUCGCCCUCCCCUUCUCUCAGGAUAGCAGGGAGCCGGCGACCUCUCCAACUCGGCCGGCCAUGGCACCGCUUCCCCAAGCGUCACACCGGAGCUUGCCCAACCCUCUCCCAUCUCCUUCCCCAAGCACAAGUCCCAUGGUCGAGCUCACCCCUGCAGGAGCUCCCUAUAGCGCCUAGAUUUUCAAUUUCCUAUGAGUUCUUUUUCCCCCACGUGCAAUCCCGGCAUCGUCGUCGUGUUUAGUCACGGUGAUUCUCAAUUUCCUAUUUUUAUUUCAUUGAAUUUUUAAUGCGAGCAGAAUUUUUUUGGUGCUAUGUUAAUACGAUGUUAUAUGUAAUGUGUGUUUGUGUGAGUAAGAGGAACCCCAGGUUUUUGCGUAGAGAGGAAAGUCGUGUGGCGCGUGCUAGGUGUUUGAUGGAAUGGAUGAAUCGGAGAUCCUUGUUGCUGUUGCGAAAUCCAAGUCUAUUUAGUGUUGGUAAGCUAAUUUAUUAUUACUGUUGAUUGAAUUAUUAGAUGAAUGGAAUGGAUAUGUUUAGUGAAUAUAUAUGCAUCAUGAGUUAGUGGUAAUACCUCUUCGUGGAUAGUGACAUGAUUGUAUUCAUGAUUAUGGUUAAAAUAAGUGAUGACGGUAUUGUUGUUCGAAUCUGCACGUAUAGUUUUGAUUGUGCAACUAAUUGAGUGGAGUAAAUCAUGUGUUCUAUAGAAAUGUUAUAUACAAAAGUUGUAGCCAACUUCUUUAUCUUGUUUGUUUAAAAAUUUCAUGACCAUAGGUUUAAUAGUUUAGGAGUUAUGAUUUUUCCAAGUCCAGUUUCAGAAUAUGUCCAAAUUCUGUACAGGUUUCGAAAAUUGGAUUGUUUGGCUAAGCAAAAUUGAGAAUCAGCCCUUAGUAAUUAUACAAGAAUUUUAGUACUUUUCUUAAGCUUUCCAAAAAAGUCUUGGAUCACUUUUUUUGGUAGUCUAGAGACCAAGUUACAGCUGUUUGAACUAUAAAGUCUGAACGUUUUUUGGUGGUCUAGAGACCAAGUUACAGUUGUUUGAACUAUAGAGUCUGAAUCUGUCCAAAUAUGGAUAGAGAAGUCUGUUUGUAUUAACUGACUUUGAUAUGCAUUGAAUUGACCUGAUAUGUUUACCAAUGAAUUGUAGAAAAUUCUAUUAGCUUUCUAAAAAGUCUAGGAUCACUUGAUUUGGACACCUGAGACUCCAAUUAUGGAUUUUUGAAGUGAGUAGUCGAAUUCUGUCCAAAUCUAGACAUAAUUUAUGUUUACUUCUGUUUGACCUUUCUAAAGGUCGAAUCUUGUUGUGAUGGCAAUACAAAAGUUAUAGAGGACUUCAUAAGCUUUCCAGAAAGUCCUAGUUUAUCAUUUUAAGAUGAAUAUCUUGUGAGUUAUGAUUAAAAGAACUGACUGUUGUACUCCUGUCCAAAAUCAGCAAGUAUUAAGUUGAUUUCUGGAGUCAUUCUUGUUUGGCUAGGUAGGAUUAGUUAAUUCUUGAUUCUUGAGUGAUGAAGACUUAUUACAUAUAACUGACAGUGUUGCAAGUACUAAAGAAGGUUGUUGGGGGCCUUCGGUUUCUGAAGGUCCUCAAAUACGUGAUUUAACGAUGUUUCUGGAGUAUAAUACAUGAGCAGGUACCUUCGGACUUGAGUCAAAAUCACAGUGUGAAGAAGCACAAGGGAAACGAAGGAUGGAACAGAGCCGAAGCUGUGCGCAAGGGAGCUUCGACAUGAUGACAAAAAAAGGAAACCGACUUAAAGGGGAAAAGGCUAUCUAGACCUCGAUGAAUUACUAUAGAAUUAUUAGCAAAUGUAAAGGGCCUGGGUGUAAUUUUACAUGGGCUGCGUCCCGUGCCUAUAAAUAGAUGAACAGUACUCCCGUACUGUUCACGCUGACUGGGCAUUUGCUUUUGCGUCACGCUUGUACUUUUACCUUCCUUCAAGCCGAAGGUACUUUUGUAACUUGUUAUUAUUUUUAUUUUUCCUUAAUAAUGAAAUAGAAAUGAUUUGAUGAUAAUAAAUAACUGUUGGUAUUAUAUUUUAUAUCCCAUAUGUUUCUUUCCUCGUUUAUAUGUUGCUUUGACGAAGGUACGUCCUUCACAACCUUCGUCCGAAAAUCAUUAUCUCUCAAAGGGAUAUAAUGCUUCGAAGGACGAAGGACUUUAACAUUUAACAUUCUCUGUGUUGCCUUGUUCUUAACUCAUAGCAUUUGAGAACAAGUCCCCAACAUUGGCGCCCACCUCCGGUGAACCCUUUCCGACCACCUUCGGCAAGCAUCGACCUUCGUCAUGCUGCCAAAGAAAGCUUCAGCAACAGGGGCUGCCGCUCUAUAGCCGCUGGACCCGAACCAGGAGACCCUUUCUCUUCGGGAGGCCCGAAGCCAGAAGAGGAAGGCCACCAGUCCAACGCUUCAGAAGGACGACUUGGACCAAUAAAUCAGGAAUAUAGAGAUACUUCAUCAGUAAGUGCAACGGAAGAAGGAAAAGAUGGCUUGGCUAGCUGACCUGCAAAGGCAGAUAGACGAAGCCUCUGAAGAAGUUCGUCAUCUUGCUCAGGAUGAGCAAAACCGAAGGCCCCAGCACAGAGAGCUUCACCAAGAGGGCUUCGUCAAUGAAGAUGACUGGUAUGAGGAUUUUCAUCAUGGAAAUUUCGCCUUUGAUGAUGCUUCUCCUCUGUUAGCAGAACAGCAGGCUACACCUUGGCUCCCGUCUUACAAACCACCUCAGCUCCCCAUGUAUGACAGACACUCAGAUCCAAAGCAAUUUCUGAUGAGCUACGAAGCAACCAUAUCUUCAUAUGGUGGCAACACUGCAGUCAUGGCGAAAUCCUUCGUCAUGGCAGUCAAAAAUGUUGCACAAACCUGGUACUCCUCUCUUCGGCCAGGAACAAUCACAUCAUGGCAGAAGCUGAAGGACAUGCUGAUCACUAGUUUCCAAGGGUUUCAGACGAAGCCGGUUACUGCUCAAGCUUUGUUCCAGUGCAUGCAAGAUCACAAGGAAUACCUUAAGGCGUAUGUUCGAAGGUUCUUGCAUUUGAGGGCACAAGCGCCAACAGUGCCCAAUGAGAUUGUCAUUAAGGCCAUGAUCAAGGGGCUUCGGCCAGGACCUUCGGCCCAAUACUUCGCCAGGAAACUCCCUCAGACCUUGGAAAAAUUGCUUCAGAAGAUGGAUGAAUACAUCCACGCUGAUAAUGACUUUCGUCAAAGAAGGGAUGAAGCUUAUAGGUUCUCCAAAAUAACCAAGGGCUUCGGAGGGAGAGUCCAUCCUAGACAUGUCAGAUCAAUUCAUUCCACCCAGAAUGACGACAGGGGAAGUCAGCAACAGAGGCCGCAAUUUUCCUCCCAGGCUUCGGGGCAGCAACAGAGCUAUCCUCGGUCCCCAGCUCCAAGGGGCAGAGGCGCCAGGGGCUUCGGAGGAAGGUUUGGGGAUCAGCCUAGGAAAAUUGAUUGCCUAUUCUGCGGUGAGGACAAGGGCCAUACCACCAGGAUGUGCCAUGUCACCAUCCAGAAACAAAAAGAGAUAGCAGAAGCUGCAGCCCAACAGAGCCAGCCGAAGCAAGUUAUGCAUACUGCUUCGUACCACUCACCGUACAUUCCAGAGUAUGUGGGUAACCAUUCUGCAGCUUCUGUUGCUUCGGCAAGCCAAUCUCAGGCAUCUUAGCAGCAGCUUCCACCUCCACCACCAAUACAACGAGGCCAGCAGCGAGAAGGGAGCCAGCACACUCAUCAGCAACGAGACUUCAGAAAGGAGUCCGAAGCUCGCACAGUCAACAAUACUGUGCCAGAGUCGAAGCACAUUUACUAGAAGAUAUCCUACUUCUGAGAUAGUUCUUGCAUUCGUUAUCAUUUUUCUUUUUAAUAAGGAACAGUCAUUGAAAGCCUAAGUUUUUCUUGUCGUUUUCGAUUUCUUGUAACAGCUUCGUUUUUGUCAUAGUAAAAAUAUAUCUUCUCCACAGACUUACGGAAUCCAAAAAGUUGCCGAAGCAUGAAAAAUCGUUCUUAAGAGCUCAUGGCUACAGAAAGCAUAUCCGAAGCUACAAAAAGUCGUCCUACGAAACGCAGCGUAAGUUUGCCGAAGUUAUAAAAAGUCGUUCCUAAGGGAGCGCAGUGUAAGUUUUCUGCUCAAAAGUCAUUCCAAAGAGAAUGCAGAGCUUAGAGCGAAAAAUAAACGCUGAUUCCGCCGAAGUUUAAGGCGAAGCGCAAAAAGUCAACGCGAAAAUCGCCGAAGUAAAAGGCGAAGAAGCUCCUAAGGGAGGCUUACAGCGAAAAGUCAGCGCUGAUACACCGAAAAAUAAGCGGUGAAGCCGAAAAAUAAACGACAAAAAGAUUGUGUGCUCUACUGUGGGAAUGUGUGUGUAUCUUCGGCACAAAUAUCAUGUUGCAUAGAAUAACAUCAUUACAUCAUUUGCAUGGCAUAACAUCAUACAUCAUAUUGCAUCAAUGGCACAAGAAGGGGAUACAAUGUUGAUCUUCGGAGAUUGUUUCGAAGAAGCAGUGCCAAGGCACAAAAUAAGUUUUGAAGAAGUACUGCUUUGUCAACUCUAAUAUGAAAAGGAGAUCUAUUGCUUACGAAGCAUAACGUUUUUAUGGAGAUUGGAUGUUUUUACGAAAUAUGGAUAUCCUUCAUGAAGCAUGAAAAGAAGGGAAGGUGUUUUUUCGCCGAAGGCUCAAAAACGGUAUGUAUGUAAACUUUCAUGCAUCGUAAAGAAUUGAGUUACAAGCAGCUCAUAUAUUACAUUCAAAAUUAUAAAAAUUCUACACACUUUGUUCAACAAAUAUUACAUUCCAAAUGUUUUUACAAUAGCAGCUAUUCUUCUUUUAAAACUACUUCCGCAGCUUCGUUUAACAGUUGAGAAAUAGCUUCAGCCAUUUUAGUGAUUUCUUCCUCUCUCUUUGCUUCUGGGUCGGCUGUUGGCUCGAAAGGCUCCAGGGGAGGAGAUAGCUUAGCUGCGAUACAAAACAUAAAUAAGUUCGAAGUCACAGAAAUAAAACACAAAGUCAAAAGCAAUUAAGCAAUACCUAUCCGCCUUUCAAGUUCCACAGCUUUCUCAGCUGCCUUCAUCGCUUCUUUUGCAUCAUGAGAAUCUUUUUCACUCUUUUUUAUUAUCUCGUGCGCCAUCUCUCGGCCGCCAUUUUUCCAGAUGUCAGUGAAGAAUUUCCCGCCAACUAAGCUUGCUUCGGCCGAGGGGUCUUUUGCAUCUUCAAUAGAUAAGGCAGCUUCGGUUUGAGUCAAAGCUUUCACGUGAUCACAGCCUAAUUUCUCCAAAAUAGCCGCGAUUCCCCUAGCACCUGAGAAGGCGCAGACAUCCCCACGACCACUCAAAACUUCUUCAAACACUUCAGCUUCGUUGCUGAUCCAGUCAAUUGGGCCUUCAGGAUCGCCCCUUACGAAAUUAUCCUCGCUAGAGAAUGCGCCAACAUUGGUGAAGCUAGAUUUUAUUUUUUGCACACAUUCUAUGGAUUUUUUUAGCAUUUCUCUUUUGAAGACCGAAGUUCUACAAUUGUCUUCUCCCAAUAAUUUUUCCAAUAGUUACUGGCGUCUCGGUCAGCUUCGGCAAUUGUACACUUUAACUUCGCUUCAGCCAGCUGUUUCUCAAGAUCUUCAAUUUCGCACUUCUGGGCUUCAGCCUGGGCUUUGGAAGUAGCUUCGUCUUCUUUUCUUUUAUUUAGCAAUGAGUUUAAUAUUUUAUCUUUCUCAAGACCUUCGUUCCUUAGCUCGAUUACUUCAGAACGAAGGUUGUUUAAGGCCAUGGUACAUCCCUCGUCUUCAGCGCCUUUUUGUGCCCUAAGGGCGUUGCUAAGAAUAAGGCCCUGAAAAAGGAAUACGGUAUUAAGUAUAAGCAAAUGGAAAAAUUUUGCUUUUCAGUAAAAUUCAUUUUCUCACCUUUAAGCUAUUGUAUGCUAAGCUGUCGGAUAAUUCAUCUUUUGAUAGCACCGAGAGCCCGCCCUCUAGUGUCGGGAAUCCGAAGCUUUUGCUCAUCUCCCGGUAGACAGAAAUCUCCUUGCUAUCUGGGAGACAAUACAAGAAGUCUUCUUCUCCGCUGCCGUUGAAAAUCAAUGCCCCUUUCGGAUAUUUCAAUUUUUGGGCAUAGAACUGAGCUUCUCGCUUUUCUUUUUCAGUCAACUUUUUCCCCGAAGCAUGUCGUAAAAUAUAAUUGAGAGCUUCGGAAAAUGCUUCGGGGGUGGCAGUGGCAGUUUUUUCAGCCAAGAGUUGUUCUGCCGCUUCUGUUUCUUUUUUCUGGUUUCCAUGGAUUUCUCCUUGGCGGGCUCUGAAGGCCCAGCUUCAGUCUCAGCCUAGUGCUUUGUAGCUUCGGCUUCAGAGGCUGUUGUCUCAAUUUGCGCUUUUGGAGCUUCGGCAAUUUUCUUCGGAGUAGAGCUUGAAGACUUUAUUGUCUCUAGUACAUCCAGAACAUUAACCAUCCUUUUUCUUUUGGGGGUCAUUGCUGGACCUUUCUGGGUUUUUGGCACUUCAACUUCUGCCGAAGGAAUUAAAAUUUCUGAUGUUUUUGUCCCUUUAGCUCUCGGCUCUCCAAUUUUUUCAGCCUUCAGCGUUGCAGUCAGCUCUUCAGUUUUCUGCGCAAGUGCAUGUUCUUUGUCUUCAGUAGCCGAAGAGGGCUCACCGACAAACUCGGGCACUAUGGUCGGUUCAAUGAAGCGCGGUCGGUGAGUAAGGACCUUCACCUUUUUCCUCUUCGACGCAUGCUCGCUUGGAGCAGCUGAAGCAUCAUCCUUACCGGAAGUUGCACCUUUUCUUUUUUGCCCCCAUAGCGGGUAGCGGUAGUCAGGAUACAUGAACCCAAUAGCAUCAAAAACUCUGUUGAGCCUCUUCUUUUUCCGGCCUCCGAAGGUCGCAGAUAGCGCGUUAUCUUCUGCCUUUGAAUAUGGUCCAAGCAAUUCGUCGCUUGUAGCUUCGAUGCACUUCAGCCAAUCAUCAUCUGGCUCAAUAAACUUACCCUUGUAUCUAAAGGUGUAUUUCAACCUAACCAGUCCACCUUCGUCAGACUUGCUGAUAGUUUCCUUUGGCAUUUCCCAUUGCUCUACAAGCGGCCACACUCUGAAGGUUAUGUGCUCCUGGAUUAAAUCCCUCGUCCCGAUGAAAGAACAGACUAUGCCGAAGGCCUUUUGGCAUUCUUCGGCUGCUUCAUCAAUUUCCACCUUCGGUUUCCGAAGGCCGAAGCACUGCCAGAUAGGACGCAUGAUAAUAUCUUUAAUGUCUUCUCGUGCCUUUAAAUCGUUUUUCACGUAAAACCAUUCCUUCAUCCAGUCCCCAGACCAUCUUUUCCAGAAGGUUGGCACGGGGCAGCUCGAGCCAGAGCGAGCGACGAAGCUAUAGCAGCCAAAAUUGUUAUGAUAUUGCUCUUUGCCCCAAGGUUUCGUCUCAUAUAGCAAUUCGUGCAUACUACAUAAACUUUUUGCAUUUGGCUCCAAGCCCUGGCUCCUCACGGUCCAGACGAAGAUUCCCAUUCUUAUAAUUGCUUCGGGAGUAAUUUGAUGAAGGUAAACCUGAUAGAUCUUUAAAACCUCAACCACAAAUUUGCUUAAGGGGAACCGAAGCCCAGCUUUUAAAAAGCUUCGGAAGAUCACAACUUCAUUCUCUUCGGGAGUAGGCACAGUCCUCUCUCCGUCAUCGGCCCUCUAGUAGACAUAUCUCGAAAAUAUCUUCCCCUCAUGUUAUCGAGAUGACUCUGUUUAAUACUCGAUUUUCCGAAGACUGUGUGACUGGGUCGCCACGGUCGAUCUUCGGAGUCCUCACCUCCACUUUCCAUAUCAUAACUGUCACUUUCACCAGUGUCUUCAGAUAAACCUUCUAAAAUCUCCCUAGUGAUCUUCUUUGUAUUCGUCUUUGCUAUCGAUUCAAGAAACCCAAGAUUCUUCUCUUCAGAAAGGCUCAGCUUUGUUUCGGCGACAGCUUUGUUAUCUUGUGACAUCUUUGAAAAAUGUUGAAAACGUGCUCUUAAGGCCGAAGCUAAAAAAUCUAAAAAGCCAGGCAAGCGUUGCUGUGCAAGAGCUAAAAAUUGGGAAAGCAAGAGCAGAUGGCAAGAAAGCGUGCCAAAUGUGCUCGCGGUGCACUCUUAUUUAUACGCCUAGUGCGUUGUGAAAGGGAAUUAGGCUUACACCUAGUUCCUAAAUGAUUUUGGUGGUUGAAUUGCCCAACACAAAUAAAUGGACUAACUAGUUUGCUCUAGUGUAUAAGUUAUACAGGUGCCAAAGGUUCACACUUAGCCAAUAAAAAGACCAAGUAUUGGGUUCAACAAAAAGAGCAAAGGGGCAACCGAAGGCACCUCUGGUCUGGCGCACCGGACUGUCCGGUGUGCCACCGGACAGUGUCCGGUGCACCAGAGGACUCCAAGUCGAACUCGUCACCUUCGGGAAAAUCCAGAGACGCUCCGCUAAAAUUCACCGGACUGUCCGGUGUACACCGGACAGUGUCCGGUGCUCCAAAGAACGGCGUCUCAGGAACUCGCCAGCUUCGGGAAUUCACAACGGCUAGUCCGCUAUAAUUCACCGGACUGUCCGGUGUGCCAUCGAAGCAACAGAUACUUCGGCGCCAACGGCUACCUGCAGCGCAUUAAAUGCCUGCUAGCGCGCGCAGAAGGCAGGCGCGCCCAUACUGGCGCACCGGACACUCUACAGUACAUGUCCGGUGCGCCACCGGACAUCCAGGCGGGCCCAGAAGACAGAGCUCCAACGGUCGGAACCCAACGGCUUUGGUGACGUGGCUGGCGCACCGGACAUGUCCGGUGUGCACCGGACUGUCCGAUGCACCAUACGACAGUCAUCCCCACCAUUCAUUGCAUCCAAGUUUACACACUUCCAACCACUUACAAGAGCUAGGCAUUCAAUUCUAGACACAUUCAAGAGAUCAAAUCCUCUCCCAAAUUCCAUACAACGCCCUAGUGCUUAGAGAGAGAUUUGCUUGUGUUCUUUCGAGCUCUUGCGCUUGGAUUGCUUUCUUCUUUCUUGAUUCUUUCUUGCGAUCAAACUCACUUGUAAUUGAGGCAAGAGACACCAAUCUUGUGGUGGUCCUUGUAGGAACUUUGUGUUCCAAGUGAUUGAGAAGAGAAAGCUCACUCGGUCCGAGGGACCGUUUGAGAGAGGGAAGGGUUGAAAGAGACCCGGCCUUUGUGGCCUCCUCAACGGGGAGUAGGUUUGCAAGAACCGAACCUCGGUAAAACAAAUCCGCGUGUCACACCUCUUAUUUGCUUGCGAUUUGUUUUGCACCCUCUCCCGCGGACUCGAUUAUAUUUCUAACGCUAACUCGGCUUGUAGUUGUGAUUAUUUUUGAGAAUUUCAGUUUCGCCCUAUUCACCCCCCCCUCUAGGUGACUAUCAAUUGGUAUCAAAGCCCGGUGCUUCAUUAGAGCCUAACCGCUCGAAGUGAUGUCGGGAGAUCACGCCAAGAAGGAGAUGGAGACCAGCGAAAAGCCCACUACAAGCAACGAGAAAGCCCUAUCGGGAGAGUCCCGCAACAAGGAGAAGAGGAAGGAGAAGAAGAAGGAAAAGAAGACUUCUUCCCACAAGUCACAUCGGAGUGGCGACAAAAUUAAGAAGAUGAGGAAGGUGGUCUACUACGAGACCGACACUUCAUCACCUUCUACCUCCGGCUCCGACGCACCCUCCAUAACUUCUAAGCGCCAUGAGCGCAAGAAGUUUAGUAAGAUUCCCUUACAUUAUCCUCGUACUUCUAGACAUACUCCAUUACUUUCCGUUCCAUUAGGCAAACCACCGGUUUUUGACGGUGAAGAUUAUAAUAUGUGGAGUGACAAAAUGAGGCAUCAUCUAACCUCACUCCACACAAGCAUAUGGAAUGUUGUUGAGUUUGGUGUACAGGUACCAUCCGUAGGGGAUGAAGACUACGACUCGGACGAGGUGGCCCAAAUUCACCACUUUAACUCCCAAGCCACCACUAUACUCCUCGCCUCUCUAAGUCGAGAGGAGUAUAAUAAGGUGCAAGGGUUAAAAAGUGCGAAGGAAAUUUGGGACGUACUCAAGACCACGCAUGAGGGAGACGAGGUGACAAAAAUCACCAAGCGGGAGACGAUCGAGGGGGAGCUCGGUCGCUUCAUGCUCCACCAAGGGGAGGACCCACAAGCUAUGUACAACCGCUUGAAGACCUUGGUGAACCAAGUGCGCAACCUCAGGAGCGAAAAAUGGGAUGACCAUGAGAUGGUCAAGGUUAUUCUUAGAUCCCUCGUAUUUCUUAACCCUACACAAGUUCAAUUAAUUCGAGGUGAUCCUAGAUAUAAGCUAAUGUCUCCCGAGGAGGUUAUAGGAAAAUUUGUGAGCUUUGAGCUAAUGAUUAAAGGCUCAAAGAAAAUCAUCGAGCAAGGCACCUCCUCCACGCCCGAAGCACAACCCGUCGCAUUCAAGGCAACGGAAGAAAAGAAGGAGGAGGCUACUCCAAGUCGAACACCCAUCGACCCCUCCAAGCUCGACAACGAGGAAAUGGCGCUCAUCAUCAAGAGCUUCCGCCAAAUCCUCAAGCAAAGGAGGGGGAAAGACUACAAACCCCGCUCCAAGAAAGUAUGCUACAAAUGUGGUAAGCCCGGUCAUUUUAUUGCAAAAUGUCCUAUAUCUAGUGACAGUGACAGGGGCGAUGACAAGAAGGGGAGAAGAAAGGAGAAGAAGAGAUACUACAAGAAGAAGGGCGGCGAUGCCCAAGUUUGUCGGGAGUGGGACUCCGACGAAAGCUCUAGCGACUCCUCCUCCGACGAGGACGCCGCCAACAUCGCCGUCACCAAGGGACUUCUCUUCCCCAACGUCGGCCACAAGUGCCUAAUGGCAAAGGACGGCAAAAGGAAGAAGGUUAAAUCAAAAUCCUCCACUAAAUAUGAAUCUUCUAGUGAUGAUAAUGCUAGUGAUGAGGAAGAUAAUUUGCGUACCCUUUUUGCCAACCUUAACAUGGAACAAAAGGAAAACUAAAUGAGCUAAUUAGUGCCAUCAAUGAAAAGGAUGAUCUCUUGGACUCCCAAGAGGACUUCCUAAUCAAGGAAAAUAAAAAGCAUGUUAAGGUUAAGAAUGCUUAUGCUCUAGAGGUAGAAAAAUGUGAAAAAUUAUCUAGUGAGCUAAGCACAUGCCAUGACACUAUCACCAACCUUAGAAAUGAAAAUGCCAAAUUAAUUGCUAAGGUUGAUUCUCAUGUUUGUAAUGUUUCAUCUUCCAAUCCUAGAGAUGAUAAUGUUGAUUUACUUUCUAGGAUUGAUGAGUUGAAUAUUUCUCUUGCUAGCCUUAGGAUUGAAAAUGAAAAAUUGCUUGCUAAGGCUAAAGAUUUUGAUGUUUGCAAUGUUACUAUUUCUAACCUUAGAAGUGAAAACGAUAUAUUACAUGCUAAGGUUGUAGAAUUAAAAUCUUGCAAACCCUCUACAUCUAUAGUUGAGCAUGUAUCUAUUUGUACUAGAUGUAGAGAUGUUGAUAUUAAUGCUAUUCAUGAUCACAUGUCUUUAAUUAAACAACAAAAUGAUCAUAUAGCAAAAUUAGAUGCUAGAAUUGCCGAGCAUAACUUAGAAAAUGAAAAAUUUAAAUUUGCUAGAAGUAUGCUCUAUAAUGGGAGACGCCCUGGCAUCAAGGAUGGCAUUGGCUUCCAAAGGGGAGACAAUGUCAAACUUAAUGCCCCUCCUAAAAGAUUGUCUAAUUUUGUAAAGGGCAAGGCUCCCAUGCCUCAGGAUAACGAGGGUUACAUUUUGUACCCUACCGGUUAUCCCGAGAGCAAGAUUAGGAGAAUCCACUCUAGGAAGUCUCACUCUGGCCCAAAUCAUGCUUUUAUGUAUAAGGGUGAGACAUCUAGUUCUAGGCAACCAACCCGUGCUAAGUUGCCUAAGAAGAGAACUCCUAAUGCAUCAAAUGAUCAUGACAUUUCAUUCAAAACUUUUGAUGCAUCAUAUGUUUUAACUAACAAAUCCGGCAAGGUAGUUGCCAAGUUUGUCGGGGGCAAACACAAGGGCUCCAAGACUUGUGUUUGGGUACCCAAAGUUCUUGUUUCUAAUGCCAAAGGACCCAAAACCGUUUGGGUACCUAAAGUCAAGAACUAAACUUGUUUUGUAGGUUUAUGCAUCCGAGGGCUCAAGUUGGAUCAUCGAUAGCGGGUGCACAAACCACAUGACUGGGGAGAAGAAAAUGUUCUCCUCCUACGAGAAAAACCAAGAUCCCCAACGAGCUAUCACAUUCGGGGAUGGAAAUCAAGGUUUGGUCAAAGGAUUGGGUAUAAUUGCUAUAUCUCUUGAUCAUUCUAUUUCCAAUGUUUUUCUUGUAGAUUCAUUAGAUUACAAUUUGCUUUCUGUAUCUCAAUUAUGCAAAAUGGGCUACAACUGUCUCUUUACUGAUGUAGGUGUCACUGUCUUUAGAAGAAGUGAUGAUUCAAUAGCAUUUAAGGGUGUGUUAGAGGGUCAGCUAUACUUAGUAGAUUUUGAUAAAGCUGAACUCGACACAUGCUUAAUUGCUAAGACUAACAUGGGUUGGCUCUGGCACCGCCGACUAGCCCAUGUUGGGAUGAAGAAUCUUCAUAAGCUUCUAAAGGGAGAGCACAUUUUAGGACUAACCAAUGUUCAUUUUGAGAAAGACAGGGUUUGUAGCGCAUGCCAAGCAGGAAAGCAAGUUGGUGCCCAUCAUCCACACAAGAACAUCAUGACGACCGACAGGCCGCUUGAGCUACUCCACAUGGAUCUAUUCGGCCCGAUUGCUUACAUAAGCAUCGGCGGGAGUAAGCAUUGUCUUGUAAUAGUGGAUGAUUACUCUCGCUUCACUUGGGUAUUCUUUUUGCAGGAAAAAUCUCAAACCCAAGAGACCUUAAAGGGAUUCUUGAGACGGGCUCAAAAUGAGUUCGGCUUAAGGAUCAAGAAAAUUAGAAGCGACAACGGGACGGAGUUCAAGAACUCUCAAAUUGAAGGCUUCCUUGAGGAGGAGGGCAUCAAGCAUGAGUUCUCUUCUCCCUACACGCCACAACAAAAUGGUGUAGUGGAGAGGAAGAAUAGAACUCUAUUGGACAUGGCAAGAACCAUGCUUGAUGAGUACAAGACUUCGGAUCGGUUUUGGGGCGAGGCGGUCAACACCGCCUGCUACGGCAUCAACCGGUUGUAUCUACACCGAAUCCUCAAGAAGACAUCCUAUGAACUCCUAACCGGUAAAAAGCCCAAUAUUUCAUAUUUCAGAGUCUUUGGCAGCAAAUGCUUUAUACUUGUUAAAAGAGGUAGAAAAUCUAAAUUUGCUCCUAAGACUGUAGAAGGCUUUUUACUAGGAUAUGAUUCAAACACAAGGGCAUAUAGAGUCUUUAACAAGUCCUCGGGACUAGUUGAAGUUUCUUGUGACGUUGUGUUUGAUGAAACUAACGACUCUCAAGUAGAGCAAGUUGAUCUUGAUGAGAUAGGUGAUGAAGAGGCUCCGUGCAUCGCGCUAAGGAACAUGUUCAUUGGUGAUGUGUGUCCUAAGGAAUCUGAAGAGCCUCCAAAUGCACAAGAUCAACCAUCCUCCUCCACGCAAGCAUCUCCACCAACUCAAAAUGAGGAUGAAGCUCAAGUUGAUGAAGAAGAAGAUCACGCAAAUGAGCCACCUCAAGAUGACGGCAAUGAUCAAGGGGGUGAUGCAAAUGAUCAAGACAAGGAGGAUGAAGAACAAAGGCCGCCACACCCAAGAGUCCACCAAGCAAUCCAACGAGAUCACCCCGUCGACACCAUCCUCGGCGACAUUCAUAAGGGGGUAACCACUAGAUCUCGUGUUGCACAUUUUUGUGAGCAUUACUCUUUUGUUUCCUCUAUUGAGCCACACAGGGUAGAGGAAGCACUUCAAGAUUUGGAUUGGGUAGUGGCGAUGCAAGAGGAGCUCAACAACUUCACUAGGAAUGAGGUAUGGCAUUUAGUUCCACGUCCUAACCAAAAUGUUGUAGGAACCAAAUGGGUUUUCCGCAAAAAGCAAGAUGAGCAUGGUGUGGUGACAAGGAACAAAGCUCGACUUGUGGCCAAGGGAUACUCCCAAGUCAAAGGUUUGGAUUUCGGUGAAACCUAUGCACCCGUAGCUAGGCUUGAGUCAAUUCGUAUAUUAUUGGCCUAUGCUACUUACCAUGGCUUUAAGCUUUAUCAAAUGGACGUGAAAAGUGCCUUCCUCAAUGGACCAAUCAAGGAAGAGGUCUACGUUGAGCAACCUCCCGGCUUUGAAGAUAGUGAGUACCCUAACCAUGUUUAUAAACUCUCUAAGGCGCUUUAUGGGCUCAAGCAAGCCCCAAGAGCAUGGUAUGAAUGCCUUAGGGAUUUCCUUAUCACUAAUGGCUUCAAAAUUGGAAAGGCUGAUCCUACUCUAUUCACUAAAACUCUUGACAAUGACUUGUUUGUAUGCCAAAUUUAUGUUGAUGAUAUUAUAUUUGGGUCUACUAACGAGUCUACUUGUGAAGAAUUUAGUAGGAUCAUGACACAAAAGUUAGAGAUGUCUAUGAUGGGGGAGUUGAAGUAUUUCUUAGGAUUUCAAGUAAAGCAACUCCAAGAAGGCACCUUCCUAAGCCAAACAAAGUACACUCAAGAUAUUCUAAGCAAGUUUGGAAUGAAGGAUGCCAAACCCAUCAAGACACCCAUGGGAACCAAUGGGCAUCUCGACCUCGACGAGGGAGGUAAAUCCGUCGAUCAAAUGGUAUACCGGUCGAUGAUAGGUUCAUUACUCUAUUUAUGUGCAUCUCGACCGGAUAUUAUGCUUUCCGUAUGCAUGUGUGCAAGAUUCCAAGCCGACCCUAAGGAAGCUCACCUUACGACCGUAAAACGAAUCUUGAGAUAUUUAGUUUAUACUCCUAAGUUUGGGCUUUGGUAUCCUAGGGGAUCCACAUUUGAUUUGAUUGGUUAUUUGGAUGCCGAUUGGGUAGGGUGUAAAAUCAAUAGAAAGAGCACAUCGGGGACUUGCCAGUUCUUGGGAAGAUCCUUGGUGUCUUGGGCUUCAAAGAAGCAAAAUUCCGUAGCUCUUUCUACCGCCAAAGCCGAGUAUAUUGCCGCAGGCCAUUGUUGUGCGCAAUUACUUUGGAUGAGGCAAACCCUUAGGGACUAUGGUUACAAAUUAACCAAAGUUCCUUUGCUAUGUGAUAAUGAGAGUGCAAUCAAAAUGGCGGAUAAUCCCGUCGAGCAUAGCAGCACUAAACACAUAUCCAUUCGGUAUCACUUUUUAAGGGAUCACCAACAAAAGGGAGAUAUCAAGAUUUCUUACAUUAAUACUAAAGAUCAAUUAGCCGAUAUCUUUACCAAGCCACUUGAUGAACAAACUUUUAACAAACUUAGGCAUGAGCUAAAUAUUCUUGAUUCUAGGAACUUCUUUUGUUGAUUUGCACACAUAGCUCAUUUAUAUACCUUUGAUCAUAUCUCUUUCAUAUGCUAUGACUAAUGUGUUUUCAAGUCUAUUUCAAACCAAGUCAUAGGUGUAUUGAAAGGGAAUUAGAGUCUUCGGCGAAGACAAAGGCUUCCACUCCGUAACUCAUCCUUCGCCGUCACUCCAAGCAACUCUCCAUUUUUGGGGAGAAAGCAUGAGCACCAAGCAAAAAGACUCCAUCUUUGGUAUAAUCUUCACUCAUUUAUUUAUGACCAAAGGGGGAGAGAGUUAUUCAAGGGCUCUAAUGAUUCCGUUUUUGGCGAUUCAUGCCAAAGGGGGAGAGAGUAAGAGCCCAAAGCAAAAGGACCGCACCACCACCUAAUUUUAAAACUAAUGAUUUUCAAAUUGGUAUCUCAUUGUGUUCAAAAGGGGGAGAAAGUAGUAUUUUCAAAAUUGUUAUCUUAAAACCCUCUUGAACACUAAGAGGAGGAUUUCAUUAAGGGGGAGUUUUGUUUAGUCAAAGGAAAAGCAUUUGAAACAGGGGGAGAAAAUUUCAAAUCUUGAAAAUGCUUUGCAAAAUCUUAUUCAUUUACCUUUGACUAUUUGCAAAAGAACUUUGAAAAGGAUUUACAAAAGAAUUUGCAAAAACAAAACAUGUGGUGCAAGCGUGGUCCAAAAUGUUAAAAACAAAGAAACAAUCCAUGCAUAUCUUGUAAGUAUUUAUAUUGGCUCAAUUCCAAGCAACCUUUGCACUUACAUUAUGCAAACUAGUUCAAUUAUGCAUUUUUAUACUUGCUUUGGUUUGUGUUGGCAUCAAUCACCAAAAAGGGGGAGAUUGAAAGGGAAUUAGGCUUACACCUAGUUCCUAAAUGAUUUUGGUGGUUGAAUUGCCCAACACAAAUAAAUGGACUAACUAGUUUGCUCUAGUGUAUAAGUUAUACAGGUGCCAAAGGUUCACACUUAGCCAAUAAAAAGACCAAGUAUUGGGUUCAACAAAAAGAGCAAAGGGGCAACCGAAGGCACCUCUGGUCUGGCGCACCGGACUGUCCGGUGUGCCACCGGACAGUGUCCGGUGCACCAGAGGACUCCAAGUCGAACUCGUCACCUUUGAGAAAAUCCAGAGACGCUCCGCUAAAAUUCACCGGACAGUGUCCGGUGCUCCAAAGAACGGCGCCUCAGGAACUCGCCAGCUUCGGGAAUUCACAACGGCUAGUCCGCUAUAAUUCACCGGACAUGUCCGGUGUACACCGAACUGUCCGGUGUGCCAUCGAAGCAACAGAUACUUCGGCGCCAACGGCUACCUGCAGAGCAUUAAAUGCGCGCCAGCGCGCGCAGAAGGCAGGCGCGCCCAUACUGGCGCACCGGACACUCUACAGUACAUGUCCGGUGCGCCACCGGACAUCCAGGCGGGCCCAGAAGACAGAGCUCCAACGGUCGGAACUCAACGGCUUUGGUGACGUGGUUGGCGCACCGGACAUGUCCGGUGUGCACCGGACUGUCCGGUGCACCAUACGACAGUCAGCCCCACCAAACGACUAGUUUGGUGGUUGGGGCUAUAAAUACCCCCAACCACCCACCAUUCGUUGCAUCCAAGUUUACACACUUCCAACCACUUACAAGAGCUAGGCAUUCAAUUCUAGACACAUUCAAGAGAUCAAAUCCUCUCCCAAAUUCCACACAACGCCCUAGUGCUUAGAGAGAGACUUGCUUGUGUUCUUUCGAGCUCUUGCGCUUGGAUUGCUUUCUUCUUUCUUGAUUCUUUCUUGCGAUCAAACUCACUUGUAAUUGAGGCAAGAGACACCAAUCUUGUGGUGGUCCUUGUAGGAACUUUGUGUUCCAAGUGAUUGAGAAGAGAAAGCUCACUCGGUCCGAGGGACCGUUUGAGAGAGGGAAGGGUUGAAAGAGACCCGACCUUUGUGGCCUCCUCAACGGGGAGUAGGUUUGCAAGAACCGAACCUCGGUAAAACAAAUCCACGUGUCACACCUCUUAUUUGCUUGCGAUUUGUUUUGCACCCUCUCCCGUGGACUCGAUUAUAUUUCUAACGCUAACUCGGCUUGUAGUUGUGAUUAUUUUUGAGAAUUUCAGUUUCGCCCUAUUCACCCCCCCCUCUAGGCGACUAUCACGUUGCAAGUGGGAGGGCCCCGCUUGUCAUUGACUGUUGCUAUUCUAGCAAAGAGAAGGUGUGUUUUCGGACCUUUGGCUUAGGGCCUUCGUCCAUAUCACAAUCUGAAUUUAUCAUCCUAACAAAUUAAUAUUGUGAGGGGUUACUGUUGGGGGCCUUCGGCUUCCGAAGGUCCUCAAAAACGUGAUUUAACGAUGUUUCUGGAGUAUAAUACAUGAGCAGGUACCUUUGGACUUGAGUCAAAAUCACAGUGUGAAGAAGCACAAGGGAAACGAAGGAUGGAACAGAGCCGAAGCUGUGCGCAAGGGAGCUUCGGCAUGAUGACAGAAAAAAGGAAACGGACUUAAAGGGGAAAAGGCUAUCUAGACCCCGAUGAAUUACUAUAGAAUUAUUAGCAAAUGUAAAGGGCCUGGGUGUAAUUUUAUAUGGGCUGCGUCCCGUGCCUAUAAAUAGAUGAACAGUACUCCCGUAUUGUUCACGCUGACUGGGUAUUUGCUUUUGCGUCACACUUUUACUUUUACCUUCCUUCAAGCCGAAGGUACUUUUGUAACUUGUUAUUAUUUUUAUUUUUCCUUAAUAAUGAAAUAGAAAUGAUUUGAUGAUAAUUAAUAACUGUUGGUAUUAUCUUUUAUAUCCCAUAUGUUUUUUUCCUCGUUUAUAUGUUGCUUUGACGAAGGUACGUCCUUCACAACCUUCGUCCGAAAAUCAUUAUCUCUCAAAGGGAUAUAAUGCUUCGAAGGACGAAGGACUUUAACGUUUAACAUUCUCUGUGUUGCCUUGUUCUUAACUCAUAGCAUUUGAGAACAAGUCCCCAACAAAGGUAAUGCUCCUCUUCUUUUAGUAUUGAACAUCCCUAAUGUUUUUUAUCACUUGGCAUAAGUAAUAUGGCGAUUGAUGUUUCAGAUGAUGAAUCUGAUGAGGAGGUUCCACAGGCUAUUUCAUUAUUCCCAAACGCAGAUGGUAUAUAUCCUUGUUCUACAUAACAUUUUUGUUUAAGAGUUAAUAUUGCAUUUCUCUCUGUGCAUUAUGACUGCUUCAUAGAUACACAUAUUUAGUUUAUGGUGCUAUUUAUCUCAUAUCCUCAUUGUAUAUGUGACUGAACUCACCAGAUUAGAUAAUAUAUGACCUCCCACUUGAAUCCUUGAAACACUCGAUUAACAUUUUUUACAUUCAGAUGAUAAAAGUGAAGGAAGUAAAUGUGGUGUGAAGAAGCCUGCUGCUACAAAAUCCCCUAAACCAAAAGUUAGCUUGGAGGAAACAAAGGAUUGUGGCACUAACGACGAUGAAAGUGACGAAGACUUUGUUGAUUCAGAAGAGGGUGAAUCAGAUGAUGACGAGGUUGGUAUGGUAUAAGUGAUGAAUCAUGAUUGAUAUCAUUUCCUCCAUGUUUCAGUUCUCUCAUUCCUCUAGAUUAUUUUAUUGUGAUACUGGUAUAAGGAACUGAGUGAACAGACAAAGUAUAGGUCAUUUUGUUGUAUUACUUAAGAUAACCUAGGUAAUCAAAUAUUGUUGACCAGAUUUCUUAUGUAAACGAUUAUACUUUUUUCCUUGGGUUGAUUAUAUAUACUACUAUUGGUUUGAGUCUGCUAUCCAUUUCCUGAGCGUUGUACCUUUUUCAACCUGAAACUGGGCAUUAUUCCUCUAAGUGCGCGAUGCAUUUCUACAAGCAGACAUAAGGCGCCCUUACGGGCACCCUAUCGGGACACCGCUCAGUUGCUUCAUCUUCAGAUCCGGUUUGUUUU
Molecule: long non-coding RNA, 295866 nt
Filed under: Zea mays
Lineage: Eukaryota; Viridiplantae; Streptophyta; Magnoliopsida; Poales; Poaceae
Description: long non-coding RNA (ZMAY_LNC003656)
Source: RNAcentral